GAUUAUCAUCAUCAAUAUUAUCAUCAUGUGGAGAAGGAGGCAGCAAAUGUCUAGCAGCAUUAAUGAGGACCUCCGCCACUUCUGUGUGUCCUUGAGACGAAGCCAAGUGAAGUGCAGUCUGUUUAUAUUUGUUAAGCUUGACCAGAAGGUUUUUGUCUGCAAACUCCCUUAAUAUAAAUCGCACGUGUUCUGUAUUUCCGUUUUCGGACUCUGUGUGAAGAAUAGUUUCUUCGUAUCCGUUCAAUUUAUCAGCAUGCAUUUCCAUUGCAGCUAUGGCAUCAGCAUCUCUAGCAAUGGCAGCCGCAUACAGAGCAUCUUUAUCCAUAAUCUUGUAGAGGCUUCCACCAGGGCUCUUAGCUAUAAAAUAAAAAAGUGUCAAAUUAAAUAGCGAAGAAGAUUUUAACAAAUACACUAUUGGAUUUAGCUUCAAUAACAAAAAGAAGUAUAUAUGCCUAUAGAUAGUAUAUUAUGUUUAAACAAAGAGUGUUUAAAGAGCAUACCUUGGUCCAGAUUUUUAAUACGCACAACAGUACUACAAUCAGGUCCGAGCAAAGAUGGAGCAGUGCAAGUUGUAGAGAUAAUCUCUGCUAUAUCGUGGAGACCUUUUUCCACAGCUAUGUACAUUGGUGUUUUACCGUUGUCGUUUUGAAUAUGUGUAUCAGUCCGAUCGGCCUCUACUAGUAGCUUAACGAUAGUAAAAUUUCCUCUCAAGACUGCUGCAUGUAAGGCAGUGUCCAAAUCUUUAUCACCUUGCCUGAGAAAAGCUUGAAAAGAAGUGACUUCGGGAUUACCAUCAUCAUCUGAAUGAGGCAAAUGGCGAGCUGCAUCAAUGAGGACCUCGGCCACUUCAGUUCGUCCUUCGUAUAUAGCCAAGUGAAGUGCUGAAUGCUUAUAUCUACUAAACUUUGCUAAAAGAUUUUUGUGUGCAAAUUCCCUCAAAAUGAAUCUCACACGUUCAAUAUUCCCCUCCUCUGAUUGCAGGUGAAGGAUAGUUUCUUGAUAUCGGUGCAGUCUAUCAGCUUCCAUCUCCAAUUUGGCAAUAGCUUCAGCAUCUCCGGCCAUGGCAGCAUCGAACAGAGUAUCCAGAUCCAUAACUAUAUUUUACUCUACCACUGCUCUGCCUGGUGGAAUUUCACGGAUUAUAUACAAGAAACUUGCUAGCAUCCAGGAGCUAGUUAUAUAAAUAGAAGCUUGGUGUAUGGCUGUAUAUUAACAAGAUGUUGACCAACCAAAAUGCUACGUCAUGCUCAUGUAAAUUGGUUGUUGGGCUUGGUAAUGAUGAUGCGUUAUAAUUUUGAGAACUAAAAAGUAAAUAAUGGUUAAAUUGGUUGCCGCUUUAAACCAUGAAAAUAAUAUAGAUUUAUCUUAGACGAUCUCGAUCUUUAGAUUCUUAAUCAAAAUAUGUUUUCAUUAAGUAGAGUAUGACUAGAUUAUAAGGGUAAACUUUUCUAUUUUUAGAUGUAGGAAACUUUUCUAUUUCUAGAUGGAGUUUUAUUUCAAAAAAUAAAAAAGAAUUUUAAGAAAGAUAAAAAAGAAAUAAAUAUCAAGAACCAAUUGUGUUAUUUUAUUUAUAUAGAUAGAUGGUAUAAUAUGAUUACCUCUUGCUUCGUUAAUACCCUGAAUUAUGAUUGUUUUAGGAUAUCAUAAUCCAAGUAAUUUAAUUCACUAAAAUGGCAGCAACAUCUCCUUUCAGUGUUUCAGCUCCAUAUCCAAUGCAGUUAUGGCAGCAGCAUCUCUGGCAAUGGCAGCUGCAUACAAAGCAUCUUUAUCCAUAAUUAUAUAUAUCUUAUCUUCUAACAGAGUUCUUGGCUAUAUAUGUGUAUGUAUAAAAAUGUCGGGUUAAAUCUCUCGGUUAAUUCAGUAAAAUGUGGUGCUAGUUAUCCAAAAUUACUUGUCUUUCUAAAAUGAUACAAAGUAAUAAAGUCUAAACACUGAAUUAUACAAUCAACUAGACCCAUUAACAAUACUCAUCUAAUCAAGAAUCCACAUGCUACAAGUGGCCAGGUUUGUAAGAGAAGGACGUCAGAAUAAACAACAACAAUUUGCAAGAAUCACAGGUGCUAAAAAACACUUAAAAAGUCACUAUAAUUUCUAACAACUUAUUAGUUGACCUGAGUGACCUCAAAAAUUUUACUUAUUACUUUUUUUCUAUAUCACACAUCAGAAUGCUUAUUGUACACCAGUAUAAACUCAAGCUCAUAUCAAUUAUUAUAUCAAACGCGUAAUUAUCAAUACUUCUCUGAUAAAGAAGUUUAAACUUCAGCUUAUAGUCUACUAGAGUCUUAGGUUUGUACUUGCUUCAAAAAGAAUAUAAACUCCAAGCAGUAUUGGAACUGGGUGCAUUUUAUAAAAUUAUUUCAUAUAUAUACUAACUUCAAAAUAAUUCUCCAAUAUUCUUUCAGAUUGGUGGAAAGUCAAACAAGCGGAGCACUAGAAUCCAAAUGCUGCAUGUGGCUAGUUCUGCAUGAGGACAUUGAAGUAAACAAAGCCAGUUUGUAUCAGUUACAGGCAAAAAUACAUAGAAAAAUGCCACUAUGAUUUCUAACAACCAAAUGGUUGACCUUUAUAAGUUAAACCAACAGUGUAAAAUUUUAGAAAUCCUGAUAAAUAAGUCCGAACUUCAACUUAUAGUCCAGUAAAAUGGAGCUAGCUAGGAAGACUUGUAGAUCAGUAAAAACUAGAAAGUCUUUGUAUAAUCAUAUAUGUCAUAAUUGUGAUGUAUGAUUUGAGCCUUAAAGAUGUCAACUGUGUAAUAAUUUAAUAACAACACAAUUCUUUAAUUUACACUCUACAUUUAUGUCUACUUAAUUAAGUAAUCUACAACUGUGAUCUCUUAACAGCUCCAUAGUUUCAACAAAUUAUACUCAAGAUGAUAAGUUUCAACCUACCCUUAAACCUCACACUUUCUUUAAUUUAAAAUGUUUAUGCCUAGUUGUAUGCUAUAACUAUAUUCAUAGACCCUCCUCCUCUCUUACUCUUCUCCAAAGUUUUGGUAUCUGUAUUAUAAGUCCUGAAUUAUGUCAAUUUGUAAGCUGAAUGUGAACUUUAUUUCUUAAUUAAAAUCAAGUACUGGAACACGGAUUCGGGACAAAUUAACCACUGAUAUGUAAAGCUGAGUCGGGAGACCAUUACCAGAUCAUUUUGUGGGUAAAUUCCCAUCAGAUUGGCCUAAAAAGGAGCGAGUUCAUCCUAAAUACAUACUGAUGUAAUAUAGUCAACAGUUAAAUUAAUGUGAGGCAUGGUAGAUAGGCUUCUAAGUUUCAGUGAAUCUAAAAUUAAGAACUCAGAUGUUAGCUAAAUAUGAAAGAUAAGAUAAUAAUUACCCUGUUCUAUCGUGAAGUACAGCGAAGCCCAAACAAACUCGAGGGUUUUUACACUUCACCUAAUUGUCAAGAUCUUUAGCACUAGACUCUAAUGGGAUGUAGUUAGGUACGAAGGUCUAGUACAUUAUAUUUAAUCACUCCAAAUAAACAACAACAACAACAUGGCCUAAUAAAUACCACCCCUCCCGAAUCCAAAGGACCAACAUAAGCUUCCUUUACUUGAUCAGAAUUAUAUAUUAUAAUAUAAACUCUCACACAUCAGCACGGUCAUAUACGACAACAUAAUCAAAGGUCAUUUGCACAAGAAUUCACCUGUAUCUAGACAUCUGAUUGCACGUUUGCUGAAGAAGAGGAGCGGAGCAUUAUCGAAAAUCCAGAAUUUGAAGUGAUGUUCUUUCGUCACUUGAUUAAUUCCCAACUCCAUUUACAGAUGAUUGUAAUCUAUACUCUGUUUUGGUUUGAUUUGAUAUACCCAAACAAAGCGAAUAGAAAUAGCAUUGUCUUGUGUUAACCUCAACUCCGCAUGAUAAAUCACUUGAUUCACCACGCCUUACUUGAUUACAUAACAAUUCUUGAGACACACGAAUUCUAUCAAACACUUACAUGCACUCUCAGGUAAACCCCAAGUACUUAAAACGAUGUUGUUGCAUCGUUUUUGAAGGAGCUUGUUGCGAAGAAUGGAUUAAAAGUUUGAAUAUUUGGGUCAGGAGAUGAAUAGCGGUGAGUGUGUAGACUAGUUGCUGUCAGUGGGAGUGAUGAGGUGGAAGACGAGAUGGGUGCAGGGGUGUGAAGGGGUUGUCCAAACAGUUUAACCCGACCCAAAAUGACCCUAUUUUCAGUCGAACCAAAUCGAAGAUUUUAAAACGUUAUUCAAUUGGGUUGAAUCGGCUCCAACCCGGUUUUAAUGGGUUGGGUAUGGUUUUAGAUUUUAUUUGACCAACCCAAUCCAACCCGAAUGUAUUUUAAUAAAAAUAUAUUGUAUUGUAUAUAUAUAUAAUAUGGGAUGAUCAAAUACAAACCAACUUUAUCAUACAAACCUAAAAACUAGUUUCAAAAUUAACAACUAUCCCCUCAAACUUUUAAAAACUAACAAAAUCCCCCCCCCCUAGUUUUGUCAUCAACUUCCCAAAACUUACACUUUCCACUCUGUCACGUCACCCUGCCACAUCACCCUCCACGUCAGCAGUGGGGUCACCCACUGCUGACGUGACAGAUGACGUCAGCAGUGGGCCCCCAGAAAAUUUUAAGAAAAAAUAAAAAAUAAAAAGAUUGGAGUGCUCAUAGCAAAAAUAGGAGUGAAAAUAAUGGUUUUUAGGUUUGUAUGGUAGUGUGGUUUGUAGUGGAAUAGCCCCCUAUAUAAUAUAGUUACCGAAUGAAAUUAUAGUGUGAUAUAAUUGAAUUAUAAAAUUGGUAUCUUUACUAGAGUUUCCUUCAAAAUAUCUUUCCUCUAGAUGGGUGGGUCAAGAAACGGACUACAAUGUAAUGGUAGUAAUCUUCAGAAAUGCAUAAAAAUAUACCUUCACUUUUUAAUUUUUAAAUUCAUUUUUAACUUUUUCUUCAUUCAACUUCUUUCAAAAAUUAAACUAAAAUAGUUUAUUUAACUUAAACUAGUCAUAAGAAAUAAAAACAAUUGCUAGAUGAUAACAGUCAAGUUGUUCAACAAUAAAAUAAUUACACAAAAUAAAAUUAAAUAUAAUAUUUGUUAUUUUAUAAGGCAAACAAUAAGUUAGGGCUCAUUUGUUUGCUGCUGAUUAGUGCUUAAUGAGUAAUGAGCUGACCGCGUCAGCAAUUCAGCUUGUUUGUCACUAAAUUUAGGGAAGCAUAAUGAAUCAGUUCCUGUUGAGCGGCUCCGUUUUGAGUUUAUAACCCAAUGAUUCAGCACAGCGUUUACAUAUAACCCACAUGUAUAAAAAAUUAGUCUAAUCUAUAACCAAUUAUUUUUGGAUAUUCAUAUUAAUUUAUGCUUGCAAUAAAAUAUUGUUAUACUUUAAAUAAGCUCAGAUAUCAAAAAAUUUAAGACGUAGAAUUCGGUAUAAAAUUUCUAAUUCUGAUAUGAUUUAUAAUAUUGUAAUAUCAAACAUUAAUUUAUUGGAGUUAAUUUUUUUGGCUUGAAACUAAUUAAAAUACAAUGUUCUAUUUAAAUAUAAUAUUAUUAAAUUAUAGAAAUGUUUUAUGUUAAAUAAUUUUUUUUUGAUAAGAUUAUUGUAAAUUGAAUUCAUUAUUUCAAAACCUAUUUGUCGAAUGAUAUUAUUCAUUCUGGGAUUCAGAUAACUUACCAGCUCAGCUCAUUCAGAUAGGAUAACGAAUCAGAUAUUUUUAAUUCAGAUUUUCCAAAUGACCCCUUAGAUCAUAGAAGAAGGGUUGAAUAUAAUCUACAAAAAUUCCAAACUAUUUUUGCUAAACCAAUAAUAUUCAAAACACAAGAGAUCAAAAUCUAAACAGAAAUUUAAAAGAAAAGGGAUCUUAAAAAUUUCAGGUGGAUUGUUUUCUCCACCUGAGAUAUUUUUAUAUUAAGAACCUCCCGAGUAAAAAAUUUACUUGGCUGCUUACAAAAGAAUGAAGAGCUAAAGCUUACAAUUUCUGUCUUGCUAUCUCUACUGCUUUGUUUUUCAGUUCUUGAUGUGUUGGAUACAUUGAAAUAAAAAUUACAAUGCAAAUAUAUACUACGGAAUGGCUAUCAUGUGCCCUUCGGACACAUGAUAAGUAGUAAUUAAUAUAGUCAACUACUUUUAUAUGUACAUAGUUAUCAGUGUAUUUGUACAGAAAAUCAUUCAAAAAUUCAUUAACUAUGAACUACUUUUAUAUUUACUCCCUCUGUUUUUUUUAUAUGACGCUUUGACUUUUGACACACACUUUUAAGUGCUUUGACCGGAUAGUUGAAAAUAUUAUUUUUUGAAUUUUUUUUUCUGAAUAAAAAUUUUGAGUAUAUAUUAUUAUUCAGAAAAGGAAAAUUUAAAAAAAUAAUAUUUUCAACUACCCAGUCAAAGCACUUAAAAGUGUGUGCCAAAAGUCAAAGCGUCAUAUAAAAAAAACAGAGGGAGUACAUAGUUAUCAGUAUAUAUUUAUUUUUAAUUUGUCUUCUAAAUUUUAUAUUUAUAAUAAAAUAUUAUUUUAUUUCAAAAAAUGUGAGAACGUACAAUAAUUCUUUUGUCAUAUUUUAUAUGACAAUUUUUAAUUCACUACAAGAAAUUCAGCUUUUACCUACCAAUAUUAUGUGUAAGUAAAACUACUCUAUUGGUAAAUACAUAUCAUUUUUCUACUAAUAAAGUAUUGGUAGCGAGUGGUAGAUAAAGGUUAGUAGCCAAACACUAUUUACUUACACAUAUAUAAAUUGGUAAGUAAAAUAUUAUGUAGGCUCCACAUGGUAUUGAGUCAUCAGCUUAUGUGUCCAUGACACAUGUCAUGAUUAGGACUAUCCAUGUGGCGCCAUAUCAGUGGGCCAUGUGGCACCUGGUCAACAGGACAUGUGGCACCCGGUCAUCAUGCCACGUGUAUUGGGUCAUAUGUGACAACUUGGAGUGGUGCCUUGUCAUCAUACACGUGGCGCCUUUUUCGUAAUGCCACUUGGCGCCUUAUAUAUGGCCCAAAUUACAACAACUGAAUUACCACGUGUUAUUUUGCUAAUUUUUAAUUAAUAAUAUAUAAUAAUUUUUCAAUUAGUUAUUUUUUGCUUUAUUUACUCACAAAUAUGAUACUUUUAGGUGAAAAAAAUUAGAUAAAUUCUAAAAUAUCUAAUAAAAAGUGAAAUGUAACAACAUAAAAGCCUAGAUAUUUCAACAAGAAAAAAAUUAUUACAUGUUCAAAUAAUAACAGAAAAACUAGAAAGGAAUACUAAAUCAUCCUGAAUUUUCUAAAUUAGCAUGAGAGACUUCAUCUUUGGGAGAUGAUGUUUGCUGUGGCAUAAGAUUAUUCUUCUGUAGUAUGUCAACAACUUCAUUGAGACGUUCUUUCGCUUCAUUAAGUUGUUCAACUAUUUCCUGAUAGGUUGGUUGGUUUGCCUGACUGCUAGUACCAUGACCUGUUUUGGGAAUUUUAGCACUAGCAGAACGCCCCCAUCCUCGCAAGUAUACUGAACAACGACCAAGUACCGUUUCCAAGAUUUCUUUGUCUGACAAUUCUUCUGGAGAAUAUAUUUCUCUAAGAUUCAUCAUAUCCCCCUAAUAACAUAAUAUUUGAAAUUAAAAAAUAAAACAUAAAGAAGAAUUAGAAUCAUUCAGAUUGCAGAAAUAUAAGGAUAAUAGUUAUAUAAGAAACAUAUUAUGUUAGUUUAGUACAUUUGAAGUCUAUAACAAAAUACUUACAUAUAAAUCUUCAAGUCCUGGUCCAGUCCAUCCAUCUUUAUCAUGAUGAUUUUGACGCCAUGUCUCAAUGUGUCCAGUUAAAGAGGUUAAUGUCAUUCCACGUCUAAUAUGAUGUCGUGGUGUAGAAACUGACCCGUUUUCAGAAUUCCACCUUCUUUUAGAUCGAUUUAUGAUAUUCUUUGAUGCCCUUUCCUACAUAAAUAUGAUAGUAUCAUUAUAUAAUAACAUGAUAAAGCAAUAAAAUAACUAUUUAUUUUUAAAAAAGAAACCUGAAAUUUAGGAGAACACCAACGAUCACAAAGCAUCUCCCAAUCCUCUUGUUGGUAAUCUUUAAAGUCUGGAUGCCACUUCCGCUUAGCUAGUAACACAUCAUUUUGACCUCCAAUGCUUUUGAAGUAUUUAUGUAACUUGUACUUAUAGCCCUUCCAUGCUUUCCUCAUUUGUUCAUCGAUGCAUAACUUAGUUGUCUCAUCACGUAAGUCGAUAUCAAAAUUUUCCUAUAAAGCAUAAGAUAUUAUAUGAAUUCAAAAAAAUUGAUGUGUGCUGGUAAAAUAUAAAAUGAAGCAUUAUACAAUUUGAUGCAGAAAGUCCUAGAAAAAGCUCUAACACAAUAUAUUUCAUAAACAGCAUGGAAAAAAAUAAACAACUUGGGUGAUAGAAGUGGAAUCCGAAAAUAAAAAGAUGUUUGUCUAGUUAUGAACAUCAUUUGAAUUUAACAUAUGAGUUAAUUGCUGAUCUAGUAAAUAAUUUUAUAAAGCUAUAUAUUAUGUGUACUUAUUUCAUAGUCUAUUAACUGAAAUUUGGCUACUGAAAUUUGGCUGAUUAAAUUCUAAAGUCUACGACUAGCUUGUUUCAACCUCCUUUACAUUUAAACAAGCCUGGGAAAUUACACAAGAACCAGUAUAAUGGAACUGACCAGCACAUAUAUUAUAGUAAUACUAAUCAAGCAAGUUACACACGUGAUCCAGAUAAAUAAGAGCUUUGUAUUGAAACAAAAUAAUUAACAAAAAGCUUGCACUUGUGAAAAUACGUAAAGACUUUGACAUUAAGGAAGCUAGAUGAUAUCAAACUAGACAGGGGACCCCAACUUGAUAUACACCGGAGACACGUGUAAUGAUUUAGGCAAGUUAAAUUUCAACACUUAAACAAAGAAAUAACUAAGGUAAAAGAUGGAAGAUCCUGUCCAGUAGUAUAUAUUCUAAACAACAAUUAUAUACUUGUAAAUAUAUUAAAAAGAAGGAACAAGCUCGAUAUGCUGGUGUACACGCACAUAAAAACUAGCAAGUGUAUAAGAAUUUACCAGAAGAUAAUUUCGCAAUGGUGCUCUGACCUCCUCUGGAACUAGUCUCCACUCCUUGUAAUAAAAUAUACCAUGAUUUCGAACAAUAAAUCCGAUCUCAUUAUUAAACCUCUCAGCAUUGCUACAGAUUGGUUGCCGGCAGUUGUCAUCAUAUUUUUGUGAGGUUCUUUCGAUUAAAAUUACUUGUUGCAAAAAUGAAAAAUUAAAUCAUGUACUUGUAUAUUGAAUUCAAAAUAAAAUUUAAAAAAUUAAUACAUAAAUUUAGUAUAAGCUGAACGCAAAUUGGGUUUUCUAUUUAAAGAAUAUUCUUGAAAAUAAUAUUGGGAAAUGUUUCUGGAAUCCGUGAUAGUAAAAACAAUGAAAUACUGAAAAAAUAAAAUAAAUAAUGUUCAAGCUCUAAAUUGAUCACAAAAAAAAACUGAUGAGCAUCCCUCGUCAGGACCAUCCAGCUUUGUUUCAUGCUCCUGCCAUCCAGCUAAAUAUUGGUGUCGUCCGUUAAGUUUUUGUUUCGUCAGGCUAAAUAUUAAUUUGACAAAUGAUAGAUAUCGUUCGUUUGUUACCAUUCCUCUGUUAACAAACGAGGUCUAUUUACAUUUUAAGCUCAUGGAAUAGUGGGUUAUACCAUUCCUGAUUCUUUUUAAAAGGAAGUUGUUCUCUAUUUAUAAAAAUAUAAAUAUUAAAAAGCAUUUAAUUAGUUUUUAAUUUAUAUAAGUUAUUUUAAUAAUGUAUCAAUUCCCAUCUUAGUCGUUAAUUUUAAUUUAAUUGAUCCGAAUUAUCAUAAUUUUAAUUAUUCAUUCUUUUUGUGAAUUGAAUAAACAUAUUCAUAAAUACGAACUAGGUAUAUAUAUUUAAUUUAAUUUUUAUUCAUGAAAUUAAAAUCUUUCAAUAUUCCGAUUAAUUUACUUGUUUGUGAGUUAUUACAAUGCAUCACUUGUACAUAUUAUCUUUUUCAUAAUUUUCCUUCUGUAUAAAAUAAAAAGUUCAACCUUUUUUUUGCAUAAAAGAAAUCGCAAAAAAUAUAUCAUAUAAAAAUAUCUCUUUUAGAUUACUAAAAAACCUACAAAAUAUGAUAGCGUUACAUGGAAUGAGAUGGACUGUGUAUAUAAUUAUACACCUUUUAAUAUAAUUAUCUCCAUCUUAAUUAAUUUUGAUAUAUAAUUUUAAUUAAUGUAUUAUCUAUUAAAGAACAGUUAAUUAGUUUUUUAAUUUAAAUAAAUUAUUUCAAUAAAUUAUUUUAAUGUAUAUAAAAAUUGUUCGACAACUUUUAAAAUAAGACAAUAUGUGCCUAAAUUAUUAGAUCAUUCAUAGAGUAAAAUUUGACUAAAACUCAAUUAAAUAAACUCAAAAUUAACAUGUAAAAGUGAUUACAUAAGAGAAUUUGCAAGUUACAAGGAAUCAAAAGUGAUUGCAGCACCGGAGACUUGGUUGGAUUUGAGGAUCCGUGGAUCACAACUCAGCCAGUACUUCAGAAGGAAGAGUAAGCACACUCCAAAGGGUCUAUUUUCGUAUCCAGCUGAUGUAGAUGGCACCAAAUACUCUAUGCAUUGGGUUUAUGAAGUACAUAGGAAUUCCUGGCAUGUUCUGCUUGAUGCCACUGCACUAAACAUGGGGGAGGAACGAAUGACCCUGACUCUCCACAGUCCAGAUUUUGUUCUGUGCAAGCCUGACAAUACUAAUGCUCACCCUUCAGAUAUCACAUGUCUGCUAAUCAGAAGAUCUUUCGAUACAGGAGCUUCAGUUUAAGCAUACGAGCAAGCAGAUCACAUCUCACAAGGAACAUUAGUAUGAAUUAGUCAUGUGUCUGCCAGACAGCAUCAUGCAUGAAACACUUCAGCCAUAAACUAUACAUUGUGAAAUAUAAUCCAGAGCAUUGUCAUGGACAAAAAGAAUAUAGGCAGGAAGAGCCUAUGACAAAAAAAAAUCAUGAAGAGCCAAAACAUGUAAAAUAAUGUUAGUUCCCGAUUAAAAACAGAGCAUGUUAAAUAAUAUAAACCUAUGUGAAUAAUACAUGUUUCGCUACCUGUAUUUCUAGAGGUUAAAAUCAUUGCAGUCGUGCCUAUCAAUAGCUCUGUAACCAUUUUAUUUUGAUGGUCCAGAUCUGCAGCAAAGUUCAAUGUCUUUGAUAAACAGAACAAGUGUUAUAAAUACAGAACUCAAAGUUUUGCUGAAAUACAUUAUAAACUACCUGAUUCCUUUUAGUAUCAGGCAUCUGAUUCAUUUUCAGAAGAGGCUUCACUGUCAUGGUCACUUGAAACAAUUUCUUCACUGUCUAUAAAUAUCUCUCCAUCAUCAAACAGUUCAUUUUGUUCAGCUUCAUCUAGAUCAUCUUCAUCGCAUGUAGUUUGCUUUUUAUCGUUGGAAAACAAAUCAGCAACAAGUCCCCUUGAAAGACUUAAAGAUGUAACGUCUCUUCGAACUAAAGAUGAACUUUCAAUUAAAUCCUCACUCGGUUGAAAAGAUGGCAGGUGAACUGAUUCUUCUUCUUGAAAUACAUCAUUGUUUGAUAAAUCAUUAACCACCUCACAUGUUUCAGGAAUGUCAUAUAUAGAACGGUGAUUUACUCUUUGAACAAACCUCCAAUUUGAACCACGUUUCACGUCAAGCAGAUAAAAAACUUGUUGAGCUUGUGUUGCUAAAAAUAAAUGGUUCAUUAGGAUACCAAUCAACUGAUGUAUUAAUGGAUGUAAGAUUAUUAUCCAUGCAGAUCGAUCUGCCCCUAGGACUAGAGUUAUACCACUUACACCGGAAUAAGAAAACUUUUCGAUCAAAAAGAAAUGAUAAUUCCAAAAUCUCAGUCAAAACUCCAUAGUAAAUAAGGUUCUCAUUAUCAUGAUCACCUUAGUGCAAACUCCAGAACAUUGUGUUUUAAGAGUAUCAUCAUGCUCUUUGCAACGAAAUCGAACACCAUUUACCACACAACUUGUAUAACUAUGAUAUCGCUCUAGUGGACCUUGAGAUAAAGAGUACAAAUCCUCAUUGAUACUAGUUGAGUUUUGGACUUGCAUUUGGGAUAUCUACAAAAGCAUAUAACAUAUAUGAAGGGCAGGACACCAAAGUUAAGAAAAAAUUAAAUACAAAUUCUCACCUUUUUCUUAAACCAUGAUGGGAAUUCUUCUCUUUGUCUCACUUCAGUGGCUGAAUAUGGCAGGCCUCCCUCGAGCAAUAUUGUUCUGUGCUCACUGCAUGAAAAAUAUUUAUUUGACAAAGUGAUGUAAAUAUACAAGUCAUAUAAAUAUAUAAGGGAUAUAAGUAUGAUGCACCAAUAAUAAUAAAAAGUAAAGUACUUGCUCAAGAUAUGUUUGAAUAUCAUCUGCAGAAUUGUUUAAUAUAUACCAUUGAAUUGCAUUCUUCCAAUUUUGGAGCAAUCGAAUACAAGAUGCCCCUAAUGGACGUGUAUUAGACUUAAACACAUCCAUAUGAUGAUUUGGAAGAGGUAAAUCCCAAUUGCGUUCAGGUCUGGUAAAUCUUGUUUCUAUAUUCGGAACAUAUCUGGCUAAAAAACUCACAGCUUCAUCUACAAUAUAAGCUUCUGCAAUUGAACCAUCUGGUCUAGCCAUAUUUUUCACAUAUUUCUUAUAUAAACCCAUUUGACGUUCUGUCUCAAACAUCCAUCUCGGAGCAACCGGGCCACCUAACAACACUUGAUCAGGCAAGUGUACACAAAGAUGUAGCAUUAUGGUAAAAAAAGACAGAGGAAAUAUCUUCUCCAGCUUGCACAAAAUUAUUACAAUUCCCUGCCUUAAUUCUUCAAUGUCAGAAAUACGUAUAGUUUUGGCACAAAUUUUUUGAAAAAACUGGCAUAACUCUAUCAAAGUACCACGAAUGUUUUUCGUCAAAUAAGGGAGUAAUGCAACUGGCAAUAUCUUUUGAAGUAAAACAUGACAGUCAUGUGUUUUCAUUCCUUUCAGCUUGUUAUUAUCUGUAACACAUCGACUAAUAUUUGAAGCAUACCCAUCUGGUACUCUUACACUACGAAUAAAUUGGCAAAAACUCUUGCAUUCUUCUUUUGUAAGAGUAUAACUGGCAUGGGGUUUUUCAUAUUUAUUAUUAGUUUUCUGUCUUAACCAAAGCUCUUCACGGAUAUUUAAAUCUUGCAAAUCUUUACGAGCUUUCAAAUUGUCUUUUGAUUUACCUUCAAUAUCUAAAAGUGUGCCAAUAAUAUUAUCACAGACAUUCUUCUCUAUAUGCAUCACAUCAAGAUUAUGUCGCAAUAAGAGUUUUGACCAAUAUGGCAAGUCGAACAAAAUACUUCUUUUACUCCAGUUUAACUCUUUGGCUCCACGCUUACGUUUUCUAGAAGAAUUAUUUGGGGCUUUACCAGUUGUACGUGUAGGAACCUCCUCUAACUGUUUUAAAAUGUCUUCACCUGUAAAAGUUCUAGGGGGACCACGUAACUCGUUAGAUCCAUCAUAUUCUUUACUUCUUCUCCAAGGAUGUUUGGCAUCUAAAUAACACCUAUGUCCUAUAAAACAUUGUUUGUCGGUUAUUCUUCUAGAUCUAGUGUCCUCCAAACAAACUGGACAAGCCAAUUUUCCAGCAGUGCUCCAGCCAGAUAGGUAUGCAUAAGCGGGGAAAUCACUAAUUGUCCAUAAUACUACAGCUCUUAGUUUAAACAUGCAAUUAGUGUAUGAAUCAUAUGCAUCUAUUCCAUCCCACAACUCCUUAAGUUCUUCAAUUAAUGGCUGCAAGAACACAUCAAAGUCCUUCCCAGGAGAUUUUGGACCUGGUAUUAAUAAAGCCAUGAGAUUAUUGGUACCAUUCGGAGAAGCCCAAGGUGGCAUGUUAUAAGGAAUUAAUAUCACCGGCCACAAACUAUAGGUUGAUGAAAGGUUUGAGAAAGGGUUAAACCCAUCAGAUGCCAACCCCAUUCGAAUACUCCUGGAAUCUUUAGCAAAGUCAGGAUAUGUAUUAUCAAAAUGCUUCCAGGCCAUCCCAUCAGCCGGAUGUCGUAAUAUACCAUUUUCAGUUUUACGCACUUCUUUAUGCCAUCUCAUGUCUUUUGAAGUAUGUUUGGAGUUAAAAAAUCUCUUAAGUCGAGCCUUUACUGGAAACCAUCUAAGCCGCUUAUGGGGGAUUUUAUUCCUUACAUAACGACUAGAUUGACAGAUGACGUCAGCAGUGGGCCCCCCAGAAAAUUUAAAAAAAAAUAAAAAAUAAAAAGAUUGGAGUGCUCAUAGCAAAAAUAGGAGUGGAAAUAGUGGUUUUUAGGUUUGUAUGGUAGUGUGAUUUGUAGUGGAAUAGCCCCCUAUAGGGCUGAGCAGAACCGAACCGAAACCGAAAAACCGGACCGGACCGAAUAAUUUCGGUCCGGUUCGGUCCUAAUUUUCUGAAAAUUCGGUCCGUUCGGGUAUUUCGGUCCGGACCGAAAUAAAAUACGGUCCGGUCCGGUCCCCAUCGAAAAAUUUCGGUCCUGGACCGAAUGGACCGAACUUUUAUAUAUAAUAUAAAUAAUAUUUUUAUUUUAUAUUUUAAAUACCAUAUUAUAAUUAUACUAUCUAAUAUCUAUAGACUAUAUUCACCGUCGAGACUCUCUAUACCUAAUCUAAUCGAGCAUACGUAUACCUAAUCGAGCAUGACAGCAUGAGUUAGUUCCAUGAACAUGAGCAGCAGAGCAUCAGCGGACAAACAAAAUGAUGAAGAGUUGAAGACUAGUAGUAGCAGACUAUUUAUUUUAUUUUUGAACUAGCAGACUUGAGACUACUGUGGUGGUUUUUAAAAUUUAUAAACUUAUGACUAUUUUGGACUAUCUUUUUUCUCUUUUAUCAUGCUUGCUGAUUUUUUUUGUAAAUACAGAUUAAUUUUUUUUUAAUUCGGUUCUGGCGGACCGGACCGGACCGACCGAAUUAUUUCGGUUCGGUCCCGGUUCGGUCCAUAUGCAAACUUCGGUCCGGUCCGGUCCAGAAAAUUUUCAAAGUUCGGUCCUCGGUCCGUUCGGUCCGGUCCGGUUCUGGACCGAACCGACCGAAUGCUCAGCCCUAGCCCCCUAUAUAAUAUAGUUACCGAAUGAAAUUAUAAAGUUAGUGUGAUAUAAUUGAAUUAUAAUAUUGGUAUCUUUACUAGAGUUUCCUUCAAAAUAUCUUUCCUGCACAUUUGUCACUCUUUUGCUUGUCUUUUGAGAGCUGGAUAGUGAAGCUACUAUUCUUCAAAAAUUCCAGCUUAUUUUAAUGCUCUAUAAAUUGUAAGCAAUUUUAAAACUUCUAAAUAUGCAAUUUAGCGGCUGGUAACCCGUCCAAAUCGGCCCAAACCAACCCAACCUGAAGCAUGACAAAUUGGGUUGGGUUAUAAAAUAAUUUUAAUGGGUUGGGUUCGAAAAUUAGGAAACCAAUAUUAAUGGGUUAGGUCGAUAAAAAAUUUAAACCGGGCCAACCCGGCCCGCGUACACCUCUAGAUGGGUGGGUCAAGAAACGGACUACAAUGUAAUGGUAGUAAUCUUCAGAAAUGCAUAAAAAUAUACCUUCACUUUUUAAUUUUUAAAUUCAUUUUUAACUUUUUCUUCAUUCAACUUCUUUCAAAAAUUAAACUAAAAUAGUUUAUUUAACUUAAACUAGUCAUAAGAAAUAAAAACAAUUGCUAGAUGAUAACAGUCAAGUUGUUCAACAAUAAAAUAAUUACACAAAAUAAAAUUAAAUAUAAUAUUUGUUAUUUUAUAAGGCAAACAAUAAGUUAGGGUUCAUUUGUUUGCUGCUGAUUAGUGCUUAAUGAGUAAUGAGCUGACCGCGUCAGCAAUUCAGCUUGUUUGUCACUAAAUUUUAGGGAAGCAUAAUGAAUCUGUUCCUGUUGAGCGGCUCCGUUUUGAGUUUAUAACCCAAUGAUUCAGCACAGCGUUUACAUAUAACCCACAUGUAUAAAAAAAUUAGUCUAAUCUAUAACCAAUUAUUUUUGGAUAUUCAUAUUAAUUUAUGCUUGCAAUAAUAUUGUUAUACUUUAAAUAAGCUCAGAUAUCAAAAAAUUUAAGACGUAGAAUUCUGUAUAAAAUUUCUAAUUCUGAUAUGAUUUAUAAUAUUGUAAUAUCAAAUAUUAAUUUAUUGGAGUUAAUUUUUUUGGCUUAAAACUAAUUAAAAUACAAUGUUCUAUUUAAAUAUAAUAUUAUUAAAUUAUAGAAAUGUUUUAUGUUAAAUAAAAUUUUUUUUGAUAAGAUUAUUGUAAAUUGAAUUCAUUAUUUCAAAACCUAUUUGUCGAAUGAUAUUAUUCAUUUUGGGAUUCAGAUAACUUACCAGCUCAGCUCAUUCAGAUAGGAUAACGAAUCAGAUAUUUUUAAUUCAGAUUUUCCAAAUGACCCCUUAGAUCAUAGAAGAAGGGUUGAAUAUAAUCUACAAAAAUUCCAAACUAUUUUUGCUAAACCAAUAAUAUUCAAAACACAAGAGAUCAAAAUCUAAACAGAAAUUUAAAAGAAAAAGGAUAUUAAAAAUUUCAGGUGGAUUGUUUUCUCCACCUGAGAUAUUUUUAUAUUUAGAACCUCCCAAGUAAAAAAUUUACUUGGCUGCUUACAAAAGAAUGAAGAGCUAAAGCCUACAAUUUCUUUCUUGCUAUCUCUACUGCUUUGUUUUUCAGUUCUUGAUGUGUUGGAUACAUUGAAAUAAAAAUUACAAUGCAAAUAUAUACUACGGAAUGGCUAUCAUGUGCCCUUCGGACACAUGAUAAGUAGUAAUUAAUAUAGUCAACUACUUUUAUAUGUACAUAGUUAUCAGUGUAUUUGUACAGAAAAUCAUUCAAAAAUUCAUUAACUAUGAACUACUUUUAUAUUUACUCCCUCUGUUUUUUUUAUAUGACGCUUUGACUUUUGACACACACUUUUAAGUGCUUUGACCGGGUAGUUGAAAAUAUUAUUUUUUGAAUUUUUUUUUCUGAAUAAAAAUUUUGAGUAUAUAUUAUUAUUCAGAAAAAGAAAAUUUAAAAAAAUAAUAUUUUUAACUACCCAGUCAAAGCACUUAAAAGUGUGUGCCAAAAGUCAAAGCGUCAUAUAAAAAAAACAGAGGGAGUACAUAGUUAUCAGUAUAUAUUUAUUUUUAAUUUGUCUUCUAAAUUUUAUAUUUAUAAUAAAAUAUUAUUUUAUUUCAAAAAAUGUGAGAACGUAUAAUAAUUCUUUUGUCAUAUUUUAUAUGACAAUUUUUAAUUGUUUUCAUCCACAAAUAAUAACGAGGCUCCCCUACUCUUUUUCUAAUAGUUACAAAUAUAGAAUUUCUUUGACUUGAUAAUACUUUUGGCAGCUUGAAAUUCUUUUUUUCUUUGCUAGAAAUAGAAGGCUUCGAGGUUCUCAAUAUUUGACUAAACUCAUUUUGGUUUAGCUUCCAAAAGUGGUGCACCACCUUUCACAUCAACCCGUGUGACUUUUGUCCUUUACUUGAUUUGUAACUGUCAAUUGAUAGUCAUCAACUGCUAGAAAGUAUGUAGCCGAUGAUAGCUUCUUGAAUCAUCAAUUGAUAACUCUACUUGUUAGGCGUUGAUGGAUUGAUGCAGCUUUUGAUGAUGUACUUUAUUCAGCCGUUGAUGUCUUGACUAGCCAUUGAUCUUCACUUCACUUGUAAAGAUUACAUGAUUUCAAAUAUUUACAAUUAUGUCACCCUAUAUAUAGGGCUGAGCAAAACUGAAUCGGAACCGAAGAACCGAACUUAACUGUGAAAAUUCAGUCCGGUUCGGUUUUUUUUUCAGAAUUUCGAUCUUUUCGGUUUUUCGGUCCGGAUUGAAUUAAAUUUCGGUCCGGUCCUUUUGAAAAAAUUUUGGUUCCGGACCGAAUAGACCGAACUAUUUAUAUUAAUUAUUUAAUAUAUCAAAUAUAAUAUAUGUUAUAUGUUUUAGUUGUAACUUGCAAGCCACAGACACAGACUUCUCACUCCCAGUUCAGCCAGGAACGGUGCAUCAUUACAGAUUCAAAGUUAUUCACUAAAGAAAACAAACGUAGGAUAAACCAGCAGGCAACAGCUAUCCACCAACCCUCACGACCUUGGGCCACUGUACAGAUUCAGACACACAAUUAGCAGUACACUAGUCUCUAGGUCUGCAAGUAUAUUCUAAUGCACACUUGUACCAGGAAGUGAUUAACAGAAAUAGACUAACAAACUAAGCUUGUGAUUUUCAUAUUUUUGAUAAAAAAAUUCGGUUAUUAUGGAAAGAACCUAACCGAACCGGAAUAUUUCGGUUCGGUUUUGGUUCAGUCCAUAUGCUAAUUUUGGUCCGGUUUGGUCCGGGAAAAAUUUCAAACUCGGUUUUCGGUUCCUUCGGUUCGGUCACGAACCGACCGAAUGCUCAACCCUACCUAUAUAUACAUUCACUGAUAGAACAAUUGCUAUAUCAGUUGAUCACUAUAACAUGUAUCAACUGCUAGGAUACCUACAGUUUUGUUACAGUACCACAUCAGCCGUUGAUCAAUGGCUGCUACAAUAAGUAUGCUAGCCAUUGAUCAGCUACAUUAAAAAAUUACUAAGUACAAAAACUAAGUGUUUUGUAUCAUUAAGUAUAACAUAUUCCUAACAAUCUCCCCCUAUAUAUAUUUGGUGGAAAUUCAGAUAUAAAUUAUGGGUACUUGAUAAUAACAAAACACUAUACAAAGAAAAUUACAAAGAAGAAUCAUUGAGUUGAAGAAUAUGUAAGAUUGUCAGUAUGUAAAAUACAAGAGUUAAAGAGAAUACAGUACAGAUGAAGUGCUCCUCUAGACGGAGCAAAUUAGAGUCAUUUCUUUUCUCUUGCUUUGUCUUCACUCCUUUUGUUGAACCUCUCUUCCCUUGCUUUUCCAACUUAAUAUGAUCUCUCUUUGCCGAGCUGCAAUAAAGUCAGCUUCUUCAGAAAUCUUUUGAUUGAGUAGUUUCUUCAUGUGCCUAUGAGUAUCAAUAUCGCCUUCUUAGCAUAGUCCUCCAGCCUAAAAAAUCUUUUGAUUCUUUGUUUAUCCCUAAAAGUUAUCAGCUUAGAAGGUUGAUCAUGAACAACUUUGCCAAUAUUAGGGAUGGACAAUCUCAAUGGUAGGCCUGUAGGAUUACUCCAUCUUCUUUGAAUAAUGCUUCACACCACUUGCAAAUCCGCUUCUUGUAUCCAUCUUCAUAUAGAUAGUCUUGAGAGCAUAGUAAUCUUGAUCAAGUAUUCUUUAUAAUGGCUAAGUGAUCUUGGGUACAGCUUUGUAGAUGAAUUCCAACCUUUCAGGAUAUUUGUGAGUUGCUGCCAAAGCCCUUACUUUCUCAAAUUCAUUUAGAUAUAGCUUAAUGUGAGGCUGUUCACUAAGAUAAAUGACAUAAGAAAAAUUUGUCUUGGGAACUUUGACAAUCUCAGACACAGGUGGAAUUACAACUUCUCUAGAUGGAGAUUUUACUUUAACUGGCCCAACUGGAUCAAAUCUCUUAAGAUUACCUUGUUUCUUCUCAAUUUGCACAGGCUUAGAGAUUUUUCUUCUUAAAAAAGAUUUACCUUUCUUAGAUCCAAGAGAAUCAGCCUUCUCAUCUUCUUUGGAGAUAAAGAUUUUCUCAUCUUCUUUGGAGAAAAAUUAAGAGAAGGACGUGAAAAUUAUACCUUAAUAGAAGUUGUUUAUGUUCAAGAUCUUGGCUAGUUUUAUGUUUGGAAGAUUUUUAUGUCGUCGUAGCGGAUGUUGAAGAUUCUGCCAUGUAUAAUUUUUUUGGUUGAUUUGUAUUUGUAUGACGGGGUUUUUGUAACAAUCGUUAAAUUUCACAAGUACGUAAAAUAUAGUUAUUUAAUUAUUUACCGUGUAAAAAAAUAUAUAUUUUAUUAGUCUCGGAUUUAAUAAAAAUUUAUAGUGCGAGAAGUCUAUAUCAAAAUAGUGUAGCCACGAAAAGGCUAGAAGACACGUAAUAUUAUUUGGUAUGGAUCAGUCUUUUAAUCUAAAUAUAUACGUUAACCAGAAAGCUGCGUUUAUACAAAAAAUAGAAUAGACACGAAUAUUUAUUUAUUGACCGACUCAUAAAUAAAUAUUGCGUCUUGGUCGAGAUGAUUAUUUUAUUCUUAUUAUUUUAUAAUUUUGGGGUUGGCCAGAAAAUAUUAAAAUAAUUAGUAAUAUAUUUAUUUAAGUAUUUUGUAUGAUUUUGAAUUGUUUAAUAUUCACGUUUAAUUAAAAACUGAAACGAAAAUAAUCCGAGCGGGAUCGAGUAAAUUAAUAAUUAAAAGUUUCUUGGGGCGUAAGAAAAAAAACUUCUAGCCCAAGUCUUUUUCCUUGGCGCCCAAGUAAGCUAAUAAUUAGGAAUAAAUUAAGAGUGGAUUAGUGAGAUAAUUACAAUUAAAAAUUUAGUAUAAAAGCGACAAGCCAAGACACCUACAUUUUCAGUGGUGCAAAAAUUAUAGAGUUUUUUUUUUUUUGAAACGCAAGAACUUUUAUUGAUAACCAAUCUCCAACAAGAGAAAGGUGGGAACAGUACACUAAGGUUGAAACUGAGACUUCCUAGGUCUGCACAUUGGCUAAACAUCCGAAACUGAAAUUAGAACUGAAACUACCGGAACUGAAACUAGAACUGAAGUACUAUCCUAACUUUAUUAGGCUACAACAUAUAACUACAGUUGUAGCUUGCUCUAAUAUUACUAGUGCCCACAAGCAAGCAUUUUCUUAGUCAAUAUCCUCCAUGGGAGGGACACCUUGAGAUGUUGUAAUUCACCAGAGAUCUCAUGAUGGAAGAUCUUCAUCUACAUGCAUUGGCCCAAGGAGUUGACCUGAUUCUUUAAUGCUCACACCAGCCUGCAAUCAUUUUCCUCCUGCGAGCUCCAUCUUUGGAGAAUUGAUCUGCCAGGACAUUUAAAUGCCUAGGAAUAUAAAGAAGGGUGACUUUGUGGACAAAAAUAUUAUUAUGCAGUUCCUGUAAAUGUGUAUCCCAGUAAACUCCCCGUUUGAACUUCAGGAAAUUAUUUACCAAAGUAGUUGAAUCAGUAAGGAUAAUACAGGAGCGAAUACCCAGACAAUUAUGCUGUAAAUGGUCCAUCAUGAUCACUAAAGCUUUAACUUCUGCGUCAUAAUUAGACUGAACUUCCACAGGGCCUGAAAAAACUAACUUGCAUAAUCUUUUAUUAUUUAUUAUCACUCCUCCCACACCAGCCAGUAUAUUUCCGUCAAGCCUUUAAUUGAAACGAUCCAUCAAUAAAGCCCGCAUAUUGAUAGAUGGACAACCAGUUUGUGAGCCAGGAAUUCAGAUUUUUCCGAGAAUAUAUGUGGACUGAAUGGGCUGGAGAUAUCGCCCAGCUGCUCAUCAAACUCUGAGAGAUUAACUUCGCUGCACGGGCCCAUAAGAAUGCUCUGUAUUUAAUUGCUAGUUCCAGACUUUUAGGUGAAAUUCUGAAACCCCUAAAAAUUAAUUCGUUGCGAGCAAUCCAUAUUGACCAGAACAUAGAGGCUAAACAUAUGCUUCCACUUACAUGUUUGUAGAGAACGCGUAUCCGUUGGAAACUCCCUGAGAAACUUGUGACUCCAUCCUGCCAACUGCUUACUUCGAGCCAUUUGUUUAAACAUUCCCACCCCAUCUUAGCCAACGAACACUGAAAAAAUAAGUGUGCUUGUGUUUCUUCCUCAGCAUUGCACCACUUACAUAAAUUCUCAAAUCUGACUGAUCUACGCUUUAGAAGGUCGUAAGUGGGAAGUCUAUUGUGUUCUGCUUGCCAUAAGAAAACCUUAAUACGUGGAGGUCAUACACCAGAUUUGAGACCAUGAUCUAUUGUUAUGUGAAAAUUCCGUUAACCUUUGAUAAACUGCAGCUGAAGUUAGAGAAUUAUUGUUUGCAACCCAUAUUAUUCUGUCUUCCUUGUCUUGCAGGACCACCUCGUUGACAAUUUGCUUGAGAUAUUCUAGCUGACUGAUUUCUUCACGGGAAGACAAAGAACUAACAUCUAUUAUUUCUUCCCAGGAAGAACAAUUGACUAUUUGGGAGACAGACAGUGAUGGAUCUCUAAGUCGCGUAAAUAGCAAAUUCAACCGCCCUUUAAGAACACCCUGUCGAUGCCAGUUAUCAAGCCAAAAUUCUAUUGUUACACCAUUACCUAAUUCCCACUUGAUAUUUUGCCAGGAACAGCAGCUGCUAAAACAUGCGUCAGAAAUCAUGAUCACACUCUUAAUAACUGGAGAGGCAUUAAUUUUUAAUUUAUUUUUCCAAGCCUCGCGCAAAGUGUUGAGACAGUCAGCCCCAUAUUUUCCUACCAGAAUUUUCCUCCAUAAACCAUUUUUCUCUUUGUAGAAUCUCCACCACCAUUUUGCCAAUAAUGCCUCAUUUUUAGUAUCUAAAAAUCCUAUUCCUAAACCCCCUUCCUUCUUAGGUUGACAGAUAGUGGACCAUCCAAUCAAAUGCAUCUUCCUGCAGUGAUUAUCUCGCUCAUCUAAUUCUUUCCAGAAAAAACCUCUCCUUAUUUUGUCUAUUGCAUCAUUGAUUUCUUUGGAGGUUUUGAAGACACUAAACCAAUAUAUUGGCAAAUUGUUCAGUGUUGAUUUAAUCAACGUAGCUCGGCCUGCCUUAUUAAGAAUAUGACUCUUCCAAGAGCUUAACCUGGUCUUGACCUUAGUUAGGAUAGGUUUCCAAAAGGUCCGUCUUUUCGGAGAAACUCCCACUUGGAAGCCAACAUAUGGGAAUGGCCAUGAACCACUUUGACAACCUAAAAUCUGCGCACAUUGUUUUACCAAGUCUGAGCCUGGUUCAUGUGCAUAGAGUACGCUUUUUCUAAAAUUAAUUUUUAGACCUGAUAAUAUUUGAAACAGGAGUAAUAUUAACUUCACACCCUGGCAAUCCAAAAUUGAGUUCUCGGAAAAAAGAAUUGUAUCAUCUGCAUACUGGACAUGCGAGAUAGGAGGACUACUUCCCAAAAUCAGCCCCUUAAAAAAACCAAGCUCCAUUGCUUUGUCUAAUAGUAAAUGAAGAAGGUCUGCUACCAAAUUAAAGAGCAUAGGUGACAUAGGGUCACCCUGUCGUAACCCUCUAGACAUUCCAAAUUCGCGUGUUGGGCUACCAUUAACUAAAAUUGACAUCCGAGUACUUUCCAAAAUUACUUUGAUCCAUUGAAUCCACUUAUUUCCAAAUCCGAAUGCAUUAAGGGCUUUGAAGAGAAAAUUCCAGUUAACCGAAUCAAACGCUUUCUCGAAAUCUAAUUUCAAAAUGAAGCCUUUGACUCGUUUCGAUUGCACACUAUGCACCACUUCCUGAGUAACUAGGAAACUGUCUGUGAUAUUACGGCUUUUGAUAAAUCCAGACUGGACCUCUGAUACUAAAGAUGGGAUGUGUUGUCCUAGACGUAACGAGAGUGCCUUUAAUAGUAUCUUUAACACACAGUUUAUCAAGCUUAUUGGACGGAAGUCGCACACUGAAGUUGGAGUCUCUUUUUUGGGAAUUAAGCAAAUAAAUGAGGAAUUGAGGCCAUUAGGAAGCUUACCUUGAUAACAAAACUCCUGGACCAUUUUCAGGACAUCCGGAUGAAUGCUUGUCCACAUCUUUUUAAGGUACUCAACAGAGAUACCAUCAGGUCCUGGAGAUUUGUUAGAGUCCAUGCUCAUCAAGGCUCCAAAUAAUUCUUCAAGAGUAAAUUCUCGCUCCAACUGGAGCGUCUCAUCUGCACUUAAUUGUUUAGUUAUAAGCCCUUGUAUGUCAAAAUUGAUUUCAGGCUGCUCUCUGUUGAAAAAACCUUCAAAAUGAUCCAGAAAUAGAUUCUUAAUUUGAUCCGGUCUGUGAUACCAUAUUCCAUCGUGCAAAAUUCCACGAAUGUGAUUUUGCUUUCUUCUAUACUGAACCAAUCUGUGAAAGUACUUCGAGUUGCUAUCUCCAUGUAACUCCCAGUUAAGUUUGGCUUGCUGACGUAGAAUCUGUUCUUGCUCGCGAUAUAACUCCCAAAGUUGCUCUUCUGUUGCCUGCAAUUCUGGCUCACUAUCUGAUUUUCCCAACAAUGUAUUUCUUCGAUUUUCAAGACGUGAAAUGACAUCUGAGGGUUUUUCAUUAACCCUGUACCAUUCUUUAAUAGUCCAACGAAGAGAUUUUAGUUUUCCGUGCAAGUUUAAGUUGGACUCUGACAUCCGACCCCAAUGAUCUGUAACCAUCUUAAGAAAAUCAUCUUUUGCCAACCAAGCAUUGUAUACCUUGAAAGGUUUAUAUCCCCAAUCCAUACGGCCUUGACUGAGUAAAAUUGCAGCGUGAUCUGAGCUCAUCUUUCCUUGAGACUCUAACAACCAUUCUCCUUUCUCUUCCCAUACAUGAUUAAUAAUGGCCCGGUCCAGUCUGCUGCAUUUACUACCUGGUCCAAACCAAGUAUACUCUCCCUUGUGGAUUGGAACGUCCCAUAGGCCGGCCCUUGCUAGAAAUUCCUUCAGCUCCUCUGUAUCAGACUUUCUAUACUGACAAUUGUAUCUAUCUUGUUUAGAUAGAAUACAAUUAAAGUCUCCAAUUAUGCAUAUAGGUAAUGAAGAAAAACGAUCAAGCAGCAAAUUUAAAUUUUGCCACACUUGUCUUCUACGCUUUCUUUUAUGGGGCAUAUAAAGAUUUACACAACAAAAUUCUUCAUGAGGUUGUGACUUGAGCGAUCCGUGAAACCAAAUCCAGUUUUGAUCACUGUAUUGACUAAUUUUCGUCAUCAUGGUUGCAUCCCACGAUAUAGCUAAUCCCCCCGAUAAGCCUUGCGAAUUCACUGUGAUCCAUUCAUGCAACUUGCUGUCCCAAAUGGCUUCUUUUUGAAAUACUGUCCAAUUAUCACAUUUCGUCUCUUGUAAACAUAAUAUAUUUGCUUGCGUUGACCUGCUUAUUUGUCUGACUUUCCGCCUAGUAAGCGAAUUAUUUAUACCUCUACAAUUCCAACUAAUAAUUCGGAUGUGAUUCAUUGAUAACCUUAAGAUAUCUGAAAAGAAUGGAACUAAGAUUCUAGUACCAUUUUCUGAAUUUUUUCAUAUGCUUGUUGCCUGUCCUCUUGGAGAACCAGUCCCAUCAUUUCAGCUGUCUCUAGGAUUUGAGAUGUCAUGUCCUUCCCACUUUCCAACAGCUGGACUCCUCCUGGUUUAUGUGAAGGCUCCUGGGCCAUCUUUCUUUUCCCACGUUUGUCGGGACUUUUAAAUGCCUUAACCAAUUUAUCUGACUGAACUUUGGUGUUCUUCCUUUUUCGCUUCUUGAAACUCUUAAUAUCGAACACAUUUCUGAACUCUACCUUUUUCCUUGGUCGUCCUACUUUCUUGCCUAAAUUGACUUGAGACAUGCUUGUUACAAAUUGAGUAUCAAGUUGUUCCUGCGGGCCAAAAAAAUAUAUUUCAUCUCCACGUACCUCUUCUACUUCUGCAAGAUCAUAUGCUUUAUUCAUACAUGCAGAAAACAGGCCAUCCUGCCUCUUAGAGGAGUCCGAAGAGGAGUUGUCAGCUGGUUCUCGCAAGUUCCAUUUACCAUACUCCCAUUGGUCUAAGUGUAAGAUAUGAUCUCGGGCUGACAAAUCAUUGCUCUGGCUCUUUGGACGUCGAUUAUCUUGCAUGUCAAGGAUGUAACUUGAUUGUUCCUCAGGGUGAAAACUAUUCUCUAUACUUUGAUUACUACUUCUGGAGACCUCUUUCUCCGACUCUGGAAGUUGUGAUGAGGUCUGAGAAGCAGACUCUGGCUCUUUAUGUCGCUGUCCUAAAUCAUGCCCCCACACCACAAUAUUUGUUUCUUUUAUCUUCACCCAGUAGCCUAAACCCCUCACCAUUACUUUGAGGGUUUCCUCAAUUGGUAUAACCUUCCAUGUUGUAAUACAAACCAUUCUGUUAUGCUUGUUGAACAUCUCCAUAUUUUCCGGAAAUGUAGAGACUAGCGAACCCCAAUCUCCCAAUAUGAGCUCCCAUGUUUCCUUGUUCCAUGCAGAUAAUGGUAAUCCAUCGCACAGAAUCCAUGUAGUUCUAGGAAGAACUAAAUCAGAGUCCUCCACCUUUUUGAAACUCGUGAACAUGUCCUUAAUGCCAUCUAUUUCUAGGUCUUUGUCCUCGUCUAGAAUAUACGAGAUUAAAAAGGUCUUGUCUGACAGGUGUCUGACUUGAAUAAAAGUGAACCCUCUGUUUAGGAUUUUCUCUUGUAGCACAUCCUCUUGUACAGUUUCUGCUGUUGUUCCAAUGAAGCUUCUAUUAAGAAGCUUGCUGCAAUUAGGUGUGAUCGUGCCCUGGACCGUGCGGAAACUUGGUUGCUUGACCAAAUCAACCUUUUCUUUAUCAAUGUUGGGUACCCUAUUUGAUUUGACCUCCUUGACGUAGUGCUUGUUUUGGGAUAGUUUCCCAUCGACGCUUUCGAGUUCCUGCCUGCCUGACCAUUUCCAAGUUGGAGAUGCUUGGACUCGUCGAUGGGAGUCUCGAGCCAAGUACACAACCAACUUGUUGCUCCCCAUCCAUCUUCCAUUAAAAUCUGUAAUUAACUCCUGGGCUUCACUCAGCUUCGCCACUAUUAAAAAACCAAAUCUUUUGUUAAACUUGUCCUUCUUCCGAGGAAGGACAUUUUUUUUGAUGUAUCGCUUGCCAUUGAAGCGAAGCCACAUCUCUCUAAUGUUUGUGUGCUCUGGCAGAUUAUUUAUCAUCACCGACAAACAUCCAUUCCUAGUGAUCUUCUGUUUGAUGGGAUCUUCUGAGCAGGGUUCCUUUCUCCUUGCCGGUACAGAACCUGUUAGUACCUGUGCGUAUGUUUGCUCGCGUCCAUAGUCUCCAUAAGCUGUAUGUUGUUGGCCUGAUGUAGCACCGUUGUCAGGUACAAUGACUCGUUUUCCGGUAGUCGGAUGACGGGAGAUCCGGAACCACUGACCUUCCCUGGAGUUUCGAUCAUCUCCUGGUUGUUCAUUUGAAAUUUUGAAAUUUGAAUUUCUAAACUCACUUUUCUCUCUCCUCAUAUUCUCUUUUUAAGACGUGUUUUUGGUGGACAAAAAGUUAACAAACGUUAACGUCAAUACUAGUAAUUACCUAGUCAAUACUCUGUUCUAAAAGUCGGUAAAAAAUUAUAGAGUUGGAAAAGCAGAGAAGUAAAGUAAGUAUCAGUAAAAUUGGAAAGGAAGGUGAUUUUUCGUCGCAAAAUCCGGAUUAACAAGGUAAAUAUACUAAUUUUUUCCAUUAAUAUGAAAUCAAGUCUCUUUAUAGCUUUUGAUGGUGAAAUGACUGAAAUCCUAUUCAUGUGGACCCAUCCUCCUAUUUUAUUCUCUUUUACACUACUGAGUUUAUAAACAAAUUAGUAACCUUAUAAACAAUAACUAGCAUUAAAGCCCCGUGCUUGCACGGGGCUGUGGUUUAUAUUGUAUUUUAUUUUUGACAAAAUAAAGAAUAUGAAAAUGUAAAUUUGCAACCUAUAACAUUAUUAUUAAUAAUAAUAAUAACGAUAAUAAUAAUAAUAAUGAUAAUAAUAAUAAUAAUAAUAAUAAUAAUAAUAAUAAUAAUAAUAAUAAUAAAUACUACAUUUUUGAGAAAUUUAUGCAUCAAAAACUAUAUUUAAAUUGACCUUUUUAUAUUCAAAUUCGUUAGGAUAUAAAGGUUAUUAUCAUAUUACUUAAAUGUUCAAAAUUAUAUUCGAAAUGAAUACUGAAACUUUUAGAUUUUAAAUAUAUUAAUAUGAUUUUGAUAAAAAUUUGUUCUUGAUAUGUGAAUUACGAUAUCUUAAAUCGUGAUCAGAUAAAGAUGUGUGGCAUGUGUUGUUUUAUAUUUCUUCCUUUCAUUUUUGAGCAUAGAUUUGACGUCAUUCCUAAGUGAUGUAUGAUGAGGCAGAUCAUCAACACAAUCUUUCUUAGCAUUUGUUAUGCACACUUUGGAUAAAUAGAAAUCGUAACAUAUAUGUUGUAUGUAAAAGACCCAUACAUUAUUUCAUCAUAAAAGUAUCAAUUGAACUACUAACCUUAUAAUUGUACCCAAAAAAAUUAUGACACCCAUGAUGUGGUUUGCCCUUUUAAUUUUCUUAUCAACUAUAUAGUACUUCCAUGGCUUAGAUUUCAUUGCUAAUUUAAAAUAUUAGAAGAUUAUUACAUUGAUAUAGUAUGUUAUAACAUCGACUCGUUAUAAAAUUUUAAUUUUUUAUCAUUAGUUUUCUAAGCCAGAUGAGUAAGACUUUUAAUUAAUUUUCAUUUUAUUGUUAUAAACCAGAUCUCAAACAAAUAAUUUUCUGGUAUUUCAAAUGAAAAAAAAAGAGUAGAUAUGACUUAUGCCUCCUGAAGUUCGUAAAGACAUGAAAUAUUGAGCCCCAUUAGUUGUGUAGUUAUUUUUUUAGCUUUGUGCGAAGUCACAUUCUUAAAUAUUUUGAUACUCGUAUUUAUUAGUGGUAAGCAAAACAGUAUAUCAUGUUUAGUUGUUAAUGAUCAGACUUAAUAAUCUAUAUUGUGGAUUCUAGAAAAGUAUUCUGGUUCCAGUUCCGACUAAACAGAUAUUUUUUUUAACCUAAUCACGUCAGAUUAUCUAGUUCCAAAUUAGUUAAUAUUUUUUAGUUUAAUUUGUAAGUCGUUAAUCAAUUUAAUUGUAUUUUCUCAUUAUAUUUAAUUUUAUAAAUUAUGUAUUGAUUACUGGUACACUAAGAUAAAAUAACUUAUUCCUCAAUUUUUUAUUUUAUUUUAGCCAGAUAAAAUUACAAUUCAAUUGUUUUUACUAAGUCUCAUAACGCAUUUUGCUAUUAUCUAGUUUUUUUUUUUUUUACAAUAUAAAAUUUUCCCGAAUUUACAUGUAUUCACAAGUUAUGAUAUUUUAAAUCCAUGUAUCAUCAACAUUAUAUCAUUUAGAUAUACUUUUUAAUAAAAUAAAAAUGGAUCGAAUUCGGAUUAGCGAGUGCAUAAGCAGUUGUGAUCAGGAUCGGAUUCAGAUUUAUUGAUAAAAUCCCGAAUGAAGGUCCAGUUUGACAAUUUUUAUGUUAACCCCUAGUUUUUGGGCAUGUUCCUCGCAUUCAUUAUAUAAAAAUUUUCUGGGUGACCUUUAUCUAGAUUGUAAUAUUGUUAAAAAUAUUUUUCUGAAUCUGCAGUCUAUUUGUUAGAAAUUGCAUAUGAGAAAUAAUAUAUUGUAUAAGCAAGUAUGUGAUAUGAUAGUAUAGUGAAAAAAAUUAUUCGUUAAAAUAUUAUGAGCUCAUAAUAGAGAUUUUUUUAAAAAAACAUUUGUCACAAUAUCGUGAUGUGUAUUUUCUUCUAAAUUUUUAAAUUAAUAAAUAUGUAAAUUAGAUUCGUCUCUUACAGUAAUUGACAUUGGAUCCUGCCUUAGAGCUCUUUUCAGUGAAUGUGAUGCACACCCUUAAAAUUAUUUUUAUUUUAUUUAAUUUUAGGAUAUACAUAAAUAUAGAAAUACUUCAAAUAUGUUUGAUCAAAUAUUAAUGUUGUAAGAUCAAUCUUGAUACUCGUUUAAACUAUUAAGUUAGAUUUGAAUUCGUUCAUUUUUAUUCGAAUAUAAAUUAUAUCUACUUUUAGCAAUCUAAAUCAUGGUUCGAGCAACAUUAUUCAUAUUCAUUUUUAAUUUUAAAUUCACUUACAUAAAUAAUUAAUUAACAUAUAUUAAUCUAUCUUGUAAACAAUAUAUGAAACUUGGGUGAAAUAACAACUUAUCUCAGAUAAAUAAGAUAUUGAAUAGAAUAUAAAUACAACAAUUUUAAUGUAUGUGCUUAAUGCAUUUCAAUAAAAACACAAAAUGCUAGUGUAGUUCAAGUGGUUUGGAUUGUUUAUAUAUAUUUGAGAGGUCUUGGGUUCGAGUCUUAAAAACAACAUUUUUUUUAAUAUGUGAGGAGGAGUUAGGUUCGGAGUUAGGCUCAGGUUCGGAGCUAGGUAAUUUAUUUGCUCAGGAGGGAGGUUUGACAAGUACCUAUUCUGCUAUAAUAUAUAUACUAGCGUAGAAGCCCGUGCGAGGCACGGGCCCAUUAUUUUUAAAUUAUAUUUCAUAUCGUUUAUUUUUAUUAAUAGCUUAGUUUGAACUUUUAUAAUAUAUUAAUUUUAUUAAAUUUUUAAAUAUAGUUCUCUUUAAAAAAAUAAAAAACUAAUAAUAUCCAUGAAAACUGAUUCCGCACACCAAACAAAUUUUCAUAUAACUCGAAUUAGCCCAAUAUAUUUCGCACGUGAAAGAUGUUUAUACAACUAUUUUUCAGUGUGUUAUUCAAUCAAAACACGGUUGAACGUGUCUAUAGAUGAUAGAAAUUAUAGGAAUGAUUCGCAUGAAUCAUACAAUUGACCAAUGAAAUGGUAGGAUAAUUAAAAUUGAUUUAAUAUGUUCAUGUGCUAUGAUCAUCAAAAGAGAUAAGAUCGAAUAUCGAGGGACAUGCACAUAUAAAAACAUAUUUAUAUGACUCAGUUCAUAUACUAAAGAUACACAUAAUACUUAUUAUCUCUCCCUCCCUCUCUCUUUUUCUCUUUCUUUCUCUCCUACUCCUAUCUUACUUUGAUAAAUUUUUAUGUAUUUAUAUAUCUUACCCAUCAGUGUAUUUUACAAAUUAUACACCAAUUAUCAGUUAAUGAUACAUUGAUUAUUACUCGAUCAAUAGAUUAUCAAUCACUCUAUUGUUACCUUAUUACAGGAGUUUAUCGAUAUUUAACAAAUUGAUCUAUUUUUUUCGUAUUUUAUAUGUGAUAAUUUAUUUAAUAGUCAUCAGUUAAGUAUAUUGUCUAAAAUUUGACCGAGUUGAUCCGUGACUCAGUCGAGCACCUGCGCUCCAAGUUAGAUAUAUUAGUUGGAUGAUAACUCACUUUUGAGCUUAACUCCAAUAAAUCUCGACAUAACUCUAGUCAAAAUUGGAACAACUUGGAAUAUACAUUAAACAACCGAAAAAUGAAAAAUAGGUUAAGAAAAGGAAAAGAUCCAACAUAAUAACCUAAUUAUUUAACACUUUUAAAUAGGGGUGUUCACCGACCCGCACAAACCGCACAAACCGCCCACCCCGCACCGCUCCGCACGGUUUAAAUUUCACGUGGUGCGGUCGUGGUUUGAAUUUUAUCAAACCGCGCGGUGUGGUGCGGUUUGUGGUUUGACAUUUUAUUCUCGCGGUUCAAACCGCACCGCACCGCAUAUUAUUAAAUAUUAUAUAUAUGAGUAUAUAUAUAUUUAUAUAUAUAAUUAUUUAUUUAUUUAUAAUUGUAAUAUAUAUAAUAAUAUUAGUAAGUUUUGGACCAGCCCAUUCCUAUUAUGAAUUGGGCAGUUGCUCAUUAACCUAAUCUUAAGUGUAGUCAAUGGUCAGUACUGUACAUAUAUAUAGAUCUAUUUAUUGAUAUAUAAAAUACGUAAACCGCCCGCCCCGCACCACACCGCACCGCUUUUUUGCGGUGUGGUUUGUGUGGUUUGAAUGCUUCGCGGUGUGGGUGUGGUUUGUAAAAAUGGUCAAACCGCAUAUGCGGGUUGGUUUGUAGUUUUAUGAAAAAUCCGCACCGCCCGCACCGCGAACACCCCUACUUUUAAAAUUUUAUAUAGUAUUAUAACAUUAACUACAAUUUAUAAUAUAAUACACAUGUAUUCUUUAAUUUCUAAAAUCAAUUUACAAAUACAUCCAGAAUUUUUAACUAAGUACUUCUCUGCUUACCAAGUCAAAUCGAAAUUCGAUUUUCAAAAUAUUAGUUAGUAUUCAAUUGACUUGCCAUUUUAACGUUAGGACUUCAUUAAACACCAUCACCGAAAAUAAUUUUUGGAUCACAAAACAUACGUCUAUAUUUUCUGUACUCCUACUGUUUGAACGUAAGAUGUAUCAAAUGUUCGAUUUUUUAUAAAAUUUAAUGAUAACAAAUUAAUGUAAAAUUUCACUUUAACAAAUAUGGUGGUAAACUAUUAUACAUACAUGUAACUAAAAACAUGAUUAUUAAAAAAAAAUCACUCCGCAAAUAAGUAUGAAAAGUGAUUAUUAUUACAUCUAAACUAACACCAAGUUAAACCGAAAAUAAUUUGAGGUAUCCGCACAUGUAACAAAAAUUAUAAUUUUUUAUAUAAAAUAGGAUUGAAGAGAUCUUAAUUUAGUACCAUGAUUGUAGAGUUUACAUGAGGUUUAAUUAAAUGUCCCAAGUUAAUCUUAAAUUAAAUCGUAAAUAAUUUGAGAUAUCCGCAUAUGUAAAAAAGUUUGAUAACUUUUUCUUAAUAAAGUGGGGAUUAAAAAAAUUUCAGUUUAGUAUUAUAAUUGGAAAAUUUUCAUGAGAUUUAACUAAAUGUCCCAAGUUCAAUUCACUUAAAUUUAUUUUGCAUAAAUUAACCAACUACAUUAGAAUUUAAUAUUUUAAUUAUUUUAUAAUGAGUGGUCAUAAAUAAGUGAUAAGUGUGAUUAAAAUAGCAAUUACUAUGUAAGUACAUUAAUUACUAAUACUUAAUAUUUUAAAUGUAAUAAAUGAGCUAUUUAAUGGUAAUUUUGUAAUUACUUGUAAUAUAAGGGUAUAAUGGANAUAUAUAUAUAUAUAUAUAUAUAUAUAUAUAUAUAUAUAUAUAUAUAUAUAUAUAUAUAUAUAUAUAUAUAUAUAUAUAUAUAAAGGAGGAUGCAGACGUCUCUGGAAUUACUCGAUUCAGUCUUCUAAUUUUUCUUAAAUUUCGGAGAGAAAAUCAAUAUACUUAUAUAAAGGAGAAGCGAGGGGCGUGUAGGUGGCGCCUCUCACAUCACUCCAUUCUAUUUUUCUAAUUUUCUAGAAUUUUUGAAUAAAAAAUAUCAAAAAUUAGAACUAUCUUUUUAAGUUUCGGGUAUAUUAGAAGCAAGUUUCAGAAUCUGAUUUUGUUACAGAUUAUUUAUGGAAUAUAGUAGUUUGAAAGUUUUAAUCUGAUUUUGUUUCAGAUUAUUUAAUUAUGGGAAAUAGCACACAAGUCUCUCUGCACCUAUAAAUACCCCUAUAGAUUGUAGGUUUUAGAUCAUCUAAACACAACCUCCUCUCUUUCAAUACCACAACCCUACCUCUAGGGAUGGGUAUUCACCCCGCCCCGCUCGAUCCCGAUCCGAUUCCCGCCCCGUUCGGGUCGGGGAUUUGGGGAAUUUUUCGGGGUCGGGGCGGGGAUCGGAGAAAGUUUUAUAAAAAAUUCGGGGAUCGGGGCGGGGGCGGGGAUUUGUGUAUNGGAAUAUACAUUAAACAACCGAAAAAUGAAAAAUAGGUUAAGAAAAGAAAAAGAUCCAACAUAAUAACCUAAUUAUUUAACACUUUUAAAUAGGGGUGUUCACCGACCCGCACAAACCGCACAAACCGCCCGCCCCGCACCGCUCCGCACGGUUUAAAUUUCACGUGGUGCGGUCGUGGUUUGAAUUUUAUCAAACCGCGCGGUGUGGUGCGGUUUGUGGUUUGACAUUUUAUUCUCGCGGUUCAAACCGCACCGCACCGCAUAUUAUUAAAUAUUAUAUAUAUGAGUAUAUAUAUAUUUAUAUAUAUAAUUAUUUAUUUAUUUAUAAUUGUAAUAUAUAUAAUAAUAUUAGUAAGUUUUGGACCAGCCCAUUCCUAUUAUGAAUUGGGCAGUUGCUCAUUAACCUAAUCUUAAGUGUAGUCAAUGGUCAGUACUGUACAUAUAUAUAGAUCUAUUUAUUGAUAUAUAAAAUACGUAAACCGCCCGCCCCGCACCACACCGCACCGCUUUUUUGCGGUGUGGUUUGUGUGGUUUGAAUGCUUCGCGGUGUGGGUGUGGUUUGUAAAAAUGGUCAAACCGCAUAUGCGGGUUGGUUUGUAGUUUUAUGAAAAAUCCGCACCGCCCGCACCGCGAACACCCCUACUUUUAAAAUUUUAUAUAGUAUUAUAACAUUAACUACAAUUUAUAAUAUAAUACACAUGUAUUCUUUAAUUUCUAAAAUCAAUUUACAAAUACAUCCAGAAUUUUUAACUAAGUACUUCUCUGCUUACCAAGUCAAAUCGAAAUUCGAUUUUCAAAAUAUUAGUUAGUAUUCAAUUGACUUGCCAUUUUAACGUUAGGACUUCAUUAAACACCAUCACCGAAAAUAAUUUUUGGAUCACAAAACAUACGUCUAUAUUUUCUGUACUCCUACUGUUUGAACGUAAGAUGUAUCAAAUGUUCGAUUUUUUAUAAAAUUUAAUGAUAACAAAUUAAUGUAAAAUUUCACUUUAACAAAUAUGGUGGUAAACUAUUAUACAUACAUGUAACUAAAAACAUGAUUAUUAAAAAAAAAUCACUCCGCAAAUAAGUAUGAAAAGUGAUUAUUAUUACAUCUAAACUAACACCAAGUUAAACCGAAAAUAAUUUGAGGUAUCCGCACAUGUAACAAAAAUUAUAAUUUUUUAUAUAAAAUAGGAUUGAAGAGAUCUUAAUUUAGUACCAUGAUUGUAGAGUUUACAUGAGGUUUAAUUAAAUGUCCCAAGUUAAUCUUAAAUUAAAUCGUAAAUAAUUUGAGAUAUCCGCAUAUGUAAAAAAGUUUGAUAACUUUUUCUUAAUAAAGUGGGGAUUAAAAAAAUNCCGACCCCGAUUAUAUAUAUAUAAAUAAUAAUAUAUUUAUAUAUAUUAUACUAAAUAUAUUAUUAAAAAUAGAUAACCUUUAUAAUAUAAUUAAAAAAUAAUCUUUAUUUUUAUUGAUUGAUUAUCAAUAUAUUGUAAUAUAAUAUAUUUUAUAAUUUUAAAUUGUCGUUAUUUAUAUUAUAAAUCAAUUUUAAUAUGAUUUAAUGUUGAAAAUAUAAGAUAAUAUUAUUUUAUUAGUAUAUUAGGAGUUAGUAGUUUGUUUUUUUAAUUAAAAAGUAUAAUACAUAUAUUAUAAAGUUAUUAUGUUUUUAUUAAAAAAUAAAAUUCCCCGAAUCCCCGCGGGAUCCCCGUUCCCCGUUCGGAGCGGGGAUCGGGGAGAAAAAUAAUCCCCGUUCGGGGUUCGGGGCGGGGAGGAGUAAUAAAUUCGGAGAUCGGGGUCGGGAAUAGCACUUCCCGCCCCCGAAGUACCCCCGCGCCCAUCCCUACCUACCUCACUUAUAUAAAGGAGAAGCGAGGGGCGUGUAGGUGGCGCCUCUCGCAUCGCUCCGUUCUAUUUUUUUAAUUUUCUGGAAUUUUUGAAUAAAAAAUAUCAAAAAUUAGAACUAACUUUUUUAGUUUCGGGAAUAUUAGAAGAAAGUUUCAGAAUCUGAUUUUGUUUCAGAUUAUUUAUGGAAUAUAGUAACUUGAAAGUUUUAAUCUGAUUUUGUUUCAGAUUAUUUAAUUAUGGGAACGAGUAGCACACAAGUCUCUCUGCACCUAUAAAUACCCCUAUAGAUUGUAGACUUUUGGAUCAUCUAAACACAACCUCCUCUCUUUCAAUACCACAACCCUACCUCUCUCUGGCGAUAGUUCUCUUACUCGAUUUCUAACUCAGUGGUGCCGUUCUUCUGCAACGAUAAGUGAAGGCAUUUUAUACAGUAUUAAAAAAAUAAAGGUUGUUACAAGCAAAGGUAGUUAUAGACCGCUACGUGUGAGUCGACAGAUCCAAACACGGGAAAAGAAUAUAAUCUUGACAUGAUAUUGAUGGAUGAUGUCAAUAAAUUAACUAUUAGUGAUGUAUGUUUGUUGGCUAUUCUUUUAUAAUAUUUGUUUUGUUCAUCGGACAUGUUUGUUGUUAAUUUUUAUAUGAUUUAUUUUGUAUAUAUGAAAAAAUUAUUCAUGCAUAAUUUGUUUGCUUCGUUCAAGCAACUUUUAAGUGAAGGCUGUUUAUACAGUAUUAAAAAAUAAAGAUUGUUACAAGUAAGGGCAGUUAUAGACCACUAUCUCGUGGCUCUAAGUUAGAUGUUUUUGUGCACAAUCAAUCCAAAAAAAUUGGAGGAAGGUGACAAUGUAAGAACAUGAUUACUUUUAAAAAAACACAAAUAAAAUUAAGAUUCGUCGUGCUUUAAAUUGUUAAUUACGUGUAUAUAUUUAUUUUUAUUUUUUCACCAUGAAUUAUAGUCCAAUUUUGCAAUUUUAUAUAUUAGUAUUGGCAUUACAUCAAGAUUUUUAUAAUAUAAAAUUUAUUUUAUCCUACAAGUAUUAAUUUUGAAACAUUAAUAUACAUUUUAUAGACAGUCACAAAAUAUUUUUAUUAUACAAAUAUUAAUAUUGAAUCAUCAAUAUAAUUUUUAUAGGCCGCCGCAACGCGCGGCUUCUCAACUAGUAUAAUUAUAAUUCAAAAAAAUAGGUUCAAGAAUUCUAAAGAUCAUACAAUUCUUUUCUUAUUGAUAUUGAACUCUAAAUGUAACUCCAGAAUCUAGAAGAAGGGUUCUUAAUUUUUUUAUUUAGGAAUCAUAAAGGUAAUAUAAUUCUUAUUUUUUUAAUUCUUAUUUUUUUAUACAUUGAUAUACAAAUUAUUAAAGAAGUACAAUUCUUAUUUUUAAAAAUUGUAAAUUUUAUAAUUUUAUUUUAUUAAAGGUAAUACAAUUCUUUUCUUAUUUUUAAUUUUUUUUAUUUAGGAAUCAUAAAGGUAAUAUAAUUCUUAUUUUUUAUACAUUAAUAUAAAAAUUAUUAAAGAAGUACAAUUCUUAUUUUCAAAAAUUAUAAAUUUAUAGUUUUAUUUUAUUAAAGGUUACAAUUCUUAUUUUUUUAUACAUUAAUAUACAAAUUAUUAAAGAAAUACAAUUCUUAUUUUCAAAAAUUAUAAAAUUUACAAUUUUAUUUUAUUAAAUUUAAAAACAAAAUUUACAGUUUUAUUUUAUUAAUUUUUCCAAAUUGAUCACAUAAAUUUGUAUUAAACGUAUAUAAAAAAUCUACUUUUUACGGGGCUGGUCGCAUGAACUGAUAAGGAGACAUGAGUUUCUUUCACCACCUAUUCCUGCUAUGCUUCUAAUCUCGGAGAUCAUGAUCGUCUGCUGCAUAUUGCUCAACAUUAUACAACACGUGUAAAUUUUCUACUCAUUAUCUUCUUUAUGUUGAUUGCAGUGGAACUAUUUAUAACGCCUCCACAAACACUUCGUUUAAUUUUUCUAAUUUUUUGAGAAAAAAUAGUUAAAAUAACUAAGAAAUACUCCCUCCGUCCCCUUCAAUUGUUUACAUUGGAGGGGGACACGGAGACCAAGACAAUGUAUGAAAAAUAAGUAAAGUUAGAUGAAAAGUGGUGGGACGUACCAAUAUUUAAUAACAUAUUUGAGAUAGUGGAGGAAAGUAGUGGGUGUAAUAGUAGUUUUUAUUGUUAAAUAUGAGAUAGUAGGGGAAGAUAGUGGGUGUAAUGAUGAGAAAAACUUACUAUUUAUAGUAACGUAAAGAAAUGAGAGGGACAUCCCAAAAUAGUAACUGUAAAGAAAUGAGAGGGACAGAGGGAGUAGUAAUCAUAAAAGAGAUAUAAUUCUAAGUAGUUAAGAAAUAGGAAUCUUAAAAGAAAAGAGAGAUAAUUCUAAACAGUUAAGAAAUAGGAGUCUUUAAAAAAUAUAAUAGUUAAAAUAUAUAAAAUUCUAAGCAGUUAAGAAAAAUAUGAUAGCUAUAAUCUAUGAAAUUGAAUAUAUUUUUUCAAUUAUAAUUAUAAUUUUAUCAUAAUGUAAAUGAUUCUUGAUUAGUAUUGUGCUUGAGGGGAGGGCGGCCCAUAUUAAUUUUUAUCUAAAUAAUAAUAAAUUUUCUAUUAGCAUUAUGUUUGACGGGGAUACGGCUAAAACAAUUAUUUAUCUAAGUUAUAAUAUAUUUUUUUAUUAAAAUGGGACAUCGGCUUAAAAUAAUUUUCAUCCAAUUAUAAUCUUUCAUUUUAUCAUAAUUAUAAUAAUUUUUUUAUUAGUGCUGUGUGUUGGGGCGACUCAAACUAAUAUCUAUAUUAUAAUGUUUUGUUAUUUAUAUUGUAUUUGACAAAAGAGUGACUCAAACUAAUUUUUAUCUAUAUUAUUAUAUUUAAUUUUAUCAUAAUUAUUGAUUAAUAUUAUCUUUGAUGGAAGGACGGUUCAAACAGUUUUUUUUUAUUAGUAUUAAUGUGUUGACAGGGGCCACUUAAACAAAUUUUUAUAUUAAUUGUAAUAUUUUUUUAUUAGUGAUAUGUAUUAAUGGAAAGAUGACUAAAAAUAAUUUUUAUACAAUUGUAAUAGUGAUUCGUAUUAAAAUUUAUAAAAAAUCCAUAACGCCGCCGCGAAGCGCAGUAGAAAUCAGAACGACUACUCUGCUAGUGCUGGGUUAAAAAGUUUUGUUUUUCUCAAAACCAUACUCCUUCGGUCCCUAAAUACUUUUCCCAUUUGUCCUUUUCACGUUUGCCAAUACACAUUUUUGAUUAUAAAUAUCUUUAAUUUUAUAUUAGUUUUAAAUAUAAAACUUUCACCGUAUUAAAGUACUUAUAAAUACGAAUCCAAUAAGAUCACUCAUGACUAUAUUUUAUCUUAUAGAUUAUACGUAAAUUAGUAAUUUGUCUCGUGUUAUGAACAGUUCGACAUUUCAAACGGGAAAAGUAAUUAGAAUCAGAGGGAGUAUUAAUUAAGGUUUAUAUAAUUUGGGAGUAUUGAUUUUUGGUGGCUUAUUGAGUUGGCUAUUUGAAUUGAUUUUGUGUAAUUGUGCUGGAGGAUUGUUGAAUUGAGGGGAUGAGGAUGGAGGUUCGGCAGGGGGAAGCCGGAGCCGCGCCGGCAACGCCGACGGGCUCUCGGCGGCGACUGGUGUUGGAAAACAAGACUAUUAUUGCAACAUAGUGGCAGUUAUAUAUCAUAUUAUACAAGCCAAGGCCAAGCAAAUCGAAACAAAACGUGAAGGUAAAAAGCAUGCCUAUCAGUGAAUGCAAGAGGAAAGAAAGAAUAGAAUUUGUACCCGUAACCAUAGCUUGUGCAGACUGAUAACGAAGCAGAAGCCAACAACAGGUACAAAAAAGAACACAAAAGAUCAGCUGAGUCGUCAGGCCUUAUACGAAGACCUGACUGCUCUUGAAGAGAUAGUUGCCCCCACCUGCUGCGUUGGGAUGCUUGCAACACCUCCUCCAGGAUAAAACAGCUCCGAGCUUUGGCUAAGCAGCACCUCCAAAGCUCAACAACGACUGACUCCUCACUCGCCGGAAAACAACUACUGACUGACUUGUGUUUGGGAGAGAGAGCAGAGAGGAAGAAGAGAAGAGAAUGUAGGGUGUGGUGUGUAAAACUCAGCAGCUUAGUCCUCUAUUUAUACUAGAGGCUAAGUGUAACUGACCACCCCGAAUUUAAUAUAUGAAUUAAACUGCACAUUUAAAAUAAAUCAAAACUGACGAUUUAUUAUAAUGUAACAGCUGAUAUAUUAAUCCACACAUUAAACCAGCCGUUUUAUAUAUAUAUAUUUUAAUUUCUGAAUAUAUAUCAUCAGUUACAAGUCCAGGUUCAUUGUAUCUGACUUAGCCCAAUUAUGCAAUCCGACCCAGUCCAAUUGAGCCCAACAGACACAACCCAGCCCAACUGAUAAAUAAAUUCUAAUUAAAAUAUUAUAUUAAACCAAUACGAAAUAAAAUUCCCCGCCCAGGUCGCCUCGCGUACGCGAGACGCCGAGACAUUCGCCCAAAUCGCCCUUCGACCCGACCCGACCCGUCCCGUGACGUGACGUGCCGAGCCGAGGCGGCGCGCGCGUGGGCUCGUGAGAACACCACACACCAUAACACACCUUAGUAGUUAUGCACUACCCAUGUGUGUUAUACUAUAUAAAGCCAACACCCCUUUUAUUUCUUUCUAUGUGGGACAAACAACUUCUCAAAACAAGCUUUUCCAAGCUACUAACUUCAACUUCAUUUCUCUUAUGGAUUUCAUUAAGAAAAUUCUUAAACCCAUACAUGAAAGUUUAAGUCCCGAUAUCUAGAACCAACUUCCAAUCAUUAGAUUAUGGAAUUAACAACAAGAACAUAAUAAAAUUAUGAACUUAAUAACUCCAUUUUCUAACAAUCCCCCACAAAUCCAUACAGAAAUGCGUUUCAGGUUUCUCAUCAUGACUUGUUUUUCAGAGUCGGUACCCUUCCGGGUUUGAACCCUCCUAAGUUCUCUACUUCAAUGGCUACCGGAUUCAGAUGGAAUAUUGCACCUUGAAUCUUAAUCCGUUGGGUGUAACCACUUUCCAUAGACAACGACAAAUCAACGGCUAUGGAGCCAAUCUACGGCUUUGAGACAUUAAUGGUCAUGUCUCGAUCCUGUUCGUCGAAUGCUUCAAGGAAUAACCCUUUCCUCUAAUUGCGACCACACAAUUACAUUCGCUUAGCUGGGCAUCUCCAGAGAUAUACUGCUAAUAUCUCGUCUAACGACUUGAUCCCAUUCAGAGUUGUUACACUCUUACUAUCUUAGCAGUCACAGUACCUUCUAGGUUUACAAGGGAUAGACUCAGAUACAUGAGUAUCAUCUAUGUAGCAAAGGUACUACCAAUUCACCCUUACAGCUUGUUAUUACCACAUUGAAUACACUUCGAGGGAUCUCCUCUCAUGUGUAUUGGGUUCCCACUGUUGAUGAAUUAUGAUGGGUUGACAGUCCCAUCCCCAACCUUGACUUAAGGACUACUGCAGGUUCCAGUCCUUUAGUCAAAGGAUCAGCUAUAUUAUUCUGAGUUCCUAUGAACUCUAUAGCUAUAAUCCUGUCAGACACUAACCCCCUUAUAGACUUAAGUCUAACUUGGAUGUGUCUCUUUGUUUUAGCAUUAUGCUUUUUACUGCUAAUCUUGUCAAUAGUUGUUCGACUAUCACAAUGAAUAGCAAUCGCAGGAAGCGGUCUGCUUACUACAGGUAACGUGGACAUAAGCCCAUGUAGCCAUUCAGCCUCCGUCCCAGUGGCAUCAAGUGCACACAACUCAGCCUCAAAUGUCGACCGAGUCACAAUAGUCUGUCUAGUCGACUUCCAGGAUACUGCUCCACCCGCAAGGGUAAACACAUAUCCAGUCACUCCAUUGGAACCAGACUUCUUAGCUAUCCAACUUGCAUCACUGUACCCUUCAAGUACACCAGGAAACCUCCUGUAGUGUAAACUAAGGUACAUUGUGCCUUUCAGAUAUCUAAGUACUCUAUCAAGAGCAUCCCAAUGAGUUCUGUUUGGACAGCUUGUAUAUCUAGCCAACUUAGACACAGAAUAUGAGAUAUCUGGUCUAGUACAGUUAGCAAGAUACUGCAAGCUCCCAAUAAUCUGAGAAUACCUUAACUGAGACACAGGAACUCCAGAAGUAUUCUUUACAAGGGCAACUUUAGGAUCAUAGGGUGUACUAGCGAUUCUACACUGUGAAUAACCAUAUUUCUCAAGUAUAGAUUUCUCUAUAUAAUGAGAUUGAGUCAAGGUUAUUCCUUCAGUUGACUGAAUCAGUUUGAUUCCAAGAAUCACACUAGCCUCCCCCAUAUCCUUCAUUUCAAAGUGCCUUUUUAAGAAUGCUUUUGUCUCGUUAAUAAUCUCAAUAUUGGUUCCAAACAAUAAGAUGUCAUCCACAUAUAGGCAUAAGAUGACAUACUCACUGCCUUUAACUUUGAUGUAGACACACUUAUCGCUUUCAUUAACUUUAAAACUGAAUGGCAAUACAGUAUCAUCAAACUUUUUAUGCCAAUCCCUGGGAGCUUGUUUCAAGCCAUAGAUGGACUUGAUUAACUUACAUACUUUCCUUUCAUUGCCAGAUGCAACAAAUCCCUCAGGCUGAUCCAUACAAAUCUCUUCUUCAAGAUCACCAUGAAGAAAAGCCGUCUUUACAUCCAUCUGAUGGAUGAUAAGACCAUGGACCGAAGCCAAUGCUAUAAGCAUACGGAUUGUUACCAUCCUAGCAACCGGAGAGUAUGUGUCAAAGUAAUCAAUUCCUUCUUUCUGCUUAAAACCCUUUGCCACCAGUCUAGCUUUGUACUUAUCUAUUGAGCCAUCAGGGUUUAACUUCCUCUUGAAGACCCACUUGCACCCAAUAGUAGAGCACCCAGGAGGGAGAUCAACCAACUCCCAUGUUCCAUUAGAAACAAUAGAGUCAAUUUCACUCUUUACAGCGCCCUUCCAAUGCCUAGACUCCGAAGAGUCCAUAGCCUGUCGGAAAGUUAAAGGUUCGUCCUCGACAUUGUAAGUGAUAAAAUCACUUCCAAAAUCCUUGACUACCUUUGCACGCUUACUUCUCCUUGGUUCCUCUACUUCAUUAGGAGUAGAACUACUACCAGGUUCCGCCCCCACAUUUGUCAUCUUUUCCACAUGAUCGGGAAUAGAACUUGAUGUGUGAGUGGGAUCCUUAUCAUAGGUCUCUUGAGGUAUACCAGUCUUCAUAGGGUAGACAUCCUCAAAGAAUGUAGCAUCACGAAAUUCAACUAUCGUGUUAGCCACUAUACCAUCUAUGUCAGAUUUUAUUACUAAAAAUCUCAUAGCUGUAGUGGUCUCAGGAUAGCCCAGAAAGAUACAAUCAACAGUCUUUGGACCUAGUUUCUUUCUCUUGUGUUCAGGGACAAGUACCUUAGCAAGGCACCCCCCACACACGAAGAUACUUAAGACUAGUCAUCCUGCCUUUCCAUAACUCUAAAGGUGUCUUAUCCAUGUGUUUCAGAGGAACUCUAUUCAAAAUAUGGCAAGCCGUAUUUAGAGCCUCUUCCCACAUGUAUUUAGGCNNNNNNNNNNNNNNNNNNNNNNNNNNNNNNNNNNNNNNNNNNNNNNNNNNNNNNNNNNNNNNNNNNNNNNNNNNNNNNNNNNNNNNNNNNNNNNNNNNNNNNNNNNNNNNNNNNNNNNNNNNNNNNNNNNNNNNNNNNNNNNNNNNNNNNNNNNNNNNNNNNNNNNNNNNNNNNNNNNNNNNNNNNNNNNNNNNNNNNNNNNNNNNNNNNNNNNNNNNNNNNNNNNNNNNNNNNNNNNNNNNNNNNNNNNNNNNNNNNNNNNNNNNNNNNNNNNNNNNNNNNNNNNNNNNNNNNNNNNNNNNNNNNNNNNNNNNNNNNNNNNNNNNNNNNNNNNNNNNNNNNNNNNNNNNNNNNNNNNNNNNNNNNNNNNNNNNNNNNNNNNNNNNNNNNNNNNNNNNNNNNNNNNNNNNNNNNNNNNNNNNNNNNNNNNNNNNNNNNNNNNNNNNNNNNNNNNNNNNNNNNNNNNNNNNNNNNNNNNNNNNNNNNNNNNNNNNNNNNNNNNNNNNNNNNNNNNNNNNNNNNNNNNNNNNNNNNNNNNNNNNNNNNNNNNNNNNNNNNNNNNNNNNNNNNNNNNNNNNNNNNNNNNNNNNNNNNNNNNNNNNNNNNNNNNNNNNNNNNNNNNNNNNNNNNNNNNNNNNNNNNNNNNNNNNNNNNNNNNNNNNNNNNNNNNNNNNNNNNNNNNNNNNNNNNNNNNNNNNNNNNNNNNNNNNNNNNNNNNNNNNNNNNNNNNNNNNNNNNNNNNNNNNNNNNNNNNNNNNNNNNNNNNNNNNNNNNNNNNNNNNNNNNNNNNNNNNNNNNNNNNNNNNNNNNNNNNNNNNNNNNNNNNNNNNNNNNNNNNNNNNNNNNNNNNNNNNNNNNNNNNNNNNNNNNNNNNNNNNNNNNNNNNNNNNNNNNNNNNNNNNNNNNNNNNNNNNNNNNNNNNNNNNNNNNNNNNNNNNNNNNNNNNNNNNNNNNNNNNNNNNNNNNNNNNNNNNNNNNNNNNNNNNNNNNNNNNNNNNNNNNNNNNNNNNNNNNNNNNNNNNNNNNNNNNNNNNNNNNNNNNNNNNNNNNNNNNNNNNNNNNNNNNNNNNNNNNNNNNNNNNNNNNNNNNNNNNNNNNNNNNNNNNNNNNNNNNNNNNNNNNNNNNNNNNNNNNNNNNNNNNNNNNNNNNNNNNNNNNNNNNNNNNNNNNNNNNNNNNNNNNNNNNNNNNNNNNNNNNNNNNNNNNNNNNNNNNNNNNNNNNNNNNNNNNNNNNNNNNNNNNNNNNNNNNNNNNNNNNNNNNNNNNNNNNNNNNNNNNNNNNNNNNNNNNNNNNNNNNNNNNNNNNNNNNNNNNNNNNNNNNNNNNNNNNNNNNNNNNNNNNNNNNNNNNNNNNNNNNNNNNNNNNNNNNNNNNNNNNNNNNNNNNNNNNNNNNNNNNNNNNNNNNNNNNNNNNNNNNNNNNNNNNNNNNNNNNNNNNNNNNNNNNNNNNNNNNNNNNNNNNNNNNNNNNNNNNNNNNNNNNNNNNNNNNNNNNNNNNNNNNNNNNNNNNNNNNNNNNNNNNNNNNNNNNNNNNNNNNNNNNNNNNNNNNNNNNNNNNNNNNNNNNNNNNNNNNNNNNNNNNNNNNNNNNNNNNNNNNNNNNNNNNNNNNNNNNNNNNNNNNNNNNNNNNNNNNNNNNNNNNNNNNNNNNNNNNNNNNNNNNNNNNNNNNNNNNNNNNNNNNNNNNNNNNNNNNNNNNNNNNNNNNNNNNNNNNNNNNNNNNNNNNNNNNNNNNNNNNNNNNNNNNNNNNNNNNNNNNNNNNNNNNNNNNNNNNNNNNNNNNNNNNNNNNNNNNNNNNNNNNNNNNNNNNNNNNNNNNNNNNNNNNNNNNNNNNNNNNNNNNNNNNNNNNNNNNNNNNNNNNNNNNNNNNNNNNNNNNNNNNNNNNNNNNNNNNNNNNNNNNNNNNNNNNNNNNNNNNNNNNNNNNNNNNNNNNNNNNNNNNNNNNNNNNNNNNNNNNNNNNNNNNNNNNNNNNNNNNNNNNNNNNNNNNNNNNNNNNNNNNNNNNNNNNNNNAAUCGAAACAAAACGUGAAGGUAAAAAGCAUGCAUAUCAGUGACUGCAAGAGGAAAGAAAGAAUAGAAUAUAUACCCGUAACCAUAGCUUAUGCAGACUGAUAACGAAACAGAAGCCAACAACAGGUACAACAAAGAACACAAAAGAUCAGCUGAGUCGUCAGGCCUUAUACGAAGACCUGACUGCUCUUGAAGAGAUAGUUGCCCCCACCUGCUGUGUUGGGAUUCUUGCAACACCUCCUCCAGGAUAAAACAGCUCCGAGCUUUGGCUAAGCAGCACCUCCAAAGCUCAACAACGACUGACUCCUCACUCGCCGGAAAACAACUACUGACUGACUGUGUUUGGGAGAGAGAGCAGAGAGGAAGAAGAGAAGAGAAUGUAGGGUGUGGUGUGUAAAACUCAGCAGCUUAGUCCUCUAUUUAUACUAGAGGCUAAGUGUAACUGACCACCCCGAAUUUAAUAUAUGAAUUAAACUGCACAUUUAAAAUAAAUCAAAACUGACGAUUUAUUAUAAUGUAACAGCUGAUAUAUUAAUCCACACAUUAAACCACCCGUUUAUAUAUAUAUAUUUUUAAUUUCUGAAUAUAUAUCAUCAGUUACAAGUCCAUGUUCAUUGUGUCUGACUUAGCCCAAUUAUGCAAUCCGACCCAGUCCAAUUGAGCCCAACAGACACAACCCAGCCCAACUGAUAAAUAAAUUCUAAUUAAAAUAUUAUAUUAAACCACGCCCAGGUCGCCUCACGUACGCCGAGACAUUCGCCCAAAUCGCCCUUCGACCCGAGCCGAGGCGGCGCGCGCGUGGGCUCGUGAGAACACCAUGCACCAUAACACACCUUAGNNNNNNNNNNNNNNNNNNNNNNNNNNNNNNNNNNNNNNNNNNNNNNNNNNNNNNNNNNNNNNNNNNNNNNNNNNNNNNNNNNNNNNNNNNNNNNNNNNNNNNNNNNNNNNNNNNNNNNNNNNNNNNNNNNNNNNNNNNNNNNNNNNNNNNNNNNNNNNNNNNNNNNNNNNNNNNNNNNNNNNNNNNNNNNNNNNNNNNNNNNNNNNNNNNNNNNNNNNNNNNNNNNNCGAGGCGAGGCGAGGCGAGGCGGGGCGGGGCGGCGGCGGCGGCGCGCGCGUGGGCUCGUGAGAACACCACGCACCAUAACACACCUUAGUAGUUAUGCACUACCCAUGUGUGUUAUACUAUAUAAAGCCAACACCCCCCUUUAUUUCUUUCAAUGUGGGACAAACAACAUUCUCUUUCAAGCUCUUUCAAGCCACUAACUUCAACUUCAUUUCUCUUAUGGAUUUCAUUAAGAAAAUUCUUAAACCCAUACAUGAAAGUUUAAGUUCUAAUAUCUAGAAACAACUUCCAAUCAUUAGAUUAUGGAAUUAACAACAAGAACAUAAUAAAAUUAUGAACUUAAAACUCCAUUUUCUAACAACUGGAACGGGGAGAAGAGGGAGAUAGCAGGGGAGAGAGAGAUGAAGGAGGGAGGAAGAAGGAGAGUGGGAGCUGGUGUGCGAGGCCGUAAUCGGCGCGGCCGAUGGCCAUGGCGGCAGUGGUUUGUGCGAGAGAGAGAGAGAGAGAGAGAGAGAGACGGCGGCGGAGCCGCCGGAGACUUCCUGAGCAGUGGUGAUGGUAAGAUGAAAGAGAGGAAGAGAGAUGUUGGGGAGGGGCAAAGUGGUAAAUCCCAAGCCGAUUUAUUUUAAAUAAAUCUAAAAUAUAAUAAUUGGGUAGAUAAAAUGAUAACAUUAAUAAAAACAUGGGAGUUAAAUUUAUAAAGUUGGAUUUGGGUGGAAAAGAAAAUAAUAAUAUUGGGAUAUAAAUGUUUGACUUUUGAUGAUGGAGUUAAUAAAAAGAAGUUAAAUUAAAUGAUUGGGGUAAAUUAAUAAUAAUUAGUAAAAGAUUGAAAUUUAGAUUUAUAAAGGAUAUAAUAUGGUAAAGAGUUGCAUUAUAUAAAGAAUAAGGAAUUUUAUAUUAAAUAUCAAUUUGAUUAAUUUUGGAGGGAUUUAGAAGAUAAAUUCAAGGAUUUAGUGCUGUUAUUAAUUUUGGAAAAGAAUUUUGCCGGACUUGAUAAAAAUUGAGAGAGGUAGGAUCUUGUUUUUAUAAUUAUAAUAUAUACAUAUAUUCAUUGUCGAUUGGGUGGUUGGGCAAAAGUUUGGGGAUCUCGUAGUAACUGAUUAAAUAUUAUUUAAUUAAAGAGUGGGAUCAAUUAGCAUAUGAGAUAUCAUAUUAUAAAUGUUUGAGAUAACGAGGGAUCAUGGAAUAUGUGAGCUAAUAGCUACUAAUCUAUUUAUAUAAUAAAUCCUGAAUGAUGCCCAGUCACAAAAUCCACGUAAUUCGUUAAAACUCACGUAAAUGCCACAUAAAAUCCAGCUCAAUAGUUACUUUAAAUAUGUAAUCUCAUAUUUUCAGCCUUGAUUUCUGCNNNNNNNNNNNNNNNNNNNNNNNNNNNNNNNNNNNNNNNNNNNNNNNNNNNNNNNNNNNNNNNNNNNNNNNNNNNNNNNNNNNNNNNNNNNNNNNNNNNNNNNNNNNNNNNNNNNNNNNNNNNNNNNNNNNNNNNNNNNNNNNNNNNNNNNNNNNNNNNNNNNNNNNNNNNNNNNNNNNNNNNNNNNNNNNNNNNNNNNNNNNNNNNNNNNNNNNNNNNNNNNNNNNNNNNNNNNNNNNNNNNNNNNNNNNNNNNNNNNNNNNNNNNNNNNNNNNNNNNNNNNNNNNNNNNNNNNNNNNNNNNNNNNNNNNNNNNNNNNNNNNNNNNNNNNNNNNNNNNNNNNNNNNNNNNNNNNNNNNNNNNNNNNNNNNNNNNNNNNNNNNNNNNNNNNNNNNNNNNNNNNNNNNNNNNNNNNNNNNNNNNNNNNNNNNNNNNNNNNNNNNNNNNNNNNNNNNNNNNNNNNNNNNNNNNNNNNNNNNNNNNNNNNNNNNNNNNNNNNNNNNNNNNNNNNNNNNNNNNNNNNNNNNNNNNNNNNNNNNNNNNNNNNNNNNNNNNNNNNNNNNNNNNNNNNNNNNNNNNNNNNNNNNNNNNNNNNNNNNNNNNNNNNNNNNNNNNNNNNNNNNNNNNNNNNNNNNNNNNNNNNNNNNNNNNNNNNNNNNNNNNNNNNNNNNNNNNNNNNNNNNNNNNNNNNNNNNNNNNNNNNNNNNNNNNNNNNNNNNNNNNNNNNNNNNNNNNNNNNNNNNNNNNNNNNNNNNNNNNNNNNNNNNNNNNNNNNNNNNNNNNNNNNNNNNNNNNNNNNNNNNNNNNNNNNNNNNNNNNNNNNNNNNNNNNNNNNNNNNNNNNNNNNNNNNNNNNNNNNNNNNNNNNNNNNNNNNNNNNNNNNNNNNNNNNNNNNNNNNNNNNNNNNNNNNNNNNNNNNNNNNNNNNNNNNNNNNNNNNNNNNNNNNNNNNNNNNNNNNNNNNNNNNNNNNNNNNNNNNNNNNNNNNNNNNNNNNNNNNNGAGAGAGAGAGAGAGAGAGAGAGAGAGACGGCGGCGGAGCCGCCGGAGACUUCCUGAGCAGUGGUGAUGGUAAGAUGAAAGAGAGGAAGAGAGAUGUUGGGGAGGGGCAAAGUGGUAAAUCCCAAGCCGAUUUAUUUUAAAUAAAUCUAAAAUAUAAUAAUUGGGUAGAUAAAAUGAUAACAUUAAUAAAAACAUGGGAGUUAAAUUUAUAAAGUUGGAUUUGGGUGGAAAAGAAAAUAAUAAUAUUGGGAUAUAAAUGUUUGACUUUUGAUGAUGGAGUUAAUAAAAAGAAGUUAAAUUAAAUGAUUGGGGUAAAUUAAUAAUAAUUAGUAAAAGAUUGAAAUUUAGAUUUAUAAAGGAUAUAAUAUGGUAAAGAGUUGCAUUAUAUAAAGAAUAAGGAAUUUUAUAUUAAAUAUCAAUUUGAUUAAUUUUGGAGGGAUUUAGAAGAUAAAUUCAAGGAUUUAGUGCUGUUAUUAAUUUUGGAAAAGAAUUUUGCCGGACUUGAUAAAAAUUGAGAGAGGUAGGAUCUUGUUUUUAUAAUUAUAAUAUAUACAUAUAUUCAUUGUCGAUUGGGUGGUUGGGCAAAAGUUUGGGGAUCUCGUAGUAACUGAUUAAAUAUUAUUUAAUUAAAGAGUGGGAUCAAUUAGCAUAUGAGAUAUCAUAUUAUAAAUGUUUGAGAUAACGAGGGAUCAUGGAAUAUGUGAGCUAAUAGCUACUAAUCUAUUUAUAUAAUAAAUCCUGAAUGAUGCCCAGUCACAAAAUCCACGUAAUUCGUUAAAACUCACGUAAAUGCCACAUAAAAUCCAGCUCAAUAGUUACUUUAAAUAUGUAAUCUCAUAUUUUCAGCCUUGAUUUCUGCUUCCUAUUCUUUGGAUGUUAUGAUACAAUUAAUUUCUGUUGAAUGGCUGUCAUUUUUGAUAUGUAUCCUAUUUUUUCUUUUCUUCUUUACAAUCAUUCUAGCUUUUAUUUUUAAUUGUCUUAACCAAUAUGUAAAACAUUGAUUGUUUUUCAAAAUCAAAUCAAUUCUUAUCAUCUAUUUUAAAAACUCAAAUCAUCGGUAUCUCUCUCAUCUUUUCUAUUUUUCUCCUCCGAUUUCAAGUAUGUUAAUUGAAUAAUUAGUAUAGCUUGCGCGGGAAGUUUACUGAUUGUAACAAACUUUAUUAUACUUAUUUUGAUUCUUUUAAUUGAUUUCAUAUGUGUGUGUAUAUUUAUAUAUUUGCGUAUCUAUAAUUGUAAUUAAUUACUUCCAAUUUCUCUUUGAUUAAAUAUUAGAAGACUUCCUAAGCACUCUGAAUACUUUAUUGUACAAUAUUGCAUGAAAAAUUAAAAAUUCAAAAAUUGAAUUAUCUCUUAAAUUGUUGAUCAUCUUAUCUUAAAAUAUUUAAAAUUAAAAUAUAGUUAAGAAAAUUUCAAACAAUAAUUUUCUUAUCUUUAUACAUUUAAUUUAUUUCACAUCGACAUAUAUAUUUUUGUAUAUUUAUCUAUUUUUAAUUGUAAUUUUUUUCUUAUCUCUUUCGAAUUAAAUUCGUAAAGACUUCCUAAGCACUUAAAAGAUUUUUGUAUGAUAUCGCAUUAAAAAUUCAAUAUCUUGAAAAAGUGAUUAUAUUAAAAAGAAUAAGGUAUUAAUGCAUGAAUAAAUAUGUUAUACUUUAAAAAAAUUAUGAUUUGACUAUUAUAUUGUUAAAUUUAUUUAUGUGUUAUUGUUUUAUUUAUUAUUUUAUUUUUUAGUUUUAAUAAAGUAAUUCUUAUUCUUAUAUAUAAAAAAUGUGAGAUGUGUCAUUAUAUAUGUUUUCCUUUCUUAAUUAUUAUUUUAAAAUAAAUAUGAAAUUAGUUCAAAAUUAUAUACUAAAGCACUAAAAGAGCGUCGUAAUGGUAGGGUGUGUGAAGCAGUAUUUAGUUGAUAUUUAAGCAUGCUCAAUCAGCUGCAUAAUCAAUGCUUUUUAUAUAUUUAAUUGGUUUGAUUUUUUUUUUAAUUUUAUUUGAAAAAUAAUAUCUUUUGAGGAUCAGAAAUUGUAAGCAAUUUAGAAGGCACAUGUGGUCAAUAUUUAGCUCUACUUGAUUAUAUGCAUGAUUGGUACUUCAGAAUAGGAAUGGAGUGAAUUUCAUUCGAUUCUUUCCAUUACCAUCUAAAAAUUUGGAAAAUUGGAAUCAUAUGGUUGUCUCUCUUCAAUUUUAGAUUCAAAUUUCCUUGAUUAUAACUUUCGUUAAACAAUAGUAUGACAAGAAUUAAAACAACGAUUUUAUUUAUUCUAAGUUGUUUGAUUGAUUUCAUAUCUAUGUAUUUUUUUUUUUUUUGAAAAGCAUCAUAUCUAUGUAUAUAUGUAUAUGUCUAUAUACCUAUAUAUUUGGUAGAGAGUGGAUAUACCAUUCUUUCUUCCAAGCCUCUUUGAUUUCAUAUCUAUGUAUUUUUUUUUUUUUUGAAAAGCAUCAUAUCUAUGUAUAUAUGUAUAUGUCUAUAUACCUAUAUAUUUGGUAGAGAGUGGAUAUAUAUAUAUAACCGUCAUCAAGACCUCAUAUCCUUGAUUGUUUGUAUUCAUCUUUAUUUUUAUUUUUCUUUUUUAAGGCUGAUAUGGUAAUUUCACAUGCUAUUGGAUCAACCCAUCAGGCUUCCGGUUCGACCCGCAUCUUCUUAUUCAAAUUAACACUGCGAUGAAACAUUUCGGAUCUUUAAGAAACCCGACCCGAGUAUCGUUAGAUCUGAGAGCACAUUCAAAUCAUAUCACGAUCAUCAUAUCAAGAUUAGAAUUUCAAAAUAGCAUUAAUCACGCAUUCUUGAAUCGUGCCACUGAUUAUGACGUCAGUUCAGAUUUAAGUUUUACUACUUAUUUGCAUAUGAUAUUCUUAUAAGAUCAAAGCAGAUAAUUUUAAUUUCACAUUCAAAACCAUUCUUUCUUCCAAGCCUCUAAUCAUGACGAGUAGGCUUUCUUGCUUAGCUUUCGAACUGAUUUGUGUCCUCGGUUGGAUUAUACUGCAGUACUACUGAUCUUGGGUUUCUUUUCACAUUAAUUUCUAUAUCUACGAACUUUGUUUUGCGCUUAUUUACUUUAUUUAAUAAUAGAAUUCUACUUAUCUUGCACAAAUCGCGUUGAUCCGUCUAUGCAUCAGGUAGUAUCCGUCAAAGUCCUUUUGUGAUGAUGCUUCGACAAGGGAUGACGUCUCGAAGUCAAAAAGAGAAUAACACCAUUGGUCGUGAAAUAGGUUUGCACUAUUUCCAGCUUAAUUUACAAUAUUUGCUCCAUUAUGUAUAUUUGUUUAUUCUAUUAUUGUUGAACGGGUUCUGAAGUUUGUUGUUUGAACACUGCAGGUAUCAUAAUCAGUAUAUGAUUUUGUAUUUAACGUGUUUGAUAAUUUGCUACAGAGAAAAGCUGAGAAAUCCGUCCUUACUAUUUUUAUUGAUUUCAUGUUCCAGGAAUUUGAAAUUAUUUUUGAUUUCUAAUGAUUAUUUUUGCAUAAUUUCCUUUCGUAUUGAUAGUGAUUAGGAUGCACAUAUGUACUCUAAUGCAUUUAUUGAGCCACAUUUUGUUAUUGAGUUUUCCUUGCAACUGCUGAAUAGAGAUGAUUCGUCCAUGCAACUAUCGGAUGCUCAUCGUGUGAAGAUUUAUAUUCACUUUUCCUCAACAUCUGCUUAUUGAUCUAGACUUUUUGUUUACAUCUUAUCGUGUGUCAUUGUUGUUUGACAAGAACCACCGAGAAUGAAUAUGACACAAUUUCUGUCCAGAUACAUGAAUCUAACCUGCUAUAACUUAUAUGUAUGUAACAUCUGGGAUUAUCCGUGUAAUUAUUUUGAUGAUUAAUGAAUAUUAUAUGAAUAUUAUGUGAAUAUUAUAUGAAUUUCUGUGAAUUAAUUGUUUCUUGUCCUAUUAAUAUGGCUGCUUGUUUACGAUCAAAUUUGAGGAAUAUCAAUUUUUAUAUGCUCAGUACAAAAUAUAGUUUAUUUAGAUAUUUUUAUAUUGAUUUAUGUAUUGUCGUAUGAUUUGAUAUUUGGUUUAUGGAUUUAAUUACGUAUAUUAUAUUUAAUUAUUAAUUAUUUUGAUUUUUCAAAAACCGUCAACCCGUAACGGUACCGAGAUUUUACUUCCCGAAAAUUUCGACAAAACUCAACUCUAGCUUAAUUUGAAUAUUCCGGACACUUUUCAUGUUUUGACUUUUUCGAUCCGGAGUACGGUUUUCCCCGGAGUCGGUCCGGCGGAGCUUUUCGGGCAUUUUAAUUACCGAUAAUUAUCUGGUUGUCUCAAUAUACGUGAAAACCAGAUAUUUUGAUUAUUAUAUUAUUUCUUUUAUCGUAAUACGUGCAAACGGGACCCGCAUACUAAUGAUUGAUUAAAAAGCCCCGUUUUAAUAAUUAUCUCGAAAACCAGUACCGAUUGGACCCGCUUUAUUAGUAUUAAGCUAUUAAAUAUCGUAUUUUCGUGUCACAUAUGAUCCAAAGGGGUAUUAAUUUCUCGUAACUAUAAAUAGUCUUAACCAUUUGGAAGCGUUAUCGGACUCGGAUUUUGGCGUUCAAGUACUCAAAUCGAAGGUUUUGAUGAGUAGAAUCCAUAUCUAGCAUCAGAAUCAGUGCAGCAACAACAGGUGGGCACAAAUUUUUGAGUUUUAAUUCGAAUUAAAUAAGCUUAAAUUAGGGCUUUUUGAUUUUGAAGUCGUUUGUGUGAUUUGAUGAUUUCAUGUUGUAGAUUAGUUUCUCCUGAUCAUUUUGGUUUAUUAUAUGUGUGAUUUCAAGUUCAAUAACAUAGUUAAAAGUGGGUUUGAUUCUGCUGUGUUCAAGAACUAGGGUUCUUCGUAGCUUUGGAUAUUUCUAAUUGAAAUUUGGGCUUUUCUUAUUUGUUAAUUGCAUGCUUAAUUGGUUUAUAUGGUUGGAUUGGUCGUGAGGAGAGGAAUUCAAACAUGUGAUUGGAAUUGACGGACGACCUCGGAAUCGGUCGCCGUGUUCUGAAAAACAACUCGCCAGCGGCGAGUUUGUUUCGAUCUUUUCCGGCCAAACGGCCUAUCUCCUGCAAAAUCUGAGGCCACCAAUCGAUUCCUGGUGGCUGAUAUAGCUAAUCUGGAAGUUUUGGUAGAUGUUUAAGGCCGGGAGACCAACCUCCGGUGACACAGACGGUGGCCGGCGGCAUUUAUGCUGUUUGGUCACUGUAGUUUUGAAGAUGGUGACGUUUAGUCACCGUCGUUUCUACACUUUCACAGAUCGCAUCAUAUUUUUAAAACCUGACAGUUUGCACCCCUGUGUAAACUUUUGAUUAUUUACAAAAUAAACCUUUUCAAUUUAUUUUCAAAAAUCAUUUUUAAAUUACUUAUUUUAAUUUCAAAAAUAGUUUUUAAUUAUUUAUUAGUUCAAAAAUAAAUCUGAUUUAAUUUAUUAAUUAAUUUCAAUUUGUAAUUAAUUAUUAUAAUUGGUCAAUUAAUUUAAAUAUUAAUUGAUUAAUUGUUUUAGUUAAUUAUUAAUUGAUUUUAAUUGAUUUAUUAAUUAGAUUUAAUUAUUUGAAAUAAUUUUAAAAUUCCGAAAAAUAGUUUCGAGCUUUGAAAUAUUUUUCUAAAAUAUGUUUGAAGUCUGUUAAUUGAUUUCAAAUGAUUUCGGACUUGAUUUCAAGUAUUCAAAAUUGAUGAUUUAUUUAUAAAAUGAUUCUCUUAUUCGUUUUAAUUCCGAAAAAUGUUCAAAAAUUCAUAAUAAAUGCCGAAAAUCCUUUUGACUUCAAACCUUCUUUGAAAAAUAAAUUUUAGUGAAUACCUUAUGUGAUACGUGUUAUGUGCUAUCUGAUCGAUGUGCUAUAUGCCUAUGUGAACGUUAUAUGGCUGUUUCUGGCAUAUUUUUCAAUCCGUAAAUCGGAUUUGGGUAAAACGAAGGGUAGAUUGAAGCUCGUUUCGAAUGUGCGAUAAUAAGAAUAGUAUGAGAUCAUAUAUUGAUAGAUAAUUGUUGUGAUUAGCAGAAGAAGNNNNNNNNNNNNNNNNNNNNNNNNNNNNNNNNNNNNNNNNNNNNNNNNNNNNNNNNNNNNNNNNNNNNNNNNNNNNNNNNNNNNNNNNNNNNNNNNNNNNNNNNNNNNNNNNNNNNNNNNNNNNNNNNNNNNNNNNNNNNNNNNNNNNNNNNNNNNNNNNNNNNNNNNNNNNNNNNNNNNNNNNNNNNNNNNNNNNNNNNNNNNNNNNNNNNNNNNNNNNNNNNNNNNNNNNNNNNNNNNNNNNNNNNNNNNNNNNNNNNNNNNNNNNNNNNNNNNNNNNNNNNNNNNNNNNNNNNNNNNNNNNNNNNNNNNNNNNNNNNNNNNNNNNNNNNNNNNNNNNNNNNNNNNNNNNNNNNNNNNNNNNNNNNNNNNNNNNNNNNNNNNNNNNNNNNNNNNNNNNNNNNNNNNNNNNNNNNNNNNNNNNNNNNNNNNNNNNNNNNNNNNNNNNNNNNNNNNNNNNNNNNNNNNNNNNNNNNNNNNNNNNNNNNNNNNNNNNNNNNNNNNNNNNNNNNNNNNNNNNNNNNNNNNNNNNNNNNNNNNNNNNNNNNNNNNNNNNNNNNNNNNNNNNNNNNNNNNNNNNNNNNNNNNNNNNNNNNNNNNNNNNNNNNNNNNNNNNNNNNNNNNNNNNNNNNNNNNNNNNNNNNNNNNNNNNNNNNNNNNNNNNNNNNNNNNNNNNNNNNNNNNNNNNNNNNNNNNNNNNNNNNNNNNNNNNNNNNNNNNNNNNNNNNNNNNNNNNNNNNNNNNNNNNNNNNNNNNNNNNNNNNNNNNNNNNNNNNNNNNNNNNNNNNNNNNNNNNNNNNNNNNNNNNNNNNNNNNNNNNNNNNNNNNNNNNNNNNNNNNNNNNNNNNNNNNNNNNNNNNNNNNNNNNNNNNNNNNNNNNNNNNNNNNNNNNNNNNNNNNNNNNNNNNNNNNNNNNNNNNNNNNNNNNNNNNNNNNNNNNNNNNNNNNNNNNNNNNNNNNNNNNNNNNNNNNNNNNNNNNNNNNNNNNNNNNNNNNNNNNNNNNNNNNNNNNNNNNNNNNNNNNNNNNNNNNNNNNNNNNNNNNNNNNNNNNNNNNNNNNNNNNNNNNNNNNNNNNNNNNNNNNNNNNNNNNNNNNNNNNNNNNNNNNNNNNNNNNNNNNNNNNNNNNNNNNNNNNNNNNNNNNNNNNNNNNNNNNNNNNNNNNNNNNNNNNNNNNNNNNNNNNNNNNNNNNNNNNNNNNNNNNNNNNNNNNNNNNNNNNNNNNNNNNNNNNNNNNNNNNNNNNNNNNNNNNNNNNNNNNNNNNNNNNNNNNNNNNNNNNNNNNNNNNNNNNNNNNNNNNNNNNNNNNNNNNNNNNNNNNNNNNNNNNNNNNNNNNNNNNNNNNNNNNNNNNNNNNNNNNNNNNNNNNNNNNNNNNNNNNNNNNNNNNNNNNNNNNNNNNNNNNNNNNNNNNNNNNNNNNNNNNNNNNNNNNNNNNNNNNNNNNNNNNNNNNNNNNNNNNNNNNNNNNNNNNNNNNNNNNNNNNNNNNNNNNNNNNNNNNNNNNNNNNNNNNNNNNNNNNNNNNNNNNNNNNNNNNNNNNNNNNNNNNNNNNNNNNNNNNNNNNNNNNNNNNNNNNNNNNNNNNNNNNNNNNNNNNNNNNNNNNNNNNNNNNNNNNNNNNNNNNNNNNNNNNNNNNNNNNNNNNNNNNNNNNNNNNNNNNNNNNNNNNNNNNNNNNNNNNNNNNNNNNNNNNNNNNNNNNNNNNNNNNNNNNNNNNNNNNNNNNNNNNNNNNNNNNNNNNNNNNNNNNNNNNNNNNNNNNNNNNNNNNNNNNNNNNNNNNNNNNNNNNNNNNNNNNNNNNNNNNNNNNNNNNNNNNNNNNNNNNNNNNNNNNNNNNNNNNNNNNNNNNNNNNNNNNNNNNNNNNNNNNNNNNNNNNNNNNNNNNNNNNNNNNNNNNNNNNNNNNNNNNNNNNNNNNNNNNNNNNNNNNNNNNNNNNNNNNNNNNNNNNNNNNNNNNNNNNNNNNNNNNNNNNNNNNNNNNNNNNNNNNNNNNNNNNNNNNNNNNNNNNNNNNNNNNNNNNNNNNNNNNNNNNNNNNNNNNNNNNNNNNNNNNNNNNNNNNNNNNNNNNNNNNNNNNNNNNNNNNNNNNNNNNNNNNNNNNNNNNNNNNNNNNNAUACCUAUCCUUAUCUUGUCAUAAUGACGGUGGGACCCGCAUAUUAAUGACGGAUUAAAAGCCCCGUUUGAUGAUUAUCUCGAAAACCGGUACCGAUUGGACCCGUUUUAUUAGUAUAAAGCUACUAAACAGUGUAUUUUCAUGCCAUAUAUGAUCCAAAGGGGUAUUAAUUAUUCUUAAGUAUAAAUAUACUUAACUGUACUUUAUUUUAUUACGAAAAUCAUAAAACCAGUUAAAACCGAGAAAUUCCCGAGAGAGUUCUUCGUGUUCUUGAGAUUCAAACGAGGAUUUGGACGCGUUAUCGGACUCAGAUUUUGGUGUUCAAGUAUCCAAAUCGAAGGUUUCGACGUGUAGAAUCCAUUUUCAUCAUCGAAAACACUCAGAAAUCAUCAGGUGGGUUUGGAUUUUUGAGUUUUAAUUCGAAUUAAAUAAGCUUAAAUUAGGGCUUUUUGAUUUUGAAGUCGUUUGUGUGAUUUGAUGAUUUCAUGUUGUAGAUUAGUUUCUCCUGAUCAUUUUGGUUUAUUAUAUGUGUGAUUUCAAGUUCAAUAACAUAGUUAAAAGUGGGUUUGAUUCUGCUGUGUUCAAGAACUAGGGUUCUUCGUAGCUUUGGAUAUUUCUAAUUGAAAUUUGGGCUUUUCUUAUUUGUUAAUUGCAUGCUUAAUUGGUUUAUAUGGUUGGAUUGGUCGUGAGGAGAGGAAUUCAAACAUGUGAUUGGAAUUGACGGACGACCUCGGAAUCGGUCGCCGUGUUCUGAAAAACAACUCGCCAGCGGCGAGUUUGUUUCGAUCUUUUCCGGCCAAACGGCCUAUCUCCUGCAAAAUCUGAGGCCACCAAUCGAUUCCUGGUGGCUGAUAUAGCUAAUCUGGAAGUUUUGGUAGAUGUUUAAGGCCGGGAGACCAACCUCCGGCGACUCAGACGGUGGCCGGCGGCAUUUAUGCUGUUUGGUCACCGUAGUUUUGAAGAUGGUGACGUUUAGUCACCGUCGUUUCUACACUUUCACAGAUCGCAUCAUAUUUUUAAAACCUGACAGUUUGCACCCCUGUGUAAACUUUUGAUUAUUUACAAAAUAAACCUUUUCAAUUUAUUUUCAAAAAUCAUUUUUAAAUUACUUAUUUUAAUUUCAAAAAUAGUUUUUAAUUAUUUAUUAGUUCAAAAAUAAAUCUGAUUUAAUUUAUUAAUUAAUUUCAAUUUGUAAUUAAUUAUUAUAAUUGGUCAAUUAAUUUAAAUAUUAAUUGAUUAAUUGUUUUAGUUAAUUAUUAAUUGAUUUUAAUUGAUUUAUUAAUUAGAUUUAAUUAUUUGAAAUAAUUUUAAAAUUCCGAAAAAUAGUUUCGAGCUUUGAAAUAUUUUUCUAAAAUAUGUUUGAAGUCUGUUAAUUGAUUUCAAAUGAUUUCGGACUUGAUUUCAAGUAUUCAAAAUUGAUGAUUUAUUUAUAAAAUGAUUCUCUUAUUCGUUUUAAUUCCGAAAAAUGUUCAAAAAUUCAUAAUAAAUGCCGAAAAUCCUUUUGACUUCAAACCUUCUUUGAAAAAUAAAUUUUAGUGAAUACCUUAUGUGAUACGUGUUAUGUGCUAUCUGAUCGAUGUGCUAUAUGCCUAUGUGAACGUUAUAUGGCUGUUUCUGGCAUAUUUUUCAAUCCGUAAAUCGGAUUUGGGUAAAACGAAGGGUAGAUUGAAGCUCGUUUCGAAUGUGCGAUAAUAAGAAUAGUAUGAGAUCAUAUAUUGAUAGAUAAUUGUUGUGAUUAGCAGAAGAAGAGAGACGUAGAAAAGGAAAGCAAGUGGUAAUAGAAUAGUAUAUCGAGCAAGUACAAUCAAAGCUUGAGAUCAGCUAUAUAAGGCAAGUUUCCCUGAUACUUUCUUUCAAAUAUAUAUGAUAAUUGAUGUGAUUACUUCGUGAGAUUUCUAAUUAAGCCCUGUUAUUUCUUAAGCUAUAGCAUGAAUUGGUUAUUCUAUUAAUUCAUGAACCUUCAACCAGAUUCUUUGAAUUACAACUUGGACUAUUCACUUCAUUGAUUCUUGAGCCUCCAACCAGAUUCUUGGGUAUUUGUUACGAAACCUAUUUCAAUUGCGAACCUCAUGUUCUUGAAACUUUUAAAGAAAUACCAUACGAACCUUAUUUCAUUUCAAUGACAAAUCCUUGACCCCUAAACCAAUUGAUUAAAAUCCAGUAAUACCUGAAAUGACAUAUACCUUACAAUUGUUCAUUUUCUUCCGAUAAACUAAUUUCUUUGGUCUUGAAGAUACCCAUUUAUAUUCGAAUCAUUUUGUAAAAGAAACUAGAAACCUUCUUUCCUAUAAACAGUGGCCUUUGAUAUACCUUACAAUCCAAUCAUGCUUUAUCUGAUUCCUUGAAUCAUAAAGUAUUCCUUAUUCCUAUUCUGAAGUAUCUUGAAGAUACUCUUGAAUUGCAUUCUACUUCUGCUUCAAAGUUAAAUCAUGAUAUUGAUGACUCUGUUUUAUUGAAUUAUAUUGUUGAUCAUCUUGAAUUAUGAUAGAGUUGGAUAGUUUUUCUUAAAUGGACCAAAUGAAUGGUCAGACCAGAUGAGUGGUCGCUUUAGGCCAAUGUGUGCCUUGGAUCCAGUAAACGAGCAUGGCGGGGCCUGCUCGGGGUUAGUGUCUGACUGAUCAGCAGCCUAACCUUUGGUUUUUAAAAUUAAAAUUUAAUAUCCAAUUCUAAUUGAUACUCUAAAAACAAAUCUUGAUAUUGAGAUUGAUUCCAUUAGACACUGGUUUCCCUCAGCUUAUGAUUAAUGUUUUAAAUUGAUAUUGCUAUACUUGCUGAGCUUGUUAAGCUCACUCUUGCGAUACUUUAUGUUCUUUCCAGUGAAGGCAGAGAAGGUUGGUAAUGAUGACCCUCAGGCUAGUGGUAAGGCCAGGAUUCCAGGCUGAGAGACGGAGGGAGCUAUCAGCAGCACUUGGCUUUUUAUAUAUAAACUAGUUUGAGUAGCGGAAAACAUUUGAGGUGUAAGCAUUGUAAGAUUUAAGUCUAUAUUUUGGGAUUUGGGUUUGUAAUAAUUAAAGUUAUGUUGUGGCUUGUUUUAUACUUUAACCUGUUGCAAUCCAUGGAUAGUGAAGGGUCACCACAUAUAUUAUGUUAAUUACAAGUUUAUAUUAUGUUGUGGACCCCAAACUUCUGACCCGGGUUUGGAGGGCGCCACAGGUUGGUAUCAGAGCGACAGGUUAUAAGUCAAUGAAACAAGCCUAGAUUGUUGGGUAGAGGGUUAGGAUUAGAAAUGAGUGAUAGGUAGAUAGAACGUUGAGAGGUGAGUAUUAGUGAGAAGUAGGCUCUUGUGCUAUCAAGGAUUCUUAUAUGCGUUCUGUUAUAUUGAUUUACAGAUAUUCAUGAUGUCAAACUCUAUUAUUCCUUCAUAUCCACAACAUUCAGACACCACAGUUAAUGGACCCCCACCUCCUCAGCGACCUGAGCCUCACCCUCAUGUUUCACCCUUUUUAGAGGAUGUUUUGGCCGCAGCAGCAAUGGUUCCUUCCAGAAAUAUACCCCCGACUUAUCAUGCUAGGCCUUUUAUACGUGGACCCCCACCCAUUACCCCAAGUUCCACCCGAAGUUCUUCUAUUCACACUUCUUUCUGUCCUACACCAGAUCCUGUUCCUUAUCAUGAGUUUGAGGCGAUGAGGAUGGAGCGUCAGUACUUGCUUUGACAAGUCAGAGAGAUGGAGUGUAUCAUACAGAUGAUGGACCCUAGUAGAGCUGAGCGAGAGUUGAGGCAGAGGAUUGUGGAUGUAAGGAUGAAUGCGAUGGAAAAGCUUAAUACAGUGGCUGAGGGUUAUGGUGACUUAGUAGACUGGGCUAUUUGGAUGAUGAGAGAGUUGGACACAUUUGGAGGUCCUACUUUUCCUGGGAGCUAGAUGAUAGUAGUUGUAGAGUGGAGGUGCCAUGUACAUUAGUGUGUAGUGUGUAGCAUGUAUCGGAUCAGCAGAUUUUGAAAUAUAUACAUAUAUAUAUAUACUAGCAUAGCUGACUAGUUGAUAGGGUUGUUGUUGCUGUUGUUGUAAUUUACAUUUGACGAAGCGCAUUGACGCUUGUAUCUCCAGCACUGACUUAUAUAUAUUGUUAGAUAUAAUUGAUGAUUACUAAUAUUCUUAAAGUCUGUUUUAGAACAGGAAUCAUCAGAGUUUAAUCUGGAAGCUGAUCAGAGUUUAGUAAAGUCUGACAGAGUUUGAUAAAGUCUGACAGAGUUUGAUAAAGUCUGACCAGAGUUUACAUAGUCAAGAUUCGACAGAGUUUACACGUGGAAAGAGCUCAGAAGCGGAUAUACUUCAAGGAAGGAUAGAAGCGGAGGAGUGAUUUACUGGCUAUGGAAACUAAACAGAAAACUGGAGCAAUCUUUGAUUGAUAGAAUUCAUAGCAGAUUUAUAGGAUAUCAAAUCAGAGAUUGAUUUUGUAACUGUGUCUAUAUAAACACAGAUUAGGGUUACUCUAUAUGAGUUGAGUUAUCGAGUACAUUGUUAAGAACCCUAGCAGCUCUUAGUGAUACAUUAUAAAUCACUGAGAGAGUUUUUGUAACCAUUAAAGCUUUGUGAAUAUAAGAGUUUAUUACUUUCAAUCUCUUAUAUUGUCUUACUGUGUUACAGAUUGUGAUCACUAUAUCAGAUUAUAUAGUGAGUUUAUAGGACCUAACAAGUGGUAUCAGAGCCAGCUCUGUUAAGAUUACUACAGUGAGAUCUUAAACACAAUCAUGUCUGAAAAAUCACAAGCUUCAUCCUUUAGAGUUCCAAUCCUUAAGGCAUCUGAAUAUCCAGUCUGGAAAGAAAGAAUGAUCAUAUUCUUAGACUCUGUUGAUCCAGAAUACCUUGACAGGAUUUUUGAUGGACCACAUAUGCCCACCAAGCUCUCUGUUGGGAUUGCAGAUGAACCUCAAAAGAUGGUUCCAAAAGAAAAGAAAGAUUAUACUCCAGAGGACAUCUCAUCUAUCAGUAAAGAUGCAAAGGUGAAGCAUCUGUUGCAUAGUGCCCUUGAUAAUGCAAUGUCUAAUAGGGUGAUUGGGUGCAAAACUGCUAAACAAAUCUGGGAUGCUCUGGAAACCAGAUGUCAAGGAACUCAGGCCAUUAAGAAAAACAGAAAAACAAUCCUUACACAGGAGUAUGAGCACUUUGACUCAAAAUCUGGUGAGUCCCUGACAGAUCUGUAUGACAGAUUUGUCAAACUGUUGAAUGACUUAUCUCUGGUGGACAAGGAAUAUGAUCUUGAAGACUCAAACCUCAAAUUCCUUCUAGCUCUUCCUGAAAAAUGGGAUUUGAAAGUCACUACAAUAAGAGACAAUCUUGAUCUUGGAGAAAUGUCUCUUGAUGAUGUUUAUGGAAGACUGAAGACUCAUGAACUUGAGAUGGAGCAAAGGAGCAAACGUCAUGGAGGAAAAUCAAAGUCUGUUGCUCUGAAAGUUCAAGAGGAAGCUGCUAAGAGCAAAGGAAAAGCUCAUGUCACAAAGUCUGACAUUGAGUCAUCAAACUCUGAUGACUCAAACUCUGAUGUUCCCUCAGACUCUGAAGAAAGUGAUGAUGAGAUGAUGCAGUUAGCAGCAUUGAUGGUGAAAAGCUUCAAGAAGUUGGCCUACAAAAAGUUCAACAAAGGCAAAAGUUUUUCAAGGAAAGACAGAAACUCUGACAGAGUUUAUGACAAGAAGAACUUUAAGAAGAAUGAGGGCAAAGAAGGGAAAGCUGGAAAAGCUGACAAGUAUACCUGUUUCAACUGUGGUGAAAAGGGACACUUUGCAUCUGAAUGCAAGAAAGCCAAGAAGGAAAAAGAAAAAGCCUUUAUCACCAAGAAAGGAAACUGGACAGAUACAUCUGAUUCAGAAGAAGAAGUCAAUUAUGCUCUGAUGGCAAACACUGACAACAACUCUGAAUCUCCUGCUAAGGUACCUCAUUCUACUCUUGCCUUUGAUACUGAAGAUAUAACUGAGUUAAGAUUGUUUCUUAAAACUUUGCAUAUCAGCUUUAGAGAUCAGACUUUAGAAAAUGAAAGAUUAAAAUCUGAAACUCUAAGUGUAAAGAAAAGGAAUGAUUAUCUAGAAAAAGAAUUAGUUCAGAUGUUGGAAGUUCAGAAAGAAAGAGAUGAUGCUGUCAUUGUCAAAGAUGAAUUAUUAAAGAGGUAUGCAUCUCUUCAAUCAGAACUUGCUAAGGAAAGGGAGAUCAUUAAGACAUGGACUAAUUCAGGCAAAACUACUCAGGAUAUCUUAGGUAGUGGAAACUGGAAGAAGGGACUAGGUUACACUGAUAACUCAGAAGCUGAGUCAUCAAAAACAGAGUUUGUUAAAACUCAAAAACCUAAGGUUAAACCUGUUAAAUUUGUUGCUGAAUCCUCUAAGUCUAAACAGAGUAGACCAAAAUCAGAGAUUAACAACAAUUUAAAAUCUGAUAAGCCCAAACAGGUUAACAUAGGACUGAUGACUCAGAAACAGCUUAAACAUAAGCUUAAAGAGGUAAAGUCUGAUGACAAAAACAAGGAGCCUAGGAAAAAUAGAAAUGGCAAGAUUGGAAUAGACAAGAGUAAUAACUACAUGCCUAUUCCAAAUGCACCUAGGAAGACAUGCCAUAACUGUGGGAAUACUAAUCAUCUUGCUAAUUUUUGCAGGAAGAACAAGGACAUUAACUCUUUACCUACAAAGUCUGGAGUUAGAAAAAGUAGUAUUAGAUAUAAACCACAAGAUCCAUGUUUUCAUUGUGGUAGUUUAUGGCAUUCUAUUUAUACUUGCAAAGAAUAUCAUAGUUUGUAUUAUGAUUAUUAUCAAUUGAAACCUUCUUUGAAGAAGUUUAAUAAAAGCUCUGCAAGUACAAAAUCUGUUUCUAGUACAAACUCUGUUGCAAAGUCUGUUAGCUCAAACUCUGAUAAUAAUAACUCCGCUGCAAAAGCUAACAAACUUAAUAAGGCCAAGGGAUCCAAGCAAGUCUGGGUCCUUAAAACUAACAAUUAGUGGUCUUUGUGAUUGCAGGGCAACAGGAAGAAUAUUCUAGUCUUGGACAGUGGAUGUUCAGGACACAUGACUGGAAAUAAGGCCCUGCUGUCAGAGUUUGUGGAGAAGGCUGGCCCAAGUGUUUCUUAUGGAGAUGGCAACAUAGGAAGGACUCUGGGAUAUGGCAACAUCAAUCUUGGAAAUGUCAUCAUAUCAAAUGUAGCUCUUGUUCAAGGGCUAAAACACAAUUUACUCUCUGUCAGUCAGAUCUGUGACAGAGGAUAUCAUGUUGAUUUCUAUGAAGAACACAGUGAGAUAGUAAGCAAGUCAACAGGCAAAGUGGCAGUGAUUGCUCACAGACAUGGAAAUAUUUAUGAAAUCCACUUGCCUACAAACUCUGAAGGAAAAGCAAUUUGCUUGUCUACAAGGAUCUCUGCAGAAGAAAGUUGGAAGUGGCACAAGAAGCUCUCACAUCUGAAUUUCAACUCCAUAAAUGAGCUUAUAAAGAAAAAGCUUGUGAGAGGACUCCCUGAAUCACUACUCACAUCUGAUGGAUUAUGUGAUUCAUGUCAAAAGGCCAAGCAGAGAAAGACAUCCUUCAAGAGUAAGACUGAAUUCUCAAUAAAGAAACCAUAUCAUCUUCUACAUGUUGAUCUAUUUGGACCAGUUAAUGUACCAUCCAUUGCAAGGAAGAAAUAUGCUCUUGUCAUUGUUGAUGAGUAUACCAGAUACACUUGGGUAUAUUUUCUUCACUCUAAAGAUGAAACAGCCUUGCAUCUGAUGGAUCAUGUGAAACAACUGGAUCAUGGAUCUGAAGACAAAGUGAAGAUCAUUAGAAGUGAUAAUGGAACUGAGUUCAGAAAUUCAACAAUGGAAGAGUUCUGCAAAGAAAGAGGUGUAGUGCAACAAUUUUCUGCACCUGGUACACCACAGCAAAAUGGUGUAGUUGAAAGGAAAAACAGGACUCUUAUAGAAGCUGCCAGAACUAUGCUUGAUGAGGCUAAAUUGCCUACUUAUUUCUGGGCAGAAGCUGUUCAAACAGCUUGUUUCACUCAAAAUGCAACCUUGAUUAAUAAGCAUGGCAAGACCCCAUAUGAGAUGGUGAAGAAAAAGAAGCCAAAUCUGAAGUACUUUCAUAUAUUUGGGUGCAAAUGCUUUGUAUUGAAGACUCAUCCAGAACAGCUUACCAAGUUUGAUUUAAAAGCUGAUGAAGGCAUUUUUGUAGGUUAUCCUCUGACAACAAAGGCCUUCAGAGUCUAUAAUCUAAGAACCAAGGUGAUCAUGGAAUCCAUACAUGUGUCAUUUGAUGACAAAAGAAUUAUGGGUUUAGCAGAUAUGGAUGAUCAUGAAGAACUGCAUUUUGAAAAUGAAGAAAUAUUCUCUGAUUCAACAAACUCUGAUGAACAGUCAAACUCUGACUGUGAACAAAAUACAGCAAACUCUGGUGAAAAUUUACAAGUUCAUGAUGAUGAAGCAAUUGUUGAGGGGGAGCAUCAGAAUGUUUCAGACUCUACCCAAGACUCAUCAGAGAAUGCUGACUCAAACUCAUCAGAGAAUACUGAUUCAAACUCUGAUAGCACAAAUUUAGGGGGAGCUACAGAGAAUAAUCAACAGAAUCAGGAGAGCAUGGAUCAAGGGGGAGGAUCCAAUGAUGAAAAUGGUCAACUUCCACAUGCUAGGAAGUGGACAAAAUCUCACACACCUGAUUUAAUAAUUGGCAAUCCAGAAGCAGGUGUGCAAACAAGGACAGCUACAGCAAAUGAGUGUUUACAUCAUUGCUUUCUGUCACAAACAGAACCUAAAAAGGUGGAGGAAGCUCUUCAAGAUGCUGACUGGAUUCAAGCAAUGCAAGAAGAGCUAAAUGAGUUUGAGAGAAACAAAGUCUGGACCCUAGUACCAAGACCUAAAGAUAGAUCCAUAGUUGGUACAAAAUGGGUUUUCAGAAACAAAACUGAUAGUGAAGGUGUCAUUACAAGGAAUAAAGCAAGACUUGUGGCAAAAGGGUAUUCACAACAGGAAGGUAUUGAUUAUGAUGAGACAUUUGCUCCAGUUGCAAGAUUGGAGGCAAUUAGAAUCUUUCUGGCCUAUGCUGCUCACAAGAAAUUCAAGGUAUUUCAGAUGGAUGUCAAAAGUGCUUUUCUAAAUGGGAAACUGGAUGAGGAGGUAUAUGUUGAACAACCUCCAGGCUUUGUGGAUCCAAAGCAUCCAGACUAUGUCUAUAGAUUGGACAAGGCACUUUAUGGACUAAAGCAGGCUCCAAGGGCAUGGUAUGAAACUCUGGCUCAAUUUCUUCUUGAAAGUGGAUUUACUAGAGGUACCAUAGAUAAAACCCUGUUUUAUUUGAAUCAUGGUAAUGAUCUGCUUUUAGUUCAAAUCUAUGUUGAUGAUAUUAUUUUUGGCUCCACUAAUGCUAAACUCUGUCAAAGAUUUGCCAAGCUCAUGCAGUCUAGGUACCAAAUGAGCAUGAUGGGGGAACUCAGUUAUUUUCUGGGUUUACAAGUUAAACAGACUGAAGAUGGGAUUUUUAUAAAUCAAGCCAAGUAUACCAGAAAUCUUUUGAAGAAAUUUGGUAUGCAAGACAGUUCAGCUGCAACUACUCCUAUGGCAACAGCAACCAAACUAGACAAAGAUACUGGUGCAUCAGUGGAUAUCACAAACUAUAGAGGAAUGAUUGGAUCUUUGCUUUAUCUGACUGCAAGUAGACCAGACAUCAUGUAUGCCACAUGUCUAUGUGCAAGAUUUCAGGCAGAUCCAAGAGAGCCUCAUCUGAUUGCAGUAAAGAGGAUAUUCAGAUAUCUCAAGGGAACCACAUCAUUGGGAUUAUGGUAUCCUAGAGAAUCAGAUUUUAGUCUAAUUGGAUACUCUGAUGCAGAUUUUGCAGGUUGCAAAAUUGACAGGAAAAGCACAAGUGGGAGUUGUCAAUUUCUGGGUGGAAGACUUGUUUCUUGGUACAGCAAGAAGCAAAAGUCCAUUUCAACAUCAACAGCAGAGUCAGAGUAUAUAGCUGCAGGCAGCUGCUGUGCUCAAAUUCUUUGGAUGAAGAAUCAACUGUUGGACUAUGGGUUAUCCUUUUCUAAAAUUCCUAUUUAUUGUGAUAACCAAAGUGCUAUUGCUAUGACAGGAAACCCAGUUCAACAUUCUCUGACAAAACACAUCAGCAUAAGAUAUCAUUUUAUAAGGGAGCAUGUGGAGGAAGGAACCAUUGAACUUCACUUUGUUCCUACAGAACAGCAGCUAGCAGACAUAUUCACCAAACCACUAAGUGAAGCAACCUUCACUAGGCUGGUGAAUGAGCUAGGAAUGAUAUCAGGAACUGAGUAAACAUACUGGUCAGAUCUUUCAAAUUUCAAUUGUCAAAUUACCAUAUGUAUUGCUCACAAAUUUGCCAUGAUAUACUCUGAUUGUUAAAAUCUGAUGACAUUCUCUGAUGAUAUACUCUGUGUGCUAUACUCUGAUGAUAUUCUCUGAUCGUCAUUCUCUGACGAUAUUCUCUGAUGUUUGUAAACUCUGAAUCUUGAUUAAUGAUUUCAUUUCUAUUUCUCUGAGAAAACAAACCUGUGAAGAUACUAUGAAGCAUGAUAUGAAUUAGUAAUCAUGAAUCUCAGUUCAGUUCUUUAAUCUUGAUCUCCAUUUUGUGCUACUACUUAACACUAUCUGCAUAUUGAAAUCAUUGAGACUCUAUUACUUCACAUAUCUUAAUUAUAAGUGAGACUGACUAAUUUGCAUUUUCUCUCAGUAAAUUAGACAGUGAUUAUAAACUCUGAUGAUAUAUACACUCCUGCAAAUAAGCAUGGUACUCCUUUGAGAUCUUAGAUGUCUAUAUGACAGUGACUGGGAAGACCCAAACCCUUACUGGUAUUAAGUAAUUGCCAAGAUUUUAAAAUCUAUGGUGACCAGUCACAAUCUCUGAUUACUGGAGAACUACUGUGGCAAAAUUAUCCUUAAAAGGUCGUGAUUCAUUUACACUGAAAAGCGUCCUUUUGAAAAAAAAAAAAAAAGGGGGGGUUUAGUUUAUUUUAUCAGAGUAUAUCGUUUGUCUAUGUCUUGAGAGUUUAAAUAAAUUAUUCUUGUCUACCUUAUAAUUACGAAAUUGUGAAAUUCUCUAGUCUCUGAUUUAAUAUGUUAAAUCACACACAUAAAUGUCACAAGCAUAUUAUUGAGCUAUGGAUUCUAUGNNNNNNNNNNNNNNNNNNNNNNNNNNNNNNNNNNNNNNNNNNNNNNNNNNNNNNNNNNNNNNNNNNNNNNNNNNNNNNNNNNNNNNNNNNNNNNNNNNNNNNNNNNNNNNNNNNNNNNNNNNNNNNNNNNNNNNNNNNNNNNNNNNNNNNNNNNNNNNNNNNNNNNNNNNNNNNNNNNNNNNNNNNNNNNNNNNNNNNNNNNNNNNNNNNNNNNNNNNNNNNNNNNNNNNNNNNNNNNNNNNNNNNNNNNNNNNNNNNNNNNNNNNNNNNNNNNNNNNNNNNNNNNNNNNNNNNNNNNNNNNNNNNNNNNNNNNNNNNNNNNNNNNNNNNNNNNNNNNNNNNNNNNNNNNNNNNNNNNNNNNNNNNNNNNNNNNNNNNNNNNNNNNNNNNNNNNNNNNNNNNNNNNNNNNNNNNNNNNNNNNNNNNNNNNNNNNNNNNNNNNNNNNNNNNNNNNNNNNNNNNNNNNNNNNNNNNNNNNNNNNNNNNNNNNNNNNNNNNNNNNNNNNNNNNNNNNNNNNNNNNNNNNNNNNNNNNNNNNNNNNNNNNNNNNNNNNNNNNNNNNNNNNNNNNNNNNNNNNNNNNNNNNNNNNNNNNNNNNNNNNNNNNNNNNNNNNNNNNNNNNNNNNNNNNNNNNNNNNNNNNNNNNNNNNNNNNNNNNNNNNNNNNNNNNNNNNNNNNNNNNNNNNNNNNNNNNNNNNNNNNNNNNNNNNNNNNNNNNNNNNNNNNNNNNNNNNNNNNNNNNNNNNNNNCAUGCCGUAAACUCUGAACCUACUCCUACAACAGCCUCUGAACCUGUUCAAGCCAGUCCUCAGAAGCCAGCCAGAUUCAAGAAGAGGGCUCAAAAGCCUGCAAGAGCAAAAGUCCCAGUUACUGAAAUCACAGAUUUCACAGUUGAGGAAGAACAAACACCAUCAACUCCAGUCAUCUCCUACAGCAUCUACUUCAUCCUCUGAAGUAGAUGAAGAAAUAAAGUGUGAUGAACCAGUUACAACUGAAGCUGGAGCAAACAUGUCUGAUCCUCAUCCUCCAUUAUCUGAUCAUGGACCCUCCACUCCAAUUCCUAAUUCUCCAAUGAAAAUUCCAGAGGGUGCCAUAGUUCAUGAUACAGCUCCAGAAAACUACAGGUCUGAUGUAGUUGAUGAAUCUGACAGAGUAGCUAUGGAAGCUCUACAGUCUCUUGCUCAGACUGGUGAAGAGCCUAUCAAAUCACAGUCUGAAGCUCAAGAAAAAUCUGCUCAGGAUACUGUGGAGAAAGUUGCUGAUACUGUUCCUGAUGCUGACAAAGCAAAUUCUGAUGCUGAUACUGAGGAUGAUGACAGUUCAGAUACUGACAAGGAUGAAAAUGAUGGAGUUCCUCUAACACAACAAAAGUGGGAGUCUACUAGCCAGUAUAAUGUCAGGCUACAAACUCUGACUACAGACUCUGAGCCACUUCCCAGGGAUCUUCAAGUUGAUCCACCAAAUGAAGUAUGGGAUAAACUCUGGCUGAGCCAUCAACAUUCUCUGGAGCCAACUAAAGCUGAAGAAUUUCUAUCUAUGGCAGAGAAUAAAAUUUCAAACUCUGAUGUUAUGUCAAGCCUCAAAGGCACAAUUCUUUAUCUGAAGACAUUUCAUCCUGCUCAUGCCCAGACAUCUAAAUCAAUAGAUGGUCUAAGAACAGAGGUGGCUAAUGUCAAGGAGACAAAUGAGUUGGAGAAGAAAAGGACUAUAAUACCUCUGAGAGAUAAUGUUCAGAAGCUGGUGUCUGCACAUGAAUCUCUGGACAAGAGGAUGACUAUCAUUGAAUCAACUCAAGAGAAGAUGUCCAAACAGCUUGAAGCCAUCCAAUCUUCACUUUCUCUGAUCACAUCCAUACUGAUUCCUGAUGAGGAUGAUGUCAAAAAGGGGGAGAGAGUAGCUCAAGUCAAAUGCAAGUCUACUACUCAAACUCUGAAGAGGAAGAAGAAGGAUGAUGAUGAUGAUGCUGAUGAUUUCACAAAGCACAAGAGAUUUCAAGCAGGGACUGGUGGAAGAGUUUCAAACUCUGACAGUCAGAAACAAUCUAAGCAAAGCACAAAGUCUGCUCCAACACAUAACUUCACAUCUGGAUCUAAGCAAAGACCAGUGACUGGAUCAGACAAACCCAUGACUGAUGAAGAGCUUGCUAGAUUGGUUUUUGAACAAGAAAAUCCAGAAGCCAAUUUGGAUUUGGAGUUGAUUGCUGCAGAGGAAGCUGAGCUGAAAAAGGAACAUGUUGAAGCUAUAAACUCUGGAAAGAUCCAAAAGCCUGCAAAGUCAACUACCAAGCCAAAAGAGAAAGGGAUAUUGAUCAAGGAACCUACUGUUGCUGAUCAGAGUUUACCAGUCAAAAAGGUAUACUCUGAAGAUGAAUAUACUUCCAAGGGCAAAAGCAAAGUAGAUGAACAUCUGGAGAAAGGCUGGGAAAAGAAGAAGUCUACAACCUCUGACAAGGAUCAAGUUGUAAAGGAAAAGAAAACAGAAGCUGCAAUCUCUGACAAAGCUCAUGUUGCAGAACCUCAAAAAGAAAGAUUAACCUCUGACAUAGCUCAAGUUAAUAAGGAUGCAAAGAAAGACACAACCUCUGACAAAGCUCAAGCUGUGUUCAAACCAACAACUACUCCACUGGCUGGAUUUGCAAAGCCUACUCUGAUGACUGAGAUAAGCUUUGAAAAGGGCUCAAUUCAACCAAUCUCUCAUCGUAAGGCAGGAAGAGAUAAAGGAGGGCUGGGAUCCAAAUAUGAAAAAUUUGAUCAGAGUAUAGGAUCAAGACCAGAUGACCCCUCAUCUCUCUGUGCUCCCAAGACUGGAGUAUUGCAAGACAAAAUGGACAAACUUGAUUCAGUCCAGUUGGUAAAGAAUGACAGAGGAGAUAAUAUCCUUAUCUACUUCAUGUCUGAUGGAACAGUGUUUAGAGUACUUGAAGCAGAUCUAUAUGCUAAACACUGGGAAGAAUUGAGAUAUGUAUCAUACAUAUUUCAAGUAAAGAACAAGUCAGGACAACACAUCUCCAACCUGCUAAAGGAUCAAAUCAGAAGAAAGAUGGGGAUUACAGGAAACAAAAAUGCUGGACCUUUCAUUCCUAAAUACCUCAAUCAUAAAGGACAGCUGGUGGAGAUGAAGACAAAUUCAGCAAAGAUUGAAACAAUAGGUGGAAUCAGAACUCUUGCAUUUAAUGAAGAGUCUGAUAAAGCUUACAAUAUCAGGCUGGAUAGAGACUUGAAGAAGAACAAGAUUUAUGAUCUCAGAGCUGCAAUUUAUCAAACUGGAGUUUCAGAUCCAGAGCUGAGAGAGAUCAAGAGACAAAUGAUUACAGUGCUUGAAGAAGCUGAAAGAGAACUCCUCAGAAGGUAUCUACAGACAGCAAAUGGUGUCUAUGCAGCUAAGGAGUAAAGUAUCUGUAAGUUUUAAAAGUUUUCUGUUGUAUAGUUAAACUCUGUUGCAUUUGACUUAAAUGUUUUGACAUCAUCAAUUAUCUGUUAACUUGCACAUAACUUAUUUAUGCACAAGUUGGGGGAGAUUGUUAGAUAUAAUUGAUGAUUACUAAUGUUCUUAAAGUUUGUUUUAGAACAGGAAUCAUCAGAGUUUAAGCUGGAAGCUGAUCAGAGUUUAGUAAAGUCUGACAGAGUUUGAUAAAGUCUGACAGAGUUUGAUAAAGUCUGACCAGAGUUUACAUAGUCAAGACUCGUCAGAGUUUACACGUGGAAAGAGCUCAGAAGCGGAUAUACUUCAAGGAAGGAUAGAAGCGGAGGAGUGAUUUACUGGCUAUGGAAACUAAACAGAAAACUGGAGCAAUCUUUGAUUGAUAGAAUUCAUAGCUGAUUUAUAGGAUAUCAAAUCAGAGAUUGAUUUUGUAACUGUGUCUAUAUAAACACAGAUUAGGGUUACUCUAUAUGAGUUGAGUUAUCGAGUACAUUGUUAAGAACCCUAGCAGCUCUUAGUGAUACAAUAUAAAUCACUGAGAGAGUUUUUGUAACCAUUAAAGCUUUGUGAAUAUAAGAGUUUAUUGCUUUCAAUCUCUUAUAUUGUCUUACUGUGUUACAGAUUGUGAUCACUAUAUCAGAUUAUAUAGUGAGUUUAUAGGACCUAACAUAUAUCAGCGUCUUUUACCUUAUAGUCUUAUCUUUUCCUUUACCGCACUUGUUUUAUUUCACUUUACUUUCAGUACCGACCAUAAACUUUUGAGAUAAUAUUGCACCCCUUUCCUUUAUUGUUUUACAUUCUGUAAAGAAGUAUGCAAUUUAUUUAGUUGAAUAAUCUCAAAAAUGUUUUCAGAAAUUUGUAACUCUGUUUUCUUAAAAACCUUUUAUAAAAAGAGAAUUUGAUUUAAAAAGGCUAAGUGAAUUGUUUCUUCUUUACAGAAUGCCUCCAACAAGACAUACUCGUGCCAACAGCAACCCUGAAGGCACAAACAGUACCAAUAAUAACAAUGACAACCAGAAUGUCAACACAGGCACAGUAGAUCCUGCUGUUGCCCAACUAAUUCAAAUUUUGGCCCAACAAACUGCUCAGCUUACCCGACAACAGCAACAUUAAGAGAAUCCUAGGGUAACUUUUAAAACUUUUCAGGCAGUUAAUCCUCCAGAGUUUAAGGGCUCAGCAGAUCUUGUUGCAGCCCAAACAUGGUUAAAAGAAAUGGAAAAGUGUUUUGAGUUAGUUCCAGCAAGUGAGGACCAGAAAACAAAGUUUGCCAGUCAUUACAUGAAAAAUUAAGCGACGUAUUGGUGGGAAUUUGUUAAGAAUUUGGAAGGUACAGUUGAAAUUACUUGGGAAAGGUUUAGAGAAUUGUGCUUAGAAAAGUAUUUUCCUAGGUUUCUUCAGGAUCAGAUGGAAUUGAACUUUUUAGAGUUGAAACAAGGAAAUAUGUCUAUGGUUGAGUAUGAGAAUAAGUUUGCGGAAUUGGCUAGAUUUAUGCCAACUUAUGUAGAGACCGAUAGGCAGAAAGCGAAGAGGUUCCAUCAAGGUCUGAAACCCUGGAUUAGAAGCAAAUUAGCUAUUUUACAAUUGGAUACUUACGCAGCAGUUGUUGAGAAAGCGGUGAUUGCGGAGACUGAAAAUGAGUUGUUCAGAAGUCUAAGGAAGAUAAGAAAAGAAAGCCAGACAAUAGAGAAGGACCAUCUCAUCAAGGGAGGUUCCAGAAGAAAGGGAAAUUUCAAGCAGGAAGGAGUUCCAAUUUUAAGAAACAGAAUGUAGGCAGUGGUGGACAAGGUAGUCGUUUUAUUAUGGGAAAUCAGGCCAAUCAGCAGAGGCCUUCAAUACCAGAAUGUCAGAUAUGUGGCAAGAGACAUGGAGGAAUAUGCAACAAGCUGAACGUGGUGUGUUUUAAAUGCAACCAGAAAGGACAUUAUUCUAGAGAAUGUCAGAAUCAACUAGCAAUAAAAGAUCAAGCCAAUAGAAGCUCAACAAGUAAGACUCUAGUCAUAGGAUAUACAUGUUUUAAAUGUGGAAAGCCAGGACAUAUGGCUAAGGACUGCAAGACAUCAGCCCCUGUUAGUAAUGCACUUAGGAUCAUGGGAACUGUUCCAGAAGUGAAUGAACCUCCUAAGGCAAGAGUCUUUGAUAUGUCAGUGAAGGAUGCUAUUCAGGAUGCCGAUGUGGUGGCAGGUACGCUUAACGUAAACUCUUUAAAUGCUAAGGUGUUAAUUGAUUCCGGAGCCACUAGAUCAUUUAUUUCUCAAGCUUUUGUUGAUAAGUUGAAUUGUCCGGUUGAAUUGUUGAAUGAGGUUAUGAAUGUAGAGCUAGCUAAUCAGGAUCGUAUUCCCGUUAAUCAAGUUUGUCCUGAUUGUGAAAUUGAGAUUUUAGGAAAUAAGUUUUGUGCCGACUUGAUACCUUUCAAGUUGGGGGAAUUUGAUGUAAUCUUAGGGAUGGACUGGCUGUCUAAACAUAGUGCGCAGAUAGAUUGUAAAAAUAAGAAGGUAAUAUUAAAGGCACCAGACGAUAAGGUAAUAACGUUUAGAGGACAAAAGCAAGUAAAGAAGUUCUUAACCAUGAUUCAAGCGAAGAGGAUGUUACGUCAAGGAUGUGAAGCCUAUAUUGCUUAUGUAAUUGAUAAAAGUCAGGAAUCAGUAAAACUUGAUGAUAUUCCUGUAGUAAAUGAAUUUCCAGACGUGUUUCCUGAUGAGUUACCAGGACUUCCUCCAGAUAGAGAAAUAGAAUUUGCAAUUGACUUAGCACCUGGAACGGAGCCGGUAUCCAAAGCCCCGUAUAGGAUGGCACCCGUAGAGAUGAAAGAAUUGGCAAAACAAUUACAAGAGUUACUGGAAAAGGGCGUGAUUAGACCGAGUGUAUCCCCAUGGGGAGCACCAGUGUUAUUUGUAAAGAAGAAAGAUGGAAGUAUGAGGUUAUGCAUAGAUUAUAGAGAGCUUAAUAAGCUUACUAUCAAGAAUAGAUAUCCUUUACCCCGUAUUGACGACUUGUUUGACCAGUUGAAAGGAGCAGAAUAUUUUUCUAAGAUUGACCUUAGGUCAGGAUACCAUCAGCUCAAAAUCAAAUCUGAGCUAAGACAGCUUUCAGAACAAGGUAAGGUCAUUUUGAAUUUUUAGUGAUGGCCUUUGGAUUAACGAAUGCACCAGCUUUUAUGGAUUUAAUGAAUAGAGUCUUUAAGAAGUAUUUGGACAAGUUUGUGAUUGUUUUUAUAGAUGAUAUUCUGAUAUAUUCUAAGACAACUGAGGAGCAUGCAGAACACUUAAAAACAGCCUUAGAGAUACUAAGGAAGAAGAAGUUGUAUGCGAAGUUUUCUAAAUGUGAAUUCUGGUUAGAAGAAGUUCAAUUUCUAGGACACAUAGUGAGUCGUGAAGGAAUCAAGGUAGAUCCAGCAAAGAUUGAAGCUAUAAUGAAUUGGGAAAGACCAAAGACCCCCACAGAAAUCAGGAGAUUCUUAGGGUUAGCAGGUUACUACAGAAGGUUUGUACGGGAUUUCUCAAGAAUUGCAACCCCACUGACUAAGUUAACUAGAAAGAAUGAAAAGUUCAUAUGGAAUGAGAAGUGUGAGGAAAGUUUUCAGGAUUUAAAGAAAAGAUUAGUGUCAGCACCAGUAUUGUCCCUUCCAGAUGAUCAAGGAAAUUUUGUGAUUUAUAGUGAUGCCUCUUAUAAAGGAUUAGGAUGUGUAUUGAUGCAGCAUGAUAAAGUUAUUGCGUAUGCGUCUAGACAACUUAAACCUCAUGAACAGAAGUACCUUACUCAUGACCUGGAGUUAGCAGCUAUUGUAUUUGCACUAAAAAUAUGGAGACACUAUCUGUACGGAGAAAAGUGUGAGAUUUACACAGAUCAUAAAAGUUUGAAGUACAUCUUUACUCAGAAAGAGCUUAACAUGAGACAAAGAAGAUGGUUAGAGUUGAUUAAGGAUUAUGAUUGUACGAUUAAUUAUCAUCCAGGAAAAGCCAACGUAGUAGCGGAUGCUUUAAGUAGAAAGGAGAGGUUAAAUGUAUUGACUGUGCCAGAGGAAUUGUAUAAAGAGUUUCAAAAGUUGGAAAUCGAGGUAAGAAUUCGUGAACCAUCAGAGAUAGCAGUGUAUACCAUGACCUUCCAACCAGAGCUAUUAGAAAAGAUUAAGAAGUGCCAAGAAGAAGUAAUGAAUCAGGAUGUAAACAAAUUAGUAGGAGAAGAGUUAUGUACACAGAAAGAUGACCAGGGUAUUCUUAGAUUUUCUUCCCGGAUAUGGAUUCCACCGGAGACAGAGUUAAAGAAUGACAUCUUGCAGGAAGCACAAAAUUCUAAGUAUUCAAUUCAUCCAGGCAGCACUAAGAUGUAUAGAGAUUUAAAGGAGAACUAUUGGUGGCCAGACAUGAAAAGAGAGAUUGCGGAAUGGGUAAGUAAAUGUUAUACGUGUCAAAAAGUGAAAGCAGAACACCAAAGACCAAGUGGACUAUUGCAACCUUUAGAGAUUCCAGAAUGGAAAUGGGAACAUAUUGCUAUGGAUUUUAUUGUAGGAUUACCGAAGACAAAAGCAAAUCAUGAUGCCAUCUGGGUUAUAGUGGAUAGAUUAGCCAAAUCAGCUCAUUUUCUUCCGAUUAAUGAGAGGUUUUCUUUGGAUAAACUGGUUCAUAUGUACUUGAAAGAGAUUGUAGUUCAUCAUGGAGUCCCCGUAUCCAUUGUAUCAGAUAGAGAUCCACGAUUUAAUUUGAGAUUCUGGAAAAGUUUUCAAGAAUGCUUGGGCACUAAAUUGAAUAUGAGUACGGCAUAUCAUCCACAGACAGACGGCCAAAGUGAGAGAACUAUUCAGACAAUCGAGGAUAUGUUACGUGUUUGUGCAAUCGAUUUCAAAGGCAAUUGGGACGAACAUCUACCUUUAGUGGAAUUUGCAUAUAAUAAUAGUUAUCACGCGAGUAUUGGAAUGCCUCCAUAUGAAGCCCUUUACGGACGCAAAUGUCGAUCACCAGUAUAUUGGGAUGAAGUCGGAGAACGCAAAAUACUUGGACCAGAACUAGUGCAGCAAACCAAGGAAGUCAUCGAAAUUAUUCAGAAGCGACUAAUUGCAGCGCAAAGUCGUCAACGGAACUACGCAGAUCAAUCCCGGAGAGACGUAGAAUUUGAAGACGGAGAAGCAGUACUGCUAAAGGUAUCACCAUGGAAAGGGCUAUCCAGAUUCGGAAAGAAAGGCAAGCUAAGUCCCCGAUAUGUCGGGCCAUUCGAAAUCUUGAGGCGUAUUGGCAAAGUAGCGUAUGAAUUGGCAUUACCCCCACAAAUGGAGCAUAUUCAUAACGUCUUUCAUGUAUCGAUGCUUAAAAAGUAUAAUCCAGAUUCGAAGCAUGUGAUAGAGUAUGAGCCGAUAGAACUGGAGGCAGAUUUAUCUUAUGUAGAAAAGCCAGUAGAAAUCCUAGAUAGAAAAGAGAAGGUGUUAAGGAACAAGGUAGUUAACUUAGUGAGAGUACUGUGGAGAAACCCAAAGGUUGAAGAGUCAACCUGGGAAUUAGAAAGUGAUAUGCUUGAAAAGUACCCUCAUUUGUUUACCUAAGCGAUUCUGAGGACAGAAUCCUUUUAAGGGGGGAAGGAUGUAACAUCUGGGAUUAUCCGUGUAAUUAUUUUGAUGAUUAAUGAAUAUUAUAUGAAUAUUAUGUGAAUAUUAUAUGAAUUUCUGUGAAUUAAUUGUUUCUUGUCCUAUUAAUAUGGCUGCUUGUUUACGAUCAAAUUUGAGGAAUAUCAAUUUUUAUAUGCUCAGUACAAAAUAUAGUUUAUUUAGAUAUUUUUAUAUUGAUUUAUGUAUUGUUGUAUGAUUUUAUAUUUGGUUUAUGGAUUUAAUUACGUAUAUUAUAUUUAAUUAUUAAUUAUUUUGAUUUUUCGAAAACCGUCAACCCGUAACGGUACCGAGAUUUUACUUCCCGAAAAUUUCGACAAAACUCACCAUAACCUACAAAAAUGCCUUCAUCAGCUUUUAAAUUAAGCUGUUCUGGAUGAGUCUUCAAGACAAAGCAUUUGCACCCAAAUAUAUGAAAGUACUUCAGAUUUGGCUUCUUUUUCUUCACCAUCUCAUAUGGGGUCUUGCCAUGCUUAUUAAUCAGUGUUGCAUUUUGAGUGAAACAAGCUGUUUGAACAGCUUCUGCCCGGUUGUCUAGAUAUACGUGAAAACAAGAUAUUUUGAUUAUUAUAUUAUUUCUUUUAUCGUAAUACGUGCAAACGGGACCCGCAUACUAAUGAUUGAUUGAAAAGCCCCGUUUUAAUAUAUAAUUAUCUCGAAAACCGGUACCGAUUGGACCCGCUUUAUUAAUAUAAAGCUAUUAAACAUUGUAUUUUCGUGUCAUAUAUGAUCCAGAGGGGUAUUAAUUAUUCGUAAAUAUAAAUAGUCUUAACCGUACUUUAUUUCACUCGGGAAAUCAUAAUAUCAGUUAAAUACGAGUUUAUCGAGAGAGUGUUCUUCGCGUUCUUGAGAUUCAAACGAAGAUUUGGAAGCGUUAUCGGACUCGGAUUUUGGCGUUCAAGUACUCAAAUCGAAGGUUUUGCUGAGUAGAAUCCAUAUCUAGCAUCAGAAUCAGUGCAGCAACAAUAGGUGGGCACGGAUUUUUGAGUUUUAAUUCGAAUUAAAUAAGCUUAAAUUAGGGCUUUUUGAUUUUGAAGUCGUUUGUGUGAUUUGAUGAUUUCAUGUUGUAGAUUAGUUUCUCCUGAUCAUUUUGGUUUAUUAUAUGUGUGAUUUCAAGUUCAAUAACAUAGUUAAAAGUGGGUUUGAUUCUGCUGUGUUCAAGAACUAGGGUUCUUCGUAGCUUUGAAUAUUUCUAAUUGAAAUUUGGGCUUUUCUUAUUUGUUAAUUGCAUGCUUAAUUGGUUUAUAUGGUUGGAUUGGUCGUGAGGAGAGGAAUUCAAACAUGUGAUUGGAAUUGACGGACGACCUCGGAAUCGGUCGCCGUGUUCUGAAAAACAACUCGCCGGCGGCGAGUUUGUUUCGAUCUUUUCCGGCCAAACGGCCUAUCUCCUGCAAAAUCUGAGGCCACCAAUCGAUUCCUGGUGGCUGAUAUAGCUAAUCUGGAAGUUUUGGUAGAUGUUUAAGGCCGGGAGACCAACCUCCGGUGACACAGACGGUGGCCGGCGGCAUUUAUGCUGUUUGGUCACUGUAGUUUUGAAGAUGGUGACGUUUAGUCACCGUCGUUUCUACACUUUCACAGAUCGCAUCAUAUUUUUAAAACCUGACAGUUUGCACCCCUGUGUAAACUUUUGAUUAUUUACAAAAUAAACCUUUUCAAUUUAUUUUCAAAAAUCAUUUUUAAAUUACUUAUUUUAAUUUCAAAAAUAGUUUUUAAUUAUUUAUUAGUUCAAAAAUAAAUCUGAUUUAAUUUAUUAAUUAAUUUCAAUUUGUAAUUAAUUAUUAUAAUUGGUCAAUUAAUUUAAAUAUUAAUUGAUUAAUUGUUUUAAUUAAUUAUUAAUUGAUUUUAAUUGAUUUAUUAAUUAGAUUUAAUUAUUUUAAAUAAUUUUAAAAUUCCGAAAAAUAGUUUCGAGCUUUGAAAUAUUUUUCUAAAAUAUGUUUGAAGUCCGUUAAUUGAUUUCAAAUGAUUUCGGACUUGAUUUCAAGUAUUCAAAAUUGAUUAUUUAUUUAUAAAAUGAUUCUCUUAUUCGUUUUAAUUCCGAAAAAUGUUCAAAAAUUCAUAAUAAAUGCCAGGAAAAUCCUUUUGACUUCAAACAUUCGUUGAAAAAUAAAUUUUAGUGAAUACCUUAUGUGAUACGUGUUAUGUGCUAUCUGAUCGAUGUGCUAUAUGCCUAUGUGAACGUUAUAUGGCUGUUUCUGGCAUAUUUUUCAAUCCGUAAAUCGGAUUUGGGUAAAACGAAGGGUAGAUUGAAGCUCGUUUCGAAUGUGCGAUAAUAAGAAUAGUAUGAGAUCAUAUAUUGAUAGAUAAUUGUUGUGAUUAGCAGAAGAAGAGAGACGUAGAAAAGGAAAGCAAGUGGUAAUAGAAUAGUAUAUCGAGCAAGUACAAUCAAAGCUUGAGAUCAGCUAUAUAAGGCAAGUUUCCCUAAUACUUUCUUUCAAAUAUAUAUGAUAAUUGAUGUGAUUACUUCGUGAGAUUUCUAAUUAAGCCCUGUUAUUUCUUGAGCUAUAGCAUGAAUUGGUUAUUCUAUUAAUUCAUGAACCUUCAACCAGAUUCUUUGAAUUACAACUUGGACUAUUCACUUCAUUGAUUCUUGAGCCUCCAACCAGAUUCUUGGGUAUUUGUUACGAAACCUGUUUCAAUUGCGAACCUCAUGUUCUUGAAACUUUUAAAGAAAUACCAUACGAACCUUAUUUCAUUUCAAUGACAAAUCCUUGACCCCUAAACCAAUUGAUUUAUAUCCAGUAAUACCUGAAAUGACAUAUACCUUACAAUUGUUCAUUUUCUUCCGAUAAACUAAUUUCUUUGGUCUUGAAGAUACCCAUUUAUAUUCGAAUCAUUUUGUAAAAGAAACUAGAAACCUUCUUUCCUAUAAACAGUGGCCUUUGAUAUACCUUACAAUCCAAUCAUGCUUUAUCUGAUUCCUUGAAUCAUAAAGUAUUCCUUAUUCCUAUUCUGAAGUAUCUUGAAGAUACUCUUGAAUUGCAUUCUACUUCUGCUUCAAAGUUAAAUCAUGAUAUUGAUGACUCUGUUUUAUUGAAUUAUAUUGUUGAUCAUCUUGAAUUAUGAUAGAAUUGGAUAGUUUUUCUUAAAUGGACCAAAUGAAUGGUCAGACCAGAUGAGUGGUCGCUUUAGGCCAAUGUGUGCCUUGGUCUUAAAUGGACCAAAUGAAUGGUCAGACCAGAUGAGUGGUCACUUUAGGCCAAUGUGUGCCUUGGAUCCAGUAAACGAGCAUGGCCGGGCCUGCUCGGGGUUAGUGUCUGACUGAUCAGCAGCCUAACCUUUGGUUUUAAAAAAUAAAUUUAAUAUCCAAUUCUAAUUGAUACUCUAAAAACAAAUCUUGAUAUUGAGAUUGAUUCCAUUAGACACUGGUUUCCCUCAGCUUAUGAUUAAUGUUUUAAAUUGAUAUUGCUAUACUUGCUGAGCUUGUUAGCUCACUCUUGCAAUACUUUAUGUUCUUUCCAGUGAAGAUAGAGAAGGUUGGUAAUGAUGACCCUCAGGCUAGUGGUAAGGCCAGGAUUCCAGGCUGAGAGACGGAGGGAGCUAUCAGCAGCACUUGGCUUUUUAUAUAUAAACUAGUUUGAGUAGCGGAAAACAUUUGAGGUGUAAGCUUUGUAAGAUUUAAGUCUAUAUUUUGGGAUUUGGGUUUGUAAUAAUUAAAGUUAUGUUGUGGCUUGUUUUAUACUUUAACCUGUUGCGAUCCAUGGAUAGUGAAGGGUCACCGCAUAUAUUAUAUUAAUUACAGGUUUAUAUUAUGUUGUGGACCCCAAACUUCUGACCCGGGUUUGGAGGGCGCCACAAUGUAAAUAGGGAAAAGUAGUCAAAAUAUUGAUUUUUAAUGAUUUUGGCAUUUAUUCCUUUUGUAUAAUAUGUAAAUGUUUCCCUAUUCACUAUAUUCAAUUCAAUUUUCAAAUCUAGACUUUUUGUUAUAAUUUCAAAUUAAUGGAGUCUUUUUUCACUCCACAAUUUUAGCACUUGAUAAGGAAGUUUUUAUAUAUUAGAUUUUUUAAUAUUCAGAUACAUGGAUCUCGACUGUUAUAGCUCAUAUGCAAAUAGGGAAGUCAGACUUUAUUUGAUUUCCACUAAUUUUGACAUUAAUUACUAAAAUACUUUUCUAUUUAAUUUUAACAGUUUUCAUGUUCAUUAUAUUCAAUUUUCAAAUCAAGACUUUUUGUUAUAAUUUCAAAUAAAUAUCCCACUCCAUAAUUUUAACUCUUGAUAAGGAAGGUUUUAUAUAUUUUGACUUUUUUAAUUUUUUGAUACAUGGGUCUAGCCUGCUAUAACCCAUAUGUAAAUAAGGAAAAAUAGUCAAAAUUUAUUUGAUUUAACUGAUUUUGGCCUUUAUUAUUACAAUACUUUUUUGUAUAAUAUAUACUGGUUUCCAUAUUCAAUACAUUUAAUUUCCAAAUCAAGACUUUUGUUAUACUUCCUAAUCAAUGGAACACUUUUUAACACCACAAUUUAGCUCUUGAUAAUGAAAUUUUUAUAUAUUAAUUUUUUUAUAUUUUUCCGAUACAUGGAUAUAGACUGCUAUAAUUCAUAGCAAAAAGGAUUUAAAAUUUAAAUUUAUUUAAAAUAUUUUCAAACGAUAAUUCAAAGCAUUGUUUCUAGCACAAUCCCACAAGUUAUGCAUUCAUUCUAGCUUUUGUUUUUAACUGUCUUAACUAAUACGUAAGCAUUAAUUCGAUAAGUGCUAUAAUUCACAGCGUUUGAAAUUUAAAUUUAUUUAAAAUAUUUUCAAACGAUAAUCUAUUAAAAUGGUUGAAGAAACGAAGACCACAUAAGGAUACUAAACCACCUGGUUGUGAAAUAGUUUCUUCAAGUACCUCCAGACUCGGAGCUUACGGUGUAACUUGACUUGCUCAAAAUAAGAAUUGCAAGACUAACACAAAUAUGAUGCAUGAAGAAACGAUAGGUGGUAAGUCUGAUGUUUUCAUAUCAUGGACGAAGUAUAUUCAUCUGGUUUCUUUGAAUGAAGUUUGCUAAUCCAUGUGUACUCUUCCAUUUUAGUAUAUCACAAUAUUUGCAUAUUAUACUCCUGUGAAAUAUAUUGAUGAAUUACUGCAUCAACAUUUAGAUAUCAAGUUAUAUCUGCGACUAGUAAUUUUGCCCGCUUCGCAUGGGCGUUAAUUUCAAAAAAUUCAUAUCUCAUUUUAGAAUAAAAAUUUUGUGAAUAAUUUAUUUACAAAUUAUCUUGUCACAACGUCGGCUUGCUUCGUUUUAUCUUUAAACUAUUUUAUCUCAUUUUAUUUUGUUUAUAAUAUGUUAAACCAGUGAUAUAUUAUACAAAAUUUAAAAUUAAAAAAAUAAUUUAUAAAUUAUAAUAAUGUCAGUUCAAUUAAUUUAAGAUAAUUAUUAAAUAGUUAAAUUUCUAUGUGAGUAUAAUGUAAAGAAUGAGCUAAUAAAUGAAAAAAGUUUUGUAUCAAAACUUUGUAUGUAAGUAUGAUGUAAAGAAUGGGAUAAUCUAAAUUUUUAUGUAUCAAAACUUACCAGAAAAGGUGAAUUAUAUAAACUUGAAAUAUCUACCAAAAAUAAGAAAAUUGGGAGAACUUGAAAGUAAAUAUUUACUUCAACAAAUUCAAAAAAGAUGUGAUAUAAACUUUUAUUAUUAUAUUUUAGUUUUUGAAAAAUGAGGUUCUAUUUUAUGAGAAAAUGAGAAACAUAAGAAAUAUUCACUCCAUAAUUGUUGAAAUAUCAGCAACAGUGAACUUGAAAUAUCAGCAACAGUGAACUGACUGGCAUGGACGAUUCACUAUUGAAAAUUUAAAGCCAAAAUAACAUUAUGAAGUUGUGGCUUGAUUUUUUUAUAUUUCUUUUAUCAAGAAAGUUGUGCCUUGUGAAAUUGAUUGAUAAAUCACAUAAUAACAAUCAUCUUUAGAGUUUUUUUUUUAAUCUAUUGGUGCACUCAGCUUAUUCUAUUCUUCAUAUGAACUGUGACUGCAUUGAAUGUUAAUACAUUCAAGCUAUGGCUUCAGCAUAUGAAGAAAACACCUUCUCCUCAUGGAUGGUAUCUCCCACUUGAAGUAUCAUCCCUCCAAAUUCAUCAAAUGAGUCCUUGUUGCAGAGACCUUGUCCGAAGUAGACCUGUAGAAAAUUAUUUCACAAUUCGUAUCCGGAAAAAGAUUCGAUGUAAAGGAAAUGAGUGGUUCUAGAGCUUAACCUUUCCAUGGUGCCUCGUACUCAGUUGCAAGAUUUUAUCAGAUUGAAACUUCAUCAGUGUUUCAUUCGGCUCUGGCCCAGGAAUUCCAUUCUCUUGGUUAAGUAAGGGUACCUGAAAAGUAUAAUAAAGUCCACAAAAAUUAAAUGAAACUCUGCAGCAAGAAUGUGUCAAAUGAAAUGAUAUUAAACAAAGGAAAACAAAAGAAUCUAUAAUCAAGCUCAACGUUAAUAAGGAUGCUAAACUUGCACAAACAAUUUGUUAGAUGGAGAGCAUUUAAGGUAAAUUUUAACCUUGCAUCGAGGGCAUAACUGAAUGCUUAUGAAAGUUAUGUUGUUGAGGUCCUCAGCAAAUCGUUCACCCCCAUCAAUAAAUAUGUUGUAAAAAUCAAGUGUUUUUUUAUACUAUAGAUUACAGCUUAUAUAUGAGACAAAAAGUCCAAAGAUAAUAAGGCAAUAUUAAGAAAUCAGAUUAGGAUAUACAUAGCCCUAAAAAAAAGUUAGACCUGGGGCGGAAAUGAUUAACAGGUAAAGGCUCCUCCAGCUGGCUAUUAAGUUCAUCUAAAGAUCCCUGCAUAUGAUACAUACUCAUAUUAGGCACCAGUUCUGCACUUAUAUACAAAGAUUAUAUAAAUCAUAAAUGUUUAAAUAACAUGGGAAAGCAUUAGAAACUGAUACUGGUCGGUAAACACAAGAUUGUAUCCGGUUGUAGGAGCAUAAUCCGGGAGAGGCCUGGAGUCAGACUUUGUAUGAGCAGGAAUCUUUAUUUCUCUUUCCUUCAAACAGAUGAAAUAGUUUACUUUGUGCCUAUAACAGGAGAAGCAUUACCAUAUCGUGCAGAUGGAUAGAUGCUGAGACUCAAAGGGCGAUAAAGUGCGCCGGCUUAGCCGAUCAAAAGGAGCACCCACUAUGUUGAUUCUAAUUACAGUUUUGGAACUGAUUAACAUCUAUAUAUGCAGCUCAAUGAACAUGUAUGUGCAAUAACUACGGAGGGAUUUGUGGGGGCGUAAUUACAGUAAAAGCAAUUAAAUAUUCAUAUAUGUACUACUACAACUAUUACAUCCACAUUUUGUCAAAAAAAAAAAACUAUUACAUCCACAUUAACAUCAAUAAAGCCUCUUCAUCAAUUUCAACACAACUCCAAAGAUAGCAGAUGACCAUGAUUGUCCAAAACCGGUUCAAUGACAUAAAGACACAGAAAGCAAAAAAAAAAAUGUCACUCUAUAAACUACUGGCUUGAGUUAUAUUACUAUGUUAUUUUAUUAAAGAAACCAGGAAGUUCUGCUACAAUUUACAAAAACAAAACUAUUAACUUGACCAAAACCCCUGCUUUACAAUAAAAAGUUCAAAUCCCCUGCUUUAUAUAAACAAAAAUAUUCAAAACCCCUGCUUUACAAUAAAAAGUUCAAAGCCUACUCUUAUAUUAAACUAAAAUAUUCAAAACCAAAAGGAAAAUACACCAAAUAUUCUACUUGAUAACAAACAUUCGGAACGUAGUUGAAACCCAGCUUUUUAUUAUUGUAUUUCCUAGCAAAGGAAUAUAACAAAUAAUGACAGUAGGGCUCGUAAAAACAUAAACAUAAAACUUUUACAUACCAGUGUGUAAUAUUAUGAUCAGGUGAAAGCUUGUAUAUAACUUUUCUUGUAUGGAAACAAUUUGUUCCAGUAGGCCAGUACAUUGGUCCUUGAAUUCCUGCCAGUCCAUGCCCUAUAAACUAUACAGUUUAUGCAAUAAUAACUCAUAAUUUAAGUCCAGGUGAAGGCAUGUGUAUAUGAGAGAGAGCUUAUAUUCUUGUAAUUGACCAUAAUGCAAAUAAUGCAAAAAGUAAUAUAAGAAUGCUGGCUUCAUAUGUAUAGACAUAAUAAAUGGUUUACGAAAGUUAUGAAUGCCAUUGCUUUACCUACCUUAGUUGGUUACGAUUGCAGGCUGUGAAGAAUGCAACAAAAUCGUUUAAGAUGCUCUGAACAGCUCGAGAGACCUAGAACAGAAACAAUUUAGAUGCAAUUAGAACCAGUUUUUUAAAUGCUCACAAUAAAUAACAAAAAGGUUAAGACUAUAACCUGAGAAAAAAGGUGAUUCCAUAAAGUGUGCCACAAGGAAACCUCUGCGUUCACCGUAGCAUCUGCAGUUGAAGCUAACUGGAAGAUGCUACAGAUAAAGAACCAUAUAUCUCCAAUAAUAGCAUAUACUUUGCUAUAUAUGAACACAAUAAGAUUGCAUAUCCCGAGAAAAAGGCGAAGGGGAGCGUAUAAUAUUUCCCAAAGAAUCCAGAAUAUAGGGUACAAAAAGGAAGCCACUGCAAUCCAUUCAGAUCAGUUAAUAAUUAUUCUUUUCAGUAAUUAAUUUCAUAAAAUCCUUAAACUGAAACAUUCAGAUAUUAAUAAAGUGUUUAUAAGUAUACUGGAAGAAUUACGCACCAAUAUUCCAUAAAAGUGACAGUAAAAACCAGAGGCAACAAUACAGUCUCAAAUUAGCAAAAACCCAGUUCAAUAUAUACUAAACUCAACAACGGGUGACUAAAAAUGAUAUAAAGAUCGAAUUACGGAUCAGGAAGGAAGGCAGAGAAGCUAAUGAGCAAGCAAACUUACAGAUAUAUUAUCACUUUCCAGCUCCAUAUCAACAUGAUCUUCGUCCUUGGGCUUGUAUGAAGACUUUCCUAAUACUCCAGAUUUAAGAUAGCGGUUACAAUCAUUCAAGGAGAGAAAUAUGUAUCCAUCAAUAGGAUCAGCGUAAUACUGCAGAAAACAUAUAUCAGUGAAACCGUGCUGUAAAGCUUACAAUUCAGAUUUUUACUACAUCAUAUAUCAAAUAAGGGAGUGAGCAAAAUCGCAUCCAACAAAUAUACAGAGUGUGUAUAAUAUGUGACAAUAAUGCGGGAAUAUAGUGAACCAUACCUGGGGGCUUUGUAUCCGAGAACCGCAAAAGGAAUUGAUGUGAGAAUAUUAUCAACUGUUUCUGCAGAGUUCUUGUCACCUGCAACAAUGGUGAAGAACCUGUUAGCCAGCGCGUUAAAUUUUUAUAGGAGCUCUGAACGACUUCCAAUUACAUUUAGGACAUAAAUUUAGUGCCAUCGUUUUGCAGUACUAAAGUGUAACAUAGAUGAUUAGUUUUAGCAUGCCUAAACCAUCUUUCUCUUUAGCUACACAAUCAUCACCACUCCCAUCUUUCUGUUCAAACGCCAUCCACAUUAGAUACACCACUCCCCCUUCCCGGCGGCAUCCUUACCACUAUAACAACCAAAUCAAACCUAAUUAACCCCACAACAAACCCUCACACAUAUAAAUACACAUAUUGUUAGGUCCUAUUAACUCACUAUAUAAGAUGAUAUAGUGACCACAAUCUGUAACACAGUAUGACAAUAUAAGAGAUUGAAAACAAUAAACUCUUAUUCACAAAGCUUGAAUGGUUACAAAAACUCUCUCAGUGAUUUAUAUAUUAUCACUAAGAGCUGCUAGGGUUCUUAAGAAUAUACUCGAUAACUCAACUCAUAUAGAGUAACCCUAUUCUGUGUUUAUAUAGACACAGUUACAAAAUCAAUCUCUGAUUUGAUAUCCUAUAAAUCAGCUAUGUAUUCUAUCAAUCAAAGAUUGCUCCAGUUUUCUGUUUAGUUUCCAUAGUCAGCAAAUCACUCCUCCGCUUCUAUCCUUCCUUGAAGUAUAUCCGCUUCUGAGCUCUUUCCACGUGUAAACUCUGACAAGUCUUGACUAUGUAAACCCUGAUCAGACUUUAUCAAACUCUGAUCAGCUUCCAGCUUAAACUCUGAUCACUCCUGUUCUAAAACAAACUUUAAGAACAUUAGUAAUCAUCAAUUAUAUCUAACAAUCUCCCCCAACUUGUGCAUAAAUAUGUUAUGUGCAAGUUAACAGAUAAUUGAUGAUGUCAAAACAUUUAAGUCAAAUGCAACAGAGUUUAACUAUAUAACAGAAAACUUUUUAAAACUUACAGAUACUUUACUCCCUAGCUUCAUAGACACCAUAAGCUGUCUUUAGAUAUCCUUUGAGGAGUUCUCUUUCAGCUUCUUCAAGUACUGUAAUCAUUUGUCUCUUGAUCUCUCUCAGCUCUGGAUCUGAAACUCCAGUUUGGUAAAUUGCAUCUCUGAGAUCAUAUAUCUUGUUUCUCUUCAAGUCUCUAUCCAGCCUGAUAUUGUAAGCUUUAUCAGACUCUUCAUUGAAUGCAAGAGUCCUGAUUCCAGUUAUUGUUACUAUUUUUGCUGAAUUUUUCUUCAUCUCAACCAGCUUUCCUUGAUGAUUAAAGUAUUUAGGAAUGAAAGGUCCGUCGCCUAUGACACAAGAAAUUGUAGGACAACCGGGGUCCUUAUAUUUCACGGGAAUUUGAUUUGAAAGAAUCGAGCUAACUUGUGAGGUCAAAAAGGCUUUCUUUGGAACAUGUGUGGUUUUCUUAUGGGUACACAAAUCUUUUAGACACUUAGCAUAAGAAACUCUGUCAUUCUUCACCAGUUGGACUGAAUCCAGUUUGUCCAUUCUUUCUUGCAAUGCUCCAGUCUUGGGAGCACAGAGAGAUGAGGGGUCUGUUGACAUUGAUCCUAUACUCUGAUCAAAUUUUUCAUAUUUAGAUCCCAGCCCUCCUUUAUCUCUUCCUGCUUUUCGACGAGAGAUUGGUUGAAUUGAGCCCUUUUCAAAGUUUAUCUCAGUCAUCAGACUUGGCUUUGCAAAUCCUGGCAAUGGAGUAGUUGUUGGUUUGAACACAGCUUGAGCCUUGUCAGAGGUUGUGUCUUUCUUUGCUUCCGUAUUAACUUGAGCUGUGUCAGAGGUUAAUUUUCCUUUUUGUGAUUCUGCAACAUGAGCUUUGUCAGAGAUUGCAGCUUCUGAUUUCUUUUCCUUUACAACUUGAGCCUUGUCAGAGGUUGUAGACUUCUUCUUAUCCCAGGUCUUUGAUUGAGAGAAAACUUUGGGUUGACCUCGGGUUGACUUGGAAACUUGUUUUUCUCGCGCUCACACAACGUGCUAGCUAAUUGACUUAAUUGAGCCUCUAACUUAGAAACGGCUUGCACAUUAGAAUGCAAGAUUUGCCUAUCUUGGAUUAGGGUUGUCAUGAAAGUUUGCUGUGACUGGGUCAAAUUAGUUUGAGAUUUUACUAAGGCUUCCAAACUCUUUUCCAAAGAAUUAAGACGCUUAUCUGAAUCAUUAAAACCGGGAGGAUUCAAAGGUGUUUGAAUUGGUUUAGGAAAUGAGUUCGGAAUUUGGGUUGGGCAAGAGUUUGGGUUGGGCCUUUGAAAAGUUGUUUGAGGAGUUUGAAAAGAAGUUGGGCCUUGAUUUUGAAAAAUUUGACCUUGGGUCCAUGAGAAAUUUGGGUGAUUCCUCCACCCGGGAUUAUAAGUGGGUGCAAACGCAUCAUUCCUAGGAUUUUGAAACAUUGCGUUUACUUGUUCAAACUCGUGCGCGGGUUGGGUUCCGGGAUUUCGAAAAUUGUAAUUAGGGAACAUGGACAUUUGGAGCAGUCUUUGAACUUUGCUUAGACUUUGAACUGUCAGAGUUUAAACCUCUUCCACCAGUUGCAGCUUGGAAUCUUUUGUUCUUUGUAAAGUCAUCCACAUCAUCAUCAUAGCAGACACCAGCUUCUUAUCCCCCUUUUUGACAUCAUCCUCAUCAGGAAUCAGUAUAGAAGUUAUCAGAGAAAGUGAGGAUUGGAUGACUUCAAGCUGUUUGGACAUUUUCUCUUGAGUAGACUCAAUGGUGGACAUCCUCUGUUCCAAAGAUUGAUUUGCAGACACCAGCUUCUUCAUGUCUUCUUUUAGAGGUAACAGGUGCCUUUUCUUGUCCAUGUUUUGAGUUUCCUUGAAACUGGAUACCUCUGUUCGAAGACCCUCUAUAGACUUAGAUGUCUGAGCAUGAGCAGGAUGAAAUGUCUUCAGAUAAAGAACUGUAGCCUUGAGGCUUGACAUGACAUCAGAGUUUGUGAUUUUAUUCUCUGCCAUUGAUAGGAAAUCUUUAGCUUUUGCUGGCUCCAGAGAAUGCUGGUGACUCAGCCAGAGUUUAUCCCAUACCUCAUUUGGUGGAUCAACCUGAAGAUCCCUGGGAAGUGGCUCAGAGUUUGUGUUCAGAGUUUGCAGCCUGGCAUUAUAUUGGCUGGUAGACUCCCACUUUUGUUGUUGAUGAGACAGAGGGACUUCAUCAUCAUUUUCAUCAUCUGAACUGUCAUCAUCCUCAUCAUCAUCAGAUGCAGAAUCUUCAACAUUCUUAGCAGAGUCUGGAACAAAUUUUUCUUGAACAUCAUAUUUUGAUUUGCUAGGCUCUUCACCAGCCUUAGCAAGGGACUGCAGUGCUUCCAAUGCUACCUUGUCAGAUUCAUCAACUACAGCAUCUGACUUGUAAUUCUCUGGUGCUGUAUCAUGAAUAAUGGCACCCUCAGGAAAUUUAAGUGGAGAUUGAGGAAUUUGAAUGGAGGGUCCAUGAUCAGAGAUUGGAGUUUGAGGAUCAGACAUUGUUGUCCCAGCUUCAGUUGUAACUGGUUCCUCACACCUUAUUUCUUCAUCUACUUCAGAGGAUGUAGUAGAUGCUGUAGCAGUUGAGAUUGGAACAGCCUGAAGAGGAUGUACCAUCAGAGAUUGAGAAGAUUCUGGAAGUGUAGUAGAUGGUGCCUGCUCUUCCUCAAGAGGAAAAUCUGUGAUCUCUGUUAUGAGUACCUUUGCCCUCUUAGGCUUGUUAGCCCUUCUUUUGAAUCUAGCUGUCUUUGGCUGAGGACUGGACUGAACAGGUUCAGAGUUUGUUGUAGGAGAAGGUUCAGAGUUUACAGCAUGUGCAGGUUCAAGAUCAUCAUAAUCAUAGGCUGCAACCAGUCUCCUUCUUUUCUGUUUUUGAGGAGAAGCAGCUUCAGGGUUUACAGGAUCAGUGCUUACAGCAUCAGAGUUUACAGCAUCAGAGUUUGCUGUUUUAUCAGACUGUCUUCAGAACUUGUGUAGCAACAGAGGUUCUGGUCUUCUUAGUAGAAGGGGCAUCGGACGGUGGCUGGAGUGACAGCAUACUGCGCUCCGUCAUACUCAAAUACAAUGGAUGGUGACCCAGCUUCACCACCAUUGUCAUAAUGCCCUGUUCUCCAGAAAGUAAUUUGGCUUCCUGAUAGUCUGGCAGGAGCGGUAAGGGCGUUAGCUAGGGCACUCUGUGCCAAAAAUUGCUGGAUGGGAUGAUAAUCCCUUGGAGCGUCGGCAGUAUUGAGAAUGGCAGCAUGGUUGUUGGGAACGAAUUCCACACCUGCAAAGGUAAAAGUUGUAGUGGCUAUUAGAACAGAGUUUGUGAAGGAAGGUGUUUGAGAAAGUGUGUUAGAGAAGAUUUGAAAUUCAGAGAGAAGAGCGUAAGAGUUUGUUGAGAGAGUGAGUGUAAAGAUUAAGUGUAUAAGUGAAUAAUAAGCAAUAAAAUCUGAUGUGAUAAACUCUUCAGAUUUUGUUUAGCUGUACACGCUUGGGCUCUUUGUUCACUUGGACACCUGUCAGAUUUUAACUGGUAGAUGAAUGUUAGUGGGAUGAAGAAACGAGAUUAAUAAUCAUGAGUGCAGUAAAACAUGUGCAGUUAUAAAUGCUGAUUACACGUUCUCCUAUUAAAAUGUUUUUCAUGUAAACCCACUAACAAUACAUCCGUUUGGAACACUCUCUUCACAUUCUCUGAAUAUUUGAACUCCUGAAAUGUACAUGAUUUUAAAAAAUCAAGAUUAGGUCUCUCGAAUUUUAAACUCUGAGAUUUAAAUCAAAGAAAAUAAAUUUCGAAAUACCUCAGAAUAAAGACAUAAUUUUCAGAAUAUUCAUCAAUAAAUCAGAGUUUGUUAUAAAAUCCAUAGCUCAAUAAUGUGCUUGUGAAAUAAUGUGUGUGAUUUAACAUAUGAAAUCAGAGACUAAAGAAUUUCUCAAUUUCGUAAUUAUAAUGUAGACAAGAAUAAUUUAUUUAAACUCUCAAGACAUAGACAAUAGGCAUACUCUGAUGGAGAAAUAUAUAAACUAAACUAACCCCUUUUUUUUUUUUUUUCAGGACGCUUUUCAGUGUAAGUGAAUCACGACCUUUAAGUAUAAUUUUGCAACAGUAUUUCUCCAGUAAUCAGAGAUUGUGACUGGUCACCAUAGGUUAUAAAAUCUUGGCAAUUACGUAAUACCAGUAAUUGUUUGGGUCUUCCCAGUCACUGUCAUAUAGACAUCUAAGAUCUCAAAGGAGUACCAUGCUUAUUUUCAGGGGUGUGAAUAGUAUCAGAGUUUAUAGUCACUGUCUAAUUUACUGAGAGAAAAUGCAAAUUAAUCAGUCUCACUUAUAAUUAAGAUAUGUGAAGUGCUGGAGUCUCAAUGAUAUCAACAUGCAUAUAGUGUAAAACAGUAGCACAAAAUUGAGAUCAAGAUUAAGGAACUUAACUGAGAUUCAUGAUUACUAAUUCAAAUCAUGCUUCAUAGUAUCUUCACAGGUUAUAUGUCUCAGAGAAAUAAAAAUGAGAUUAUUUAUCAAGAUUCAGAGUUUACAAAUAUCAGAGAAUAUCGUCAGAGAAUGACGUCAGAGAAUGACAAUCAGAGUAUAUCAUCAGAGAAUGUCAUCAGAGUUUAACAAUCAGAGUAUAUCAUUGCAAAUGUGUGAGCAAUACAUAUGGUAAGUUGACAAUUCAAAUUUGAAAGAUCUAACCAGUAUGUUUACUCAGUUCCUGAUAUCAUUCCUACCUCAUUCACCAGCCUAGUAAAAGUUGCUUCACUUAAUGGUUUGGUGAAAAUGUCUGCUAGCUGCUGUUCAGUAGGAACAAAGUGAAGUUCAAUGGUUCCUUCCUCCACAUGCUCCCUUAUAAAAUGAUAUCUUAUACUGAUGUGCUUUGUCAGAGAAUGUUGAACUGGGUUUCCUGUCAUAGCAAUAGCACUUUGGUUAUCACAAUAAAUAGGAAUUUUAGAAAAGGAUAACCCAUAGUCUAACAAUUGAUUCUUCAUCCAAAGAAUUUGAGCACAGCAGCUGCCUGCAGCUAUAUACUCUGACUCUGCUGUUGAUGUUGAUAUUGACUUUUGCUUCUUGCUGUACCAAGAAACAAGUCUUCCACCCAGAAAUUGACAACUCCCACUUGUGCUUUUCCUGUCAAUUUUGCAACCUGCAAAAUCUGCAUCAGAGUAUCCAAUUAGACUAAAAUCUGAUUCUCUAGGAUACCAUUAUCCCAAUGAUGUGGUUCCCUUGAGAUAUCUGAAUAUCCUCUUUACUGCAAUCAGAUGAGGCUCUCUUGGAUCUGCCUGAAAUCUUGCACAUAGACAUGUGGCAUACAUGAUGUCUGGUCUACUUGCAGUCAGAUAAAGCAAAGAUCCAAUCAUUCCUCUAUAGUUUGUGAUAUCCACUGAUGCACCAGUAUCUUUGUCUAGUUUGGUUGCUGUUGCCAUAGGAGUAGUUGCAGCUGAACUGUCUUGCAUACCAAAUUUCUUCAAAAGAUUUCUGGUAUACUUGGCUUGAUUUAUAAAAAUCCCAUCUUCAGUCUGUUUAACUUGUAAACCCAGAAAAUAACUGAGUUCCCCCAUCAUGCUCAUUUGGUACCUAGACUGCAUGAGCUUGGCAAAUCUUUGACAGAGUUUAGCAUUAGUGGAGCCAAAAAUAAUGUCAUCAACAUAGAUUUGAACUAAAAGCAGAUCAUUACCAUGAUUCAAAUAAAACAGGGUUUUAUCUAUGGUACCUCUAGUAAAUCCAUUUUCAAGAAGAAAUUGAGCCAGAGUUUCAUACCAUGCCCUUGGAGCCUGCUUUAGUCCAUAAAGUGCCUUGUCCAAUCUAUAGACAUAGUCUGGAUGCUUUGGAUCCACAAAGCCUGGAGGUUGUUCAACAUAUACCUCUUCAUCCAGUUUCCCAUUUAGAAAAGCACUUUUGACAUCCAUCUGAAAUACCUUGAAUUUCUUGUGAGCAACAUAGGCCAGAAAGAUUCUGAUUGCCUCCAAUCUUGCAACUGGAGCAAAUGUCUCAUCAUAAUCAAUACCUUCCUGUUGUGAAUACCCUUUUGCCAUAAGCCUUGCUUUAUUCCUUGUAAUGACACCCUCACUGUCAGUUUUGUUUCUGAACACCCAUUUUGUACCAACUAUGGAUCUGUCUUUAGGUCUUGGUACUAGGGUCCAUACUUUGUUUCUCUCAAACUCAUUUAGCUCCUCUUGCAUGGCUUGAAUCCAGUCAGCAUCUUGAAGAGCUUCCUCCACCUUUUUAGGUUCUGUUUGUGACAGAAAGCAAUGAUGUAAACACUCAUUUGCUGUAGCUGUCCUUGUUUGCACACCUGCUUCUGGAUUGCCAAUUAUUAAAUCAGGUGUGUGAGAUUUUGUCCACUUCCUAGCAUGUGGAAGUUGACCAUUUUCAUCAUUGGAUCCUCCCCCUUGAUCCAUGCUCUCCUGAUUCUGUUGAUUAUUCUCUGUAGCUCCCCCUAAAUUUGUGCUAUCAGAGUUUGAAUCAGUAUUCUCUGAUGAGUUUGAGUCAGCAUUCUCUGAGGAAUCUUGGGUAGAGUCUGAAACAUUCUGAUGCUCCCCCUCAGCAAGUGCUUCAUCAUCAUGAACUUGUAAAUUUUCAUCAGAGUUUGCUGUAUUUUGUUCACAGUCAGAGUUUGACUGUUCAUCAGAGUUUAUUGAAUCAGAGAAUAUUUCUUCAUUUUCAAAAUGCAGUUUUUCAUGAUCAUCCAUAUCUGUUAAGCCAAUAAUUUUCUUGUCAUCAAAUGACACAUGUAUGGAUUCCAUGAUCACCUUGGUUCUUAGAUUAUAGACUCUGAAGGCCUUUGUUAUCAGAGGAUAACCUACAAAAAUGCCUUCAUCAGCUUUUAAAUCAAACUUGGUAAGCUGUUCUGGAUGAGUCUUCAAUACAAAGCAUUUGCACCCAAAUAUAUGAAAAUACUUCAGAUUUGGCUUCUUUUUCUUCACCAUCUCAUAUGGGGUCUUGCCAUGCUUAUUAAUCAAGGUUGCAUUUUGAGUGAAACAAGCUGUUUGAACAGCUUCUGCCCAGAAAUAAGUAGGCAAUUUAGCCUCAUCAAGCAUAGUUCUGGCAGCUUCUAUAAGAGUCCUGUUUUUCCUUUCAACUACACCAUUUUGCUGUGGUGUACCAGGUGCAGAGAAUUGUUGCACUACACCUCUUUCUUUGCAGAACCAUUUUGCUGUGGUGUACCAUUUUGCUGUGGUGUACCUUGGUUGAUUUCCAAUAGCUGGACGGUUACCUUGUCCACUACCACCUACAUCUGGCUUCUUAAAAGUGGGAUUUCUCCCCUGCUGAAAUUUCCCUUUCUUCGGGUUGUUAAAAUUCUGAAACCUUCCCUGCUGAAACUGUCCCUCGUGAUGCUCUGACUUACGCUUCUUUCCCUCUUUCUCUUUCUGAGACAUUUCGCUCUCCGUUUCUGCUAUCAUUGCCUUCUGAACAACAGCCGCAUAAGUAUCUAAUUCCAAUAUGGCUAGCUUUCCCCUGAUCCAUGCCUUUAAACCCUGUUGGAAUCUCUUAGCUCUCUUCCUAUCAGUAUCUACAUAGGUUGGAACAAACCUAGCCAACUCAGCAAACUUUUUCUCAUACUCAGCCACUGACAUAUCCCCUUGCUUCAAUUCUAAAAACUGUAACUCCAUUCGAUCCUGGAGAAAUUGAGGAAAGUAUUUCUCCAAAAACAACUCCUUAAACCUAUCCCAAGUAACAUCCUCUGUCCCUUCCAUUGCUCUCACAGACUCCCACCAAUAGGUGGCCUCCUCCUUCAGAUAAUAACUAGCAAACUCAGUCUUCUGCUCAUCUCUCACUUUAACUAACAUAAAUGCCUUUUCAAUUUCCUUCAACCAUAUCCUAGCCUCAAUAGGGUCCGCUGAACCCUUAAACUCUGGGGGAUUAACAGACUGAAAGUUUUUGAAAGUAACCUGGGGAUUAGCCUGCCUUUCCUGCUGCUGAGUCAGGUUGGCAGUCUGUUGGGCCAAGAUCUGAAGAAUCUGGGCCAUUGUAGGUUCUGGAUUAUUGUUAUUGUUGUUGUCAUCAGGGUUGGUUGCACGGGUUUGUCUUCUAGGAGGCAUAGCUCUGUAAAGAAACAAGCAGUUUAUUUAACCUUCAAAACUUUUAGCAAUUGUUUUUAGAAAAACAGAAUAUUUCUUUUUGAAAACAUUUUUGAUCAUUGAAUUAAAUAAAUCGCAUGCUUCUUCACAGAACAGAGCAAUAAUGAAAGAAACAGGGUAUAAUGAUAUCACAGGGUUUAUAUGAAGUGCAGUAUGUAAAACAAGUGUAAUAUGUAAAGUAAGUAAAACGGGUGCAAUAAAGUAAAAGGACAGUAUGAAAAAGAAAAGUUCUAAUAUAUAUAAAGAGCUGGGGGUACAUCAGCGCAAGCGCUUGUCAAAAGUAAAACACAACAGCAACCUACACACUGGUCAGCACAUCUUAGUCUAUAUCAGGUCAAAAUCGGCUGACACUACCCUACCACCACACACUACACACUACACACUAAUAUACAUGGUACCUCCACUCUGUAACUACCACCGUCUAACUCCAAGGAAAAGUAGGACCUCCAAGCUUAUCCAACUCCUUCAUCAUCCAUAUGGCCCACUCCACUAAAUCACUGUAGGUACUCUGAUCUUCAGCUAUGGCACCAAGCUUCGCCCUCGCCAUCAUCCUAACAUCUACAAUCUCAUACCUCAGCGCUCGCUCAGCUCUCCCAGUGUCCGUCAUCUGUAUGAUACGCUCCAGCUCUCUAACCUGUCCGAGUAGAUACUGACACUCCAUACUCAUCGCCUCAAACUCAUGAUAAGGAACAAGGGGUGGUGCAGAAGAAGUCGAGGGUAUAUCCCUGGGAGGAACCACUGCUGCUGCAGCCAACACAUCCUCUAAAGGGGGUGAAACAGGAGGGUGAGGCUCAAGUCUCUGAGAGGGUGGGGGUCCGUUAACUGUAGUCUCUGAAUACUGGGGAUAUGGAGGAAUGAUAGGGUCUGACAUCGUGAAUAUCUGAAAGUCAUGAGAUAACGCAUACAUAAGAAUCUCUGAUAAUAAGAAUACCUGUUAGUCACCAUUACUCACCUCUCAACGUUCUAUCUACCUAUCACUCAUUUCUAAUCUUAAUCCCUCUACCCAAACCCGACAAUCUAGGCUUGUUUCAUUGACUCAUAACCUGUAGCUCUGAUACCAACCUGUGACACCCUCCAAAUCCGGGUCAUAGACUUGGGGGUCACACAUAACAAUAUAAACCUGUAAACCAUGAUAAUAUAUGCAUUGACCCUAAACAUCCAUGGAUCGCUCCAGGUUAUAGUAUGAAACAAGCCACUACUUAAGUUAUAUUACAAUACGUCAAAUCCCAAUCCAUAUCUUACAACUUACAAACAUAAAACGCAGUGCUUACACAUAAAAGAUACUCAAAAGUUCAUAAUAUCAGCAACUCCUAGCAAGGCUUCCCAACACUCAUCCUGAUACCUUAGCUUGAUGGCUAGCCUGUGGGUCUUCGCUAACAGUAGUCUCUUUCUUCACUGGAAAAGAACAUGAGACAUCGCAAGAGUGAGCUUACAGCUCAGCAAGUAAUAUAAACAAUAAACUGAAGUUCAACAUUUAUCAAUAAGAAUGAAUCAAGGCAUCAAGUCCUCUUUUUAAACAAUGAUUAGAAUUGGAUAUUCACAUUUUUAUUUUAAAAACCAAGGUUAGGCUGCUGAUCAGUCACGCACUAACCCCGAGCCAGGUACAUACCAAGCUCUAUCACUGGAUCCAAGGCACACAUUGGCCUAAUGACCACGAAUCUGGUCUGACCACGAAUCUGGUCCACAUUUAUAAAACCAUCCAAUUCUUUAACAAUAUAAUGAAAUCAACAAUAUCUUAACAAAUCAGAAUCAAUACCAUUGGAACAGAAGUAAUAUUACCAAAACAGAAUCAUAAUCGACAAAUCAGAACCAUGAUAAUUAGUGGUGCAAUACAUAUCAGGAUCAAAGGACAAUUCAGAAGUGGGUUCAAGUAUCCUCACAAUAUGUUUGAAGAAUGUCUUGAGGUUGAAAGGAAGAUCAAGUAUACAGUGAAGCUAAUCUGAGGUUUUGUAUAGAGAACAAUGUCAGUGAGAAUAGCUUGAGGUUUCAAAUAUGUUUAACUUGUAGGAAUUUCAAGUGUUAGGGUGUAUAUGUGUGAACAUUCUUCAAAAGAGUAAUAUAGGUAUUUGGUAAGACAUUGUAUAAUUUGGUGAAGUAUUGUAGCAUAUAGGCUUGUACUGUGUGGUCAUUCAAGGAUGGAAGAGUAUCAGAGCAAAUGAUUUGUGUUGUCCAGUCUCAAAGAAAUGGGUAUAAGUUUAAUUGAAAUCAAAAUCAAGGUUCAGCUUGCAAUUCAGGUGUUGAAAGGAUUGAAUAAGGUUUAUCAAUAAUCAGGAUCAAUAGCACAAUAUAUCAACAGAAGUACUUUCAAAUCUAUCCAGAACAAUGACACUAUAUGCAGAAGAGUAACUCAAGGAGUUUACAAAAGUAUAAGUUGAGAAUAGAGCACUUGCCUUAUUCUGAAGCUUUACUUCUCUCUAUCGCUUUCACUAGACAGAAUCACUCCAACACUACCUGCUUUCCUUUUCUAAGCCUGUCCUUCUCUGACAAUCAUAAUAUUCAUCUAUCAAUAUUCAUUCUCAUGUCAUCCUAUUUGUUUCAUAAUCGAAACAAGCUUCUAUCUACCCUUCGUUUCACUUGAAUCCGAUAUACGGUUCAAAAGAUACGCAUAAAACAGUCAUACAAGGUUCAUAUAAGCAUUUCACAUAUCAAUCAAGUAACACAUAGCACAUAACACAUAAGUUAAUCAAUAAAAUAGUCUUUCAGAAAAGGUUUGGGGUUAAAAUGAUUUUUCUGGCAUUUAUUAUGAAUUUUUAAACAUUUUUCGGAAUAAAAACGGGUAAAAGAAUCAAUUUAUAACUGAAUAAACAAGUCCGAAUACUCGAAAUAAGGUUCGAGAACAGCUUGGGGUUUCAAAUAUGUUUAACUUGUAGGAAUUUCAAGUGUUAGGGUGUAUAUGUGUGAACAUUCUUCAAAAGAGUAGUAUAGGUAUUUGGUAAGACAUUGUAUAAUUUGGUGAAGUAUUGUAGCAUAUCGGCUUGUACUGUGUGGUCAUUCAAGGAUGGAAGAGUAUCAGAGCAAAUGAUUUGUGUUGUCCAGUCUCAAAGAAAUGGGUAUAAGUUUAAUUGAAAUCAAAAUCAAGGUUCAGCUUGUAAUUCAGGUGUUGAAAGGAUUGAAUAAGGUUUAUCAAUAAUCAGGAUCAAUAGCACAAUAUAUCAACAGAAGUACUUUCAAAUCUAUCCAGAACAAUGACAUUAUAUGCAGAAGAGUAACUCAAGGAGUUUACAGAAGUAUAAGUUGAGAAUAGAGCACUUGCCUUAUUCAGAAGCUUUACUUCUCUCUAUAGCUUUCACUAAACAGAAUCACUCCAACACUACCUGCUUUCCUUUUCUAAGCCUGUCCUUCUCUGAUAAUCAUAAUAUUCAUCUAUCAAUAUUCAUUCUCAUGUCAUCCUAUUUGUUUCAUAAUCGAAACAAGCUUCUAUCUACCCUUCGUUUCACUUAAAUCCGAUAUACGGUUCAAAAGAUACUAAUAAAACAGUCAUACAAUGUUCAUAUAAGCAUUUCACAUAUCAAUCAAGUAACACAUAGCACAUAACACAUAAAUUAAUCAAUAAAAUAGUCUUUCAGAAAAGGUUUGGGGUUAAAAUGAUUUUUCUGGCAUUUAUUAUGAAUUUUUAAACAUUUUUCGGAAUAAAAACGGGUAAAAGUUUCAAUUUAUAACUGAAUAAACAAGUCCGAAUACUCGAAAUAAGGUUCGAAAUCAUUUGAAAUCAAUUAACGAACCUUCAACAUAUUUUAGAAUAAUUUUCUAAAGCUUGAAACUAUUUUUCUGGAUUUUUAAAACAAUUAAAACAAUUAAAUCUAAUUAACAAAUCAAUUAAAAUCAAUUAAUAAAUAAUUAAAACAAUUAAUCAAUUAAUAUUUAAAUUAAUUGACUAAUUAUAAUAAUUAAUUACUAAUUAAAAUUAAUUAAUAAAUUAAAUUAGAUUUGUUUUUGAAUAAGAAAUAAUUAAAAACUAUUUUUAAAAAUAAAUAAAUGAUUUUCGAAAUUAAAAUAAAUGAAAAUAAAUCAGUUUUGAAAGUUUUUAAAACUUCAGGGUUUAAACUGCAAGGUUUUGAAACUUAAAGGUUUGAAUUGCUAAAAACCAAACCGCAGUACUGAAUCUUUAUCCCCCCCAAAAGUUGGGGGGUCUAACUGCAUUUUUUCCCCGCCGCCACCGUUCCCGGUUGCGACGUCGCCGGAGAAGCCGUUUACGGCCUCCAUUCGGCUCCAAACUCUCCAGAAUUAUCCCUUGACUCAUUUACAACUCAUACAUAACUUCAAUUCGAUCCGUAGAGCCCUGGUUUGGCCGGAAAAAGGUGAAGAAACUCGCCGUCGCCGGCGAGUCUUCUCUCCUUCGAUUCCGGCCAUACGAACACCUCACAUACAAUUUAAACACAUGUACAGAUUCCUGGGAACUAGAUGAACAUGAUGGUGCCUUCCAAUUUCACUUCUACCUCCAGGAUUAAAAAGCCCUAAUUUCCAAUUGAAAACAUUCAUCGUGCAUAAACCCUAAUUCUUAAUUCGAACAAUUAAACUCAAUUUUGAACAUGUUAUUGAACUCCAAAUCAUGCAUAUGAUAUACCAAAAUGAUCAGGAGAAGAUUAUCUACAACAUGGAAGCAUAAAAUCACAUAAAACACAUCAAAAUCAAAAAGCCCUAAUUUAACCCUAAUUAAUUCGAAUUUAAAAACCCUAAUUACUUCUAACCUGUGAAUCUAGAGUGGUUUUUGAUGCUUGAUAUGGAUUCUACGCUUCGAUAUCUUCGAUUUGACUGCUUGCACGCUCGAUUCUGAGUCCGAUAACGUCUUCAAAUCUUCGAUUGAACUCCAAGAACACGAAGAACGAUAACCCGGUUUCUCUCGAUUCCCGUGUAUUGAAAUGAUAAUUAUGAAAAAUAAACUAAUAAUUAUCCUAUUUAUAAUUACGAAUAACUGGCCCCCAUUUGGAUCAUACCGGAUAUAAAAUACACUUCUUAAUCAUUAAGUAUUAAUAAAACUGAUCCGUUCGGGACCGACUUUAAAGAUAAUUAUCAAAUACACACAUUACGAGAAACUUAUGGGGCUCCGAGCUUUGUCUGGCACGAAGUACGAAAAUAUAAUGCUUUAGCCAAAAUGAUUUGGGGUUAAAAAUAUCCGGCGUACACGUUUAUCGAUAAUAAUAAAAUAUUCAUAAAAUCGUUCCGAAAUCUUUCACGUAAAUCCGUACACCGGAUGGAAAAAGUUAAAACACGAAAGUUGUUCAGAAUAUCUUGAAUAAUAAAUCGGCGAAACUUUCCCGGAAGCCCCCCGGGGUUUAAUUAUCAAGUAAACGGGUUUAAAAUCAAUUUAAUAAUAAUAUUUUAUAAUAUACUUAAUUAAAUCCUUAAAUCCAAUAUCAAAUCAUAUAUUAAUCCAUAAUUUAUCAAGUAAGUGCCAAAAUUCUCCAUAUUUUGAUCUGAUCAUAUAAAAAUUAUCAACUUACAAGUCCUACCACACAUAGACGAUCAUACAGCAAGUCACUUAACAUAUAAUUCUCGAUUAAUUCACAUAAAAUUCACAAAAUAUUCACAUACUGACAUAAAUAAAUACAUGCCGAAAUCCCGGAUAUUACAAGCUUGGCAAAUCUUUGACAGAGUUUAGCAUUAGUGGAGCCAAAAAUAAUGUCAUCAACAUAGAUUUGAACUAAAAGCAGAUCAUUACCAUGAUUCAAAUAAAACAGGGUUUUAUCUAUGGUACCUCUAGUAAAUCCACUUUCAAGAAGAAAUUGAGCUAGAGUUUCAUACCAUGCCUUGGAGCCUGUUUUAGUCCAUAGAGUGCUUUGUCCAACAUGUAGACAUAGUCUGGAUGUUUUGGAUCCACAAAUCCUGGAGGUUGUUCAACAUAUACCUCCUCUUCCAGUUUCCCAUUUAGAAAAGGACUUUUGACAUCCAUCUGCAAUACCUUGAAUUUCUUGUGAGCAGCAUAGGCCAGAAAGAUUCUAAUUGCCUCCAAUCUUGCAACUGGAGCAAAUGUCUCAUCAUAAUCAAUACCUUCCUGUUGUGAAUACCCUUUUGCCACAAGCCUUGCUUUAUUCCUUGUAAUGACACCCUCACUGUCAGUUUUGUUUCUGAACACCCAUUUUGCACCAACUAUGGAUCUGUCUUUAGGUCUUGGUACUAGGGUCCAUACUUUGUUUCUCUCAAACUCAUUUAGCUCCUCUUGCAUUGCUUGAAUCCAGUCAGCAUCUUGAAGAGCUUCCUCCACCUUUUUAGGUUCUGUUUGUGACAGAAAGCAAUGAUGUAAACACUCAUUUGCUGUAGCUGUCCUUGUUUGCACACCUGCUUCUGGAUUGCCAAUUAUUAAAUCAGGUGUGUGAGAUUUUGUCCACUUCCUAGCAUGUGGAAGUUGACCAUUUUCAUCAUUGGAUCCUCCCCCUUGAUCCAUGCUCUCUUGAUUCUGUUGUUCAUUCUCUGUAGCUCCCCCUAAAUUUGUGCUAUCAGAGUUUGAAUCAGUAUUCUCUGAUGAGUUUGAGUCAGCAUUCUCUGAUGAGUUUGAGUCUUGGGUAGAGUCUGAAACAUUCUGAUUCUCCCCCUCAACAUUUGCUUCAUCAUCAUGAACUUGUAAAUUUUCACCAGAGUUUGCUGUAUUUUGUUCACAGUCAGAGUUUGACUGUUCAUCAGAGUUUGUCGAAUCAGAGAAUAUUUCUUCAUUUUCAAAAUGCAGUGCUUCAUGAUCAUCCAUGUCUGCUAAACCCAUAAUUCUUUUGUCAUCAAAUGACACAUGUAUGGAUUCCAUGAUCACCUUGGUUCUUAGAUUAUAGACUCUGAAGGCCUUUGUUGUCAGAGGAUAACCUACAAAAAUGCCUUCAUCAGCUUUUAAAUCAAACUUGGUAAGCUGUUCUGGAUGAGUCUUCAAUACAAAGCAUUUGCACCCAAAUAUAUGAAAGUACUUCAGAUUUGGCUUCUUUUUCUUCACCAUCUCAUAUGGGGUCUUGCCAUGCUUAUUAAUCAGUGUUGCAUUUUGAGUGAAACAAGCUGUUUGAACAGCUUCUGCCCAGAAAUAAGUAGGUAAUUUAGCCUCAUCAAGCAUAGUUCUGGCAGCUUCUAUAAGAGUCCUGUUUUUCCUUUCAACUACACCAUUUUGCUGUGGUGUACCAGGUGCAGAAAAUUGUUGCACUACACCUCUUUCUUUGCAGAACUCUUCCAUUGUUGAAUUUCUGAACUCAGUUCCAUUAUCACUUCUAAUGAUCUUUACUUUGUCUUCAGAUCCAUGGUCCAGUUGCUUCACAUGAUCCAUCAGAUGCAAAGCUGUUUCAUCUUUAGAGUGAAGAAAAUAUACCCAAGUGUAUCUAGUAUACUCAUCAACAAUGACAAGAGCAUAUUUCUUCCUUGCAAUGGAUGGUACAUUAACUGGUCCAAAUAGAUCAACAUGUAGAAGAUGAUAUGGCUUCUUUAUUGAGAAUUCAGUCUUACUCUUGAAGGAUGUCUUUCUCUGCUUGGCCUUUUGACAUGAAUCACAUAGACCAUCUGAAGUGAGUAGUGAUUCAGGGAGUCCUCUCACAAGCUUUUUCUUUAUAAGCUCAUUUAUGGAGUUGAAAUUGAGAUGUGAGAGCUUCUUAUGCCACUUCCAACUUUCUUCUGCAGAGAUUCUUGUAGAUAAGCAAAUUGCUUUUCCUUCAGAGUUUGUAGGCAAGUUGAUUUCAUAAAUAUUUCCAUGUCUGUGAGCAAUCACUGCCACCUUGCCUGUUGACUUGCUUACUAUCUCACUGUGUUCUUCAUAGAAAUCAACAUGAUAUCCUCUGUCACAGAUCUGACUGACAGAGAGUAAAUUGUGUUUUAGCCCUUGAACAAGAGCUACAUUUGAUAUGAUGACAUUUCCAAGAUUGAUGUUGCCAUAUCCCAGAGUCCUUCCUAUGUUGCCAUCUCCAUAAGAAACACUUGGGCCAGCCUUCUCCACAAACUCUGACAGCAGGGCCUUAUUUCCAGUCAUGUGUCCUGAACAUCCACUGUCCAAGACUAGGAUAUUCUUCCUGUUGCCCUGCAAUCACAAAGACCACUAAUUGUUAGUUUUAAGGACCCAGACUUGCUUGGAUCCCUUGGCCUUAUUAAGUUUGUUAGCUUUUGCAGCGGAAUCUUUAUUAUUAUCAGAGUUUGAGCUAACAGACUUUGUAACAGAGUUUGAACUAGAAACAGAGUUUGUACUUGCAGAGUUUUUAUUAACCUUUAAAGAAGGUUUCAAUUGAUAAUAAUCAUAAUACAAACUAUGAUAUUCUUUGCAAGUAUAAAUAGAAUGCCAUAAACUACCACAAUGAAAACAUGGAUCUUGUGGUUUAUAUCUAAUACUACUUUUUCUAACUCCAGACUUUGUAGGUAAGGAGUUAAUGUCCUUGUUCUUCCUGCAAAAAUUAGCAAGAUGAUUAGUAUUUCCACAGUUAUGGCAUGUCUUCCUAGGUGCAUUUGGAAUAGGCAUGUAGUUAUUACUCUUGUCUAUUCCAACCUUGCCAUUUCUAUUUUUCCUAGGCUCCUUGUCUUUGUUAUCAGACUUUACCUCUUUAAGCUUAUGCUUAAGCUGUUUCUGAGUCAUCAGUCCUAUGUUAACCUGUUUGGGCUUAUCAGAUUUUAAAUUGUUGUUAAUCUCUGAUUCUGGUCUACUCUGUUUAGACUUAGAGGAUUCAGCAACAAAUUUAACAGGUUUAACCUUAGGUUUUUGAGUUUUAACAAACUCUGUUUUUGAUGACUCAGCUUCUGAGUUAUCAGUGUAACCUAGUCCCUUCUUCCAGUUUCCACUACCUAAGAUAUCCUGAGUAGUUUUGCCUGAAUUAGUCCAUGUCUUAAUAAUAUCCCUUUCCUUAGCAAGUUCUGAUUGAAGAGAUGCAUACCUCUUUAAUAAUUCAUCUUUGACAAUGACAGCAUCAUCUCUUUCUUUCUGAACUUCCAACAUCUGAACUAAUUCUUUUUCUAGAUAAUCAUUCCUUUUCUUUACACUUAGAGUUUCAGAUUUUAAUCUUUCAUUUUCUAAAGUCUGAUCUCUAAAGCUGAUAUGCAAAGUUUUAAGAAACAAUCUUAACUCAGUUAUAUCUUCAGUAUCAAAGGCAAGAGUAGAAUGAGGUACCUUAGCAGUAGAUUCAGAGUUGUUGUCAGUGUUUGCCAUCAGAGCAUAAUUGACUUCUUCUUCUGAAUCAGAUGUAUCUGUCCAGUUUCCUUUCUUGGUGAUAAAGGCUUUUUCUUUUUCCUUCUUGGCUUUCUUGCAUUCAGAUGCAAAGUGACCCUUUUCACCACAGUUGAAACAGGUAUACUUGUCAGCUUUUCCAGCUUUCCCUUCCUUGCCCUCAUUCUUCUUGAAGUUCUUCUUAUCAUAAACUCUGUCAGAGUUUCUGUCUUUCCUUGAAAAACUUUUGCCUUUGUUGAACUUUUUGUAGGCCAACUUCUUGAAGCUUUUCACCAUCAAUGCUGCUAACUAUAUCAUUUCACCAUCACUGUCAUCAGAGUCUGAGACAUCAGAGUUUGAGUCAUCAGAGUUUGAUGACUCAAUGUCAGACUUUGUGACAUGAGCUUUUCCUUUGCUCUUAGCAGCUUCCUCUUGAACUUUCAGAGCAACAGACUUUGAUUUGCCUCCAUGACGUUUGCUCCUUUGCUCCAUCUCAAGUUCAUGAGUCUUCAGUCUUCCAAAAACAUCAUCAAGAGACAUUUCUCCAAGAUCAAGAUUGUCUCUUAUUGUAGUGACUUUCAAAUCCCAUUUUUCAGGAAGAGCCAGAAGGAAUUUGAGGUUUGAGUCUUCAAGAUCAUAUUCCUUGUUCACCAGAGAUAAGUCAUUCAACAGUUUGACAAAUCUGUCAUACAGAUCUGUCAAGGACUCACCAGAUUUUGAGUCAAAGUGCUCAUACUCCUGUGUAAGGAUUGUUUUUCUGUUUUUCUUUAUGGCCUGAGUUCCCUGACAUCUGGUUUCCAGAGCAUCCCAGAUUUGUUUAGCAGUUUUGCACCCAAUCACCCUAUUAGACAUUGCAUUAUCAAGGGCACUGUGCAGAAGGUGUUUCACCUUAGAGUCUUUACCAAUUGACAAGAUGUCCUCAGGGGUAUAAUCUUUCUUUUCUUUUGGAACCAUCUUCUGAGGUUCAUCUGCAAGCCCAACAGAGAGCUUGGUGGGCAUAUGUGGUCCAUUAGGAGCUCUGAACGACUUCCAAUUACAUUUAGGACAUAAAUUUAGUGCCAUCGUCUUGCAGUACUAAAGUGUAACAUAGAUGAUUAGUUUUAGCAUGCCUAAACCAUCUUUCUCUUUAGCUACACAAUCAUCACCACUCCCAUCUUUCUGUUCAAACGCCAUCCACAUUAGAUACACCACUCCCCCUUCCCGGCGGCAUCCUUACCACUAUAACAACCAAAUCAAACCUAAUUAACCCCACAACAAACCCUCACACAUAUAAAUACACAUAUACAUAACCAAAUUAACUCUUAAUAACUUCAAAACACAAUAUAAAGCCCUAAUUAAAAGCUUUCAACAAAUCCUUGUACACAAACAGAAAUCAUAAGUAUCUAACCUCAAUUUGUAGCAAAUUAACACUUAAUAAGCAUAAUAAUAAGAAAUACAGUGAAAUAAAAUGUGAAGUGAAUUGUGCAUACCAAAUUGAGGUUAGAAUGUUAGAUACUUAAUGAUAAUCAUCUAUCAAACUGAAGGUGGAUUGUGAAUCAUACCUAAUGAUAAUCGUUCAUCAAAUUGAAUGGCAUCUUUGGAAGCUUCGAAGUUUUAGGGAAAGCUCGACUUGACUGUGUUUAGGACCCCUUCUGUUUACAGCCCAAGCCCUGCCACGUUUCAACACAAAAACAUAAAUGUACACUUGCAAAUAUACAUGAUCAAUAACAAUUAGAGAGUAUCGUUGAACAUAAAAUAAAAUUCUCCAAAUUCAAUUAUCUUAUACCUCUCCUGCUCUCAUCCACAACUUUCAUCAUUCCUUCAACAUUCAUUGGCCUCUACUGCUGUAAAUGCAAUUCAAAAGUGAUAACAAACUCUCUUCGAGCUUUUAUCAAACAGUAGGAAUGCAAUAACUUAAAAUCAUCCCGAAACAAAAAAACAGCACAACAAUAACUUAAAAUCAUCACGAAACACAAAUAGCACAAACACAAACAACUUAAGUUGUAUUUCAUACCUGAUUUUGUCUAAAAAACAUGAAAAAAACAGAAAGAGAGAUAUGUAGACAAUAGGAGAGAGGGAUUCAGGGAGAAAGAGAGGGAGGCAGAUAUAGAGACAGCCGGAGAGAGGGAGAAAGAGAGAGAAAGAGCUUCACGAAGGGAGACGGGGGACUUACGUGGAGAAUACGGAGGGUCAAGCGAUGAGAUCUGAAUACGUUUGAAUCCAAUCACACGCGAAUUUGAAAUUUGAAAUUGAAAUCAGAACAAAAGCAGAUUGUACUGGGCUAUAGAAACAGACUGUAUUUUCGUUUGUUUCCGAAAAAGAGAAUAAAUGUGAAUUUGCACGGGACAUGGGGAAAAGUAGUUCUGGUUACAUUACACAUAAGGAAAGUGUAUAUACAUACACAUCUGUGUGCAAGAGCUUUUCAAAAUCUAUUGUUGACUGUAGUGGCAAAAAGUGUAAAUAGGUAUGAAGAUUUGGGGUAGCUCCGGAUAGAAAGUGGCAAAAAGAGCCCAGAAUACAGGAUGUGGAAUGGCAUGAGUGUAAUUAAGCAUCAACUCUUGGGGUAGGGGGUGUAAAAAAGACUUCCAAAAGGCAACAGGAUUUAUAAUUUAAAGGAUUCAUAUUUAUCAAGACGACUUAGAAACACCGGUGAUCUUGGUUCUAGCAAGUAUAUAUGAAGGUUCAAAUGUGUGAAGGUUAGAUCAAAAUUUUCACUCGGCUCAAUCAUAUACACAUCUAAAUACAUUUAAUUUUUAAAUCUAUUUGGAAACAAUUUAUAAAACUACAGGAGAUAUCAGAUUUAUCAACACAACAGCAUCGAAAGUCUAUGUUAACCAAGUUUGAAUGUAGUAUAUAGCAUGAGACAUAGAUUCUUAUUUAAUUUGCUCAUCAUUCACACGUAAUCAUAUAACUGUAUAUUUGAUUUCAAAACAGUACGAGACUAAUUUUAAAAAUAAUUAUGUCGUUCUAGGCUUAAUCGUGAUAUAUAUGUAUCACUGCUAUAUCUCUGAUUAUAACAUCUCCAAGAUAGUUGAAUAAACGUACUACAAUAUUUAGAUUUUUAUGAAACAAUAAUGUAAUAAAGUAUUUCAAAUUAUGCUCACAUCCUUUAUAGACUAGGAGCUUUUCAUCCGGGCUAUGUUGAUUUUAAAUGAUAUUUUAUUUUAUUAAGUUUAAUUUUUAAUUUGGGAUUAUUUGAUGGUUUGAUUUUAUGUUCUUAAUCAUAAAAAUUAUUUCACAACGCCAAAAAAAGAACAACUACAAUAUCAGGACACCCGUGCGCGGAGCGCGGGCAAGAAAAUCUAGUCAUGGUAUAAUUUUAAUUAGAAAGGUUAAUUCAAGAAUUGUUAAUUAAUAAAAGAAAGUUGAGUAUUAACUGGCUUUGAUACAAGCCAUAACUUAAAAUUCGUAAGAGCUUUAGGAGUUGUAAUUGAUUUCAUAAUAUUAUAAUAAAUAGCAUAGAUUACUAUUUCUUUAAGAGGGUGAUUACUAAAUUCUUAUUUUAUGUGGUUUAGAAUAUAAAAUAUCUGGAAAAAGGCGGAGUCAAUUGUAUAUUAAAUUUCAGGAAUAAUACCGGCUAAGGACGUCAAGCAAGUUCACUAUCCCUGUCUUGACGUGAAAAUUUUCCAUGCCUAUUUCAUAAUUUUGUGAAAAGUGUUGAUUGUGAAGAUAUUACAUUUUGUACCAUUGUGAAUCGAGAAAAUAUCUCCGUUUCAUUUUGAAGUCUUUAAAGAUAUUGUUCAUAUAUUACUUUUCUAUAAUUCGAGCCCUCCCAUUGUUCAGGAAUGAGCUGAUCUAAUAACGAUAAUAUUUUGAAUCUUCGUGACUUGAUGUGAAUUCAUUGCAGCGAUGAUCUCAAUUUACUCCUUUUGGAGAUCAUCUUAUCCGUUGGAAUCUAAUUCUUUUAAUUAUCUUCCACUUCUGCAUUCGGGUAAUCUUUGUAUGACGAAAGGGUGCAUUGUUCGCACUUCUUUGAUUGAGAUGAGAAGUGUUUGUUUGGGAAAAUUUCCUUGUAUUCGGAGGAAUCUGUUCAAGCUGGUCAACACGAAUUUAUUAAAUUCGUGGUAGAGUUGAAAUUUACUAUCUGGUAAGGCAGAUAGUAGGGUUCCAAUGUUAAACCCUGAUGCUAGCAAAGAGAGUGUUGGUGGGUCUUUAGUGGUUACGAUCAAACCACUAGGACUACACAGGAGAACGGUAUUCAUGAAAUGGUGUUGAUCGAGCCAUGUAGUGUUACCGACAGGUGGAAGACUAGCAUUUUCUUUACUUAAAAUUGUGUUGUCAUUUGAUGGUAACUGUUUUGUUACUUUGACUUGAAUUGUCUUCUAUGUUAUAUUCGCAUAUCAUAUUAAAUUGUUGUUUUGUGCUAUGUGGACUUGCUGAGCAAUUAGUUGCUCAUUCUUGCAUCUACUUUAUUCCUUUUGAGCAGUAAAGAGUGAGUAUGGCACAACUCAAGAGAACCGCCUGGAAACGGGUUUUGGCAAGGAAAACGAGAAGGCACAUCAGAUGAGCUAAAGAUGCUAGGCAAUGUUGUUUGGUGGUACCAAUAAUAGUUAUUUUAAUAGUCUGUAAUCAGACUUGCUAUUAUGUAAUAAAGUUAAACUUGGUAGUAGUGUUAUAGAUGAUCGACCUUGGACUUGUGGGGUAAAAGUUGGUUUGUAUAAUAUUAGAUAGAAUGUAAUGCAAGUGUUGUUUUGAGCUAGAUGUUUAGUGACGAACCAGAUCUGCGGGAUGCGGAUCUAGGGGCGUCACAGUUUUAUAUGUAAUAUAAACUUCUAUUAAGAUAUUUUCACGUCGUUCUCUUAAUUUUUUUUGUUAAUAUGUAUUCGUAUGGCAUGAUUUUAUAUAUAUGUGACACCAACUUCUAUUAGAUUAUAUUUACGAAUGUGUUUUAUAUUAGGACAAUGAUAUCUAAUAUAAUAUAUUUAUUUUUUUAAAUAUUUAUAUCGUUCAAGAAAGAAAAUUGGUAUUCUUAAUUUGUCAUGGAUUAAAAAAAAUUAUAAACUUGCAAACAGAAGGGGGAAUUCGUUUUGGAUUAAGAAAAUGUGUUUUGUGCUCGUUCCCACAUUAGUGCUACACUUGUUACGGGUAAGCUUCCUAAUCAUGUUUCUACCACAAACAGUCUGCAAAGUAAAUCAUUGAAAUACACAAAUUACAGUAAAAUUGUUUGAAUCAAUGACUAGUUUCAUCCAGAAAAUACAGUAUAGAUUUGUUUAACUACAAAUAUAUUUGUUGUAGAACUAAAAACGGGGGUGAGCGAUUCGUGCUUUGGACUGGUCUCGAUGCGAGAUGCCUACGUAUCCUCUGCUAGGAGAAGAAUCAAGUCCAAAACGUAGUUCUAGUUAUGAGGGGUAGAGCCCUUUAUAUAGGCGCUUCGGAGUCAGAAGUCGGAUGGAAGUAAGAUUCCGUGUAUCAGACUUCUUAUCGAAGUAUGCCUCGAGGCAAGAGAUAGGAUAGAACUCUUAUCCUUUCGUUGCUGAUAUUUAUCCGAACUCCGGGAUGUUUAUCUGUUAGAAUCAGAUGUAUUAUAGAAUUUGGACUUGUAACUGGUCCUCUGACUGGGCCUCUAUUAAUUAAUUACGAAAUUAAUUAAUAUUUAAGAGCCUCAGGCCCUAUUUAACUGGGCUUCAGUGUUCUUGGGCUUUUAAUAUCUAAUAAUAAUUAAAUAUUACUUCUGACCCAUAUCAUUUGCCCCCCAACUUUCGACAAGUUUUGUAAAAACUUUUCAAAAGUUGCUGAUAUCCUAUCAGCUUUCUGAGCUUUAAACACCAUGCGAGAAAACUUACUUCUCCUAAUUCUUGUUAUCCAAGGUCUGAAGUUUCAUAAAUAGCGCAAGGAUCUCAUUGACAAUUCGAGAGAUGAUUUGACCAUGUAGUAAAGAUAACUCUGUUUCGUAUCCUUCGGGAUUUUCGACUGGAAUAUCGGAAGACACGAGUCCUUUUUAUGACCUUCCUAGUAGUUUUCGCAUUAUUACGGGUCUUUUGUACAACGAGUAUCCUUCUCGGAUUUAUGCUUGUCACGCUGCUCUCGAGCAUUUUUGUAUUUUUCCCGAGGCUUAAUUCAAUUAAAUCGGAAUUUCUGCAAUUAAAUUCCAAUUUUCUAGAAUUUUUCGAGCCCUUAAAGAAUUUUAAAAAUCUCAAUUCUAUGAUUUUUCCUGAAUUUUCAGGAUUUUUACCAUAUAUAUAUUUUUUUUGUUUUUGGGGAAGGCUCACUAGUCAGGUGGCUCCCUUGGCGUUGGUAAUCCACGCCAAGGAGGUAUCAACGCAUCCACGCCAAGGAGGCUUUGCUUCCUAGGCGCGGCUGGUCUCACAAGAAUCAACAAAGAAAUGCUCCCUUGGCGUUGGUAUACCACGCCAAGGAGACAUAUGUACGAGCACGCCAAGGAGACAAGGCUUCCUAGGCGUGGUCGGUCUAGCAAGACUCAACAAAGAAAUGCUCCCUUGGCGUUGGUGUACCACGCCAAGGAGACAUAUGUACAAGCACGCCAAGGAGACAAGGCUUCCUAGGCGUGGUUGGUCUCACAAGACUCAACAAAGAAAUGCUCCCUUGGCGUUUGUAUACCACGCCAAGGAGACAUAUGUACAAGCACGCCAAGGAAAAUCUUGUUUUCUAGGCGUGGUUGGUCAUUCAUGACUUAACAAGGAAAUGCUUCCUUGGCGUUGGUGAUCCACGCCAAGGAGACAUACACAUAUCCAGGCCAUGGAAAUCCUGCUUCCUAGGCGUGGUUUGUCGCUAACUUGAUUUUGCCGGAUCCUGUGGGCCAAGGUCUAUGUCUGAUAGGCCUAUGUAGCUUAAUUUUCCUUUUCUUUUUACUUAGACAUCUCCAGAUCCUUCCAGAACGAUCGAGGCACAUCUGAAAAGUUUGAAUUUCAUGGGCUUCCCGCUUGGACAAAGCCCAUUCACCGGCUAGGGGCCCAUUUGACCGCAAAUAGACGGUAACCCUAGAGUUUACCGGCUGUUGAACCGGUUAGAGCUCCCUAUAUAUUAGAGUGACUUGGGAGUUCAUUUCCCUCAUUCACCAAAAUUUUCAAAUCUCGGAGCCUAAAUACUCUCCCAAACCCUCUCAACUUUCUAUAGUUUUCAGGCGAGUUUUCAGGCGAGUUUCCCGGCAAUCUUCAAGAAGAUCCCAGUUUUCGGCCGAUAUUCAAGCAAUUUUCCAGUUUCCGAUCAAUCUUCAUCUUUUCUCCAUCAUUUUCUGGAUUUGAAGCAUUCAUCCGAAGAACAUCAAUGGCGGACUCCAGUUCUUCUCAACAAUCUCAACUUUCCCAGCCCUCAACCGCUCAUCCUCGCGCGAACCGAGGUAAAAAGAAAUCCCUAGUCCAUGCUAGUGUUUUUUCACUUAGGGAUUUACUUUCUGAAUUCGGGGAAGCUUUCCCUAAUUUGUUGCAUUUAGAAGCAUAUAAGUUUCCUUCGAAAUAUGAUCAAAAGGCCGUAGAUACUAUAGCUGUAGCCUUUGGGAUAAAUGGGCCAUACAGGGCUGAGGCUCCGGGCCCAAAUGACAGGUCUUGUUAUCCAAAGCCCGGGGCCCUUAGGAUUUAUAAGGAAACUCUUUAUGCUGGUUUUAGGUUUCCUCCGCCCAUGUUCGUUUGUAGGCUCUUAGCUGAGGCCCGUAUUUGUCCUACCCAACUUCAGCCCAACGGGUGGAAGUUUAUUUACUGUUUUCUAGUUCAAUGUAGAAAGCAUAAUUUGGAGCCCAGCGUAGCUGUUUUUAGGUACUUUUUCAAAUUUGUAAAUGCACCCAACGAUGAGGGCUGGGUUAAAAUUCAAAAUAGAAAUGUGGCCCGUAGUAUUUUUGUUCCUGACACGGCCCCUGACUCCCUCCCAAAUUGGAAAAAACAAUGGUUUUAUGUUUAUAUGGAGGGGGCCAGUUGGGAGGAUUGCUUCUUUUCCAACUUUAGUCGGGCCGAAGACGGGCCCGUUAGGUCCCUCAAGUUGGGCUUAGAAGAAGAGGCCGCCAUUCUCAUCUUGAUGGGAGACAACCUUCACCAUUGCUCUCUCCUACUUUCCGAGGCCUCACUUCAAGCACAUGGGCUUAGCGAUUUAGGCCCAAAGGGUAUCCCCUUUAAUCCUUAUUAUUUUUUUUUAUUUUUACGAAAUUGAUUAUGGGUCGUAACUUAUUUGCUCAUUUUUUCUUUUUGCAGCUCUUGCCACUUUGGGCAAUAUUUUCAAGAAAAGGGAGACGGCCGCUUCGAAGACCGUUCCCGUGGAAAAGGUCCGCACUAAGCGGCCCAGGAAGGAGGGCGGUUCUCCUAUUGUGGAGAAGGUUCCGGCCUUUAUGGCCGAGAGGCCCAUUGCCAUCGAUGAGGAUCCAAAUCCUUACGUGGUCCAAUGGGGCCUUUUAAACAAAGACACCAUUGUGGGCGACACUCGGGCCGCCGCAGAGUGGUCGAGGAAUGUUGUGACUCCGAGGGACAAGGCCCACGUGGUCGAGUCCUCGGACGACUUGCAGAUUGAGCUUCUAGGAGCUCAGGCCGUGGCGUCGGUAAGACAUUCUCAGCCUUUUAUGUAUCUUGUAAUACUUUGUCUUUAUUUAUUUCUCUUAACGUCUUUCUUUUCUUGUUUUCACCAUCUUGUAGGUCAAUACCUACCUUCAGGCUGCCCUCCACAACCUGAGGGAGGUGAGGACCGAGAAGACGAUCGCCGAGCGGGAUCGUGAUAGGUACCUCGAGUCUUCCACAACCAACUUCGAACGCUUUCGCGAGGUGGAAAAGGAGUUGGCGGCCGAGAAGGAGAGGGUUCGAACCCUGGAAGCCGAGCUGGCUCGAGUCCGAACGGAGGCAAUCGAGGACUUCAAGAAGUCCAAGGAGUACGAGGAUCUGAUGGCGGCCGAGUACGACGCCGCCUUCCCGGAGACCUUCAAGAACUGCUGGGAGGCCAUCAUCGGAGAGCUCAGCUCUAAGAUCGAGGGGGUUACCCUGGAGAAGUUCCCUGUUCCCUCGAUUCCGGGGAAAACCUCAGAAUCCUCAGAGGACCUCGAGGAGACGGAGUUCGGGGAUUCCCACCCAGUCGAGACCCAGGAUGAGGAGGCUCAGGAUGGGGUCGAUUCUCCUAUGGCUGAGGAUACCGAGAAGGAAGAGGAGAUCCCUGAGGAGGAGGAGGACGAGGAGGUCCCCGUGAAAGCGGCUGAGGCGAAAGGGGGGAACGACAUCUUUGAUGAUGGUCUGCCUUAGAUUAGGUGGCUUUAGUUUGUAUAUAUUUAUUCGAAUAUUUAUGUCAACCCUUCGGGGUUUAACUCUUUUAUUAAUUUGUCAACUUUAUCUAUCAAGUUAACUUCUUUUGCAUAUCAUGCUUUUAGCUUCGUAGUAUUUUUCCACUUCGAGCUUUUUAUCCAGGUUGAUUCAUACCUAGAAUUUCUAUCUUUAAUCAUGUGAGUUCAACUUAGAACUUGUGAACUUUUCAUCAAAGAAAGCACAAGUACAGGUAAAAAUGACUUGGACAAACGAGCUAGAUAAUCCUCAGGACUUUAUUAAUAUAUUAGUAAAAGAGAUAAACUACUUUCGGAAAUCAACUACAUGGCAGUGGUCAACAUGACCUUAUUCUUGUGGUAACUACUACUUCCACUAUCAUAGGAUAAGCAUCAGAUAUAAUAUAUCUUCAAGUUGGUCGCAUGCCAACUUCUGGGGACUUCAACUCCUUCCAAGGUUUGAAGCUUGUAUGAGCCAUGGCCUGUGACAGUUUUAAUUUGGUAGGGGCCUUCCCAAUUUGGAGCCAUCUUGCCUUUGGGACCUACCCCAGAAGCUUCAAUUUUUCUAAGUACCAGAUCUCCUUCCCGGAAGUAUCGCUCCUUAACCCGUAGGUUAUAGUAAUAGGAAGCUCGUUUCUGGUUUACCACAAUCUUAGCAUGAGCUUCGUCACGAACCUCAUCAAUCAUAUCAAGCGCAAGUCUCAUACCUUCUUCAUUGGCUUCUGGCUCAUACUGCUGGACCCUGUAGGAUGUAUGAGUGAUUUCAAGUGGCACCACUGCCUCGGCUCCAUAAGCCAGCUGAAAGGGGGUUGCCCCAGUUGAAACCUUGCAAGUGGUUCGAUACGCCCAUAGUAUAGGAAGUAUGUCAUCGGGCCAUGACCCCUGGGCCUUCUCAACUCUUUUCUUCAGUCCAUCGAGGAUUAUUAUAUUGGCCACCUCAGCUUGUCCAUUAGCUUGAGGGUGAGCAACUGAAGUAAAGCGUAACUCAAUCGAGUAAUCCUCACAAUAACUUUUAAACUUAGCGUUAUUGAACUGAGUCCCAUUGUCUGUAACCAUGACUCGAGGUAUUCCGUAUCUGCAAAUGAUAUUUUCCCACACAAACUGAGCAACCUGCUUGGUGGUUAUCUUGGCCAGUGGUUUGGCCUCAAUCCACUUAGUAAAAUAGUCAAUAGCUACCAAUAGAAACUUCCUUUGCGCGCUAGCAAGUGGAAAAGGUCCAAGAAUAUCCAUCCCCCACAUUGCGAAGGGGAUAGGAGUAUUGAUAGAUGUCAGCAUCUCAGGUGGCUGUCGUACAACAGGUGCAAACCUUUGACAACGAUCACACCUUUUCACAUAGUCUUGAGCGUGCUUUAGCAUAUCUGGCCAAUAGAAUCCAAGGCGAGUCACUUUAUGAGCCAAUGCUCUUCCACCAAGGUGUUGGCCACAUACCCCUUCAUGAACUUCUCUAAGGGCUUCUCGAGCCUCAUCCGGCCUCAAACAUCUUAAAUAAGGGAUCACAAACGAUUUUCUAUAUAAGACCCCCUCAAUGAGUACAUACUUAAGGGCCCUUACCUGUAAUUUUCGUGCUUCAUCAGCAUUAGGCGGCAGAUGACCGCUUUGUAAAUACAACUUAAUCUCAUCCAUCCAAGUGGCCCCUGUGUCAAUGGGGGCAAUUAACUUUGCUUCGAUGCUAGGGGUUCUUAAAACCUGAUAAUAAACGCUUCCUGAGCAUACCUCAUCAUCGGAGGAUGCAAAUUGCGAUAAGGCAUCAGCCUUGGUGUUCUCCUCCCUUGGCACAUAUUCUACCAGGCAUUCUUCGAAUAGUGCCAUCUGGGUCUUUACAAUCCUUAGAUAUUUCAGCAUAGUCUCCUCACGGGCUUCAAACUCACCAUUCACUUGGAAGACUACAAGCUUUGAGUCACCAUAGACCUUCAAAUUCUUAACCCUCAAGGUUCUAGCUAGACCAAGUCCAGCUAUCAAUGCUUCUGAUAAGUGGUAUUUAUACACACUUAUAGGCCUUCAUUUCCACUUAAAUUGGUUGGUUGUACUUAAGUGUUUAGUGUCUUUUGAUGUGUUUUUAUUGUUUUUCUGUGCAGGUCACGAGUUGAGGUGAUGAAGUGAUUUUCUAUCAUUUUAGGUUGUUUUUGGUGCAUUAUUUGCAAGAAUAGAGAAUUGUGGAUUCAUCACGACUUGGGAUUUUGUGGGUACAUCUUCUACAAACCCUCACGAGAACACACUCGUCCACUAGAGCUAUCUAGGGGUUUAAAGGGCUUGUUGCAUGUGCUAAAUGCAACCGUGAUCACCUACGGAAGUGGUACUAGAGCGAGGAAGGGCAUGCACGCGAGAACGAGCUAAAAAACGAAGAAACGGGCUGCCAGUGGCAGACAGUAGCGCGCCCGCGCUAGAUCUUAGCGCGCCCGCGCUAGCUACUGUCCCACUAGCGCGCCUGCGCUAGUUUAGCGCGGCCGCGCCCAGCAGAGUUGUUCCGGGCCGAUUUUUGGAGCUUUUCUGAUGGAUUUUAGCAGCGGUCAAGGCCCGGUUGACUUGGUCAAUGUAUCUAAUUUCUCAUGUGUAAAAACCCUAGCCUCACUUGUAUCGUAGAAUAUCGGAAUAUAGUUUUAUCAGUUUUUCUCUUGUAAUAAAACACAUUAGUGAAUUGUAUUGGAUCGUUCUUCGCGAGGAAGUGACAGUUUCGAGCGAGAUCGUGAACAUCAAUUCUGUAACGUUGUGUUCUUAUUUAUUAAUUCAAGCAAUUGUCUUAUGUUUAAUUCUCGUCUUUUAUUUAUCAUGUUUUCAUUAGAACCCAUGAUGUCGAUUAGUUCGAUUAUGAACUAACCGCCUUCAUGGGAUUCUAAUGGAUUUAUCGAUGUAGUCUAGUAACGAAUAUUAAUUACUUGAUUUUGUGACGUACGUUGAUUUCUUUGCAUGAGCCGUGCUUAUUCUUCUUAGGAGCGUAGCUAACUUCUAAGUUGUUUGUUAAUUCUUUCUGAAGCGAGAGUGGAUGAUUGAAUUUAGAACUAUGCCAUGUAAACAUAGGAUUAUGUGAAUGAAACAUAAUUUGUGGUAGACUUGAACUAUUUUUAUCACCCUGUGUAAUCACGAUAGACGACUUGCUAUUAAACCUCUCUGCUUACACUACCGCUAUAGAGAUAUAGGGUCUGAGCUUUGUUGGUGUCCAUGAGAUUUCUGUCUUAAUUGUGGAUUUUGAUUGGUAUGAUAUGUGUGCAACGAGAGUUGGCAUGUAUUGCUUUCGUGUUGUCUGAUUAGGAUCAACAGUCGCAUGAUAAUCAGUAAUUUCAAUUCUAGAUGAAUUCGAUAAUGAAGUUAGAAUCCCAUGUGUUUUCCUAUUCUGAAUUUGAUUAGUAAAUUUAGUUAUUAGUAUAAAAGAACCCAUCCUUGUUAAUUGUCUUGGCAGUGAAAAUUACUCAUACAUUGUUGCAUAGGUGCGUAUUCUUAAUUCACCAGUCUCUGUGGGAUCGAACUUAAUAUAUUACUUGUGAUCACGUGCGCUUGCGUGUAGAUUUUUGCGAACAAGUUUUUGGCGCCGCUGCCGGGGACUCGGUGUUAAUUAAUUAGUUUAUGUACUUGUCAUCAGUGUGCAUUAAAAUUCACUGACUAGGAUUCUAUUCUCUUCUCACUUUUCUUCUUUUCUUUAUUUCAGGUACUUGAGUCGCGUUAUGCUAACACGUUCUAAAGCUCGUAAGGAAGCAAUUGAUUCAUCUUCUUCUUCUGAUUCUGAAACAAUGGAGUAUGCAAAGACAACAGUUGAUGAGGCGUCACAGGAAUUUUCUCGUUUGAAUAUCAAUGAUAACCAAGCUGAGACAAUUGAGCCAGCGAUAUCAGCCAGUGGUAUUCGAAUUAAGCCAUCAAUCAUUCUCAGGCUGCAGGAUACUAUUCAAUUUGGGGGGUCUGUUCAUGAGGACCCAAACCUGCAUCUAAGGAAAUUCGAGGAAUUCAGUAUUGCAUUGGAUUUCAAUAUCGGACCUAAGGAUCUGGUGAAGCUGAGACUCUUUCCAUUCACGCUACGUGAUGUAGCACGAUCGUGGUUUCUCUCUCUCUCGGCAAGCACUACUAAUAGCUGGAACAAGUUGGAGAAAAUAUUCUGUACCAGGUUUUAUCCUCUAAUUAAAGUAUCAGCUAUCAGAAACACCGAAAGUAAAUUCUCUCAAUUCUCAGGAGAAUAUCUUUGUUUAGCUUGGGACCGGUUCAAGAAAAUUCUCGAAAAUCUCAAUGAAGAUGGCAUGCCUCCUGGAAUGGCAAUUCAUUAUUUCUACAGGGGUCUUAAUGGUCAAUGUAGAGCAGAGUUAGACGUGGCAGCUGGAGGAAAUCUGUGGAGCAAGAGCUUCGAUGAAGCUUACGUACUGAUAGAGAACCUGGCUGCUGCCGAGCACAGAGACCUAAAGUGGAAAAUUCCAAGAGAGGAAGAAUCAGAGGAUGAUGAAGCGGUCGAAGUCACUCAGGAACUUCAGAUGACUAAUUGGCACAGAAUUAGAGCUCACUCCGACUCAAUUCCUAAUGCAUGUGGAGACACUUGUCCUCUACUUUCUACCAGUGCGAGUAGCCAAUCUGUAAUUCAAUCACCUGCUGAUUCAACAUUGAAUGAAGCACAGUACCGAAGGAUAAUCCGACGAAUUGACGCGGUUGAAGAACGAAUCGGUCGCUUUGCUGAUAUCUUAACAGACUCUCUUGCUGAAGCAUUCUUAGCACUAGAUGUUAAUGUUACUUGGAAUUCGUUUGGUUAUGGAACGAGGUAUCCUCCACAGGAUACUUCAUCGGAAUCGGAUUAAUUCAGGACUUCACGUCGAGCUAACGACGUUAAACAAGCGCUUCGCGGGAGGCAACCCACGCACUGGAACCAGGUUGUACCGUUGUAAACCUCAAAAACACUAAAAACGAGAAAAAUCAGCCCUGAGUGUCAGACACUAGCGCGCCCGCGCUAGUGUCCAGCGCGCCCGCGCUAAAGUGCACAGCGCGCCCGCGCUACACUUAGCGCGGCCGCGCUACUGACUGCCAGAAACUCGAUUUUUCUCCCAAAAAUAUUUUCUUUUCGUUUUUAAAAGCCCACAAUCCUAAUUUUGCAUGCCUAGCCCGAAAUAUAUCCUCCAUAACCCUAACUCAGCUCUCAAAAUCCUAUAUAAACACAAAACCCAUCUCCAAUUCCUAUUCUAAUUCUAUAAACCCUACUUAUAUAUAUACACAUCCAUACACACAACCACCACCAAAUCUCUCAAACCCACUACACACAAAUCUCUUGCAACUCUAAAUCUCUAUCAAUGGCACCCAAAAGAGCCCGAAGAUCACAAGGACCAAGCACCCAAGCCCCUACAUCUAGCGAUUCUUCCUCGAUGGGUGAGGUUGAGUUCACCUCCGAUGGUGCACGAACCGAGUUUCAACGGCUUAUGAAUAAGUCGAUAGUUAAGGAGAGGGGAUUCUUACCCACGGCGGAAGAUGGUGAGCUCUUGAACAUGAUUCAAGAAAGGGGUUGGGAGUCUUUUUGCGAGGCUCCGGAGGCGGUUCCCUUGGCUAUUAUUCGAGAGUUUUAUGCUAAUGCCAAGGAGAAUCGCGAUGGAUUCACGGUGGUGCGAGGAAUCCGUGUGGAUUAUAGUGCGGAGGCGAUCCGUAGAGUGAUUGGGGGGCGUGCCAAGCGCCGUAAUGAAGAAGAUUGGGUUGUUGAGAGGAUCGGGCGUGCCAAACGCCGGUUUGAUGAUGAUCCGGUUGAUCUUGAGCGGUUGGUGUAUGAUAUGUGUGUGCCGGACACGACUUGGAAGAUGACUGCACCUCCUUUGCCGGCACAUGUUUCGUUUCCAGCAGCCGCGUUGAACCGGUAUGCGAAGGCGUGGAACGCCUUCAUCUGUGCUAACAUCAUGCCAUCUUCACAUGGGCAUGAGGUGACAGUGGAUAGAGCUAUUCUGCUCUUUGGGAUUGUCUCGGGCAAGUAUAUUGAUCUGGGACAUGUUAUUCAUCAGGGGAUUCUGAGGUUCUUACAGGGAGGAACCACUGGUGCCAUUCCAUACGGCACAAUUGUUACGAAGCUCUGUCGAUCAAGCGGUGUUCGUUGGCCAGCCAACGAGCAAUUACAGUUGCCAGCAGCACCUAUUGAUCAUUCGGCGAUCAGCCGGAUGACGGAGUGGGAAGGAGCCGUUCCUCACCCUCGAGGACUCGGUUACAUAUAUGAUGAGAUGCCAGGGGGACGUCCAGGGUUUAUUAGGAGAGUGCGGACUAGAGCUUCUGGAGCUGGUACUUCUCAGACGGAGAGGAGCUCCGAGCCUAUGGGAGAUGUUCAUUAUCGCCGACUAGCGAGACGGAUGGACACUAUGCAUGACAUCCACCAGAGGUUUGCAUUUGACUUGACACAAGCUCUUGGUAAUGCUUUCCAGGCACAGGGGGUCACAGUUCAGUGGCCAGUAUUCGGAGCAGGGAUGCAGUAUCCUCCACCUGAUUCACCUCCAGCAGAGGAGGGGGAGGACUCGGACUCCGAGUAGGUAUGUGGGUGCUCUAGCCUUUUUACCGCUUUCAAUGGGGACAUUGUAAUUUAAGUUUGGGGUGGUAAUCUAAGGAAGAGCAUAUUAUUAUGUAGUUUAUUAUUGCAUGUGUUAGUUAGUUCAUGUAGUUCACGUUUUUUUAUUUUGCUUUUUAUUUUUUUUUCUCACGUUUUCUUUCUAUUUUUCUCAAAUUUUUUAUUUUACAUGUUUAGUAGUAAUUGUCGUAGUUAGUAUCACGAGCAUUUGCAUGAAUUAUGAAGUUAAACCAAGUCAAUUGCCUAUGAUGAGUUAUGUGCGUAGUUCUUGAUUAGUAGUUUCAAUUGCAAUGCUAGGUUAGUACUUGGAAAUUGCUUGUGUUGGAAAUUGUAAUUCACAUAUGUUCUUGAGAUAGGAUUUAGACGAAAUUCCAUGAAUUCUAGGAUUGAAUUGAGCACCCUUCAGCUUAGGUCUGUAAAUCUUAAGUUUGGGGGAACUGAGGGGUAGAUAUGCCUUUCUAAAAAAAAAAAAAAAAAAUAUAGAAAAAAAAAAAAAAAAAAAAAAAUAGUAGUAAAUAAAUUCACUAAAAAAAUAAGUGGUAGAAUUAACUAGGUUGAGCUCAUUAGUACUCGAGUAAUUAAGUCUGAGGGGACUUUGUGCCUAACAACCUAAAGCCCUUCGUGGUUUGGGAUUGUUGACCCAACGCUCGCUACAUGGGUACUAGUGCAUAAAUCUUUAGGGAUCUCAACCAUUGCACGGUUAAAUAAACCACUAGAAUAGAGUGAAUAAUUGGUGUGUGAAGUCUUGUGGUGUUCGUAACGCAUUUACACUGCGAAGCGCUCUGACCUUAGACCGAGCAAUUAAUCACCAAAAAAAAAAAAAAAAAAAUAUAGUGAAUACAAUAGAAGGUUGUGGACAUUCUUUGGGACCUUGGCUUUUAGUUGGACUUGAGUGACGGGGUGUUAGUUUUAAACUUUUACGAUUCUUGAUGGGGAUUCUGUGGGAGUAGUAGUUUUUGUCUUGUCUCAAUAAAAGAGCAUGCUUGCACACACUGGCACUCCACACUUGUAAAUAGAAGAGUAAUUGACUUAGUAGCGAGAGAGAUGAAAUUCGAGAACAUUAGCACAAUCUGAGGUAUUAUAAUUGGCAAGGCAAUUACUUCAUAGUUUACUCAUUCCUCACGUAGUUGCAUUCGUGCAUUGCAUUGUAUUAUUGUAUAGUGUCGUUGACGCUUGAGGACAAGCAUCAGUUUAAGUUUGGGGGUGUGAUAAGUGGUAUUUAUACACACUUAUAGGCCUUCAUUUCCACUUAAAUUGGUUGGUUGUACUUAAGUGUUUAGUGUCUUUUGAUGUGUUUUUAGUGUUUUUCUGUGCAGGUCACGAGUUGAGGUGAUGAAGUGAUUUUCUAUCAUUUUAGGUUGUUUUUGGUGCAUUAUUUGCAAGAAUAGAGAAUUGUGGAUUCAUCACGACUUGGGAUUUUGUGGGUACAUCUUCUACAAACCCUCACGAGAACACACUCGUCCACUAGAGCUAUCUAGGGGUUUAAAGGGCUUGUUGCAUGUGCUAAAUGCAACCGUGAUCACCUACGGAAGUGGUACUAGAGCGAGGAAGGACAUGCACGCGAGAACGAGCUGAACACGAAGAAUCAGGGCUGCCAUGACAGACAGUAGCGCGCCCGCGCUACUUGUUAGCGCGCCCGCGCUACCUUCUGCUGCCACUAGCGCGCCUGCGCUAGUUUAGCGCGGCCGCGCCCAGCAGAAGUGCCCCGGGCCGAUUUUUGGAGCUUUUCUGACGGAUUUUCGCAGCGGUCGAGGCCCGGUUGACUUGGUCAAUGUAAUUUAAUUUCUCGUGUGUAAAACCCUAGCCUCGUAGAAGUAGUUUAGUAGAGAACAAUAUCGUAGUUUCAGUUUAAUCAUUCAAGCACAUUAUCAGUUUGUAUUGGAUCGUUCUUCGCGAGGAAGUGACAGUUUCGAGCGAGAUCGUGAACAUCAAAUCUGUAACGUGUGAUCUUUAUUAUUAAUUCAAGCAUUUUUAUUCCGUUUAAUUCUUGUCUUUUAUUUAUCAUGUUUUCAUUAGAACCCAUGAUGUCGAUUAGUUCGAUUAUGAACUAACCGCCUUCAUGGGAUUCUAAUGGAUUUAUCGAUGUAGUCUAGUAACGAAUAUUAAUUACUUGAUUUUGUGACGUACGUUGAUUUCUUUGCAUGAGCCGUGCUUAUUCUUCUUAGGAGCGUAGCUAACUUCUAAGUUGUUUGUUAAUUCUUUCUGAAGCGAGAGUGGAUGAUUGAAUUUAGAACUAUGCCAUGUAAACAUAGGAUUAUGUGAAUGAAACAUAAUUUGUGGUAGACUUGAACUAUUUUUAUCACCCUGUGUAAUCACGAUAGACGACUUGUUAUUAAACCUCUCUGCUUACACUACCGCUAUAGAGAUAUAGGGUCUGAGCUUUGUUGGUGUCCAUGAGAUUUCUGUCUUAAUUGUGGAUUUUGAUUGGUAUGAUAUGUGUGCAACGAGAGUUGGCAUGUAUUACUUUCGUGUUGUCUGAUUAGGAUCAACAGUCGCAUGUUAAUCAGUAAUUUCAAUUCUAGAUGAAUUCGAUAAUGAAGUUAGAAUCCCAUGUGUUUUCCUAUUCUGAAUUUGAUUAGUAAUUUUAGUUAUUAGUAUAAAAGAAACCAUCCUUGUUAAUUGUCUUGGCAGUGAAAAUUGAUCAUACAUUGUUGCAUAGGUGCGUAUUCUUAAUUCACCAGUCUCUGUGGGAUCGAACUUAAUAUAUUACUUGUGAUCACGUGCGCUUGCGUGUAGAUUUUUGCGAACAAGUUUUUGGCGCCGCUGCCGGGGACUCGGUGUUAAUUAAUUAGUUUAUGUACUUGUCAUCAGUGUGCAUUAAAAUUCACUGACUAGGAUUCUAUUCUCUUCUCACUUUUCUUCUUUUCUUUAUUUCAGGUACUUGGGUCGCGUUUAUGCUAACACGUUCUAAAGCUCGUAAGGAAGCAAUGGAUUCAUCUUCUUCUUCUGAUUCUGAAACAAUGGAAUAUGCAAGGACAGCAGUUGGUGAGGCGUCACAUGAAUUUUCUCGUUUGAAAAUCAAUGAUAAUCAGGCUGACACAAUUGAGCCAGCGAUAUCAGCCAGGGGUAUUCGAAUUAAGCCAUCAAUCAUUCUCAGGCUGCAGGAUACUAUUCAAUUUGGGGGGUCUGUUCUUGAGGACCCAAACCUGCAUCUAAGGAAAUUCGAGGAAUUCAGUAUUGCAUUGGAUUUCAAUAUCGGACCUAAGGAUCUGGUGAAGCUGAGACUCUUUCCAUUCACGCUACGUGAUGUAGCACGAUCGUGGUUUCUCUCUCUCUCGGCAAGCACUACUAAUAGCUGGAACAAGUUGGAGAAAAUAUUCUGUACCAGGUUUUAUCCUCUAAUUAAAGUAUCAGCUAUCAGAAACACCGAAAGUAAAUUCUCUCAAUUCUCGGGAGAAUAUCUUUGUUUAGCUUGGGACCGGUUCAAGAAGAUUCUCGAAAAUCUCAAUGAAGAUGGCAUGCCUCCUGGAAUGGCAAUUCAUUAUUUCUACAGGGGUCUUAAUGGUCAAUGUAGAGCAGUGUUAGACGUGGCAGCUGGAGGAAAUCUGUGGAGCAAGAGCUUCGAUGAUGCUUACGAACUGAUAGAGAACCUGGCUGCUGCUGAGCACAGAGACCUAAAGUGGAAAAUUCCAAAAGAGGAAGAAUCAGAGGAUGAUGAAGCGGUCGAAGUCACUCAGGAACUUCAGAUGACUAAUUGGCACAGAAUUAGAGCUCACUCAGACUCAAUUCCUAAUGCAUGUGGAGACACUUGUCCUCUACUUUCUACCAGUGCGAGUAACCAAUCUGUAAUUCAAUCACCUGCUGAUUCAACAUUGAAUGAAGCACAGUACCGAAGGAUAAUCCGGCGUAUUGACGCGGUGGAAGAACGAAUUGGUCGCUUUGCUGAUAUAUUAACGGACUCUCUUGCUGAAGCAUUCUUAGCACUAGAUGUUAAUGUUACUUGGGAUUCGUUUGGUUAUGGAACGAGGUAUCCUCCACAGGAUACUUCAUCGGAAUCGGAUUAAUUCUGGACUUCACGUCGAGCUAACGACGUUAAACAAGCGCUUCGUGGGAGGCAACCCACGCAUUGGAACCAUUUUGUACCAUUGUAAACCUCAAAAACACAAAAAUCGAGAAAUUUCGGCCCUGGGUGUCAGACACUAGCGCGCCCGCGCUAGUGUCCAGCGCGCCCGCGCUAGAGUGUACAGCGCGCCCGCGCUACACUUAGCGCGGCCGCGCUACCGACUGCCAGAAACUCGAUUUUUCUCCCAAAAAUAUUUUCUUUUCGUUUUUAAAAGCCCACAAUCCUAAUUUUGCAUGCCUAGCCCGAAAUAUAUCCUCCAUAACCCUAACUCAGCUCUCAAAUCCUUAUAUAAACACAAAACCCAUCUCCAAUUCCUACUCUAAUUCUAUAAACCCUAAUUAUAUAUAUACACAUCCAUACACACAACUACCAUCAAAUCUCUCAAACCCACUACACACAAAUCUCUUACAACUCUAAUCUCUAUCAAUGGCACCCAAAAGAGCCCGAAGAUCACAAGGACCAAGCACCCAAGCCCCUACAUCUAGCGAUUCUUCCUCGAUGGGUGAGGUUGAAUUCACCUCCGAUGGUGCACGAACCGAGUUUCAACGGCUUAUGAAUAAGUCGAUAGUUAAGGAGAAGGGAUUCCUACCCACAGCGGAAGAUGGUGAGCUCUUGAACAUGAUUCAAGAAAGGGGUUGGGAGUCUUUUUGCGAGGCUCCGGAGGCGGUUCCCUUGGCUAUUAUUCGAGAGUUUUAUGCUAAUGCCAAGGAGAAUCGCGAUGGAUUCACGGUGGUGCGGGGAAUCCGUGUGGAUUAUAGUGCGGAGGCGAUCCGUAGAGUGAUUGGGGGGCGUGCCAAGCGCCGUAAUGAAGAAGAUUGGGUUGUUGAGAGGAUCGGGCGUGCUAAACGCCGGUUUGAUGAUGAUCCGGUUGAUCUUGAGCGGUUGGUGUAUGAUAUGUGUGUGCCGGACACGACUUGAAAGAUGACUGCACCUCCUUUGCCGGCACAUGUUUCUUUUCCAGCAGCCGUGUUGAACCGGUAUGCGAAGGCGUGGAACGCCUUCAUCUGUGCUAACAUCAUGCCAUCUUCACAUGGGCAUGAGGUGACAGUGGAUAGAGCUAUUUUGCUCUUUGGGAUUGUCUCGGGCAAGUAUAUUGAUCUGGGACAUGUUAUUCAUCAGGGGAUUCUGAGGUUCUUACAGGGAGGAACCACUGGUGCCAUUCCAUAUGGCACAAUUGUGACGAAGCUCUGUCGAACGAGCGGUGUUCGUUGGCCAUCCAACGAGCAAUUGCAGUUGCCAGGACACCUAUUGAUCAUUCGGCGAUCAGUCGGAUGACGGAGUGGAUGGAGGACGUUCCCACCCUCGAGGCCUCGGGUACAUAUAUGAUGAGGUGCCAGGGGGACGGUCCAGGGUUCGAUUAGGAGGGAGCGUACUAGAGCUUCUGGAGCUGGUACUUCACAGACGGAGAGGAGCUCCGAGCCUAUGGGAGAUGUUCAUUAUCGCCGACUCGCGAGACGGAUGGACACUAUGCAUGACAUCCACCAGAGGUUUGCAUUUGAUUUGACACAAGCUCUUGGUACUGCUUUCCAGGCACAGGGGGUCACAGUUCAGUGGCCAGUAUUCGGAGCAGGGAUGCAGUAUCCUCCACCUGAUUCACCUCCAGCAGAGGAGGGGGAGGACUCGGACUCCGAGUAGGUAUGUGGGUGCUCUAGCCUUUUUACCGCUUUCAAUGGGGACAUUGUAAUUUAAGUUUGGGGUGGUAAUCUAAGGAAGAGCAUAUUAUUAUGUAGUUUAUUAUUGCAUGUGUUAGUUAGUUCAUGUAGUUCACGUUUUUUUAUUUUGCUUNNNNNNNNNNNNNNNNNNNNNNNNNNNNNNNNNNNNNNNNNNNNNNNNNNNNNNNNNNNNNNNNNNNNNNNNNNNNNNNNNNNNNNNNNNNNNNNNNNNNNNNNNNNNNNNNNNNNNNNNNNNNNNNNNNNNNNNNNNNNNNNNNNNNNNNNNNNNNNNNNNNNNNNNNNNNNNNNNNNNNNNNNNNNNNNNNNNNNNNNNNNNNNNNNNNNNNNNNNNNNNNNNNNNNNNNNNNNNNNNNNNNNNNNNNNNNNNNNNNNNNNNNNNNNNNNNNNNNNNNNNNNNNNNNNNNNNNNNNNNNNNNNNNNNNNNNNNNNNNNNNNNNNNNNNNNNNNNNNNNNNNNNNNNNNNNNNNNNNNNNNNNNNNNNNNNNNNNNNNNNNNNNNNNNNNNNNNNNNNNNNNNNNNNNNNNNNNNNNNNNNNNNNNNNNNNNNNNNNNNNNNNNNNNNNNNNNNNNNNNNNNNNNNNNNNNNNNNNNNNNNNNNNNNNNNNNNNNNNNNNNNNNNNNNNNNNNNNNNNNNNNNNNNNNNNNNNNNNNNNNNNNNNNNNNNNNNNNNNNNNNNNNNNNNNNNNNNNNNNNNNNNNNNNNNNNNNNNNNNNNNNNNNNNNNNNNNNNNNNNNNNNNNNNNNNNNNNNNNNNNNNNNNNNNNNNNNNNNNNNNNNNNNNNNNNNNNNNNNNNNNNNNNNNNNNNNNNNNNNNNNNNNNNNNNNNNNNNNNNNNNNNNNNNNNNNNNNNNNNNNNNNNNNNNNNNNNNNNNNNNNNNNNNNNNNNNNNNNNNNNNNNNNNNNNNNNNNNNNNNNNNNNNNNNNNNNNNNNNNNNNNNNNNNNNNNNNNNNNNNNNNNNNNNNNNNNNNNNNNNNNNNNNNNNNNNNNNNNNNNNNNNNNNNNNNNNNNNNNNNNNNNNNNNNNNNNNNNNNNNNNNNNNNNNNNNNNNNNNNNNNNNNNNNNNNNNNNNNNNNNNNNNNNNNNNNNNNNNNNNNNNNNNNNNNNNNNNNNNNNNNNNNNNNNNNNNNNNNNNNNNNNNNNNNNNNNNNNNNNNNNNNNNNNNNNNNNNNNNNNNNNNNNNNNNNNNNNNNNNNNNNNNNNNNNNNNNNNNNNNNNNNNNNNNNNNNNNNNNNNNNNNNNNNNNNNNNNNNNNNNNNNNNNNNNNNNNNNNNNNNNNNNNNNNNNNNNNNNNNNNNNNNNNNNNNNNNNNNNNNNNNNNNNNNNNNNNNNNNNNNNNNNNNNNNNNNNNNNNNNNNNNNNNNNNNNNNNNNNNNNNNNNNNNNNNNNNNNNNNNNNNNNNNNNNNNNNNNNNNNNNNNNNNNNNNNNNNNNNNNNNNNNNNNNNNNNNNNNNNNNNNNNNNNNNNNNNNNNNNNNNNNNNNNNNNNNNNNNNNNNNNNNNNNNNNNNNNNNNNNNNNNNNNNNNNNNNNNNNNNNNNNNNNNNNNNNNNNNNNNNNNNNNNNNNNNNNNNNNNNNNNNNNNNNNNNNNNNNNNNNNNNNNNNNNNNNNNNNNNNNNNNNNNNNNNNNNNNNNNNNNNNNNNNNNNNNNNNNNNNNNNNNNNNNNNNNNNNNNNNNNNNNNNNNNNNNNNNNNNNNNNNNNNNNNNNNNNNNNNNNNNNNNNNNNNNNNNNNNNNNNNNNNNNNNNNNNNNNNNNNNNNNNNNNNNNNNNNNNNNNNNNNNNNNNNNNNNNNNNNNNNNNNNNNNNNNNNNNNNNNNNNNNNNNNNNNNNNNNNNNNNNNNNNNNNNNNNNNNNNNNNNNNNNNNNNNNNNNNNNNNNNNNNNNNNNNNNNNNNNNNNNNNNNNNNNNNNNNNNNNNNNNNNNNNNNNNNNNNNNNNNNNNNNNNNNNNNNNNNNNNNNNNNNNNNNNNNNNNNNNNNNNNNNNNNNNNNNNNNNNNNNNNNNNNNNNNNNNNNNNNNNNNNNNNNNNNNNNNNNNNNNNNNNNNNNNNNNNNNNNNNNNNNNNNNNNNNNNNNNNNNNNNNNNNNNNNNNNNNNNNNNNNNNNNNNNNNNNNNNNNNNNNNNNNNNNNNNNNNNNNNNNNNNNNNNNNNNNNNNNNNNNNNNNNNNNNNNNNNNNNNNNNNNNNNNNNNNNNNNNNNNNNNNNNNNNNNNNNNNNNNNNNNNNNNNNNNNNNNNNNNNNNNNNNNNNNNNNNNNNNNNNNNNNNNNNNNNNNNNNNNNNNNNNNNNNNNNNNNNNNNNNNNNNNNNNNNNNNNNNNNNNNNNNNNNNNNNNNNNNNNNNNNNNNNNNNNNNNNNNNNNNNNNNNNNNNNNNNNNNNNNNNNNNNNNNNNNNNNNNNNNNNNNNNNNNNNNNNNNNNNNNNNNNNNNNNNNNNNNNNNNNNNNNNNNNNNNNNNNNNNNNNNNNNNNNNNNNNNNNNNNNNNNNNNNNNNNNNNNNNNNNNNNNNNNNNNNNNNNNNNNNNNNNNNNNNNNNNNNNNNNNNNNNNNNNNNNNNNNNNNNNNNNNNNNNNNNNNNNNNNNNNNNNNNNNNNNNNNNNNNNNNNNNNNNNNNNNNNNNNNNNNNNNNNNNNNNNNNNNNNNNNNNNNNNNNNNNNNNNNNNNNNNNNNNNNNNNNNNNNNNNNNNNNNNNNNNNNNNNNNNNNNNNNNNNNNNNNNNNNNNNNNNNNNNNNNNNNNNNNNNNNNNNNNNNNNNNNNNNNNNNNNNNNNNNNNNNNNNNNNNNNNNNNNNNNNNNNNNNNNNNNNNNNNNNNNNNNNNNNNNNNNNNNNNNNNNNNNNNNNNNNNNNNNNNNNNNNNNNNNNNNNNNNNNNNNNNNNNNNNNNNNNNNNNNNNNNNNNNNNNNNNNNNNNNNNNNNNNNNNNNNNNNNNNNNNNNNNNNNNNNNNNNNNNNNNNNNNNNNNNNNNNNNNNNNNNNNNNNNNNNNNNNNNNNNNNNNNNNNNNNNNNNNNNNNNNNNNNNNNNNNNNNNNCUGUUCGAGGUUUGUAUCGGAUAUCAAAUUCUCCGAGCUCAAUGGCCCACUUAAUCAAUCUUCCACUAGCCUUAGGGCUAUGUAUAACAUUUCGGAGAGGUUGGUCUGUCAAGACUUCUAUCUUAUGAGACUGAAAGUAAGGUCUCAACUUCCUCGAGGCCGUAAUCAUGGCCAAAGCAAAUUUUUCGAUCACUGAGUAAUUGAGCUCCGCUCCAUGCAGAACCUUGCUCACAUAGUAUACUGGUUUCUGGGCUUUGGAUUCCUCCCGAACUAGGACGGCGCUUAGCGCUUGUUCCGAGACAGCUAGGUAUACAUACAGGGUUUCGCCCUCUACGGGUUUUGAUAAGAGUGGUGGCUCUGCCAUAUAUUUCUUUAGAUGUUCGAAGGCCACUUGGCUCUCAUCCGUCCAUUCAAAGUUCUUAACCUUCUUUAAUGCUUUGAAGAAAGGCAAGCACUUGUCUCCUGACUUGGAUACAAACCUUCCCAAAGCUGCAAUUCUUCCUGUCAGUUUCUGAACAUCCCUUAUACUUUUUGGGGGUUCCAUAUCUAGGAUAGCUUUUUAUCUUGUCGGGGUUGGCUUCAAUACCACGCUUUGAGACCAUCAAACCCAGGAACUUCCCAGAACCGACCCCAAAGGCACACUUAGCUGGGUUUAACAUCAUCUUAUGCGUCCUCAGGACUUCAAAGGCCUCUCUAAGGUGUUCAAGGUGAUCCGCUUUGUUCAAGCUUUUCACCAACAUAUCGUCUACAUAUACCUCCAUAGUCUUACCAAUCAGAUGUUUAAACAUCUUGUUUGCAAGGCGUUGGUAUGUUGCUCCUGCAUUCUUAAGUCCAAAGGCCAUAACUAAAUAACAAAAUACACCAAAGUCAGUGAUAAACGAUACCUUGGGUACAUCGCCCUUGUCCAUCCGGAUCUGAUUAUAUCCACUGAAGCCAUCCAUGAAACUCAGCAUCUUGUGGCCAGCAGUAGCAUCUAUCAAUGUAUCAAUUCUUGGAAGAGGAAAACAAUCCUUUGGGCAAGCGUCAUUUAGGUCAGUGAAGUCUACACACAUCCUCCACUUCCCGUUAGCUUUCUUGACCAUAACAGGGUUGGCCAACCAUUCUGGAAAUUGUAUCUCUUCGAUAAAACCUGCUUCCAACAACUUAUCGACCUCCUGCUUAAUGGCUUCUUGCCUUUCAGGGGCGAAGUUCCUUUUCUUCUGCUUAAUAGGUUUCCUCUCGGGGUUUACAUUCAACUUAUGGGUCAUGAAUGAGGGAUCGAUACCUGGCAUAUCGGCCGCUGUCCAAGCGAAAACAUCAUGGUUGUUCCUCAAGAACCUCACAAACUCCUGUUUCAAAUCUUCCUGGAGUAACGCUCCAACAUAAGUAACCUUUUCAGGUUCUUCCGUAUACAAUUGGAUUGGAACCAAAUCUUCGGCAGGCUUGCCUCUCCUUUCCUCUUCUUCCCGGACAUCAAGGUCUUCUAUGGGUAAUACUUGCCCCCCACUUCCUCCGGACCUUAAUGCUCCGAUAUAACAGCUUCGGGCCAUUUUCUGGUCUCCCAGUUCUUCUCCGAUUCCGUUCCUAGUCGGGAAUUUAAUUUUCAUGUGGUAGGUGGAUGGGAUUGCUUUAAAAGCAUGUAUUCCAGUCCUCCCAAGGAUGGCAUUAUAGGUUGGUGAGGCUUUAACGACCAAGAAGUUUACCAUACAUGUGGCUUGCCUAGGUUCAGUACCCAUUGUUACGGGAAGCUGGAUCAUGCCUUCAAUCUUGGUUUCCACAUUAUUGAAGCCAUAUAUAGGCAUAUCCGAUGGGGUCAGUUGAGUAUCGGAGUAUCCCAUCUUUUCAUAGGCAUCGUAGAACAGAAUAUCCACCGAGGAUCCAUUAUCAACGAGCACUCUCUUUACAGACGAGUUUCCGAUCACUGGUGUAAUUACUAAGGGGUCAUCGUGGGGGAACUUCACUUUCUCGAGGUCAACGUUAUCGAAUGCCAUUGCAUAAUCAAUUUUUGCCCGCUUCGGGGGUUCUCCAACUAUAUUCAUUACCUCCCUUGCAUAAGCUUUUCUUGAAUUGCUUGAAGUGCCCGCAGCCGUAGGUCCUCCGGAGAUUAUGUUAAUAAUAGGCCCUCGGGGUUGAGUUCUUUUCUCAUCAUGGUCUCUUCCACGACUGUCGUUAUCUCGAUAGUUCUUGUCUCCAUCCUUGGUGAACUUUGACAACUUACCUCUCCGGAUCAAGAACUCGAUUUCAUCCUUUAACUGUCCGCAAUCGUCAGUCUUAUGUCCUAUAUCCUUAUGGAAUCGACAAUACAGGUCUUUAUUUCGUUUCUCCGGGUCGGUCCUUAUAGGCUUCGGCCAUCUUACACUUUCAUCCUUUUCGAUCUCCAGUAAGAUUUGACUCCUCGGGGCAUUGAGCCUAGCAUACUCAGUGAAUCUUGGUCCCACCUUCUUCUUAGCAGGAGACUUUUCAUCAUCGUCCCUCUUGGGAUAUUUGUUUUCAGCAUUGUACUCGGCGUCGUUUCCGCGUUUCUUAAAGUUAGUGUUCGGCCCUUGAGUACUCUGGGACUUCCUUAGGCUUUCCUCCGCCUUGAUGUACUUCCCGGCUCUCUCUUGUAAAUCGUUCAUAUUAUCGGGUGCCCUCUUGGCUAGAGACCGGCGAAAGUUGUCGUCAGUGGUACCCUGCUGGAGGGCGAUCAUGGCCACCUUUUGAUCUAGGUCCGGGACCUUCAAGGCUUCUUUAGUAAAACGAUUCAUAUACUUCCGGAGUGAUUCGUUCUUACCUUGAUGCAAAUUCAUUAGAGAGGCAGAGCUCUUAGCAUGUGUUUUGCUUCCAACAAAUUGCCCUAUGAAAGCCCUGCUCAAGUCAGUAAAACAAGAGAUAGAAUUAGGGGGUAGGCGACUAUACCAAUGUUGGGCCAUCCCACUCAAGGUUUGGGGAAAAGCGCGGCACUUGAUUGCUUCAGUGACGGGUUGGAGCAAAAGAGCGUUCAUGAAGGUCCGAACAUGAUUAGCGGGAUCACCCGUGCCAUCGUAAGCUUUAAUGGUUGGGAGCUUGAAUUUUCGGGAAAUCCUUGCACCCAUGAUUUCUUGCGUAAAUGGGGGAACCGGGUUAUCAGGAUCGCCUGCCGGUAGCAAGUGAAUUUGAUUCAUCACGGUUUGUCGAGGGUUUUCAUCCCUAGAUUCUGGGGGUUGCAUCCUUGCCUGAUCUCUUUUUAACCGUGCGAUUUCCUCUUCAUGGGCCCGGAUCCUUUCCUCAUAGGUUAUUGGCCCCCGGGGCUCAUUAGUUUCUUGCCUAUGGCGGCGUCGACGGUGCCGAGUAUGAUCGGUUUCUCUCCUCCUUCGAGGGGGGGUAUCACGCUCUUGCUCCGACUCCGAGGAGUCGUAAUCAGUUACGUGCACAUAGUCAUCACCCGUGCCUCCACGAGUGGUUGUCGUGACGGUUGAGUAAUGCGUGCCGGCGUCGGUGACGGUUGCAAUUACUCGAGUCAGAGGGGGCAGCGAGCCAAAAGUCAGGGGAGUAGUAGUUUGAGCAAUGGUCGUACCAAGCGGGAGGGAGGUAGUUACAGGGGUUGAUUCAGUCGAGACUCCGGUGGUGGUUCGACCGCGUGGAACAUGAAUUUCUGAACGUGGUCCGGUUGGGUUCGUCAUGGUUGUCGUUUCGAUGCCCCACAGUGGGCGCCAAAUGUUGUAGAACUAAAAACGGGGGUGAGCGAUUCGUGCUUUGGACUAGUCUCGAUGCGAGAUGCCUACGUAUCCUCUGCUAGGAGAAGAAUCAAGUCCAAAACGUAGUUCUAGUUAUGAGGGGUAGAGCCCUUUAUAUAGGCGCUUCGGAGUCAGAAGUCGGAUGGAAGUAAGAUUCCGUGUAUCAGACUUCUUAUCGAAGUAUGCCUCGAGGCAAGAGAUAGGAUAGAACUCUUAUCCUUUCGUUGCUGAUAUUUAUCCGAACUCCGGGAUGUUUAUCUGUUAGAAUCAGAUGUAUUAUAGAAUUUGGACUUGUAACUGGACCUCUACUGUUAGAAUCAGAUGUAUUAUAGAAUUUGGACUUGUAACUGGUCCUCUGACUGGGCCUCUAUUAAUUAAUUACGAAAUUAAUUAAUAUUUAAGAGCCUCAGGCCCUAUUUAACUGGGCUUCAGUGUUCUUGGGCUUUUAAUAUCUAAUAAUAAUUAAAUAUUACUUCUGACCCAUAUCAAUAUUUGAUACUCAUAAUUCUUUCUUUAGGAUACAAACUGAAAUAUCUCAGCCAUCGAAUAAAUUCUGAGGUAUAAAAAUGAUUAGAAAUGCGGGUUUUGGUAGAUUUCAAUCUGACUUCUAAUGAAGCUCCUCCAAUUUGGUUGAUGAUAGAAUGCUUUUAAUUUGUACUAUGAAACAGGAACAAAUAACACCUAAACAAAACUUCACACAGGAACAAAUAACACCUAAACAAGAUGUACUCCACUUAUUAUCGAGGUCAUUAAAACUUAUGUAACCAUGUAAAAUGCACAAAUGUAUGAUACUUGAUUUCCGCAACUACUAUAAAAUCUAAUGCCCCUUUCUCCAGAUAAGUAUGCCUUUUAAACUGAAGUCAUGUACAGCACAUCAAAAAAACUGAAUGCAUAUAAACAGAUGAAUAAAAUGACAAGCAACUUCAGUCUUCAUUCCUUUUUACUUGACGGUCAUAUACCAACUUGAUCAGCAGAACAAUGACGAAAAUAAAGAAGAAGGAACCUAUGAGGCAAACAGUUAUUGCAAUGGCUAGAGAGUGAGAUAACACCAAAUAUGUUCCUGUAAUGAAGGUCAACAUCAUCGCCAUAAUGGAAACAAUAUUGAGCCCAACUGAUGCAGCAUUGAGCUUCGACACUUGGUGUGGAUCUUCAUACAUAGAUUCGAGAAAAUAUAGAAACAAAGAGCAUGUUGAUAGUAGCAAAGCUAACGCGUCUGAUACCAUGAAUGCGUUGAAAGCUGUCUUCCGUGUCAGAACCACCAAUCCUUCAUCAACUUCCCCACUUUGAUGGAGACCACCCGGCAUCGUAAAUCCUACCGUGAAAGUCACGGUAGUGAUAAGCGCGGUAACUAUUAUCUGUGUGUUGGUCCUCUUUUUAUAUCUUUCAAGAUCUUUCUUCAUGCGUCCAUGCUUUGCAUCCAUCAAUAAUUUCUUUUCUUCAUUGAAUAUCACAUCUUUUGUCUCCCGUCUACUUGGGCGCACUGAACUCUCAUCAAUAUCCGUUUUCUUCUCCAUAUUUUUUACCCAAAACUUCCAAGACUUAGUAGUCUGGACAUCAUCAAGCGCAAUUUUAAUUUGUACCUAGAAAUAAAGGACCGUCAAUUACUAAUAUUGUAAAUGAUUUUGAAAGGUCCUUUGUGUAUGUCUUUGUUAAGACUUUACUCAUUUAUAGUAAGCAAGGUUAUUCUCACAAUCGACCCUGGUAUUAAGCAUAUAUAAUUUUUCUAUAAGUUUAAUUAGCAUUAUAUUUAUAUUGUUAGUUGACAUAUUCGUUAAGAUGAGAUAUAAAAAACAAAGUUUUCAUAUUUUAGUAAAAACAAACUCGGAAUUUUUAAUUAUGUACCUGAUCAGCAAUGAUUUCUUCUUGAAAAUACAGCAUGUCUCGUGGAGUCCACUUUUUCUUGUUUUUUGCCAUUGUAUCAAGUCCUUUAUGUUUUAUGAGUUCUGGUAUGAAACAGCCAUUGGAGAUGAGCAGAUGAAGAGGUGUAUCGCCAUUGGCAUCUUGCUGUUCCAAAAUCUUGUCCUUGUACUUUUCUGGACAAUACUUUAAAAUACCCUGUAUCAUCUCUUUUUUAUUGUUAGUUGCUGCCAAGUGUAGUAUAUUCUGACCAUUUUUAUUAACAGCUGUGUAGGCAGAAGAUGAAGCUGGCCAUGAUUGCAUGAGUCUUAUCACCGUCGAAGUGUAUUUGCAUUCAGCUGCUAGAUGAAAUGGUGUUGAUACCAUAUCUCCAUACACAAAUUGAUAUUUAACAUCCUUCAGCGCUUUUAUGAUGACAUCAAGUAUUGAAACAAAUUCUUGAUACGCAGCAUAAUGAAGUGGUGUCCACCCUUGAUCAUCGGCAAAAGUUACAAGAUGUUUGGCUUCUCCCAAGAUGCGUAUCACAGAAUCUGAGAACAAAAUAAAAGUAAGGUACAGAAUUUUUUACUGGUCAAAACUUAAAUUUAGUUUGUAUCAAUAUAUUUGUAUGUUAAUGGUAGUAAAUACUAAAGAGGACCAACUUUUUUUAGUAAGCAAGCUUAUAAGCUUUCAAAAGUAUACAUUCUAAUAAAUUUUGGGGUGAGACAUCAAUGUAAUGUAGAAAGAGUGUUGUAAGAUUAAUGGAUAUUAUUAUUUGUUCAUACUUGCUACAUUAACCCACAAGAAUCAACGAGAUCACAUUUAUAUAAUAAGUAUUGAUACGUACCUUCAUCACGCCUGUUAAUAGCAAUAAUCAGGGCAACCACACCUUUAUGACCGGUGGUAAUUCCAGCUUCAUAAGUUUCAGAUAGCAAUCUGACGAUGUCUGUGUACUCCUUAUCGAUGGCUUUAUAGAUUAAACGCAUGAGACUAUUUUUACUUCCACGACCAUGUUGAUAGGCAGGAUUUUCUCGUAAGAUCAGUUCAACAGUAUCCACAUAAUUUCUGUCUACUGCUAAUUCCAAAACAGUGUGUCCGGACAUGUCAGUUUUAUUAAAUAAUGCUUCAAAACUGACAUUUGGUCUGUCCUCUGCAUUACUCCAGCGUUUGGCUGCAUCGAUCAUCAUCCCAAUGACAUCUCUGUCUUCUUCCUUCGCUGCAAGUCAAGUGGAAAUGUCAACUAUACAGAUACUACCUUCAGUGUGUAUACACUUUGCUAGUUUUUUCUAGUGUAUCUCUUCCUAGAGCUAAUAAGAUAUAUAAGUAUUGCAAAAAACGGGUCUCGAAGGCAUUGUGAAAUUGUUGUACAUACAUACCUCGGUGGAUAUUAAGAAUAGCAGCAUGCAAAGCUGUCGUACUACCAGCAGGGCCAUCUAAACACAGAGCUGUGCAAGUAGUACAGAUCACUUUUAUUAUAUCAUAGGACCCUUUAUCCACAGCUAUAUAGAUUGGCAUUUUACCUUCAUCAUUUGGAAAAUGUCUACCACUUGGAUCCGCCUCUACUAAGAGCUUAACAAUAGCCACAUUACCCUUAUUGACUGCUACGUGUAAGGCAGUGUUCCGCUUUUGAGCAGUCACUUGCCUAACAAAAGCAUUUAAGAAACCAACUGGAUCCUCAUUAGCUGAAGAAGAGGACAAAUGUCUGGCUGCAUUGACGAGGACCUCAACCACUUCGGUGUGUCCAUGAUGUGCUGCAAGGUGAAGCGAAGUCUGCUUUAAUCUAUCCAGCUUAACCAAAAGGUUUUUGUUUGCAAACUCUCUCACAAUAUAUCGUACACGUUCUGUAUCUCCCUUUUUUGCUUCAACAUGAAGGAUUGUUUCUCCCUCUUCAUUCAGUAUAUCUGCUUCCAUCUCCAAUGCAGCUCUGGCAUUAGCAUCUCCAGCAAUGGCAUCAGGAAACCAAUGGGCAACGGCAUGAGUAUUUUUGUACCUUUCUAGAUCUUCUUUCAUCCGUGCAUGCUUUUCACGCAUCAUCAAUUUUGUUUGUUUAUUGAAAAUCCUAUCUUUGGUCUCUCGUUUACUUGGGAGCACGGAACUUACCAAAAUAUCCUCUUUCUGAUUAAUCUGGAUUUCAUCUAGUGCAACUUUGAUUUGUACCUAUAUAAGGACGGCCAAUGAUCAACAUUUAUUUUGAUUUGGGAACAUACACUAUUAUCUUAUUUGUGAGUGAAUAUUAUUAUCUUGUUUUUAGAACACUAUUAAUGACUUCAGUUCUGAUAUACUCUUAUGGUUUGAAAUACUAGAAAACGAGUCUUAACUGAUAGACUGGGGUAGAAAGGAAAAUUAGAUUUUAGGUACCUGCUCAUCAAUAAUUUGGUCUUCAAAAUACAACAUGUCCGGAGGAGUCCAUUUCUCUUUGUUUUUCUUCACUAUAUCCAGCCCUUCAUAUUUCAUGAGUUCGGGGACAAAACAACCACGGCGGAUAAGAAUAUGAAGAGGUGUAUUGCCACUGUUAUCCUGCUUAUUCACAAGCUCGUCCUUGUGCUUUUCUGGACAAUAAUUUAGUAUACCUUCUAUCAUCUCUUUUUUACUUUGUAAUGCGGCCAAGUGGAGUAUAUUCUGUCCAUUUUUAUCAACAGCAAUAUAUGCUGAAGAUGAAGAUGGCCAUAACUGCAUAAGAAGUAUUACUGUAGAAGUAUAUCCUUUCUCCGCUGCCACAUGAAACGGUGUUAAUAUCAUAUCUUCAUACAGAAAUUGAUUCUCAACUUCUUUUUGUGCUUUUAUCAAGGGGUAAAUUAUUGCAUCAAAUUCGUGAUAUGCUGCAUGGUGAAGUGCUGUCCAACCCAGAUUGUCAACAAAGGUUACAAGCUCAUCGGCACAAUCAUCCAACAGCCUGAAGACGGAUUCUGAAAAACAAAACACAUGAGACUGUUUAUAUUAAACAGAUCAAGUUUUAGUGAUUUUAUAUUGUCACAAUAGUCAAAUUCUUAAUCCAGAAACAAACCUUUAUAAGUUUAGGAAUUGACAUACUGAUCAUAGAAAGCAUGGUCAAUUACGCAGAAAUAUGAAUUUUCAAAAUUAAUGGACUAUUUGAUGAAUCUGGUGAGUGGAUGACCAAAAGGGUUGACCUUGAAAGGCUAAUCUCUGCAUAUUUAAAAGAUUUAUUUGAAACGAGUUCCAUUUCUGGCUUUUAAGGUGCUAUGAAAGGAAUUAGGUGGGUAGUUUAAAAGAAUGUCGAGCUGGUAUGCAGGCUUUAUUUUUUCAUAAAUAUUUGAAUGCAGUUUGCCUAAGAUUGUGGCUCUUGUUUAAAAAUGGUGGAGAGGUUCUACUGAUUCAUCAUAUCUGAAUAAAACAUGGGUUGAUUGAUUCUAAAGUGCAAGGAGCCGAAGGCUACAGGGGAAUUCAGGCCUAAAUAUAAAAUUAUGCCUAAGACGCUAGUGAACAAGAUGAAGCCUUUCUUAAGAGAUAUGAUUCCUUAAAUCAGAGCACUUUAGUACCAAAGAGAUUGAUUACACCCCAAAUACGCUAUGGUGACUUUAAAAGUGUUUUAUGCCUCGGAGAAUGGGGGUGGAGGUUAAGAGCGAGUCCAACAAUGUCCUACUUGUAACCUUAAGUUUAAUAUAAAAAAAUAUGUCCCAAUAAUUUAGGAUAUAUUUAAGUACAAUGUGAUUUAUUCUCAAUAUAUAUUAAAUAUUUUAUUAUUAAAAGUUUACAUUCAUCAUUGAAUGACAAUAUAAAGUAGAGAGAGAAAGGGAGUAUGUGUAAUAAUUUAUUAUAAAAUAUAAGACAGGAAAAGGAGAGAAAUGUCUUAAAAAUAAGGCGGGAAGAGAUUGUGCUGGUGAUAUAAGACAUGACUAAGACAUUGUUGGAUCAACUUUUAUUAUCAAAUGUCUUAAAUUCUAGUUUAGGAUAUCAUAUAAGCCAUCUCUUAAAGAUGGAACAAUAGCCUUAAUUCUAGACAUAAGUAAGCUCACAAUAGGGUCGAAUGGAUUUUAUUAAAAAGAGUGAUGCUAAAAAUGGGUUUUUCUGAUAAAUGGGUUCACCACAUUAUGAGCUGUUUGACAAGUGUUUCUUUGGCAUUCAAGAUAAAUGGGUUUUUCAUGAACAAGACAGAAGUCGCCUUUAGCAAAUAUGAUAAAUGGUUUAUUUCUCUGGAGCGCUGUUCAUAGGAACCUGGGAGAGGCUGUUAUGUAGACAUUGUUAUUGAAAAAUUAUAUUUAAUUGGCAGUACUGAAUAAGAAUCCUUCGUGCAUACCCUGUUUGAGUGUGAUGGAGCAAAGGUUUUUUGGGAGCAUAGUGAGUUUAAAGUGACCAUCCGCUUAUGUGGGAGCAUGGUGAGUUUAAAAAGACCAUCAGGGAUGCACCAUUUGGCUGGUUCACCAAUAAGGCUAGUGAACAAGAGUUUUAUUCCAUUGAUUCUUUAACCCAAUAAGAGUUUUGUUACGACAGGACCAAUAAGGCUUGGUCCUGUUGGAAUAAAAUUAUGUAUGAACAAACUUCUGUUAACCCUGUAAUGGUAGCUGCAGGGCAUACAAACUUGUAUAUGAGUAUUGUGGGUGUGCAAAAAGGGUAUUUUUGCUCCAAUCAAUGUGUGGGGAGUAAAGAGUUCAUCAAGUUGGAUGCUAGCACCUGCUGGAUUGGCAAGAAUUAACUGUGAUGCUAAUGUUCAGGAUGGGUGUCAAGUUGGUCGGGUGUAGUAAUUAGAGAGAUGCCACAGGAAAGCUGAUGAAAAAGGAAGUAGAGGGAAUGGAAGUGUAGCAGAAGCAAAGCCUGGCUUCUUAGGCCUCAGAAAAAAACUGAUGGAUUAAUGUUAGAACUUUGAAUUACAAAACUUGAUUCAGAACUAAUAAAUAUUAGAAAAACUGAAUUUCGUCAAUAAAAAUAAAUAAUAGAAUAAUAAAAUGAAAUCAUCUUAUAAGCAUAAAUUGGACCAAGAACAAUGUUAUAAUGUAAUAGACUAUAUACCUCUUUUGCGGCCUUUAAUAGCAGAAAUCAAAGCCGCCAUAUCGUCGUAUGAAUAAGUAAUAUCAGCUCCUCUUUCGUAGCUGCUCGUGAGUAACUUGACAAUAUCUGUGUACUCUUUGUCCAUGGCUCGGUAAAUUAGAGGCAUUAGAUCAAUAAAAUCGGGAGCAUUCCAAGAUUGAUAUAUUGGGUUUUCUGCUAAUAUUAGCUCAACUAUAUUAGCAUAAUUCCGGUCCACCGCCAGUUCUAAACAAGUGCAUCUAUUCUCGUCAGUUUUUCUAAAUAAUUCGACUGAAUGUUCAUACGUGUCCUCAUCCCAUUCAUCUGAGUCCGAAUCCUCCCCAGAACCCAUCCAUUUCAUUGCUUUGAUGAUCACUCUAAUCACAUCUAUGUCUUCUUUCUUGUCUGCAAAGGAAGUAAAAGUAUGAUGAUCAAAUAUUCAUUAUAAUAUCUUUAAGAUCUAAAUAUUGAAUUUGGCAAUUAAUAAAUAGAAAUAAUCUGGAGAGAUUCAGGAUUGCAUUGAUCCAACUCUGUUCAUAUUGAUACGAGACUUUAAUUGCGUUGUUAAAUGAUUCAUGAUCUUGAAAUGUCUUUAGGCACACAAUCACCUUUUGUACACAUAAAUAAUGUUAUUGUUUCAGUUCUGGAAAUUGUUAGAGACUAAUACUAUCUGCAAAUGUGUUUAACAUCUUUGUGAACAAGGAAUGCAAACAACUUAUUAUGAGGCAGAAAGUGUUAGCAAGAACUGAAAUAAAUUUAGCAACAGGGCAUAUUGAAUUGUGACAUAUGUAUAAACUACAUACCUUGAUCGAGAUUCUUUAUAGCAGCAUGCAGAGCAGUACCACAGGGACCAUCCAAAUUAGAUGGAGAAGUGCAAGUUGUACAGAUCAUCUUCACAAUAUCAGAGUAACCUUUUUCCGCGGCUAUGUACAUUGGCGUUUCACCUUUAUUGUUUGGAAGAUGUGGAUCACUUGGGUCGGCCUCUAAUAAUAUCUUAGUAGUAGCCAAGUUACCUUGCAUCACCGCUAUGUGUAAGGCAGUGUUCAUAUCUUUAUCACCUUGCCUGAGGAAAGCUUGAAAAGAACUUACUGGACUUUGAGAAUCAUCAUCAUCAGAAGAAGAUAAAAGUCUAGCUGCACCAAUGAGGAUCUCAACCACUUCAUUAUCGUGGUCGGGAUCUUUGAUAGCAGCGUGCAAAGCAGUUUUAACACCAGGACCUUUUAAAGAGGGAGCUGUGCAACUUGUACAGAUUAAUUUUACUAUUUCCUUGUACCCUUUUUUCACAGCUAUGUAAAUUGGAGUUUUACCAUCAUUGUUUUGAAUAUGUGUAUCACUUGGAUCAGCCUCUACUAAUAGCUUAACAAUUGCUAUAUGAUUAUUUAUGACGGCUAUAUGCAAGGCAGUGUCCAUAUCUUUGUCACCAAGCCUAAGGAAAGCUUGAAAAGAAGUUACUGGAUUAUCAUCAUCUGAAGGAGGCAAAUUUCUAGCUGCAUCAAUGAGGACCUCAGCGACUUCAGUGUGUCCAAAAUAUGCAGCCCAAGUAAGUGCAGUCUCUUUUUGAUUAUCCAGUUUGACCAAAAGAUUUUUGUGUGCAAACUCCCUCAAAAUGAAUCGCACAUUUUCUAAAUUUCCUUUCUUUGAUUCAACAUGAAGGAUAGUUUCUUCAUCUUUGUUCAGUCUAUCAGCUUCCGUCUCCAAUUUAGCUAUGGCAUCAGCAUCUCCCGCAAUGGCAGCCGCAUACAAAACAGCUUUAAUAUCAUAAAUUUCAUAUAGUGCUCCACCAGGGUUCUUACCUAUAUUUGUGUAUAUAAAGAAGUGUCAAAUGGAGAAUCUAACACAUUUAUGUUGUGUUUGGUUGGUGUCACAACUGUAAACUAAAGCUAAUUAUGAAAGAAAGAAGACUCCAUUAAAGCUCUGUAAAAUGUGUUUGUACAUAGCUUUCUACUUUGUUUUUAUUCUACUUGAAUGAAAUGUAACACACAGAUAUCUAAUAUAUACACACCAACUCUGUAACUAACUUCUAAAACUAACUGCCACUACUUUGUUGAGCUGUCAUUUCGGGACCACAGCUGUCACUCUGUUUUUCCCGCUUCUUCUCUUGAUUCUUCUCACUACUAAUAUACUGAACAUCCCCCCUCAAGUUAGGUGUAUGAAACAGGUUGAACACACCUAACUUGGAGAGUAAAUAACGCAGUUGGUAUGAAGGUAAGGCCUUGGUGAAUAAGUCUGCUGGUUGCUCUGUGGACGGAAGAUGAUGUGUAACCACAAUUCCCUGUUUAAUCUUCUGACGAAUAAGAUGGCAAUCAAUUUCAAUGUGUUUUGUACGUUCAUGAAACACUGAAUUUGAGGCAAUGUGAAGAGCAGACUGGUUGUCACAGUAUAGAGAGACAGGAGUGAGAUUAGGUACAUACAACUCUUUGCAUAGUGAUAACAACCAUGUAACUUCACAGCAUGAAUCUGCCAUUGCUCUGUACUCAGCCUCUGCUGAGGAGCGUGAAACAGUAUGCUGGCGUUUGCAUUUCCAGGAGACUAAUGAAGACCCCAAUGUGACACAGAAGCCAGUGAUAGACUGCCGAGUCUGUUUGCAGCUUCCCCAAUCAGCAUCCGUAAACACUCGCAGAUUGAAUGAGGAGUUGGAUGACAACAGGAUACCCUGGCCACAUGUUUGUUUUAGAUAUUUAACCAACUUAAGAGCAGCCAACCAGUGAAUUUCUUGUGGUUUAUGCAUGAACUGAGCCAGUAUGUGUACAGAAUAGGAUAAGUCUGGGCGAGUAAUAGUCAGAUAAAUCAAACGCCCAAUCAACCUCCUAUAAGCAGAGAUAUCAACAAGCAAGGGAGAGUUGGACUCUGCUGUCAGAUUGUGGUUCUGAUCUAAAGGUACUAAAGAUGUCUUGGCCUCCUCAUAACCAACAUCCUUGAUGAUAUCCAUAGUGUACUUACGUUGAUUCAAAUAGAUUCCAGCAGCUGAACGAGCAAUUUCAAUCCCCAGAAAGUAUUUCAAGGGGCCCAAAUCCUUGAUUUUGAAUUUGGUAGCAAGAAAUUGAGUGACCUGAGUCAUUAAGUCAGGUGCAUUACCUGUUAAUACCAUAUCGUCCACAUACACUAGUAACACAACAAGCUUAUUGUCUUUCUUGAAAACGAAUAAACUUGAGUCACUGAAGGUUUGUGUGAAUCCAAAUUCAAGCAAAGCAUCAGAAAGUAUAGUAAACCAUUCUCGAGGAGCCUGACGCAGCCCAUAUAUUGACUUAAUAAGUUUGCACACUAACUUCUGAUUUGGAAAUUGCUGUAAGACCUCUAGUGGAAUGGGAUACCCUUGAGGAAUUUCCAUAAACACUUCUUCAUGCAAGAAGCCGUGUAAAAAGGCAUUGGUAACAUCAAGCUGUGUGAUGGACCAAUUAUUCAUUGCUGCCAGUGCAAGAACAACACGAAAGGUUGCCAUUUUGGCUACUGGUGCAAACGUAUCAAAGUAGUCCAAACCUUCUGUUUGUGUAAAUCCCUUGGCUACAAGACGUGCCUUGUACCUGUCUAUUUGACCAUCAGGCAAAUACUUCACUUUAAACAGCCAUCGACAGCCAACUGCCUUUUUGUUAGGUGGGAGAGGUACAAUUUGCCAGGUCUGGUUAGCUUCCAUAGCAGCUAACUCAGUAUUCAUUGCAGUGCACCACUCACUUGAUUUACUGGCUUGAUUGAAUGUCUGAGGCUCUUGAAUUUUUGAAAUAUUAGCCAAAAAAUGCUGAUAUGACUUGUCAAAUGCAGAAUAUGAGACACAAUUAGUCAAGUUUUGAGUUACAGUAUUCUGCAGUUGUGGUGGCAGAUUGGUGUAAUCUUUAAACUUGACAGGAGCUUGCCUUUGUCUUUGAGGUCUUACUACAUGAGUAGUAGCUUCACUGAUAGGUAUUGUAGACUCAGAAUUAUCUGUAUUAACAGAUACUGUAGGUGAAGAUUGCAUAUUCUGCUCACUAGUAUCAGUAUUGAUACUGCUGGGAGUUGGAUAGCAUGUGAUGGGAUCUGACUCCCAUUCAACAGUAGAGUUGUUCACAAACAGUGGAGUGGUUUUCAAGGCAAUGUCAGAAGUAAUUUGUUGAAACGGAAACUGACUUUCAUCAAAAUACACAUCUCUGGACACAAAGACUUGUCUGGUCUGCAGAUUUAGAACUUUAUAUCCCUUUUUAGCAUAGGGAUACCGCAAGAAAACUCCUUUAAUUCCUCUUGCUGCAAAUUUGUCACUUGGUUGAGGAACUGUAGUUGCAUAACACAGGCAGCCAAAUAUUCUAAGGCGAGAAUAAUCUGGCUUAGAAUGAAACAGCACCUCAUAUGGUGACUUGCCUUGAAGUACAGGUGUGGGUGUUCGAUUAAUAAGAUAGCAAGCAGUUAACACACAGUCUCCCCAUAAAGUAAGAGGAACAUUGGAUUGAAACCGUAAGGCUCGUGCAACAUUUAGAAGAUGUCUGUGUCUUCUCUCCACAAUUCCAUUCUGUUGUGGAGAGUAAGGACACGUGGUUUGAUGCACCACACCAUUUUGUGCAAACAAGUUAGUCACAGUUUGAUUAACAAACUCAGUACCAUUAUCUGAACGCACAACUUUAACAGAUGUCUUGAACUGAUUUAUAACAUAACUGAGAAAAUCAGAUAUAAUACGACUAACACCAAUUUUAUCUGGUAGCAGAAAAACCCAUGCAGCACGAGACAUGUCAUCAACAAUUGUUAAAAAAUAAGAACAACUGCCAUGAGUCUUAAUUCGAUAUGGUCCCCAUAAGUCCAUAUGGACAAGAUCAAACACAUUUGAACUACAAGACUCACUAUUAGCAAAAGGAUUUCUAACUUGUUUUGACAGAUGACAAAUAUCACAAGUGUGAUUGACAGAAGAUUUACACUGAAAAGGAAACAAUUUCAGAACAGACAUAGGCACAUGGCCAGUUCUUGCAUGCCAGAGAUUAGUAUCUGCAGAAUGAGAGGCAACAGCUGAACAAGAGGAUGUAGAAGAUAGUUUGCAAGCAUUUAGAAUGUAGAGACCAUGGACAGCUUUACCAAUCUCUAGGUCCCUCAUCAAGGUAGGGGCCUGAAGAAAGCAACAAUCAUUCUUAAACACAAUAGAAGACACUGAAUCAGUCACAAAUUUGGAGACUGAAAACAAGUUAUAAUGAAACUGAGGCACACACAGUACAUUGUGAAGUGUAAUAUGAGAGUUAAUAGAGAUAGAUCCCAUAUGAGUGACAGGUGCAGUGUGACCAUUAGGAAGGUAUAAUAGAGACUGACAUGUCACAAUAUCAGACAAUAGAUGUAGAUGAGGUGUUACAUGAUCAGUGGCACCUGUGUCAACAAUCCACUCAAAAUCCUUGUAGGAAUUAUUGUGCACAUGACUAGCAAAAUGCAGAAAUGUACCUGCAAACUGAGUACUAUUGACAGUAGCAUAUGGAUUUGUCUCAGCAGCUGGUUGAACAGAGGUAUGAUUUAGUAGCUGUAGAAGUUGCUUGUACUGACUUUCAGAAAAUUGAAAGUUGCAAGUUGAUGCAUCAGACUGAGAUAUAGUAGAUUUUGUCUGAGAAUUAUCAGCACUCUGAGAGACUUGAGCAGCUACAGCAUUCCUGUUGGACAGAUGUUUUGGCUUAGGCUUGGGUUUACCAUACAUUUUGUGCCACUCAGGAUAACCAUGCAGACAAAAGCAUUUAUCCUUGGCAUGUCCUUGCAUGUGGCAGUAGUCACAGUAGAUAAGCACAUCAGACUGAGCCUUCUUGACUCCUUUCACAAAUGUAGUCUUGGACUUGACUGCUAAGGCUACACUGUCAGCAGAUGGAUGAGAACUACUAGCAAUCCCUCUCUGAUUUUCCUCUUGCAACAGUAUGGAAUAGCAUUUGCUAAGAGAAGGUAAUGGAUUCAUUAAAAGAAUCUGUCCACGAAUAGAAGUGAACGUGUCAUUUAGUCCCAUCAAGAACUGCUCUAACUGUAAAGACUGUUCAUGAGCAUCCAGUUGAGCAUUGAUUGUACAGGUACACUUGCCACAGCAUCUAGGAGAAGUAGUCAUAGAAGACAAUUCUUCUUGCAAUGUCCUGUAUUUAGUAAAGUAGGCAGAAAUAGACAAACUAUCCUGAGAGAGAUGAGACAGUUCUUUCCUGAGGGCAAACAAUUUAGGCACAUUAGUCUGAGCAUAACGAAUACGUAAUUCAUCCCAAAUUGCCUUUGCAGAUUUCAUAUACUGAAUGCUAUUGCGAAUAGAUUCAGUCACAGAAUUAAGGAGCCAGGAUGUCACCAUAUUGUUACACCUGUUCCAAUGUCCAUACAAAUUGGAUGUAGAUGGAGGUGAAGUAUAAGUUCCAUCCACAAAACCGAUCUUAAACUUGGAAGAAAGAGCAAUAUCCAUGGCACGUUGCCACUGACUAUAAUUGUGUUCAUCAAGAAGCACAGUAGUAAGUAUCAAGCCUGGAUUAUCCGAAGGAUGAAUGUAGUAUGGAUGAUUAACAUCAAUUGCAGUUAUAGAACCUAUCGUAGCAGAUGAAUAGGACGCAACUGUAGACAUGACUAAAAACACAGAAUCACAGCAGAUUCAAGCAAGAUUUGGAGAGAAUCGUGUUGAUUAACACAAAUCACAGCACAAACAAGCAGUAAAUCACAACAACAAGUACCAGAAGAGCAAUUAAACCACGAAUUACACCUCUGAUCAAAGAACGAAAAACCAGAUCUGAAACAGCAGAAAAACCUAAAAAAAACACCAGAUGUGAGAUCAGAAAGAACGGCUUAUCUGAAGUCACAAAGGAGAUGCGGAAUGAUUAGACGCGAUCGAGACGCUCUGAUACCAUGUCACAACUGUAAACUAAAGCUAAUUAUGAAAGAAAGAAGACUCCAUUAAAGCUCUGUAAAAUGUGUUUGUACAUAGCUUUCUACUUUGUUUUUAUUCUACUUGAAUGAAAUGUAACACACAGAUAUCUAAUAUAUACACACCAACUCUGUAACUAACUUCUAAAACUAACUGCCACUACUUUGUUGAGCUGUCAUUUCGGGACCACAGCUGUCACUCUGUUUUUCCCGCUUCUUCUCUUGAUUCUUCUCACUACUAAUAUACUGAACAGUUGGGGUGAAUGAUUCCGGAAGGAUUGGAAUGAAAAAUGAACUAUGUUAUGGACAAUUGUUAAGAAAUUUCAUUCCUCCCUCCAUUCCAUUCCUUACAUCAUAUGUUAGAGAUCACAUCUUCAAUUUGAGAUGGAAUGCUUCAUUCUCUCCUACCCCCAAUUUCUUCUCAAAUCUCAUCAUAACAAUAUUACAUUCACUUAAUUUUUUUUAAAACUUCCCUCCUAUCACUAUUAGCUUCAAGUAAUUUUACUCAUUCUAUUCCAUUCCAUUCUUCGUAUCAACUACAUACUAGGGGUCGGACUAAAUACUCUGAGGAAUCAUCAUGACAUUGAAUAGUGAAGAAGAUUAUAACAGAAAAGAAACUGGAUUUAUAUAGCUUAAAAACACAAAAAGGGGCAUACCUUGAUCGAGAUUCUUUAUACGCAGAGCCGUAUUACCAUCAGGUCCGUCCAAAGAUUGAGCUGGGCAUGUUGUAGAGAUUAUCUCUACUAUAUCGUUGUACCCCUUUUCCACAGCUAUGUACAAUGGUGUUUUACCUUUAUGGUUUUGAACAUGUGUAUCACCUGGAUCGGCCUCUAGUAAUAGCUUAACAAUUGCAAUAUGAUUAUUGAUGACUGCUAUAUGUAAGGCAGUAUCCAUAUCUUUGUCACCGAGCCUAAGGAAAGCUUGAAAAGAAGUUACUGGAUUAUCAUUAGCUGAAGGAGGCAAAUAUCUAGCUGCAUCAAUUAGGGUCUCAGCCACUUCAGUGUGUACUUUAGACAAAGCCAAGUGAAGUGCAGUCUGUUUAAAUUUGUUAAGCUUGACCAGAAGGUUUUUUUCUGCAAACUCCCUCAAUAUAAACCGCACGUGUUCUGUAUUUCCGUUUUCGGACUCUGUGUGAAGGAUAGUUUCUUCGUAUCCGUUCAGUUUAUCAGCAUGCAUUUCCAACGCAGCUAUAGCAUCAGCAUCUCCAGCAAUGGCAGCGGCAUACAGAGCAUCUUUAUCCAUAAUCUUGUAGAGGCUUCCACCAGGGCUCUUAGCUAUAAAAAUAAAAAAGUGUCAAAUUAAACAGCGAAGAAGAUUUUAACAAAUGCAAAAUAGGUUUUAGCUUACAUAACAAAAAGAAGUAUAUAUCCCUAUAGAUAGUAUAUUAUUAUCUUUACAGAAAAGAGUGUUUAAAGAGCAUACCUUGAUCCAGAUUUUGAAUACGCACAACAGUACUACCAUGAGGUCCAAGCAAAGAUGGAGCAGUGCAAGUUGUAGAGAUGAUCUCUGCUAUAUCAUUGAGCCCUUCUUCCACAGCUAUGUACAUUGGUGUUUUAUCAUCAUCGUUUUGAAUAUGUGUAUCAGUCGGGUCGGCCUCUACUAGUAGCUUAACAAUAUCCAGGUGACCAUACUUGACUGCUGCGUGUAAGGCGGUGUCCAUGUCUUUAUCACCUUGCCUGAGAAAAGCUUGAAAAGAAGUCACUGAAUUAUCAUCACCAUCUGAAGGAGGAGGCGGCAAAUGGCGAGCUGCAUCAAUGAGGAUCUCAGCCACUUGUUUGUGUCCUCCUCGAUAUAUAGCUAAGUGUAGUGCUGAAUGCUUAUAUCUAGUAAGCUUAGUCAAAAGAUUUUUGUGUGGAAAUUCCCUCAAAAUGAAUCUCACACGUUCUGUAUUUCCCUUCUGGGAUUGCAGGUGAAGGAUAGUUUCUUCAUCUUGGAACAGUGUAUCAGCUUCCAUCUCCAAUUGAGCAAUGGCAGCAGCAUCUGCGGCCAUGGCAGCAUCGAAGAGAGUAUCCAGAUCCAUAACUAUAUCUUUACUCUACCACGGCUCCUGCCUGCUGGACUUUCUCGGAUUAUGAAAAUGCUAGUUAUGUAAUUGGAAGCUUGGUGUUGGCUUUAUAUCAACAAGAUGUUGACCAACCAAAAUGCUAAGUCGUGCUCAUGUAAAUUGGUUGUUGGGUUUGUUAACGAAGAUGCAUCAUAAUUUUGCAUCUCCGGCAAUGGCAGCGUCAUACAAAGCAUUCGUAGCCAUAGUUCUAUAUCACUGAUUGAAUCAGUCGAUUAAUGGAAGAAAAACUACAGGGGUGCUAAGUUAUGCAGAAUUACUUAUGGAAGCUGCAGCUUGGGCUGUGCUCUAAAAUAAGAUAUUAACUAACAAAUACUAUUAGCAAUCCGUUUCAUACGGCAUUGUAUAAUGGAACCGUUUGGGCAAAAUUAAAAAAAGUGACUUCUUGCUUAAACUAGAGAAGUGGAGCAGAAGUAAGAAGUAAAUAAGUGAAUAAAGUGUUUGGAAAAGAAGCAGAAGCUGUGAGAGAGAAGCUAUGAUUCUCAGCUUCUUAAAAGUGCUUCUUUACACGGGUCAACGAAAGCCGAAGCCAGAAGCAGCUUCUACUUCUGGCAAACAAACAGGCCCAAUAUCUACAAUCCCUGCUGCUGCAUGUGGCCAGGUAUGUAGUAGACUUUUCAGAUGAUUGGGUUGGAGGUAAAUAAACAAGUCCCCCACAUGUGAUAAGAACGAUACGAGUCUACCAUUACAUAACACAGGCUUGUCACCGAAAGUUCUGUACGAGCCCCGAGCUAACUAAUAUAAUCAAUAUCAUCGAAAAAUAAUAUCUUGUUGGUUGCAAAUUUAGCCUAUAAUUAUAACUAAUCCCGUCAAAGAUAGCUAUAAUAUAUCACUAUUCUAAUAUGUUUUUAAUUUGCAUGUCAUCCCAAAAAUGUCAACUGUAUAAAAAUUUAAUAAUGAUACGAUUCCCUAAUUAUUUACUUUCUGCAAAAGUCUCCUUGACUGAGUAUGCAAUUAUUGUGUCUAAACAGCUGCGUGCUUACUGAAAGUUUCAGAUUAAUUAACUUAUAAUCAAGAUUGAUUAUUACUUUCGACCUGUAACUACCUUUUUUUGUUUAAAAAUGUCGUUGCAUUGUGCAUAGCUACAACCGAGUCAAAUAAUUCAUUAACUAGCUCGGGAUGAAAUAGAGAGAGAAUGAAAAAAAUGUACUCUAAUAACAUCAUGUUAGAUUAGAAAAAUAUAUUUGAUUUUCAUUCUUUCAAUUAUUUCAUUGUUGCUAUUUUAAUUAAAAUUUUAACAUAUUUCAGAAGAAUUUUUAAGUAGUAUGAUAGACUCGGCCUAACUUCUGUCAAAUAUGUAUUACGACAUUAAUUAAGUUAAAGUAUAUAGCUAACUGGGUUGUUUGUGCUUGCAUAUAUGCCAAAAUAUGUAUAUAUUGCAAACCUAAUUUUACAAACUAAAAAUUAAACUCAACUGAAGGUAAGAUAUGUGGCAUUUUUUUGAUAGUAUGAUGAUAUAUGUGCUAGCAUUUGCAUUAGUACCCCUGCUUUGAGCUUCUACAUUGGCACCGCCACUGCUUCUUUUAAUCGGAUCAAUCACGUCAAUUUGUAGCACCGCCACUGCUCCUGAGUUUUUUCGUGCUUAGGGUUUUAGAGAAUCGAGCAGGAAGGGUAAGAUGGGUUUAUAGUAUAAUAACCCCACGUUUUGGUAUUAUUUGCUAACGCGGUAAGACAGAUUUACCGGAAGUUAGCAAGAACACCCAUAAUGCUUAAAAAUUAUAUUCACAGUGCAUUAUAUGGCUACUUUUAUUUUGUGGACAUUAAAGUGCAAAAAAAUUAUUUUAUAAGCCAACAAACUGCAAUUUACUCUAAUAUUUAUCACAAAAAAAUUAAACUCAUUCAUAUCUAGCGACUAUUAUCUCAUAAUUUCUUUUUGGGAAUUUAUCAAAUAUACUACUUUUUAGGAUCUUAUUUGCAAAAAUACCAUCUUCCUAAAUUAAUUGCAUAUUUACUAAACUAAGUUUCUAAAUUGCAAAAAUACUACCCCCUCCCCCCUGCAACUAAAUGCAACCUCAAAUACAACUGAAUGCCUGAUUUCAAGUUCCACUUUUCAAAUGUCAUUUUCGACCUCAUCCUUGGAAUCCAUAUAUAUAUAUAUAUAUAUAUAUAUAUAUAUAUAUAUAUAUGGAUUUCAAGGAUGAGGUCGAAAAUGACAUUUGAAAAGUGGAACUUGAAAUCAGGCAUUCAGUUGCAUAUGAGGUUGCAUUUAGUUGCAGGGGAGGGGGUAGUAUUUUUGCAAUUUAGAAACUUAGUUUAGUAAAUAUGCAAUUAAUUUAAACGUUUAAAUAUCAAAGUUUUAUUUAAAAAAAUUAAAAAAAUAUAUUAUGAAACCAUUAUUUAAAGGGAGUUUUUUCAUAAAUAUAUAGGAAAAAGUAAAUUUUUGCAAAUUUACUUUUCUCAAGAAUAGCUAUUUGCAGUUUUACUACACUAAAUUUCUAAAUUGCAAAAAUACUACCCCCCUCCCUUCUGCAACUGAAUGCAACCACGUGCAACUGAAUGCCUGAUUUCAAGUUCCAGUUUUCGUAAUGUCAUUUUCGACCUCAUCCUUGGAAUCCACACAUAUAUAUGUAUGGAUUCCAAGGAUGAGGUCGAAAAUGACAUUUGAGAACUGGAACUUGAAAUCAGGAGUUGCAGUUGCAUGUGGUUGCAUUCAGUUGCAGAAGGGAGGGGUAGUAUUUUUGCAAUUUAGAAACUUAGUGUAGUAAAACUGCAAAUAGCUAUUCUUGAGAAAAGUAAAUUUGCAAAAAUUUACUUUUUCCUAUAUAUUUAUGAAAAAACCCCUUUUUCCUACACAAAUUUUUAUAUAAUUUUUCAUUUCAUUGUCUACUCGUUCCAUUCUAUCCGGGUGAACACAACCUAAAAAUUUGAAUUUGGACAAAAUUUGUUCAAUAAAACUUUAUUUAACAAUGUUUGAUUGCUUUAAAUUUUGUUCAAAUUCAUUAAUAUAUCUUAACACCAUCCAAAACCAUACAUGUUUGUUAUCCUUCGAGGCCCCAUUCAUGUAAAGAGACUUUUGGAGCUAGUUGACAAUUGACAUGCAAAACAACCGGUUUCAUACGUCUAUCUGUCAUCUACUCACCACAAUAAUUGAUGUAAUUAUACCUAAGAGAUAAUCAAUCAUACUUGAGCAAAUUCGAAAAAAGUAAAAACAUAAAUUUUAUUUAUCAUUCCAUCCUCUUUAUAAAAGUCUCCUUUCGAAAUAAAAUUGGAUUAGUAGAGAAAAAUUUAUAUAUAAUCUUUCAAAUAUAUCGGUGUAUUUAUUAUUAUGUUAUUAUUUUUAAGAUAAUAACUAGGAGAAUUCAGAAUUGUUUGAUUUCUUCCCAUCUGUGUCCACUCCAUCUCCAAUUCAGCAUCAGGGACAACGCAGUCAUCGAAAGUCUGCCAGUUGAACAAGCUACACCAACUGUUGUAAACUCUUAAAUUUAAGUGAAAAAUUUCACAAGAAACUUUUUUGGGAGGACAUGAUGCUCCUAAUCCAACAUUACUUAAACAGAGGCUUGAUGAGUUGAUGUAUAGUUGUAUACUAAACCCGUUUACUGCGGCAAUUUCUAUUCUGGAGUCCACUGCUACAUGUGGCCACUAUCAUUUCUCACAACCUCAUUAGUUCCUAUUUAAUUAACUUAAACCAACUCUCUUGAUGGAUUUAAAAAGAGUAAAUUUCAAAGAUGUGGCUACAUUUUGUUGGAAAUAUUAAACUAUUAGCGCAACAAUGAGGCAGUUAUAUAUCAGGAAUUAAAAAGAACAGGCAAGGCACCAAAUAACGAAACAAUACACGAAGGCAAAACAGAAAUAUAAUCAGUACCUUAAAUCGACAAGAAAAGACAGAAAUCACUUAGCUUGCGAAGCUUUAUCAAAUACUGAUCAAAAUCAGAAUAACAGCUGAGUCGCCUAGCCCUUGAAAAGCCUAGACUAUUCUUGACACGAUAAUUGCCCCACUUACGCUGUGUUGGGUUGCAGCAAUAUCGCCUCCAGGAUAAAACAGAUCAGAUCAACUUGUUCACGGACACGCAAUUGAUCAACAGUGACCUGACCUCAGUUCGCCCAGAAAACCUAUGCAAUCUGUUCUGUAUGUAUUUUUGCAGAGAGAAAAUAGAGAAGAGUAGCAGCUAGGGUUUUUUAUCUUUUUGUUAUCAGUAUCUCUCACAAAACGUUUUGAUUCUGUAUAUAAUACAAAAUAAAACGUAACUGAAGAUAUGGCAUUAAUUACAAUAAAUAUUCUGACUUCAAUUGUUUUAUUUUAAUUGAAUAUAUAUCAGUACAUUCACCACUCAGGGGCACGUACAUUCACCACUCAGGGGCACGUACAUUCAUAUUAAAAUAAUAUUAUAAGUCAGGAUUUAUUUAAUUAAAACAGUGGUAAAAUUCCUCGCCCAGGUCGCCUCGUGUACGCGAGACGCCGAGACAUUCGCCCUUCGACCCGACCCGAGUCGAGGCGUGGCGGGGAGGCGGCGGCGGCGCGCGCGUGUGUGCGCGCGCGAGGCGCUCACUACAACCUUGCACACCCACAUGCCUUGGUAGUUGAACACUACACUUGCACAUGUACUAUAUAAAGCCACCAACCUCACUUUCCAAUAUCAAUGUGGGACUAACCCACAUACCAUAUUUUACCACUUUCAAGCUACUAACUUCAACUCAAUUUAUUUAUGGAUUACACUAAGAAAAUGUCUUAGAUCCAAACAUGAAAGUUUAAGUCCUCAUUACAAGGAACAACACCUCCAACAAUUAGAUUAAGGUAAUUCCAUCAAGAACCCAUAUAAAAUGAGUCUUAAAAUUUACCAUUUUCUAACAAUCCCCCACUAAUCCAUACAGAAAUGCAUAUCAGAUUUUAUCAUGACUUGUUUUUCAGAGUAGGUACCCUUCCGGGUUUGAACCCUCCUAAGUCCUCUACUUCGAUGGCUACCGGAUAUAGAUGGAAUAUUUCACCUUGAAUCUUUAUCCGUUUGGUGUAACCACACUCCAUAGACGACGACAAGUCAAAGGCUAUGGUACAGAUCUACGGCUUUGAGACGUUAAUGGUCGUGUCUCGAUCCUGUUCGACAAAUGUUUCAAGGAAUAACCCAUUCCUCUAAUUGCGACCACACAAUUACAUUCGCUUAGCUGGGCAUCUCCAAAGAUGUACUGCUAACUUCUCGUCAAAUGACUUGACCCCAUUCAGAGUUUUAAAAACUCUUGCUAUACAUGCAGUAACAGUACCUUUUAAGGUUUCCAGGGGAUAGACUCAAAUACAUAAGUAUCUAGCUAUAUGUAGUAAAGGUACUACCGAUCCAUCCUUACAACUUGUUAUUACCCCAUUGAAUACACUUCAAGGGAUCUCCUCUCAGGUGUAUUGGGUUCCCGCUGUAGAUGAACCAUGAUGGGUUACCAGUCCCAUCCCCAACCUCGACUUAAGGACUACAGCAUGCUCAAGCCCCUUAGUCAACGGGUCAGCUAUAUUAUCCUGAGUUCCAAUGAACUCUAUAGCUAUAACCCUAUCAGAAACAAGACCCCUUAUAGACUUAAGUCUAACUUGGAUGUGUCUCUUUGUCUUAGCGUUAUACUUUACACUUCUGAUCUUGUCAAUAGUUGUACGGCUAUCACAAUGAACAGAAAUGGCAGGAAGCGGUUUGCUUACUACAGGUAACAUUGACAUCAGUCCAUGUAACCAUUCAGCCUCCGUCCCCGUGGCAUCCAAUGCACACAACUCAGCCUCAAAAGUAGACCGAGUAAUCAAAGUCUGUCUAGAAGACUUCCAGGACACAGCUCCACCCGCUAGGGUAAACACAUAUCCAGUCACUCCAUUGGAACCGGAUUUCUUAGCUAUCCAACUUGCAUCACUGUACCCCUCGAGUACCCCCGGAAAUCUCCGGUAAUGCAAGCCAAGAGAAAUAGUUCCCUUGAGAUAUCUAAGAACUCUAUCCAGAGCCUCCCAAUGAGUCUUGUUCGGACAGCUUGUAUAUCUAGCUAACUUAGACACAGAAUAAGAAAUAUCUGGUCUAGUCACGUUAGCAAGAUAUUGCAAACUACCAAUAAUCUGAGACUACCUUAACUGAGACACAGGUACACCUGAACUAUUCUUGACAAGGGCCACUUUAGGAUCAUAGGGACAAUUUGAAUAACCAUACUUCUCAAGUAUAGAUUUCUCUACAUAAUGAGGCUGUGACAAGGUUAUUCCAUCAGUUGACCGUGUUAACUUAAUCCCAAGAAUCAUACUAGCCUCACCCAUAUCCUUCAUCUCAAAGUGCCUUUUCAAGAAACUCUUUGUCUCGUUAAUAAUCGCAAUAUUGGUUCCAAACAACAAAAUAUCAUCAACAUAUAAGCAUACAAUCACACAUUCAUUUCCUAUAACCUUAUAGUAGACGCACUUAUCACUUUCAUUAACUAAAAACUCGAAUGCUAAAACAGUUUCAUCAAACUUUUUAUGCCAGUCGAUAGGUGCUUGUUUAAGGCCAUAGAUGGACUUGACUAGUUUACAUACUUUCCUCUCGUUACCAGAAGCAAUAAAUCCUUCAGGCUGAUCCAUGUAAAUCUCUUCUUCAAGGUCACCAUGAAGAAAAGCUGUCUUUACAUCCAUUUGAUGGAUGAUAAGACCAUGCACAGAAGCCAAUGCUAUAAGCAGUCGGAUUGUUGUCAUUCUAGCAACAGGAGAGUAUGUAUCAAAAUAGUCUAUACCUUCUCUUUGCCUAAAACCCUUAGCAACUAGCCUCGCCUUGUACUUAUCUAUUGAGCCAUCUGGGUUCAACUUCCUCUUGAAGAUCCACUUACAUCCUAUAGUAGAACAACCAGGAGAGAGAUCGACUAACUCCCAUGUUCCAUUAGAAACAAUAGAGUCCAUCUCACUCUUUACAGCGCCUUUCCAAUGCCUUGACUCCGAAGAGUCCAUGGCUUGACGGAAAGUUAAAGGUUCAUCCUCGACAUUGUAAGUGAGAAAGUCACUUCCAAAGUCCUUGACUACCUUUGCACGCUUACUCCUUCUAGGUUCCUCUACUUCGUUAGGAGUAGAGCUACUACUAGGAUUCGCCCCCACAUUUGUCAUCUUUUCCACAUGAUCGGGAAUAGAACUCGAUGUGAGAGUCGGAUCAUCCUCAGAAUUACCCUGAGGUAUACCAGUCUUCAUAGGGAACACGUCCUCAAAGAACGUUGCAUCACGAAACUCAACUAUCGUAUUAGCCACAAUGCCGUCUAUGUCAGAUUUUAUAACUAAAAAUCUCAUAGCGGUUGUGGUCUCUAGAUAGCCCAAAAAGAUACAAUCAACAGUCUUAGGCCCUAGUUUCUUUCUCUUGUGUUCAGGUACAAGUAUCUUUGCAAGGCACCCUCACACACGAAGAUAAUUCAAACUAGUUUUACGUUUUCUCCAUAAUUCAUAUGGUGUCUUAUCCAUGUGUUUCAAAGGGACCCUAUUCAGAAUAUGGCAAGCCGUAUUCAGAGCCUCUCCCCACAUGUAUUUAGGCAACCCCGAAUUAAUCAACAUGCUGUUAAUCAUAUCUUUAAAAGUUCUGUUCUUUCGCUCUGCCACCCCAUUAGACUCAGGUGUGUAUGGUGGAGUAACCUCAUGAACUAUACCAUUGCUUGCGCAAAAUUCAUUAAACAAGUUACUUGUAUACUCACCACCUCUAUCAGAUCUCAAACGUUUAAGUACUUUGCUCGUUUGUGUUUCAGCUUCAUUUUUAAACAUAAUGAAUUUUUCUAGUGCUUCAUCCUUAUGUUUAAGCAGAUAAACAUAACAAUAUCUACUAUAAUCAUCUAUAAAGGUAAUGAAAUAUCUAUAAUGAUCCAUAGUCAAAACACCACCAAAUUCACAUAUGUCUGUGUGCACUAAAUCUAACAAUUCAGAAUCCCUAACAACAUUAUGAAAAGGUUUCUUUGUUUGUUUAGCAGUCACACAUACUUGACACUUAGAUUUCUUAUCAAUGGAAUGCUUUGGAAUCAACUCUAAAUUCAUCAUAUUCUUUAGAGCACCAAAAUUUAAAUGACCAAGUCGUGAGUGCCAUAAAUCAGAUGAUUCAACACAAUUAACAGAAGGAACAUUAAUAAAACCACCCAAAACGGGUUCCACAUUUAUCACAAAUAAACCAUCCGACAAGUAACCCUUGUCAACAAAUGUACCAGUCUGAGUAAUCACAACUUUAUUACAUUUAAAAGAAAGUUCAAAGCCAUUUUUAACUAAAUAGCUUCCACUUAUAAUAUUUCUAUGAAUAGAAAGAACAUGAUGCACUCUAGUGAGGGUCAGAACACGCCCAGAAGCAAACUUCAGGUCCACAUUUCCAAUUCCUAGCACUUGAGCAGCACUUGCAUUCCCCAUCCUCACUGUCACUCCAUGACACUGUUGAUAAGAUACAAAGAGAGUAAUAUCAGCACAAAUAUGCACAUUAGCUCCUGUAUCAAUCAACCAUUCAUGAGACAGAUAAGCGGAAAACAGUUCAGGGUUGUAGGCAACAUACCCGUCAUUGGUUUCAGAGGCAACAAUCUCACCAACAACCAUGUUAUCCACAGGCCCACUCGUGGUUCCAAGCACAGUAUUAGCCUGAGCUACCACACCAGCUUUCUUAGCUUUCUUCAUGGGACAGUACUUGCUCCAAUGACCAACCUGUCCACAAGACCAACAUGGCUUGUUUGCCUUUGGUUUCUUAGCCUUGUUCUUGUCAUUCUUAGGUUUAUCCUUCUUAGUGACAGAUUUCCUUUUCUGUCCUACAGUUACUACGUUCACCUUUGAACUACUCCCAUGCUCAGCAGGCAUCACAUGUCCUUGUUUGGACUUGUGCUGCUCCUGCACAGAGAUGUCCAACAUCAGAUUAGUCCAAGUGAUCUCUCCUUUCUGUCUUUUCAGGGAGAGAGCAAAUUCUUCCCAAGACUUUGGGAGUUUUUCAAUCACGGACAUAACCUGAAACUUUUCAGGCAGGUCCAUUCCGGACUCCUUCAAAGCAUGCACCAACAUCUCAAAUUCAUGCACCUGUUCCGUCAUGGAUUUUCCAUCCACCAGCUUGAAAUCAAGAAACCUCGCCACACUAUACUUCUCAAGACCUUGAGAAUCAGUAUUGUGGGUUUGGUCCAGCUUCUCCCACAAAAGCUUAGCAGUAUAGGCAUCCGAUGAAUAUACAUCGAAUAGAGUGUUCGCUAACGCUGCCAAAAUAGCAGCCCUAGCCACCCCAUCCUUUUCAGCCCACAAAGCAUAAACCUUUGCAGAAUCAGCCUUCUCUUGAUCCACAACAGGAGGAUCAUACUGCACCACUGGCCAUAAGCCCUUAACCGUUAACCAGAGCUUCAUCUUUUUCUGCCAACGAGAAAAGGAAGCCCCCCCGUUGAAUUUAUUAGGCAUGCCCGAUAAAUCAAUAGGCUGAGGGAAACGGUACGUAGCCCAAUCAAUGGCAGCAAUACCACCAGAACCAGAACUAGAAGCACCAAGAACAGUCACAGGAGUUCCAGUUUCGUUAACCAUCUUGCUAAUAACUAUAUAACACAAAUUAUCGUUUCAAGAUUGUUGGAAAUAUUAAACUAUUAGCGCAACAAUGAGGCAGUUAUAUAUCAGGAAUUAACAAGAACAGGCAAGGCACCAAAUAACGAAACAAUACACGAAGGCAAAACAGAAAUAUAAUCAGUACCUUAAAUCGACAAGAAAAGACAGAAAUCACUUAGCUUGCGAAGCUUUAUCAAAUACUGAUCAAAAUCAGAAUAACAGCUGAGUCGCCUAGCCCUUGAAAAGCCUAGACUGUUCUUGAAACGAUAAUUGCCCCACUUACGCUGUGUUGGGUUGCAGCAAUAUCGCCUCCAGGAUAAAACAGCUCAGAUCAACUCGUUCACAGACACGCAAUUGAUCAACAGCGACCUGACCUCAGUUCGCCCAGAAAACCUAUGCAAUCUGUUCUGUAUGUAUUUUUGCAGAGAGAAAAUAGAGAAGAGUAGCAGCUAGGGUUUUUAUCUUUUUGUUAUCAGUAUCUCUCACAAAACGUUUUGAUUCUGUAUAUAAUACAAAAUAAAACGUAACUGAAGAUAUGGCAUUAAUUACAAUAAAUAUUCUGACUUCAAUUGUUUUAUUUUAAUUGAAUAUAUAUCAGUACAUUCACCACUCAGGGGCACGUACAUUCACCACUCAGGGGCACGUACAUUCAUAUUAAAAUAAUAUUAUAAGUCAGGAUUUAUUUAAUUAAAACAGCGGUAAAAUUCCUCGCCCAGGUCGCCUCGCGUACGCGAGACGCCGAGACAUUCGCCCUUCGACCCGACCCGAGUCGAGGCGUGGCGUGGCGGCGGCGGCGGGCGCGUGUGUGCGCGCGCGAGGCGCUCCCUACAACCUUGCACACCCACAUGCCUUGGUAGUUGAACACUACACUUGCACAUGUAUUAUAUAAAGCCACCAACCUCACUUUCCAAUAUCAAUGUGGGACUAACCCACAUACCAUAUUUUACCACUUUCAAGCUACUAACUUCAACUCAAUUUAUUUAUGGAUUACACUAAGAAAAUGUCUUAGAUCCAAACAUGAAAGUUUAAGUCCUCAUUAAAAGAACAACCUCCAACAAUUAGAUUAAGGUAAUUCCAUCAAGAACCCAUAUAAAAUGAGUCUUAAACUUACCAUUUUCUAACAAUCCCCCACUAAUCCAUACAGAAAUGCAUAUCAGAUUUUAUCAUGACUUGUUUUUCAGAGUAGGUACCCUUCCGGGUUUGAACCCUCCUAAGUCCUCUACUUCGAUGGCUGGAUAUAGAUGGAAUAUUUAACCUUGAAUCUUUAUCCGUUUGGUGUAACCACACUCCAUAGACGACGACAAGUCAAAGGCUAUGGUACAGAUCUACGGCUUUGAGACGUUAAUGGUCGUGUCUCGAUCCUGUUCGACGAAUGUUUCAAGGAAUAACCCAUUCCUCUAAUUGCGACCACACAAUUACAUUCGCUUAGCUGGGCAUCUCCAAAGAUGUACUGCUAACAUCUCGUCAAAUGACUUGACCCCAUUCAGAGUUUUAAAAACUCUUGCUAUACAUGCAGUAACAGUACCUUUUAAGGUUUCCAGGGGAUAGACUCAGAUACAUAAGUAUCUAGCUAUAUGUAGUAAAGGUACUACCGAUCCAUCCUUACAACUUCUUAUUACCCCAUUGAAUACACUUUGAGGGAUCUCCUCUCAGGUGUAUUGGGUUCCCGCUGUAGAUGAACCAUGAUGGGUUACUAGUCCCAUCCCCAACCUCGACUUAAGGACUACAGCAUGCUCAAGCCCCUUAGUCAACGGGUCAGCUAUAUUAUCCUGAGUUCCAAUGAACUCUAUAGCUAUAACCCUAUCAUAAACAAGACCCCUUAUAGACUUAAGUCUAACUUGGAUGUGUCUCUUUGUCUUAGCGUUAUACUUUACACUUCUGAUCUUGUCAAUAGUUGUACGGCUAUCACAAUGAACAGAAAUGGCAGGAAGCGGUUUGCUUACUACAGGUAACAUUGACAUCAGUCCAUGUAACCAUUCAGCCUCCGUCCCCGUGGCAUCCAAUGCACACAACUCAGCCUCAAAAGUAGACCGAGUAAUCAAAGUCUGUCUAGAAGACUUCCAGGACACAGCUCCACCCGCUAGGGUAAACACAUAUCCAGUCACUCCAUUGGAACCGGAUUUCUUAGCUAUCCAACUUGCAUCACUGUACCCCUCGAGUACCCAUAGAAAUCUCCGAUAAUGCAAGCCAAGAGAAAUAGUUCCCUUGAGAUAUCUAAGAACUCUAUCCAGAGCCUCCCAAUGAGUCUUGUUCGGACAGCUUGUAUAUCUAGCUAACUUAGACACAGAAUAAGAAAUAUCUGGUCUAGUCACGUUAGCAAGAUAUUGCAAACUACCAAUAAUCUGAGAAUACCUUAACUGAGACACAGGUACACCUGAACUAUUCUUGACAAGGGCCACUUUAGGAUCAUAGGGUGUACUUGCGAUUCUAUAAUUUGAGUAACCAUACUUCUCAAGUAUAGAUUUCUCUAUAUAAUGAGGCUGUGACAAGGUUAUUCCAUCAGUUGACCGUGUUAACUUGAUCCCAAGAAUCAUACUAGCCUCACCCAUAUCCUUCAUCUCAAAGUGCCUUUUCAAGAAACUCUUUGUCUCGUUAAUAAUCGCAAUAUUGGUUCCAAACAACAAAAUAUCAUCAACAUAUAGGCAUACAAUCACACAUUCACUUCCUCUAACCUUAUAGUAGACACACUUAUCACUUUCAUUAACUAAAAACUCGAAUGCUAAAACAGUUUCAUCAAACUUUUUAUGCCAGUCGAUAGGUGCUUGUUUAAGGCCAUAGAUGGACUUGACUAGUUUACAUACUUUCCUCUCGUUACCGGAAGCAAUAAAUCCUUCAGGCUGAUCCAUGUAAAUCUCUUCUUCAAGGUCACCAUGAAGAAAAGCAGUCUUUACAUCCAUUUGAUGGACGAUAAGACCAUGCACAGAAGCCAAUGCUAUAAGCAUUCGGAUGGUUGUCAUUCUAGCAACAGGAGAGUAUGUAUCAAAAUAGUCUAUACCUUCUCUUUGCCUAAAACCCUUAGCAACUAGCCUCGCCUUGUACUUAUCUAUUGAGCCAUCCGGGUUCAACUUCCUCUUGAAGAUCCACUUACAUCCUAUAGUAGAACACCCAGGAGGGAGAUCGACUAACUCCCAUGUUCCAUUAGAAACAAUAGAGUCCAUCUCACUCUUUACAGCGCCUUUCCAAUGCCUUGACUCCGAAGAGUCCAUGGCUUGACGGAAAGUUAAAGGUUCAUCCUCGACAUUGUAAGUGAGAAAGUCACUUCCAAAGUCCUUGACUACCUUUGCACGCUUACUCCUUCUAGGUUCCUCUACUUCGUUAGGAGUAGAGCUACUACUAGGAUUCGCCCCCACAUUUGUCAUCUUUUCCACAUGAUCGGGAAUAGAACUCGAUGUGAGAGUCGGAUCAUCCUCAGAAUUACCCUGAGGUAUACCAGUCUUCAUAGAGAACACGUCCUCAAAGAACGUUGCAUCACGAAACUCAACUAUCGUAUUAGCCACAAUGCCGUCUAUGUCAGAUUUUAAAACUACAAAUCUCAUAGUGGUUGUGGUCUCUAGAUAGCCCAAAAAGAUAUAAUCAACAGUCUUAGGCCCUAGUUUCUUUCUCUUGUGUUCAGGUACAAGUACCUUUGCAAGGCACCCCCACACACGAAGAUAAUUCAAACUAGUUUUACGUUUUCUCCAUAAUUCAUAUGGUGUCUUAUCCAUGUGUUUCAAAGGGACCCUAUUCAAAAUAUGGCAAGUCGUAUUCAGAGCCUCUCCCCACAUGUAUUUAGGCAACCCCGAAUUAAUCAACAUGCUGUUAAUCAACAUGCUGUUAGAAAAUUUACCAUUUUCUAAUGGAUUUUACACCAAUUCACAUUUUUGUGGCUGUACUUUAAAAAUAGCAAAAAUGUAGCCAAAAUUCUUCUCUGCCUUUCAAAAAUGUGGCUGCCGUCAAGUCCACUCUAACAAAUUUAACGGACGGUGGGAUAUUUCUGUUUUUUUUUAAUUUUCUGCAACGAUCAAAACAGUAUCAUCAGAACUCAAAUACUGAACAACCAAAGCAAGUUGGUGCAUAAUUUCAUCAUUCAAUCAACAUAUUUCUUGUUGAGUAACUUCGAUUCAUAAAUAAUAAAAUCAGACACUCUAUCUGAAAAGUCACUGCACAACCAACAAACCCCAAUCUUUUUGCGUGAAUUUAUAAAUACACACAUAAUACAUACAAUCACGGCGGCGACGGCGAUAAUGAGCCAGCACGGUCUCGUUGAAAGCCUCUCGCACAUUCACAUCACUGUACUCUCUUCUUUUCUCACCCUCUAAUUUCACUUUGAUUAACUGUAUAUACAACUAUGUGUUUUUCCUGUGUGUAUAUACGUUUGUAGGUUGGUAAAACUAUCAUCUUCAUUUGAUAAGGUUGUGAUUGAGGCCUAAUUAUCGAGCUAUAGAGGUUCUGAAUGUUGGAAUUUGUUCGUGAUUACCGUAACUCAGCAUGUUCGUGAUUACUGUAACUCAGCAUUUUAGUUUUUUAUUCUAAAUUUCUUUUUAUCUCAUAAAUACCCCUCCUAUUAGAUCCGUUAGUGUGGACUUGACAGCAGCCAUAUUUUUUCUAUUUUUAAAAUUCAGCCACAAAAAUACGAAUUGGUGUAAAAUGUAGCCACACCCUUGAAUUUUGCUUAUUUAAAAAUAAUAAUCAUACUAAUCAUUUUUACUCCAGGAAGAGCCAAUUUGACCUGACCUUGAAUAAAGAGUAAACCUCAAGGGUGUGGCUGAAGUUUACACCGAUUUUCAAGUUUGUGGCCGAAUUUUAAAAAUUACAAAAGCGUGGUUGGAGUUCGCCUCCGCCUUUUAAAACUAUGGCUUCCGUUAAAUGCCCUCUAACGGAGCUAACGGAAUUGAGGGUAUUUUUGGAUUUUUCGAAAUUCUUCUCUUCUCCCCUUUAUUUUCUCAACCGAUGCGCCGCUGUCCUCUCUUCCCCUUCUAAACUUCUCAUUUCUCUCUUUUUCCUCCCUCUCCACAAGUAGUUACUGCAACUACACAUCUCGAAAUUCAAACUCUCUGAAAAUCAACAGGAGAUACAUAAAUAUUAACAUAGAAAGUGAUUAGCAAUUCGCAGACAUAUAUACAAGUAAAUAAAAAAAGAGAAUGAGAGAGAGAGGGAGAGGGAGGGAGGGAGAGAGAUGACCUGUAUUCCCAAGUUUGAAAGCCAGAUUUGUAAAUAAGAAAGUGAAGCGGCUCCCAGCAAUUGAAGACUUCAUCGGAAUCGUGAAUGAUAUUGGUAGUAGCGCUCAUAUAUCUAAGCAUGCCUAGGGCAAGUACAGGUAACAGAAACCCUAGCCCCUUGUCCUCCUCGCCGUCAUAAACUCUCCCUGGGUCAUCUAGGCUAAACUCCGGCACCGCCACCACCAUCGAAUUCACCCUUCACCACUCUAUUCUUGCCAUCGUGUUCACGGUCUCCAACCCCGACUCCCUGCUCAGCCCCCUUCCUUGUAUCUUUCUCACGCAGCAGUGACGCUACAACACAACCGGUGGUUGUUCACGGCAAACACCUCUGCAACCCACCAUACCAACGACCACUUGAUAGCCCUCAAUCUCAUCUCAAAUUCAAGCGUGGAUUUUGAAUCCCAAUCGCCAACCCUAGUUCUCGAUCCUCCGUUUUUCACCGCCGCUCGUGCCGCCCCCUUUGUUUCUUCCUCUUUUCCCCAAACAAUUUUAUUUAUAUAUUUUUACAUAUCCACCCCUUUAUUUAUUUAAUUUUAAGUGAGUUAACGGCUAAAAUCUAACGGACUUAACGGCAGCCAAAGUUUUAAAAGACGGAGGCGAACUCGAGCCACGCUUUUGUAAUUUUUAAAAUUCAGCCACAAACUUGCAAAUCAGUGUAAAUUUCAGCCACACCCUAGAAAUUUACUCUUGAAUAAAUUCAGUUGUAUGAAUGCAUCGAUCACAAAUUACAAUUAUAUUACAUGAAAAUACAACUAUCACGUCUCACAACUAGGGCUGUAAAUGAGUUGAUACGCUCGAUAACCGCUCGGUGUUCGGUACACUAGAGUUCGACUCGAUAGUUCACGAGCCAAGUUCACGAACUCAUAAACAUGGCUCGUGGAUGUGGGAGUUUCAUUAAUGAAUGAUUUGUUCUGAAUUUAUGAUUUCUUAUAGAAUAAAUUAAAAUAUUGUUGGGAUUUUAAUUUAUUUUUUUUUAAUUAGAUUAAAUAACAAACAAGCUCGUAAAUAAAUUUACGAGUAUAAGCUAGCUCGUUAGCAAAGUUUAUUGAACAAGCUCGUGAACAAAAUUAAUGAACGGUUGGUAAGCAAAAAUUCGUGGGAUAUGUCCGUGAGCGUAAGUUAAUGAGCGGUUCGUGAGCAAAAGCUCAUGAGACAAGCUCGUGAGACAUGUUCGCAAGCGGUUCGCGAGCCGUCCGUGAACAUAGUUAUUCCUUAAUGAGUCGAUACUCAAACAAUAUUUUUGGCUCGAUCCAAGCUCGAGCACGAGUUCGCUAAUUUUUUAACAAACGAUACACGAGCACUCUAGAGUUCGGCUCGGCUCGGCUCAUUUACACCCCUACUCACAACCUGCAAGUUGUCUUAACUUAAACUAAGAAGGUGUUUUGUAGUGACUGGAAUAAAAUGAAAUUCGUAAUCUGAAAUGAGGUGAUUAAACAAAGUGUUUAAAAUUUUAACUUUACUAAUUGUUUCAUUCAAAAUUAUUGAAUUUUAAAUUUAACCGAAUGUUUUGAAAAAAAUUAGUCAUUUCACUUGUUUUUCAUGUUUCUCUCAUGUUUCUAUGCGGUCUAUAUUAUAAAUAGAGUUGGGCUCUGUGGAGACUCAAUUUUAUUGGAGACUUGGAGACCACAUCUCUCACCACUAAUUUAUAUAUCUAUUCAAUGGACACGAUUAAAGAUACAGUAAUUUGCUUUUAUAUCAAUGAUCACAUCACGUGCAUUUAAUAUACGUAUUUAUAGUCAACAUUAUCAUCAAGGGGAAAGCAGUAAACUAAAUUACGAGAGAAGGGAAGAUGAGAAAUAUAUAUCACGGAUAUCCAAAAUCCCGCGCUUCCGUCAACACAAUGAAAAAUUGUAAGUUAUUACAAACUUAUUAAACAAUAAAGUAAAAGAGAAAUAAAAUGAGAAGAUGAUUAUGGAACAUAUUUAUACUCCCGAUGAGUGCAGGAUGAAGUUAAAAUUAGAUGAGAAGAGUGAAUAACAUCAAUUUGGGAGACAAUGUGAAUUUAAAUUAGGAGGGGAAAAAAUACAGGACAACCAAAGGCAAAUUAGAAGGUGGACAGGACAACCACAACUAAAUUAGAAGGUGGAAGAAUAGAAUUUUGCAUUCAACAAAAAGGUUGCAGAACAAAGAGAUGAUACAGUGUUUGUUUGUGGAACAUAUAUAUAGUUUCAAUUGGUGCAAGAUGGAGAUAAAAUUAGAUGAGAAGGGUGAACAAUAUUAUAAUGGGAGACAAUAUGAAUUUAAUUCAGGAGACAAGAUAAAAAAUGCAGGACAACGAGGACAACGAGUUUCUAGAGAAGAUAAUAUUAAUUUUGAAUUAUCUAAAAAGAGGGAUGAUAGACAAGCAGUGCGGCUAACUUAACUGGCAAUUCACAACAAGGUAGAAGGAUAACAUUUUAAAUUCAACAGAAAAGUUGCAGAACAAAGAGAUGGUAUAAUAUUCUAACAAACAAAAGACGUAGUUAUACGAUUUCUAUGAUAAGAAAACUGGUCAAUGCAUGAUGAUCAUCUGUUUCGAAAUCCUGUAAUAUUUUUGGUACUAAUUGCCACCAUUAGAUAUGCCAUAUAUACAUUUUGUUGUAUUUAAUUGAAUGUUAUUAAAAUAAUUAUUGUUUUGAUUGUAGACCGCUAGAUUAAAGAUUGUUGGACGGUUUAGAUGAUGGUCUCCAAUACUCCAAAAAAAGAGUACUCCAAGGAACUUUACUCAUUAUAAAUAAUUUAAAUUUAUUCAUACUUAAUCACUACUUUUUUCAUUCCUUCUUUUUUAUAUAAUUUUUUUAGUUCAUGCUCUCCGCGUUACAUUGUGAACACAACUUAAUUGUUAUGUCGUAAUGUCGACCUAUUCUUUUUUGAAAAAUCUGAUUAAAUAAUUAACUAGAAUUAAUUAUUAAUUAACAAAAUUUAAUCAAUCAAUUAAUACAUAAUUUAAUUGACCAACUAAAAUAAUUAAUUAAUAAUUUAAAUUAAUAAAAUAAAAAAUUAGCAUUUGUUUUUGAAUUUAUAAAACAUGAAAAGUAUUUUUGAAAUUAAAACAAAUAAUCAAACAUCAAUUCUUUUUUUUUUUUGAAACAAAGGUGUUAAUCUAAUAAUAGAAAGUCAUACGGCAUCUACACCAAUGAUCGAGUCGAACAAACUGGAAAUUGCAAUCGCCUGUUCUCAUGGAGAGACAGUUAAACGAUAUUUUGAAGAUAAAGCAUAUACAAAUACAAAUACCCGCUUCAUGCAUCCUGGUUGAAUCACCGAUACCCUCUUCAUCAUGCCCUAAUAGAGCUAUCGUUUGAGCUAUCGACCAGAAUUGCGAUUUCAUACAAACUUUCAUCAUCAAAUCAACACACCCGCUUACAAUGAAGAAGCGAAAACAAAACUCUCACAAGGGAGAGAAAACAAUCUAGAUCUGGAGCGAAACAACAAAAACAAGAGAAAUCAGACUGAAAAUCCACCCGAUUGAAACAGAUAGGAAAGACGACGAAAUCUCCGAUGGUUUUAGAUCUAAGAAUCUUCCCGAGAAUAGAUCUGGAACAGAACCACAAAAACAAGAGAAAUCGGACUAAAAACCCACCCACUUGGAAGAGAGACAGCAAAAUCUCCGAUGGUUUUAGAUCUAAGUUUUCGGAGAAGAAGUAUUAUUCGAAAACUAGGAAGAAAACAAAGUAAUUAACUGAUUUGGGGCUUUCCACCGGUGAAAACCGAUGGAAGCCCCAGGCGGCUACGACAAAAGAGAGGCUAGACUAUAAAGAGAAUUAGGGUGAUGAUAUUGACGUGGGUAAUGUCAGAGACAAAAAUGCAAAUAUUACUCCAAUCAAAUAUCAAUUUUAAAAAUUAAAUUGAAAAGAUUUAAAUUGUAAGAUUGUAAAAGUAUUAACGGAGGGUACAUGUUCUUUACGUUAUUUUUUUCCCGUGUUUUGAGACUCUAAUAAAAUGUAGUUUCAUAAUAUAUUUUUUAAUUUUAUUUCUCUUGGAAAAAUAUUGACGUUUAAACUUUUAUUCAAUAUAUAAAAAAACCUUAUAGAACUUUACUCAAUGGGACCGAGGAAGUAAGAUACAGGGUAUCAAUGGCCCUGUUUGGGCAACGGAAGUUGCUCCUGAAAUUAAACACCUAGAGGGGGGGUGAAUAGGUGUUAUGGCUAAUAUGACCGAUUUUUAAUGUUACCGAAUAUUUAUACUGUCACAGACAGCUUGCUGUUAAUUUCAGAGUAAACAGUCAGCUAGCUAACAAUGCAGAUGCAAUGCAAAACAGAUAUAAUCAGUAAGCUAGCAACACAGAGAAUUUUAGCCAGGUUCGACCCCUAACCCUAAUGGUCUACGUCCUGGUCCCCUACCAACUGGUAAGAGAUUAUAUUAUUAAUCAAUAAUGUUAACGAUUACAAUGAUUCAAUAAUAUAACUCCCUUUAUCCCUUGUUCCUGUUAUCAGCUUGCUGAAACCCCUGAACCACGAACCAAAAGCUCUCCAAGACCUAUACUUCCCAAGUAUACUCUUCUAGCUAACUAGUCCCCUUGUUCCCUUGUUUCACAAGCUCGAUACACAGCAACAAACCUUUACACUUUGAACAAUACAAUGUAUGAGUGUAAUACAACCGAAACUAUGAACUCAAUAUAGAUAUAUAAUCAAAUAUAAGUACUAGAGCUCAAGUAAAGAUUUUGCAAUGUAAGUGUGUUGUAUUUCAGAAGCUUGAAGUGUGUUCUUGUUUUCUACCAAAACGGAAACCACACUCAAGUUUAUAUACCAUCAUUCCAAACGGUCAUAACUCAACAAACUAUCCAACGUUCUUGGCCCAACAACCUCACGUUUAAUUUGCUUGAAUAAUGAACGUUUGAACGAUGUAUUUUUACUGAGUAAAAGCAUAAAGACGUUUGAAACAACUCAGUAAACGUUUGUUUAUAAAACAAAACAGUUUGAAUAGAAGUAGGAGUCUAAAAGGAUAAACAAGGUUUGAAAUCAACUCCUAUAUUUUAGGAAAACGAUUUUGAAUAAAACUCUUUGAUAAAAGAUGAGCUCUAAUAUUUAUAUACUGUAUAUAUAUGUAUUAGAGUCCUCACAAAACGUUCCCUAACAAAUCUCCUUGAAAAUAGGACUUGAUCUUUAUCCGAUAAGCAUCCUGUCAGUACGCUGUGAGCUUGCUGAUAGUCUGUCAAUAUUCCUGUAAGCUUGCUGACAGAACAAUGAUAACUUCAAAAGACAUUAGCUGUUAGCACAGUUAUAAUCUAGUUCUCAGCUAGCUACCAGAGUACAGUUUUAUGUUAUCAAGUUGCUGUUAGUGUGAUCAUCAAAAUCUCGAGAGUAUCAAUCUCCCCCUUUUUGAUGAUUACACUAUAUUUAGGAAAGUAAUAAUACUCCCCCUGAAUAUAGCAAUCUUAUAACAUUAAACUAUACAACAAAUAUAACAUUCACAACACAAACCAAGUUCCUAAAUUUUCUCCCCCUUAAUCAUCAAAAGGGUAGAAAAUCAAGCAUCGUCAUCGAGAUCACAAAAAUUAUCCAAAUCAGCACAUAAUNNNNNNNNNNNNNNNNNNNNNNNNNNNNNNNNNNNNNNNAAUUUAUGAAGUAAAAUUAACACGAAACUCUUGAAAUGACCAGCAUGCAAAAAUAAUUAACAAUAUGUAAAGUACAGAGAGUAAGCUGAUAGUACCCGGACCAAGCUUAUUAGCUUGCUGACUGCACAUCACACAUACCCAAUUCCCUUCUCAGCACAACAUAUCUUUGUUCAGGAAGAGGUUUUGUGAAAAUGUCAGCUAGCUGAUCUGCUGUAGCCACAAAAAUCAGCUUGACAGCACCUUUUGCAACAUUGUCUCUCAGAAAAUGAUGUCGAACAUCAAUAUGCUUUGUCCUUGAAUGAUUGACUGGAUUUUCUGAAAUGUUGAUUGUACUUGUGUUGUCACAAAAGAUAGGAGUUUGCUUGCAUUUGAUUCCAAAGUCCUUCAAUUGUUGUCUCAUCCAUAGCAUUUGAGAGCAACAGCUACCAGCUGCUAAAUACUCCCCCUCAGCCGUAAAUAGAGCAACUGAAGUUUGCUUCUUGCUUAACCAAGAAACUAAGCUUUGACCCAAAAAUGCACAAACACCACUUGUACUUUUUCUAUCAGUUUGACUACCUGCAUAAUCUGCAUCACUAUAUCCAACAAGAUCAAAAGCAUUUGUGAUAGGAUAGAAUAAACCCAAACUAAUGGUUCCACUUAAAUAUUUAAAUAUUCUUUUAACAGCUUGUAAGUGAGAAUCCUUUGGUUUUGCUUGAAAUCUAGCACAAACACAAACACUAUACAUAAUAUCAGGUCUAGAGGCUGUAAGAUAAAGUAAACUACCAAUCAUACCUCUAUACAUUCGAAUAUCAACAUCUUUACCAUUUUCAUCUGCUGUCAGCUUGCUGACAACGCUCAUUGGUGUUGAUUUCGCCUUGAUAUUCUCAUAUCCAAAUCUUUUGAGUAGAUUCCUGAUAUACUUAGAUUGAUGCACAUAAAUUCCUUCUGGAGUUUGCUUAAUUUGGAGCCCCAAGAAAUAAUUGAGCUCUCCCAUCAUGCUCAUGUCAAACUCACUAUGCAUGCACUUUGAAAACCACUUACACAAAGAAUCAUUAGUAGAUCCAAAUAUAAUAUCAUCCACAUAUAUUUGAACAACUAAUAUAUCUUGACCUUUAAAGAUAGUAAACAAAGUAGGAUCAAUUUUACCUCUAAUGAAACCAUUUUUGAUCAAAAAUUCACUUAACCUUUCAUACCAUGAUCGAGGUGCUUGCCUUAAUCCAUAUAGUGCCUUCUUGAGCUUGUAGACACGGUUGGGAUAUUUUUCAUCCUCGAAUCCUGGUGGUUGCUUGACAUAGACUUCUUCCUUUAGAUAUCCAUUUAAGAAUGCACUUUUGACGUCCAUUUGAUGUAGCUUGAACUUCUUGUAGCAUGCAAAUGAUAAUAGCAUCCUAAUAGAUUCCAAUCUUGCAACCGGAGCAUAUGUUUGAUCAAAAUCAAUUCCUUCUUGCUGAUUGUAUCCUUGUGCAACAAGUCUAGCUUUAUUCCGAGUGAUAGUACCAAAUUCAUCAACUUUAUUCUUGAAUACCCAUUUGGUUCCAACAAUUGAAGCAUCCUCUGGUAGAUUUACAAGUUCCCAAACAUCACAUCUUUCGAAUUGGUUGAGUUCUUCUUGCAUUGCCAUGAUCCAAUUUUCAUCUUGUAAAGCUUCUUGAACAUUCUUUGGUUCCUCUUGAGCUAUGAAGGCAGCAUAAGCACAAAUGUUGGCUUGAGCUUUCCUUGUCUUGAUUCCAGCUGAUUUAUCUCCAAUGAUCAACUGAGGAGGAUGAUUCUUCACUGUUCUAGUUGAUUUUGGUAGAUUAUGUUGAGCUAUGACCUCUUCAUUCCUUGUAGUCUGCCUAGGAGGAGUCUGAUCAACAACAUUUUGGCUUGCUGAUGAAGUUUGACCUCUGGAUUCGUCCAAUGUGAGCUUUGACAUCUUAUCCAAAGUUUCUUCAAGAGAUGGAGUGGAUUCAGUAGCUUUAUUGCCUUCUGAAGUUGUGGCAGUUGACUUGUCAGCUUGCUGAUUUCCAGUUUCCUUCACUGUCAGCUUGCUGCUAGUACCUGUACCUGCACAUUCUUCCUCAUCCCUUGCAAGAUCAUCAGUAGACUCUUGAAAUGAAACAUCAAUAGACUCUUCAACAGUAUGUUUAGCAAGAUUAUACACUCUAUAAGCACGACUUGUUAAAGAAUAGCCCAAAAAUAUAGCUUCAUAAGAUUUAGAAUCGAAUUUACCAUCCCUAUCAAUGGUUUUGAGUACGAAGCACUUAGAUCCAAAAACCUUGAAAUAGCUGAUAUUAGGCUUCUUUUUCCUUAGCAAUUCAUAAGGAGUCUUGUUGAGAAUUGGCCUGAUAAGCACUCUGUUAAGAACAUAGCUUGCUGUGUUGACAGCUUCUGCCCAAAAGCUUCUUGGCAGCUUGCUCUCCUGCAGCAAUGUCCUAGCUGUUUCUUGUAAGGACCUGUUCUUACGCUCUACAACUCCAUUUUGCUGAGGUGUACGAGGUGCUGAGAACUCAUGUGAGAUUCCUCUUUCUUCACAAUAAGUAAUGAAGUCCUUUUGAAAUUCCCCACCAUGAUCACUUCGAAUACCAUUUUCUUUGCCUUAUGUGGAGUCCUUGUUUGCUUUCCCAAUUGACAAGCAGAACAUGUCUCCAUCUUGACAUACUUAAGCUUUGGUAAUCCUUGAACAAGCUUCUUUGCUGACAGCUUGCUGAGAUGAUCCAUAUGAGCAUGUCCAAGCCUUCUAUGCCAAAUUUCUGGAUUAUUAUCCACAGCUGCUAAACAAACGCCUGCCUCCUGUUCUUCAAAGUUCAAAACAUAUAUAUUUCCUUCUCGUUUUGCAACUAGAGGAGUUUUGUUAGCACCAACAAGUAUAGUACAUUCAUCCUUACCAAAGUUAACAAUAUGACCAUCAUCAAAUAACUGACUUAUACUAAGCAAGUUAUAAGUAAGACCUUUAACAUAUUGUACCUUGUUGAUAGAAAUGAUACUAUUACCUAUAGUUCCUUUGCCAAGAAUAGGAAGAGUUUUGCUAUCACCAAUUGUGACACGUCCACCCUUCUUCAUCUUCAAGCUUAGAAACUGUGAUUUGUCUCCACUCAUGUGCCUAGUGCAUCCACUAUCCAAUAUCCAUUGAUUUGGCUUUACUUUAGACACGAGACAAACCUACAAAACAAACACAAAACACUCAACUCAGCAAAUAUAGCCAGGUGAUCCAUAGUAUCAAUGCUGAGAGCUGACUCCAAUGCUGUGACCUUGGCACCAUAUUCGAAUGGAACAGCAUUUAGAAUAUUCAUGUUGAUUUCCGAUUGAGGAAUCUUUUUGCCAAGUCUUUCAAGACUGUUGAGAGUGACUUGGAAUCUAGCUUGGCUUUCUCGAAUGGAUUCUCCCUUCUUGAUAGCAAAGCUUCCAAAUUCUUUCAUAAGCUUCCCGAGCUUGACUUUCUUUAAUGCCUUUGAGCCUUCGUGAUAUGUCUCCAAUGCAUCCCAAAUUUCUUUUGCAGAUUUGAGAGAAGAGACCUUGUCAUAUUCAGCUUGAUUCAGCCCAUUGAUUAAUGUACUCCUUGCUUUUCCAUUGGCAGCAACCUUUGAUAGCUCGUCCGCUGUGAGAACAUCAACGUCCUUGACUUUGCCAUCGCUAUCAAGAUAUUCAUAAGGACCUCUUUGCACAACUCUUUGCAUUAGGGGAUCUCUGGAUAGAUGAGCCUCCAUUUGGCCUUUCCACCAAUUGUAGUUGUCAGAACCCGUGAGGAGAGGAGCUCUAAAAUCGGACUUUCCCUGAAAGUUAUCAGCCAUAUCGAUCGAUACUAUUCCUGUUACAGAAGUAUUAGUACAAACACAGCUCUGAUACCAAUUGAAAUUACACACCUAGAGGGGGGGUGAAUAGGUGUUAUGGCUAAUAUGACCGAUUUUUAAUGUUACCGAAUAGUUAUACUGUCACAGACAGCUUGCUGUUAAUUUCAGAGUAAACAGUCAGCUAGCUAACAAUGCAGAUGCAAUGCAAAACAGAUAUAAUCAGUAAGCUAGCAACACAGAGAAUUUUAGCCAGGUUCGACCCCUAACCCUAAUGGUCUACGUCCUGGUCCCCUACCAACUGGUAAGAGAUUAUAUUAUUAAUCAAUAAUGUUAACGAUUACAAUGAUUCAAUAAUAUAACUCCCUUUAUCCCUUGUUCCUGUUAUCAGCUUGCUGAAACCCCUGAACCACGAACCAAAAGCUCUCCAAGACCUAUACUUCCCAAGUAUACUCUUCUAGCUAACUAGUCCCCUUGUUCCCUUGUUUCACAAGCUCGAUACACAGCAACAAACCUUUACACUUUGAACAAUACAAUGUAUGAGUGUAAUACAACCGAAACUAUGAACUCAAUAUAGAUAUAUAAUCAAAUAUAAGUACUAGAGCUCAAGUAAAGAUUUUGCAAUGUAAGUGUGUUGUAUUUCAGAAGCUUGAAGUGUGUUCUUGUUGCUCUACCAAAACGGAAACCACACUCAAGUUUAUAUACCAUCAUUCCAAACGGUCAUAACUCAACAAACUAUCCAACGUUCUUGGCCCAACAACCUCACGUUUAAUUUGCUUGAAUAAUGAACGUUUGAACGAUGUAUUUUUACUGAGUAAAAGCAUAAAGACGUUUGAAACAACUCAGUAAACGUUUGUUUAUAAAACAAAACAGUUUGAAUAGAAGUAGGAGUCUAAAAGGAUAAACAAGGUUUGAAAUCAACUCCUAUAUUUUAGGAAAACGAUUUUGAAUAAAACUCUUUGAUAAAAGAUGAGCUCUAAUAUUUAUAUACUGUAUAUAUAUGUAUUAGAGUCCUCACAAAACGUUCCCUAACAAAUCUCCUUGAAAAUAGGACUUGAUCUUUAUCCGAUAAGCAUCCUGUCAGUACGCUGUGAGCUUGCUGAUAGUCUGUCAAUAUUCCUGUAAGCUUGCUGACAGAACAAUGAUAACUUCAAAAGACAUUAGCUGUUAGCACAGUUAUAAUCUAGUUCUCAGCUAGCUACCAGAGUACAGUUUUAUGUUAUCAAGUUGCUGUUAGUGUGAUCAUCAAAAUCUCGAGAGUAUCAGCUCCAACUUUUUACUUGAGUUUUUCUUAACCUGUUUGUAUAAAAAAGUAAGAAGUACUUAAGCCAGGUGAUAAAGAAGUUAGAAGUAGAAAAUACCAACUUUUCUUUACAACUUAUACUUUUUUUCCAAACACUUUAAGUACUCAUAAUUAUUAAUUUGCUUCUCAAUUCUACUUCACUUGUUUACUUUAAUCAAGAAGUCAUUAAUUUUAAAUUAACCCAAACGGUCCCAAAAAUUGAUGGGCAAUGCUUGGUACCAAAAAUUAUUUUCUCAAAAGGAAAAUGUUAGGUACCCCAAAAUAUUAUCCCAAAUAUUUUUCCCAAAUGAUGUGUCGAAGUUUGAUUGGCUAUUUACUUCGAUAAUAAUGAGACUCCCCGUGUAUAUGCAUCAAUCACCCAGUUACAAUGUUCCACUUGUCUGACACAUUAUUCGUUAAAAAAUUUUGGGGAAAGUUUUUGAGGUAUGUAGCAUUACCUUUCCCAAAAAAAUUCCCAAAUAGCUGAUGGAGGGUCUAUAUGUAUUUAAUGGCUCGAUAAGAUAAAAUGUGAAAUUUGUGAAAUUUUUAGAAAAACUUUUGAGUACAUGGCAUUUUCCAUGGUUUGACAUGUAGGGUAUAAAUAAUGGACUCCAUUAUUUUAUUGUCACUCUGCAAACAUAUUUGCCUGUCCGGGAGUAUUCAUCACUACUCAGUAUUUACAGUGAAGUGGCUAGGCACACUUUAAUGCAAAGGUUACAUGAUUAAGGUACGUACGAGCACGAGGAGUGUCUGUCAACAAUGUAACCAAUUGUAUCAACCACUUCUUAUAUGUUGUAGUGUAGCAUUUCAAUGUAGGUCCUUACGCGGGGACUUCAUGUAAAUUGGUUGUUGGGUUUACCAUCGAUAAUGCAUUUACAAUUUUAAAAUUCUUAACGAAACAAAGGUUAAAUUUGCCACAAGCAAUGAGUUAACUACUUCGGUAGGAUGUAUAAAAAGAGAUUUCAAACUUGAGGCUAUAAUACUUUUCCAAUUUCUUUUAUUACAUUUGUCAACACAUAUUUUUUAUUGUUAAUAUUUUUGAUUUUAUAUUAGUAUUAAAUAUAAAAAUUUCAUUAUAGAUUAACAUCUGCGAGGGCCUCAGCCUUAUGAUACUAAAACUGCCACGGCCGAAACUAUUAAAAUCUUCCACUCCACUCAUCUUGUUUUUCAUAUGAACACAGGCCAGACAAGAAUGGGCUUCCAAUCCAAUGUACAAAUAACACAUUCUAAAACGGAGUGGACACUUUACAUAUUGCUAACUUCACAUGUGUCAAUUUUAUAACAAAUGGGCUGCGGUGAAUUUUGAUAUUUUCUGCCACACUACUUGUCUGCUUUCGCCAGUUUUACCUCAGAAUAUCAGAUGAAUACGCGUAUUUAAUAUUAGUGGUAACAAGUUUUUAAAGGAUGCUAGACAAUUUAAUCAGUUUUAAGGGACCUGGUUUUUAAUUAGAGAAAAUUAAUUCUAAAAUCCCUGAAUUAUAGACACUUUUUUUUAGGUCCCUGAACUAUAAAUGUCAAUUCAUAAGUAAUUCAACUCUUGAUUUUUUCCUAUCUGGGUCCUUCCGUUAGAUCUGGUUUGACGCCGUUAGUUCAUCUUAAGUUCAUGAGAAUCAAAGAUAAUUUUGGAUGUGAUUCUGGUAUCCAAAUUUGAAACUUGAGUAAUCAAAUUGCUCGUUUUUCAAUCCCCUAUCCAUCUAUACCAUCAAAAUUUAGUUUGGUAAUUUCCGAAUUUUGAGUUGAAUAUUAGUUUUCAUUUUAAUAGCUUUUAUACGAAUUAUAAUGAUGUAGAUUGAUAUAUCGUGUAAUGAUGAGCAUAUUCAUAUAUUCGUGAUUUUUAAUGUUCAAAUUAGUCUCGUUGGAAAAUUCGAGCUUACCGGAUUUGAGUUUUUUCGACCAAAUUCGCCGGAAAAACUAACGACGUCAAACCAGAUCUAACGGAAGGACCAUGUAGGAAAAAAUCAAGAGUUGAAUUACUUAUGAAUUGACAUUUAUAGUUCAUAGACCAAGAAAAAAAGUGCCUAUAGUUCAGGGACUUUAGAAUAAUUUUCCCUUUUUAAUUAACCUGUUGCAGUAGCACUGAAACAACAUAUUGCUCUCCAUUUCCUACUAUGUAAAGUGAGUCGAAGUUAUAAGCUAUUAGAUGAAAUUAUAAGAUAACAAACUGAUCAAAAACUAGAGGUCGUCGGGAGUAGGCAGAGUUAAAGUCCCGAAAGAAUUUGCAAAGCAGAAACAACACAGUUUUUUUAGAGGUAAUUGCAUAUCGCACCCCUUAACUAUGGUUAAAAAACGAUAUUGUACUCAUACUUUGAGAAACUCAACUCGCACCCCCUAUCUUUACAUUUCAAGAACGAUACGCAUCCCCUCUGUUGAAUUCCGUUAACUUCCGUUAAAAUACUCCAUCAAUCUCAAUUUACAUGUCCCUUUUGCUUUUCGAGGAGUCAAAUUGACUAAUUUCUGACCAACUAUUAGAAAAUUUUUAAAUAUACACUAUUUUAAAUAUAAAAAAUAAAUAUUAUGUGAUAUUUAUUAUAAAUAUAUACACUUUUAUUAAACAAAAAUUUGAAAUGUAAAAUCAUUUUGACUUAGGAAUAGCUUAAUUAAACAAAAAUUUUUAAAAAAAAUCAUCAAAAAAGUAAAUCUAGUCUAUUUUAAUAUGUAACUUUCUAUUUCCUAAAAUAAUAAAUAAAUAUUUUUUAAUAGUUGGUCAAAAAUUAAUCAAUUUGACUCCUCGCAAAGCAAAAGGGACAUGUAAAUUGAGACGAAGGGAGGAUUUUAACGGAAGUUAACGGUUUUUAACGGAAUUUAAUGGAGGAGGGUGCGUAUCGUUCUUGAAAUGUAAAGAUAGGGGGUGCGAGUUGAGUUUCUCAAAGUAUGGGUAUAAUAUCGUUUUUGAAUCAAUUUGACUCCUCGCAAAGCAAAAGGGACAUGUAAAUUGAGACGAAGGGAGUAUUUUAACGGAAGUUAACGGUUUUUAACGGAAUUUAAUGGAGGAGGGUGCGUAUCGUUCUUGAAAUGUAAAGAUAGGGGGUGCGAGUUGAGUUUCUCAAAGUAUGGGUAUAAUAUCGUUUUUGAACGAUAGUUAGGGGGUGCGAUAUGCAAUUACCUCGCUUUUUUAUAGGUGCGAAAGUCCUCGAGUCUGUGGAACUUGUUAUUUGUUUUGGCAAGUUUCCAUCAAGUAUAUACAUGUAUAUAAGUUUAAAUGAUAACUAAAAAUGAAUUGGGGGGAUACAGGGUGAUCAGGAGUGCAGAUGCUACACUUCAUGAUAGCAAUAGAGUAUCGUCCUUGAAAAUCCCUCCAACAGUAAAGAAUUUUAUGUGGAGAUCUCUAACAGGGUGUUUACCUACUAAGGAAAAUUAUUUACUAUGUAAAAGAGUUGCAGUUUUAAGUGUUUGUCCUGUGUUCAUACCCUUGUUACAUGUCAGUUUGCAGGGAUGUGUUGGAAUCAUGCUGGGAUAGUAGUAAAUGAUCGAGAUUGUACUAACUUAUCACAGUGGCUAUAUUUGGUAAUGGAGGUAUAUGAGAGCAAGGAUGUCCAGAUAGCAUGUAUUUAUGCUAGGAAGUGUGGGAAAAUAGAAAUGCUUCGGUGUGGCACCAAAAAGGAAAAGACUUUGAUAGGGUUGUAGUUUCAGCAAAGCUUACUCUAAGUCAUUGGUGGAGUGCUCAAGACAGGUCAUUCGAUAAUUUCCUAGGGUUCAUGACUCAAGCAGAUUGUAAGGAGCAUUGGGAAUGUCCAUUACAGUAAUUAGGAAGCAUGAAUAGGUUCAUGAUGUUAGGAUCUAGUAAUGUUAAGUGGCUUGUUUCACUUAUCUUUCUAGUAGUUGUUAUACCAAGCUGUACUCUCUGAUAAUCUAUCAAUUAUUAAGCUUUAACACACUCUACAUGGUAUUAGAGCCUGCUCCAUUUUUUUUUUUACAAAAGAACAUUACUUCCUGCUCAUCUAAUCCAAUUUCAAUGAACUAGGCAAUUUUAACAACAAACAGAACUUGCUCUGCCAUAGGCAUUUUGAUCAAUUUUAAGAGAGGACAUUUGCAUUUUUAACUCUCUGUAGUACUAGUGUACUCUUGAAAACAUAUUGUUACUCUAAUUCCUACUACAAUUUAAUGUUAGUCGAAGUCAUUAGCGACAAGAAUCAAAAUAUAAGAUAAUAAACCUGAAUGAACCAAAGGUUUACUGGGAGGCAGACUUUUAAAAUUCUUGGAAGGACUAGCAAAACGAAAACAAAAUAGCUUGAUGACAAUAGAAAGUUGUGCAACUCUACUUAACCUAGCUAAAAUUGUGAAACUGACCUAUAGACAGUUUUUCUAUUCGACUUGAUCUUGCUUUAACUACAACACAAUUUAUCUUUAUUCAUCUAAUAUUCUUCACAAUUCUUGAUUGAACUUUAUCAUGAUUUCACAUGUGCUCAUUCUAAUUACUAGAGCUAGAGUAGGACUACUUUAAUUAUAAGAGAAAAAGGAUAAGGAACCAGAAAAAUUUACAUAUUAACAUAAUAAUAAGAGGAUUACGAUGAAUAUUAAAAAAAAGGAUUACCAUGAAGACUUGCACAACCCGCAAGGAACAGAGACAUAUAGUUUCUGGAGAGUUUAGUAAGCAACAUCACCGAUCUGAUACAUGUUAUAUACACUUGCACAUGCACAUGCACACGACCAUCAUAUAUAUCAUUUUACAAUGAAAACAUACAGAAACCGGAUCAAUAUUACACGUUAAUUGUAUAAUCUGUAGUGCAUCUUAUGUAAGAAUACCAAGGUAGAAAGCACCACAACAAAAAACAAUAUGUAUUCUAUUCUAUCAUAUUUCUUUUGAUAUCUUUGGCUUUUCCUAUACAAAUCAUCCUAUGAAGAUUCUAGACUUACCUAUAUGGUUAGGAAGAUUAUCUAUACUAAUUACGAAUUUGAGAAAGCUAGGGAUGAUCAACUCACCAAAUUCAUGUAGUUAAGGGACAGUUGACAAACACUGUACUAGUGGUAAGUCGUGUGUAUGUGUGGGUUAGCUAUCAUAUACAUGAACUAAGCUAGCUAGUAAGUGAAAUUUAAACGAUUUAAUAUCACAACAAAACAAAUAUAUAUUUUUUGGAGGUAUUUUAAAUUGUCUUGCAACCCUGUGCUGUCCAAUAUCUCUAAUUUGGCAGCUUACAGUUAAAACAUCUAAUUUUUCACAGUAUUUUUAGUUUGUAAUGUUUACUUUCAAACGCUUAACAUACACUACAGGAAAACAGGUCAAAACCGACCGCACAAAACCGACCGCCGCAUAUAAAACCGACCGACGGUCGCGUGGUCAGUUUUAACCCGUCGAAAUCACAAAACGACGUCGACCUGGGUGACGUGGCAACAAAUAAAACCGACCGUCGGUAACGGUCGGUUAUAUGUAUGACAUGGCACUGUUAUAACCGACCGUUCUCUGUGGUCGGUUUUGUUUUCCGCGGAAAAAUAAUUAAAAAUCAAUUUAAAUAAAAAUAUCUGUGCGUCAACCCCUCAAAACAACGUCAUUUUUUUGUUUGGUACUAAAACCGACCGAUUGGUCGGUCGGUUUUAACCUGCAGCUUUUAUAUCACUUUUUAGCUAGUAAUGAGCUCACAUUCACUUGAAAUAAAAAUCAAAGGAGAAGAAAGGAGCUAAAGUGGGGAAGAAUUAUUGCUUGCAAACAUUUCAAGUAAGUGAUUUUCAUUUAUUUGCAUUAAAUGUGUGUGUGGUGGGUGUGUUAAAUGUUUUUGUUAUAUUAAAUGUGUGUGUAUGUAAUUACAUUGAAUGCUUGUAUUGCAUUAAAUGUAUGAAAUUCAUGUGAAAUUAUUUGUUAAAUGUAUGUGUGUAUUGAAUGUAUGUGUUGUUAAAUGUAUGUGUGUGUUAAAUGUGUGUUAAAUGUGUGUGUAGAUGACAAACUUGGAUCGAAGUUGGAUUAGUAAUCAAGUGCAAAGUGAUAAAAUUUCGUUAACUCCAGAAUAUAGGAAUGGUGUAGAAACUUUUUUAAAAUUUGCAAGUGAAAAUGGAAUGGGAGAAGAUGGUACAAUGAAGUGUCCUUGUAAACGUUGUAGGAAUUUGAAUUGGUUAAGUAUCGACGAUGUUAGAUUCCAUUUACUUGCUAAGGGGAUGCUUGAGGGUUAUACCGUUUGGACAUCACAUGGUGAAGAAAGAGGAAGAAAACGUAGUCGAACAUCGCAUAAUCGUUAUUGUGUUCGGGAACCUACGAGGGUAGAACAACCGGUAGAUUUGAAUGCGAUGCUACAUGAUUUUGCCGGUGAAAAUUCCGAAUUUUAUAACAACGUGGAUACGGGAACUAGGAAUGUAGAAGAAGUUCCAAAUGAUAGUGCAAGAAAAUUGUAUGAGGUGAUUGUUGAAAAUGGAGCACCUAUUUAUCCCGGUAAUACGAAGUAUACAAGAUUAAGCUUUACCACAAAAUUGUUAGAAUUCAAGAAUAUCUCACAUUGUAGUAAUAAGGCUUUUGAUAGUUUGCUUACACUUUUUGCGGAUGUAUUACCAAAAAAACCCACGUUGCCCCAAACUUAUUAUGAAAUGAAGAAGAUAAUGAAGGGUUUGAGGGUUUAAUAUCAAAAGAUUGAUUUAUGUGAGAAUGAUUGUAUGUUAUUUUAUGGAGAUGACAAGGAUAAAGUUGUGUGUGAUAUAUGUGGUAAAGAUCGUUAUCGGGAUGUUUUGAGGAAAGAUGGUAAAAAAAUACCAAAAAAAAUAUUGAGACAUUUUCCUUUGAUUCCUCGACUACAACGCUUGUAUAUGUCAAAACAUACAUCCGACCAUAUGAGAUGGUACAAGAAUCGAGAUGUCAAAGAUGGAGAAAUUAGUCAUCCCGCGGACGGAGAAGAGUGGAAAAAUUUUGAUCGUCGAUAUCCAUCAUUUGCUCAAGAAAUUUGUAAUAUAAGGCUUGGCCUUGCAACCGACGGUUUCAACCCAUUUGGCCCUACCGGGAAAAAAACAUAUAGUGUGUGGCCCAUAGUAGUAGUUGUCUACAAUCUUCCGCCAUCAAUGUGUAUGAAAAAACCCUAUAUGUUUAUGACCGAUAUAGUGCCGGGUCCGAAUAGCAUUGGCAAAGAUAUUAACGUUUGUCUAAGGCCUCUCAUUGAUGAAUUGAAGAUAUUGUGGAAUACAGGAAUUGAAACAUAUGAUCAAUCUUCGAAACAAAAUUUUACAAUGAGAGCGGCUCUUAUGUGGACAAUUAGUGAUUAUCCCGCUAUGAGUAUGAUAAGUGGAUGGUCGGGUAAAGGAAAAUUAGGAUGUCAAGUGUGUCUUGGAAGUGUGCAAGGGUUUUAAUUAAAACAUUAUGGUAAAUGUAGUUUCUAUGGCACAAACCGAAUAUUCCUUGAACCGAAUGAUCCACUACGUCGAAAAAGUGAUUUGUUUGAUAAUGCGGAAAGAAGAGUGUUUCGUGGUCGUUUGUCCGGGGAGGGUGUAAAGGAGUUGCUUGACGGUUUAGUUUUUCCACCACCCGGAAAGACUAAUACAAAGGCGAGGAGUAUCGGAUAUGGGGAAGAGCAUCAUUGGACUCAUGUUCCAAUUUUUUAUGAACUCCCUUAUUGGUCUUCACAUAGUUUACGAUAUUCAAUUGAUAUCAUGCAUACGGAAAAAAAUGUUUUUGAGAACCUAUUUUUUACUAUUGUGAAUGCGAAAAAGUCAAAGGAUCACAAAAAAGCAAGAGCGGAUUGCAAGCACUUUGGUGUGUUACCUCAUUUGUGGAUCGAUGAAAAUGGCAAGUCACCCAAAGCACCUUUUUCCAUUACAAGAAAACAACGUAAACUUUUGUGUGAAUGGAUUAGUUCACUGAAACUUCCAGACGGUUAUUCCUCAAAUAUAUCUCGUUGUUGUAAUGUUGAGGAGUGUACAUUUUAUGGAUUCAAAUCGCAUGAUUGUCAUAUAUUUCUUCAAAAAUUAUUGCCUCUUGCAAUUCGUGAGCUUUUACCGGCGCCUAUUGCGGAUGCCAUCACAGCAAUUGCAAAUUUUUUUCGAGAUUUGUGCUCAUCCACGGUUACAAAAACCGAUUUGGAAAUAAUGGAAAAAUCAGUUGUGAAGGCAUUGUGUUUGUUGGAAACAAUUUUUCCUCAAAGUUGGUUUGAUUCGAUGGAACACUUGGUUGUGCAUUUGGCGGAAGAAAUUAGACUUGCUGGACCUGCUUACUGGCAUUGGAUGUAUCCAAUUGAGCGUUUAUUGGGGAAACUAAAACAAAAAGUCGGCAAUAAAGCAAGAGUUGAGGGUUCCAUUGCCGAACGAUAUAUGGAGGAGGAGAUUGUCAAUAUUUGUGCUUUUUACUUUGCAUCCGACUCGAUUCACAAUAAAUUAAGUCGUAACGAAGUUUUGUUUGAUGUACAAAAGACCGACAAAUUAGAAGUUUUUAAAUAUCCAUGUGAUUCUCUUGGAAAAGAACGAAGUCGAUAUUUGAAUGAUGAUGAGCAAUUAUUAGCUGAUGAAUAUGUUCUUCUAAACUCUCCUGAAGUUCAACCUUAUCUAAGGUAUGGUAAAUACAUUUUAUGAUAAAUUUUUGUGAAGAUGUCAAUACAUUUUAUGAUAAAUUCAUGUUAUUGACAUUUAUGCAUUAUUGUAGGAGGUACCAAGAUCGAGUUAUGAGACAACGUCCUGAGACAACGCCACAACAAUUAGAUCAUAUUGUGAAAACUCGAUUCAAAGCUUGGUUUAAGAAAAAGGUUGAGAAAGACGAGAUAGACGGACCUCGUUUCAUGGACUUGCUAGAAGGACCAGCAUUAAAGGUCAUGACUUUUGAAAAUUGUCAAGUUAAUGGAUAUAAAUUUUCAACAUCAUCCGCAUCCGGUUCCGGUGUUGUAGUUAAAGGAACUUUGCACGAAAAUAAUCUUGAUUAUUAUGGUCAACUAAUAGAAAUUAUAAGACUUAUUUAUCAAGGAUGCAAUCACGUAUAUUUGUUCAAAUGUAUUUGGUUUGAUAGUCUCGGAAAUGGUGUGAGGAUCGAUAAGAAUCGAGUGGUGACGGUUGAUAUAACUUCAAGAUUGAGAUCUAACGAAGUUUUUAUUUUAGCUAGUCAAGCCUCUCAAGUAUAUUACGCUCCUAGCGUAUUGGAUCCACGAAGCAAAAUAUAUACGGUGGUCAAAUCUAAAAGUCGUCCGAUUGAUGAAUCAAUUAUUGUGCAAAAUGAUAUAGAGGACGCUUUUCAAGAAGAUAGAUCUAAUGCCGCUAGCUCAUUUUCACUAUUUGUUGAUUUUGCACAAUAUGGACAAAUACCAUUUAUUCGGCAUGAAAAUCAAGAUGAUGAUGAUGAAGAAGACGAAUUGCGAGAUGAUGAAAAUCAAGAUGAUGAUGAUGAUGUUGAACACAAUGAAGAAGAGGAAGAUGAUAAUGAAGAUGAUGAUGAAGAUAAUGAUGAUGAUAAUGAAGAUGAUGAUGAAGAUGAUGACGGUUUUGAUGACUUUCAAUGAUGUGUAAAUAAUAUACAAUGGUGUAAUCAUAUACAAUGUUGUUUAGGCUGCUUAGUAAUUUGGUUAUGUAUUGGUAUUUGAUGUUGGUACAGGAUUUGGCAAUUGAAACUGCAAAAGAAUCUGUUUUUUUUUCAAUUUUUGCCCAGAAAACCGACCGUCAAACAACAUAACCGACCGGUUUUGACCAUUAAACUACCAGAAAACCGACCGCAUUCAUAUAAAACCGACCCCCAUUUUCCAGAAAACCGACCGCAUUCAUAUAGGCGCGGUCGGUUAUAAGCCGGUCGGUUAUAAAAUCCAGGAUAGCGUACUGCCACAAAACCGACCGUGUCAAAACCGACCACAUAUAACCGACCGUUGCAGGAUUUGACAUCGGUCGGUUUUACUUAAAAGUCAGUCAAAGCCUCUGUAUAUUAUUUGUUAUAUAUAUAUAAAUUAUAAUAAUAUAACUUUACCAGAAAACCGACCGUGUUCAAGUAAAACCGACCAAUUUUUUCCAGAAAACCGACCGGAUUCAAUUAAAACCGACCGUCUGCCCAGAAAACCGACCGCUGGCCCCUUUGACUUCGGUCGGUUUUAACUAAAAGUCAGUCAAAGUCUACAUAUUAUUUAUUAUAUAGACAUAUAAAUUAUAAUAUAUAAACAAAUAUAUAUAUUAUAUAAAUAUGUAUAUAUAUAUAUAUUAUUUUACAUAAUAUUUUACAUGUAAUAUUUAUAUAAAAUAUAUUCGUAAUAUAAAUAUAUAUACAGUCAUAGCUAUCUCUUCAAUCUUACAUACACGGAUGGUUACAAGUGAAGUGUCCGGAGAGGAAGGUGUGAAACCUAACUCUUGUUUCCUCCUUUGCUCACGGUGAUAAGUAAACGUCGUUCAUCCCGUCCCCUUUGACGGUAUUCAAAGCAGAUCGUAGGCUGACUCAGUACUAGUCACUAUCCUGUGUCUAUAUAUUAUUGGCUCAUUUUUAAUAUAUAUUAUUUUAACUUUUUUUUCCUAACUUCACGUGCCAAAAAUUUAAGAUUAUUCCGAUCAUUGCAUGUACAUUCUUAUAACUGAUAUAUGUCAUAAGCAGUGUUCUAAUUAAUAAUCGCCGAUUUAACUGAGUAAUCCCCGAUUACUCCACUGCAAGGUCGGACAUUGAUUCGAUUUUUGAAAUACGAUUAAUCCUUAUAUAUAUUUCUUAAUCGAAGUAUAUACGAUAAAUAUACCAAUUAAAAUAUUAUAUUACCUUAAAUAUGAAUAAUUAUAGAGUUUAUGAAUAUAAUAAAUAUAUUAGUUGCUAAUAUAGUAAUAUUACUUUUGAUUUAAAAUUAAAAUAUUAUUAAAUAAUACUAGCUAUUAAUAUAAUAUUAUCUAACUAUUUUUAAUAUUAAAAUAUUAAAAGGUAUGGUUUUUAUUUAAUUAAAUAAUAUAAUUUGGCCAUUUUUUCAAUUUAGGGUUCCUUAAAACCGACCGACGUACUAUAAAACCGACCGAUCUUUUUUUGCGCCUAAUUUUUCACGAAAAAUUAAAACACGCGCCUUAGUGAAACGACGUCGUUUCACCGGACCCAACGUCAUAACCGACCGCUCCGUCGGUCGGUUUUAAGCUCUGUAUAUAUAAAAAAACAGCCAUUUUAUUUCUUUUCCUUUUAUCUUCCUCUCAACUCUCAUCUCUCUCGCCUCUCUGAACUCAAAUCUCUCUCGCUCUCAAAUCUCUCUCACUGUCUAAUCUCUCUUGCUGUAAACUCCUUCUCUCAAAUGGCAAUUCAAUCUUUCAUCUCUCUCGCUGAUCUCAACUCCCUCUUUCUCAACUUGCUCGUGAUUAUGGUUGCGCUCGAUUCUCUAUGCGAAUUUGUACUCGGUUCACAGAGGAGGGUUCGGUUUCCUCGGAAGAAGAAAGCCCCUUCGCUUUUCGGUUUGGGUUCGGAUGAUUCGGUAUGCUCGAUUCGUUUAGUUUGGGCUCUAUUUCAUUUUUUCAAUUUAGUUUAGUUUAGUUUGUAUGUGUAUAUGUUGGUGUGUAUGUGUAUCUGCAUAUAUUUGUUUGUAUUUGUGUUAAUUUCUGGGAAUUUCAUCUAUGGGUAUGUAUUUGUGUAUGUUUGUAAGAGUAUAAGUUUGUGUUAAUUAGUAUAUACGUGUAUGAAAAAUUUUGCAUGCAAUUUGUCCGUCGGUUAUAUGCAAUUUGUCCGUCGGUUAUAAGUGGGGUGAAAUUUUUCUUAAAUUUUCAAUUUGUAUAGUUUUUGUUUUCUUAGGCCCAUCAUUUGUAUGUUUGUAUGUGUUUGUAUAUGUUUGGUUGAGCAAAACACAUACUAAUUGUAUAAUUAUACAAAUUAGUAUGUAUAUUUUGUAUAUGUAUAGUUUGUAUAUUACUUUAAAUAUGAAUAAAGUAAGCGUGUAUGUGUUUGUGUUUGUGUUAAGGGGAUAAGUGUUUAAGUGUGUUUGUGUUUGUGUUAAGGGGAUAAGUGUUCAAGUGUGUAUGUUUUUGAGUUUUGGAUUUAACUUGAUUUUAAUUUUAAUGAAUUGUAUUGUAGGGGCUCUUUGGUUGGGUGAUGAUUAUCGUCAUGAUUUCAAUGACGAUAUAUAUCAUGGCAAGAAAAAGGAAAGCAACGGACAAGGACACCGACAAAGGCAAGGGAAAGAGUGUCGGUAGUAGUACAAACAAAAGGCGCGCGAAGGGAAAAGGCAAGGUGAAAGAAAAGACGGUGUUGCGUGACGAGCCAACGGAUUCGGAUACCGAAUCGGACCAAAACCCAAGGGAGGCGGAGGCGGAGGCGGAGGAGGAACCGGUGAGAAGAGUGAGGAUGCCGCGGUCACAUUCAUGCGGCAUUUUUGGAGCUAAGAUACCAACAAGACCUCGACGGAUCAAUAUCUCCGAUGGACAGUAAGUAUAUUUUUUUAUAUGUAGUGUUUUGUAGUGAUUUGUAAUGAUUAAUAUAUAUAGUGUGCGUUAGGUAUUAAUAAUUUGUUCACGAGUUUAUAUUUAUAAUGUUCUUAUAUAGUAUUGAAGAUAAUGAGGCAAAAAAGACUUUGCUUGCGAUUAUUCGGGCAAGAUGGCCUUUGGGUAAAUACACGUUUAGUGACAUAGACGCGGCUUACCCAAAGUGGCUCGGUCUAAGGGUUGAGGAGUUUCUAGUAAGUAGAUUUUUUUUAAAUAUAAUAUGUUUUUGAUUUUGUUGGUAAUUGGUGUGAUUAUUCAAUUUUAAUCCUUGUACUUGUUGAUAUUAUGUAGAAAUAUUAUAGGCAAUUGAAAGGUCAAAGCCGUUCAAAAGCCAAAGCUAUCAUUGAAGAUCACAUAAAGGUCACAAUCAAAAGGACCAUGAAUGAAUUGAAGAGGAGGAUCGAGAGGAAGUCAAGGGAGGAAGGGGUUUCGAAGUUGGCUUUGAAACCGGAAUAUUAGAAUAUCAUUUUUUGGAAAGAUCUUCUCAAGUAUUGGGACACGGAUGAAGGCCAUUUGCAUAGGUCGGAAGUUGGAGCUGCUAAUCGGCAACGCGUGGAAAGGUUGCAUAGCGCGGGUGCUCGCUCCUUCAACCGUGUGCGCGAGGUAGUACUAUUUUUAAUAUGCAAACACACACACACACUUUUUGUUUUUACCUUAUAAUUAUAUAAGAUAUAAUAUAAUAAUGCAAAUGCUAAUAUAAGUUAUUUUGUGGUAUAAUUCAAGAACAUGAAAAAGAAAUUGUCUAAAAGUCCGACGAAGCUUGAGGUGUGGGUUGAAUGCCACACUAGGAUCGGCUCCAGUCCCGAGAGCCGAAUAUAUACUACCCCCGCCGCUAUGCGCAUUGCGGUAAUCUUCUAAUUUUAGCAUUUUAAUUAAUUGUGAUAACCAUGAAUACGUCAAUAUGUUUAUAUGUUUAAUUAAUGCUUAUAUCUUCUAAUUUUAGCACUUUAAUUAAUUGUUUAUAUCAUAACCAUGAAUGCUAAUUAAUUGUGAUAAAUGUGUAGGAACGAUAUGCCUCCAUUCUUGAUCGUAUGCCGGUGGAGGUUACUCAAACGGGGGAGCGGGAUGAGCCUUGGGAUUGGUGGAUGGAAGCAAUGGAGGUUCCCCAAGGCGAGAGGCCAAAAAAGAAUUACGUUGUGGGGUUCCCUAAAGCUCGAGCUAGUGAUUUGAUCCCAACACUAGCCACUCGCUAUAACCCGUGGUGGCGCCGGCUCAUUCUCAUCCGCUCCAACACAAAAUCCGGUGGUUCCCGAUUCCAUCUUCCUCCCGAUUGUCCGCAAUGUGCUCAAUGAAACCCGUGCCAAUCCUCUCCAAUUUGCUCGUCGCCUAUCGGAUGAGGAGAUAACAACCUUUGCACGCACAGCCCUCGAGGCAUCCGAUCCAGCCGCUGACCCGGCUCGGAGGGCUGAAUGGAAUAGCCUUCUCGGCGGCGAGAUUGUGCACAUUGUAGGGACAUUGCUCGAGGAUGUCCUCCAAAAAAUGGAUGCUCGUGCUCAAAUGGUAAUAUACUUAUGCUUUGUUUUUUGUUUUUGGUUGAUAUGUAAAAAUGAAUGGAUUUCUAAUUGUUUGACAUGUUUUUGUAGGCAACUGCGCAAGAGGGAGAGAAAGAUUACACGGAUGUGGACGAGGAGACGGAUGAAAACACGGAUGAUGAGGGUGAAGGCGAAGCCGGUGGCGAAGGCGGUGGGGAAGGCGGUGGUGAAGGCGGUGGCGAAGAUGGUGGCGACGGCGGUGGUGAAUCAUCCGAUGUUUCAUUGACCGAUUAGUGUAAUUUAUAUUUUAAUUUUAACGGAUGGUAUAUAUUAAGACAGUGGUUGGAUUUGGAUUGUGAAUGUUUGGGUUUUGAAUUGUUUGAAUGUUUGGAUUUGAAUUUGUAAUUAGUAUGUUUGGAUUUUGAAUUGUUUGGAUUUGGAUUUGUAAUUAGAAUGUUUGGAUUUGGUUUAAUUAGAAUUGUUUCGUUUAAUUUUGUUGUUGGUAUUUUGUGAUGUUUGGUUGUUUAGGAUGCUUGGUUUGAUUGUUUGGUUGGUAUGGUUUUGGUACAGGGAAUUGAUUGGAAACUGCAGAUUCUGCUGCAAUUUUUUUAAAAAUUCACCCAGUAAAACCGACCGAAUGGUCCCAAAACCGACCACUUUUUACCAUAUUGAUGCCAGAAAACCGACCGCAUUCAACUAUAACCGACCGUGCUCAUCACAUAAAACCCAGAAAACCGACCGCAUUCAUCAAGAGUCGGUCGGUUAUGAAAGUGGACGAGGAGACGGAUGAAAACACGGAUGAUGAGGGUGAAGGCGAAGCCGGUGGCGAAGAUGGUGGCGACGGCGGUGGUGAAUCAUCCGAUGUUUCAAUGACCGAUUAGUGUAAUUUAUAUUUUAAUUUUAACGGAUGGUAUAUAUUAAGACAGUGGUUGGAUUUGGAUUGUGAACGUUUGGGUUUUGAAUUGUUUGAAUGUUUGGAUUUGAAUUUGUAAUUAGUAUGUUUGGAUUUUGAAUUGUUUGGAUUUGGAUUUGUAAUUAGGAUGUUUGGAUUUGGUUUAAUUAGAAUUGUUUCGUUUAAUUUUGUUGUUGGUAUUUUGUGAUGUUUGGUUGUUUAGGAUGCUUGGUUUGAUCUUUUGGUUAGUACGGUUUCGGUACAGGGAAUUGAUUGGAAACUGCAGAUUCUGCUGCAAUUUUUUUAAAAAUUCACCUAGUAAAACCGACCGAAUGGUCCCAAAACCGACCACUUUUUACCAUAUUGAUGCCAGAAAACCGACCGCAUUCAACUAUAACCGACCGUGCUCAUCACAUAAAACCCAGAAAACCGACCGCAUUCAUCAAGAGUCGGUCGGUUAUGAGACGGUCGGUUAUGUGAAUCAGGGUGGCCUUCUGCCACAAACCCGACCGACUCAUAACCGACCGCACAUAACCGACCGUGGCAGAAGGUUGACGGCGGUCGGUUUUGUGUCAGAGUCAAUUCAGAUAAAAGGCACAUAACCGACCACUGAAAUCGGUCGGUUUUACCAGUCGCUUCUGACGUGGUGUGACACCUGUUGCCACGUGGUGACAGGUGGCAUCAAGUGGGGCCACUUUUCUGGGAACAAAACAGCACAUAACCGACCACUUACUUGGUCGGUUUUAAGGGUUAAAGCCGACCAAUUCGCGUAACCGACCAGGGUUUAACCGACCAGCCAUAUCGGUUGGUUUUAUGCUUAUAACCGACCGAUAUUGUUCAUAACCGACCGAUGCUGGCGGUCGGUUAUGUCCUGUUUUCCCGUAGUGAUAUUAACCAUCCCAGAACAUUGCUGUAAAUCUCAUUUUAAAUCAGGUAAGGCAGUGAGAUUACACAGAACUUACCAACUCAGAAUCGAGCUGCUACCUCAAUUGGAAAGUGACAAAUGCUCAACUUAAAUUUCUAUAUAAAGCACAAGGAUGGCUGCCCUAUUUUGGAUCUAAGAUUAUUUUCACGGGGCACCAGCACCACAUUAUAUAUGGAGAGAUAACCUUUCUUUAAAAAAUAAAUCAUGGGGGCACCUCUUUAUUCUAUUGAUAAAGUCAACAACGAAAUUUAUUUGGGGGACACUGCUGUUCAUACUGAAGCAGACCCAAGCAGUGUAUGUUGUUAUCUGAAAUAUCUAAUAAUUUCGAAACUAGUAUAUAUAGACCAGCAGGUUCUACAAAAAAAAUCAGAUGGAUACCUGUUUUAGCAGCCUCCCUGCAACUCCUGCACCUUCUAUUCAUCUUGUGCUAAUCUUUAUAUAUUUGUGAAUUUCAAUAUUUAAAUAAAUUAUUUAGAUUUACCAUACUUCUGGUGUAAUUGAAAGUUCUGAAAAUGUGCAUCAGAGUUUGAGAAUCUGUGACAACCUUAUUGGCAUAGUUAUAUAAGAGUAGUUCAUCAUCAAAAGUUCAUCCAACAAAUUUACUUGAGUUAGACAUCAUAUCACACUUCUGAUUAGUAAACUCAUGGCUGUGAACUUGAUCUAACAAUCUUGUCGUCUUUUCUCUAGGUGCUGAUGUCUUGAUACUCUUGAUUUGCUGUAAUGGCAACAGAUUUCAAAAAAUUGAAAUAUUUCAUAAUGAAUUAUGGUGAUUAAUAACUCCAGGCAAUGAAAUUAAGCAAAAACUCUUAUUUAACAUUAAAAAAAUCAAAUUCACACCAUGGUGGUGACAGAAAUGUCUUUCACUUAAAAACAUCAUUCUUUUACUUGGGUUGUCAUGUACAAUACAUCAAGAAAACAUGAAAUACCUAAAAUAGAUUUAAAUAGUGACGAACAUGCUCAAUCUUCAUUCCCUUUUACUUUGCGGGCAUAUACUAUCUAGACUGAUUAAACAAUGAUGAGAAGAAAAAAGAGGGAACCAAUAACACAAACAGUGAAAGCGGGACUGGUGAAUGGGAUAUACCAAAUAUGUUCAUGUAAUAAUUGUCAACAUAAUUGCCAUAACCGAAACAAUGUUUAGCACACUUGAUGCAGCAUUGAGUUGAUUGCUGAGCAGGUACAACUAAUUAUAUGUAUUAGAGUUGACGAAGGAGAAGAUGAUGCCAAUAUGGCAGGGCAAAAAAAUUGACCUCUUUUUAAAAGGGGAGUNUCAAAAAAAUUGACCUCUUUUUAAAAGGGGAGUCAACUUUAUCCCUUCACUUUCUUCCCAAACUAUUUUCUAUACCCCGCAACAACUCCUCAAUAUCUUCCCCUGAUAAAGUUGAAGGACUCUUGGCCAUUUCAAUUUGGCCAUUGAAUCUUCUUUUAUCCGGCCUCCAUUUAUGUGUAGGACAAAGAAAUUUCCAAUGGUUCAUAUAACACAUUUUUCUACUAUGUUUUAAAUAACUUGAAGAAGUCUCGUAAUGGCAUACGGGACAUGCAAGUUUUCCCUUGGUGCUCCACCCCGACAACAUGGCAUAUCCCGGGAAGUCGCUUAUCGUCCACAAUACACUUGCACGUAAGUUGAAAUUCCCACCAGAAAAUGCAUCAUACGUUUCGAUGCCAACAUCCCAUAAUUCUUUUAGCUCCGCAAUCAAAGGUUGCAUGAACACAUCAAUAGAGUUCCCCGGAGAAUUAGGGCCAGAUAUUAACGUGGAAAGAAUUAAAUUUUCUUGUUUCAUGCAUAAUAAAAGUGGGAGGUUGUAAUUAACCAAUAUAAUUGGCCAUGUACUAUGGCUUAGAGUCAUCGAACGAUAGGGGCAAAAGCCGUCCGCUGAUACACCCAACCUAACAUUUCGCAAUUCUGAUGCGAAAUCAGGAUACUUCGAAUCCAUUAUCUUCCAAGCUUUGGCAUCAGCUGGAUGCCUUAGUUUCCCAUCUUUUUUCCGUCCCGUUGCAUGCCACGUCAUUAGUUUAGCAUAAUCCUUGCACAUAAACAACCUCUGCAACCUUGGUUUUAGUGGAAAGUACCUCAACACCUUUGCUGACACUUUGUGUAUCAAUUUCUCGGGAUCAUUAUUAGCUUCAUUGCCAUUUUUUUCACAUACAACCCACCUCGAAGCACCACAAUUAUCACAGACAUCUUUAUCUUUGUUAUUUUCCCAAAACAACAUGCAAUUGUUUGGGCAGCAGUGUAUUUUGUGGUAGUCGAGACCUAAAUCCUUAAUAAUACUUUUUGCCGCAUUGAAGGAAGAAGGUAAGUGGGCAGUAGGAAAAGCCUCUUUAAUAAGGUUUAGUAAUUCCCCAAAGGCAGAUUCUGUAAUUCCAUGCGCACACUUUAAGUGAUAAAGCCUAAUUAUGAAACUCAAUCGCGAAAAGUUGGUGCAUCCGGGAUAUAAUUGUUGUCUCCCCUCUGUCGCAUGGUGAUAGAACUUUGUGGCCUCUGCAUUUGGCACAUCAUUGUUCUCCUCCACAUUAUCAAAUCUUUUACCGGUACAUCUGAACAUCUCUUCCAGAUUGUCUUCAAAAUCCAUCCCCGUACCACAGUCCAUGUAGUCAUCAUUAGCACGGCUUAAUUUACUUUGUGAAACCUCACAAAUCCAUUUCAGAUGUAAAGGGGAAGGCCCGCUGCAAAUUAGAUGGUCAAAGAUAAUCUCUCGAUUAUGCCACGUUCGAUUGGCACAAUUUUUGCACGGGCACUUCAUUUCGUCCCCUUUGCAAAAAUUGGGGAAGGCAUUUUCCAGAAAAGCUUUUACCCCAUUCACAUACUCCUGACUACAUCUUGGAAAUCCAAUCCAAGCUGUAUACUCGUCAACGUCCAUUGCAACAUUCUAGCGUGUCCUACGGAUAAAAGAAUAAUAUAUACACAUAUAUUUUUAUUUCAGGCCCCUUACAAACAUAAAAUACAUAAAUUACAAAUAAGCAUAUAAAAUACAAAUAUUAUAAAUAAAAAAAAUGAAAUACAUAUAUUACAAGUAAGCAUUUAAAAUUCAGAAGUCACAAUUAUAUAUAUAUAUAUAUAUAUAUAUAUAUAUAUAUAUAUAUAUUAUUAUUUAUUUAUUUUAUCAUAUAAAUCAAGGAACAUUUUAACUGCAAAAUUGGUGUUUUCAAUAUUGAUUUGGAGUACAUCACAAAUAUAUAUAUAUAUAUAUAUAUAUAUAUAUAUAUAUAUAUAUAUUGCUAGACACAUAAUUCAAAGGGAAUUAGGAGUUCACAUUAUCUAACCAAGUUACUAGAUAAAAGUUGAACUCAUUAAAAAGUAAGGACAUAGGACGACUAUUCCCUACUAAGCCUCUGAUCCUCUAUCCAUCCAAGUCAUCUAAUAGUCUUGUAUCCAAUUCAUUAAUCGUAAUUCGAUAUUUCCGAUGUCAUCACAACUCGAGACUCUCCACAUCAAAUCAAAACCAUGAAAUGACAAACAAACUUCAAUUACGAACUCGAAGCAUGAAUUAGCAUAACAAACAAAACUACUCGAAAUCAUUUAUAAUCAAAGAACAGAUUACACGUAAAAACAACAAUCAGAACAUAAUUGAAUACGUAUACACACGCAUCUGAUAUAGAGCAAUAUGCUACCAGAAAGAAACUAAUGCACCAUAAAAUAAACACAAAAACACAAGCAUACAUAAUCAGUAGGUAACACAGUUAUAUAUAACAUAAAAAUGAAGCAUUUAAAUUACCUCAACUAUUGAAGCCCCGAAUUCAAGCCUCGAUGAGCCCUAAUUUUCAGCCUUUAUGAAAAGCCCUAAUUUUCAGCCUCGAUGAAAAGCCCUAAUCCCCUGCAAUAUGAAAACCCAAGUCAGUAAAAACCCUAAUUAGCUCGACUGAAGCACUAAUCAGCAGGAAACUAAACUAUAACACAGCAAAACCAACUUGACCACAGCCAUACAAACAACUCGCCUAACUAUCAAAAAAACUAAACCAAAAACUAACAGUGAAACUCGUAAUGAUUUAAACUAAACUAAACUACUCGACUCACUGUGACUCGACAAGAACCCAGCCAUAUACAAGACCCAGCUCAGACAACUUAUAAAACGAAAACUAACUACCGAGACUAACGAUUCAGCGACUCGGAAUUGGGAACACAAACCAGCAAAUGAACUACAACCAUGACUAGAAAACUGACUCGGUUGCAACACAAAACAAUCGGAAACAAAAAACUCAGUGAAAAACCUCUUCACAGCAACACAACUAGCAAAAUAAACUCAACUAUGAUGCAGACUAUACUCAGACGCAGCAUUUAAAACCCAACAGCAAGCGAUUCAAACGACUUCAUCAAAACUACAGAAACUCGAAAGUGAAACAGAGGAAAUCACUUAGCAAUAUAGCAAACAGAGAAAAUCACUUAGCAAUUGAAAAUUUAUUCGAAAAUCCAGAAACACAAACACCAAACAUAAGAACCAAAGAUAAAUAAAAAACGAAACAUAAGAACAAAAGAUAAACACAAAACAUAAAAACAAAAUAUAAAAAACAAAACAUAAAAACCAAACAUAAAAAAUGGAACAUAUAAAUGGAACAUAUAUUCCACGGAAAUUACCUGAAUAUUGAAGCCCCCAAUUCAAAUCCACCUAAAAGGCCUAAUUUCAAGCCAUAGUGAAUACCCUAAUUUCGAUUUACCUCGAUAAUGAGAUGAGUGUUAAGCUGAGAUGUAGUGAGAGAUGUGGGUGAGAGCGGUGAGAGACGGAGAGUUGAGAGCUGGUGAGAGUGGAGAGGUGAGUGAGAGUGUUAGUGAAUGGGGAAAUGAAAAUGUGAGUGUUUUCAAAACGGGGGAAAAAGCCCGCUUGCAUUUUCACCUCGAUAAUGGUGCUGUCUUUUUCCUUUUAAUUUUUUUUAUUAUUUUGAUAUAUACUUUACUAAUUUAAAAUAUUUCUGUAAAUAUUGUUUAUAAUGUAAAUAUAAUAUUAUUAUAUUAUGUAAUAUAUUAUAUAAUAUAUAAUAAAUACUAAAAUAAAAAUUGUCACGAAUUUGUAAAUAAUUGAUUAUAUUUCAUUUAUAUAUGAGAUGAGUUAAUUAGUGUAAGUAAAUUUAAAGUAAAUUAAAGUAGUUAAUUAUAAUAUUGUAACGUUUUUGAAUAAGUGUUUCAAGUUGCAACACUUCAACUUUAAAGUAACAUCGAUUUUGUAUAAACAUAAUACUUAUUAAGAAGUGUUGCACUAGUCUCAAGAAGUAUGUCUAUUGUAACUAAAUAAAGGUAACGCCCAUAAAAGAAUGUUACAAAUGAGCACUUAUGGUGUAGUGCUAGUUGAUAGUAUAGUGCUAGAUCUUCUUUUGUUCUCUCAUUUUCAUACUACAUUUGUAAACACUUUUUAUUUAAUGCAAAUCUUCUUUUAGCUUGAUCUUGUAUUGUCUCUAUUUUCUUGCUCCUAGUGGCAUAUUCUUCUUAGCACCACCAUAUGCCUAAGGGCUUUUGGGAAUGGGAGAAGCUUUCUAAUUAGUGUAGAUUUUAUGAUUGCUUAAAUUAGUCGUUAAAGCUCUUUUAAAUCCUAACACAAAAAUAAUUUGUGUAAGGGGCUUAAUGUUUUAGAUUUAAAUUCGGCAGGUCAUUAUUUUAAUUAUCAUUUAGCAGCCAAUAUAGUUUUCGUUUUGUUUGCUUUUAAAACUCACUACAACCCAUCAUCAAAUUAGAACUCAUCUAUCUUUAGUGAAAGGGAAUUUGGUGGCUGCAAUGUGGUUGAAAAUUGUAUUUCGACUCUGCUAUUCUCUCCUCCGAUUCGCACCUGCUCUAUCGCCGCUGUUUCGGCACGGCACCGCCGACGGUGGCGGUGUUUAUCGACAAGGGUAUCACCGGAAAAACGGUACUGUACUUGCGCCUCUCUUUCAUUUGCCUAGAUCUGUCUUCUCUGUGUUUUUUCACCUUUCAGUUCUUUUUUAUUUGUAUAUAAUUGUUUUACUUUUUCUUUAUGUACCAUAUGUAUUGGAUCAUACGUCAAUUUUGCGCUGAUUGGUCGAGGUUGUGUUUAUGUUUUGUUUCCAAGUUGUAGUCCUUGUCUCGUUUUUAGUUUUUUUUUGGUUUUGCAUUUUCAGAGUUACAGCACGGUGUUGAAGUAUGUGAUGCUGAGUUUUGAGUUUUGAUGCAUAGUUUGGUCUGAGUCGCCAUCCCGAGUAUUUUGUUUAGCACCGAGUUGAGUGAAACCGUGUUUGCGUCGUUUGAUUUGCUAGUUUUGUGCGCUUCUGCUGAUUUCACUAGCUUAAAUGAUUGCCUGGAUUUAGUUCUGAGUAUUGUUUCCUGUUAGUUCUUUUUUCAGCCAAGUAACGCCCGAGUCGCAUGAUCCUAGUUUUAAUGUUGCAUUAUUUUGUUUAUUAUUGUCUGAGCUGCUUUUUGAUUUUUUGUCGCUACUGAGUCAAUUAAUCCAAGAGUUGAUACGGGUGUCAUGUUGAAUUAGUAGUGGUCACUUAAUUAGUGUUAUUCUGAUUGAAUUAUUUUAUGGCAUGAUUUUAGUUUUAGAAUUGUAAAUUUGAAUAUUAUUUGGAAUUGUAAAUUUGAAUAUUAUUUGAUUUUGAUAGUAGUAAUUGUAGAUCUUGAUUUGUUACGUUUUAAAUUGUGAUUGGAUAAAUAUUCUUUUUGAAUAUUUAGUACCAUUUAUAAGGUCAUUAUUGAUGACAUUUUAUGCCUUUAAUGGCUUUUAGUGCCAUUUUUAUGGCUUCCGUUACCAUUUUGAUAGUCAUUACAUUUAAUAUAUGAAUUAGAUUUUAAACUUAAUUUUUAUUCUUCAGUUAAAAUUUUAAAUUUUUAUGUGUCUAACCAAAGGAUUUUCCUUUAGUUAGAUAUUUAUUAAUAAUUCUACAUUAUAUAUAUAUAUUCCUCUUUAUUUUUUGAUAUAUAUACUCUUUACUUUUUGUUUUUAUUAGAUUUUUUUGUAUAUUGAUUUAUGUUUUAUUUGAUUGUUUUUUUCUCAGGAUACUUUGGAAGUGAGCUGUAGUGUAUGGGUAUUCUUUUCUAAUUCAUUUAAGCUUUAUUGUCUAAACGUCCGGAGUUAUGCUCGCAUGACUUUCGGUUAGAUGAUAAACUUUCUUGAAAGAAAGAUAUCCCAGUUGCGGUUUAUUGUAUUUCGAUACAAUUCAUCUACAAUUAUGUAGACCUUUAAAAAAAAAACUCACUACAACCCCACCUCCAUUAUAUACACUCUGUUUUCUUUCCGUUUUCUUUAUCAAAGUCACCUGCUCAGUUUUUGUUCAAAACAUAAACCCCUGCUUUGUUUUUCUCUAAAACCCCAUUCCCCUGUUUUAUUUUUCUUUCGCUGAGUCGCACACCGAGUCAAUCGAGUAGUACGAGUCCGAGUUUUGCUUGCAAUCGCUGUUAAAUUUCCGAGUUGGGGUCUGAGUUUGUGUUUUCGUUACUUAGUUUCUUCGAGUUCAGAAUCAUCAUUGAGUCAUUGCUUGUUUAUUUGCUGCUCGAGUUGAACUUGUUAGAUGGGUUUCUGUUGAAUGCCGAGUUGAAAUACGAGGUCCUGAGUCACCGAGUCCGUUGAUUUCUCUUCCUUCUUUUUGUUUGCCGAGUCGUCUGAGUUGUUUGGUUGCUGGGUCGAGUCGUAGAGUCGUAGCGAUUUCUUUAAGUGUAAAUUUCAUCCUCCUGUUUUCGGCUGCUGUUUGAGUAUUUUGUUUGCGUCAUUCCUGCUGGUUUGAGUCGUUCACCCGAGUCGCUCUACUUUGUUUACGUUGUGUUCUGCUACGUUUGAUGAAGUUCAGUUUCGAGUCAUCGCGUCUGUUUCGAUUUCUGUUGCUGGGUUUGUUGCUAGUUGUUUACUGUUCAGUUUGUUUUUCAGUCGAUGUUUGUGUGUGAGUCGAUUGUGUCGAGUCCAGUGCUGAGUGUUUUUAUUGUUUAUCGUCGAGUUUUUGAGGAGCUGAGUUCAAUGUUAAGUGGCUGAGUUCGAGUUACCGAGUCAUCGAGUCCUGGGAGUUGAGUUCGUAUCACUGGGUUAAAUUUUUGUUUAAGUUGUAUACGAGUGUUGAUUUCUCUAGUGUCCCCAUUUGUCUGUUCAAGCUGGCCGUAUUCUUUAUUGGGUCCAGGUCCCCAGCAAUCGAUUGUUGGGGGACCUUUAACCAACACAUGCUGUUUGAGCCGUCCGAUGGGCCAAUUAAGGGCCACGAUUAAAAAACCGUCCAGCGCUUUUUUGUCGCUGGACGUGUGUCGUCCAGCGCUAAAAAAUCGCUGGACGAGUGUAUGUUUUUUAACCGUCCAGCGCUAAAAAAGCGCUGAAAAGACAGAGACACAUAUAUAAGCGUGAAACAAAGACAUAAUGUAUACAAACAUUUGAAAAAAGGAGCGAGCGAGCAAUUUGAAUCGUGUUUUACCACUGCAAUCACCCAUUCUUCGAUUGAUUCUCGCAUAUCUGUAGAAUCAUGCUUUACCAGUUGAUUAUCGUGCUUUACCAGUUUGUUGGAUUCAAGGCAGUGGAGUCGAAGUUUAUCGGGUAAUCUCACCCCUUCAACCUCGUAGCUAUUUGGUUGCUGUUAGGUUUAGGAUGUAGGUUUAGGAUGUUUGUAUGGCUUCGAUUAUACGUUGCAGUUUGCAAUAAAACCUUGCUUUUUCGUAGUGAAUGCAAAUUGUUUGAUAAAAUGCCUCUUUGAAUAUGCUGGUUUGAAAGUGUUUGUUUAAAUGCAUCUUAGAACAGGUUCAUUGCAAACUCUGAUUUAUGUUAUGCAAUGAUUUGUCGUCAUGAAUUUAUGGUUGAUUGCAAUGUGUUUUAUGCUUUAGUUUCAGUUAGUAUAUACUUGAAUUUGUUAGUGAAUUUGCACUGAUUUUGUACGGUUAUAAUGUAUGAAUUUGUAAGUGAAUUUAGGCUGUUUGAGUGAUGCUGAUUUCUUUGUCGAUAUCUGUUGUGUUGUAUUGUCAUUAAGCGUCACUGAUUUAUUGUCGAUAUAUGUUAUCUGCUUUGUAAUGUAUGAAUUUGUAAGUGAAUUUGUUAGUGAAUUUGCACUGAAUUUGUAAGGGUAAUUUAUGAAUUUGUAAGUGAUUUUUUGUGUUUGGGAUCUGCAGAGAUGGAGGACAUAUUGCCAGGACCGAGCAGCUGGGUGGUUAUCGCUGACAAUGCUUACCAUGUCAGUGAUAGUGUAUGGAGAGGUACAGAUAGGGGGCCUUUAGAGUGCUUUGGUGCGAGCCGUCUACUUCAUGUUUGGGUUCUGUUUGAGGCACAGAAGGAGUUGUUGCACGCCGUGGGAUUUGGAUUGUUUGCUAACCAGGAUGUGGGGGUACAUAAUGACACGGCAUUAGUCUCUGCACUCGUGGAGCGGUGGAGGCUUGAGACCAACACCUUCUUCAUGCGCCAGGGUGAGAUGACUAUUACUCUCCAGGAUGUGAGUUAUAUUCUGGGCCUGCCUAUUCUUGGGCAACCUUUGGGAGGGCCAUCCAUACAGUGCCCGGGGUCGUGGUUUCGAAGAUUUUGGUUAGAGCCACUGAGUGAUGCAGAUUAUGAGGCUGGUUGGAAUAAGUCAGGCAUCAAGUUCACCUGGCUUCAUCAUAGAUAUGGACGGGCAGGUGUGGAGGGUGACCCUGAGCGGAUUGCAAUUCACGCGCAGGCUUACCAAGCGAAACUUGAAUAGACUCGGACCUGUCAUACAAACUAAACUUUGCAAGAAGAAACGGAUUAGGCUUAUCAUCAAGAUUGUCCGUUUGCAAAUUAUGUACGAACCCCUUCACAUAUGCGAUACGAAAUUGAUCUUUUUGGAAACGUGUCUCGCGGGGCCUCAAAUUGUUUAUCUGAGCAAUUCGCUCGACAUUGACAAGUUCGCCUCCAUCCCAAGGACGUAGCACAAAACGCUUGUCUUUGUCCAAAGCGUCUGCUCCCAAAAGCCUAAUGUGAAUGAAAUACGGUGGCGGGCAUCUCCUUGCCUUUGCCUCCAUUUCUCCACUAGCAAUCCAUGUACACGCAUCGCUCCAUCUCCUAUCCCUUUCACUUUCUUCCUCCAUAGGGUACAAGUUGAAAUCCUCUUCUUUAACCACAGGAGCAUUUAUGAAGAACCCGUUUGCAUACGAUGGGCAAUCUAAUGCCUCCAUUUCUCCACUAGCAAUCCAUCCACACGCUUCAAUUUCUUCCACCAUAGGAUCUAAGUUGGAAUCCUCUUCUUCGACUACGGGAGCAUCAAUCAAGAAUCCAUUUGCAUACGAUGGACCAUCUAACGACAACCGGUCAAUAAUGUCAAGCAUCUCAUUGUCCGACGGGGUGGACCAAGAACGGAACCAACUUUCACUAAGAGCCUCCUUCGAGGGUGAAAGCGAAUCACUAACAUGAGUAAGUGUGUCACUAAUGUCAGAUAGGUGGCCAUUUUCCAUUUUUCACCUACAAAUAAAAAUCACAUAAAAUCAUAUAAAAUCACUUUAUAUCACAUAAAAUCAUACGAAAUGACAUUAAAUCACAUAAAAUCAUACAAAGUGACAUAAAAUCCUAAAAAAUCAUAUAAAAGCACAUAAAAUCACAUAAAAUCCUAUAAAAAUCAUAUGUGACAAGAUCACAUAAAAUCAUAUAAAAUCACAUAAAAUCAUAUAAAAUCACAUAAAAUCACAUAAAAUCCUAUAAAAUCACCUAAAAAAGUUACAUCUCAGCACUCUUAUUUUGGUCUCCAAAUUUUUUGCAAGUCCUUAUGUCAUGGCCAUCUUAAUGACAUUGCUUGCAUUUUCUCUUUUUCUUACUAAGGCCUUCAAUUGGAUUUUUGAAACGUUGUGGCUUCUUCCUACCCUUCGUUUGAGACACUAUAGGAUCAAGUACCGGCUCGUUCAAGUCGUCACCAAUAUUCUCUUCAAUGGGAUUCUCAGUAUUUGUAUUGAGAGCAGUAUCAUCAUCAUCAACAGCCAUUUUCUCAAGAUUUGCAAUUUCUCGAUUCAUCACCUCUAGGGCAUACUCAUAUCUUUCUUUCGAAACCAUUCUACUAUGACAAAAACUCAUUGUUAACAAAAUCAUAUGGUUGAAUCUUUGACUUGGUGUCAAUUCUGUAGAUGUUGGAUCAUCGCAACCCAUAGCAUAAGGUAGCAUACCAUCUACCCUAUUAGCAUCUCUAGUCCAACGACGUUGAAUAAAUGUUACUGGAAUUUGGGCAACAUUUUUCUUGUUUAAAACGGCAAUGAUGUGUCGACACGGGAUUCCUAAAUGUUCAUACAUCCGACACACACAUCUUCCUGUUAGGGCCACUUUGUUGAACUUCACUUCAUACAGUGUUCUUUUGUCGACUUCGGUCAGGGGUCUAAAACACCUAUAAUGUGUGACUUCAUCCCCUAACGUCAACUGAUCUUUAUCCUUCUCCACAAAGUAUUUAGAGGCUUCUAGCAAUUGAACUUGAAAUUGGCGAAACAUCUCCUUGGUAUACAUGGAAGCCCCGUCUUGUUCCAAAGCCGUCUUCAACCUCAUGUAACGGGUUUUAUUCUUUGUGUCAUUGUCCUCCUCCUUCUCCCGCAUAAAUUGUCUUUCAAUUGCUUUCUGUGCAUUCUCAACAAAUUCCUUCAAUCCUGUACUAGAACUGACAUAGCUAUCAAAGAAUGCAUUCAUCCCCUCGCUCCUCGAUGUCGUGUUCUGACCCGCAGAGAAUGUACUCUUACUGUAGGCCGAGAUCCAUUUCUCCUUCAACAAAUACAAUCCUUGCAACCAUGAAUGAUCUUUCAAAUCAUACUUCACCACUAAAUUUUUCCACCUCUCCUCAAAAAUAUCCUCCGUCAAUGAAUGGUAUAUGCAUUUGUUGAAAUCUACUUUGAAUGUUCCCGGAUGCUUAAUAUAAAGGGUGUUCAAUUUUUCGGGGAACUUCUGGCUUAUAUGCCAAGAACACAACAAAUGUCGGGUUUGGGGUAGUAUGGAUGCAAUUGCCCCCGCCAUAGCUUGAUCUGCUUUAUCUUGGUCCGUGAUUAUAGUGUUCGGGUGUUUAUCGCCAACCGCUUCAAGCCAUGUUCUUAGCACCCAUUCGAAACUACUUUUUACUUCAUCCCUCAUGAGUGCAAAUCCAAAAAGAACAGAUUGGUAAUGAUGAUUGACCCCUGUAAAAGGCACAAAUGGCAUGGCAUACCUAUUCGUUCGGUAUGUCGUAUCAAAAGCAACAACAUCUCCAAAAUUACUAUAGGCCAUCAAACAUUUAGGAUCCACCCAUACUAGAUUUUUCAAACGGUUUUCUCCAUCCACUUGAGUUUUCACAAAAAACUUCCCACCGCCUUCCUCUUUAAGACGACUUAACAAAUCCAAACCCGCUUGAGCAUCACUCACUUGUAUCUUUUUCUUCCGCUCAUCCCACACUACAUUCCUAAUAUUUUGGCUACCAAAACCAACAUUACUUACUCCACCUUGCAUAUUGCUAAAAAGACUCAUGGUUUGGCUAGGGCAAAUACCUGACACAUUUAACACAUUUAUAAGAUUUCUUGCCGCACUCGUCAUAUGUCUUUCCCGUUGAAUCAAACUCAUCUUACUAGGAGAUACAAGAUCAUGAUUGUGUUCUAAUUCAACGGUUGUCAACUCCCAAUAAUCUUUUUUCUUCUUUUUCACAACAAACAUCCUAACCUUACAACCACUUCUAGGAAGUUUAUCCCGAGGACGUGUGCCGUUACUACUACCUACACAUACUUCUUCAUCCACAACAUUUUUGUCUUGAUUUUCACCCGCAAGUCUACAAACAAACAUCCGGGCAUAUAUUUUAUCAACUUUUGCCCUUUUCUUUGUUUGUUGUAUUUUCACAGCAAACCCAUCCUUAAGGGCAUAUGACCUGAUAAAUCUAUCCGCGUCAUCUAAAUUAUCAAAUCUCUGAUUCAAAUACGGGACUUCCAUAUUUUUAUUUCUUUCAUUCUCAUCAUUAAAUUUAUUAUCCACUCCUUUAUCAUCACUCUCUACGUUCUCAUCAACCUCAUCAUCACCACUAACAACAUUUCGAUCAUCAAUACAAUCUUCAUCAACACUAACAUAUUCUUUAUCAUCAACAUUUUCAUCAUCUUUUAAAUCAAUAAACACACGAUCUACAACACUAUCAACCUUAACAACAUCAUCUACAUCUACGUAAUCCUUAUUAUCAACUUUUUUUACUCUUUUUCUUGGAACAAAAUCCUCGAACAAAGAAUCCGCCAUAAUAACAACAACACAAACGAAGCAAACAACUAGAUUAGAGUAAGAAAUUACCACAACCUUGAGUAUGCACUUGCUUCUUUAGCUCCAAAGAGUAUGCACUUACCACAAACCCUAGCUCUCCAAUUUUUUAACCUCCUCGAUCUUUUUUCUACCACUAACCUAAAGUGACCUAGUACGUGAGUAUAUGAUCAUUUCUCUGUGUUUCCAGCGCUUUUUUAGCGCUGGACGAGUAAAAAUAUCUAACUCAUCCAGCGCUUUUUUAGCGCUGGACGGUAGACGUCCAGCGGUAAAAAAGCGCUGGAUGGUUUUUAAAUCUCGACCGUUGAUCUCGCCAUCGGACGGCUCGCGAGGGGUGUGUUGGUUAAAGGUCCCCCAGCAACCGAUUGCUGGGGACCUGGACCCUUCUUUAUUUACUAUUAAUUUUAUUAGAUACUGAUUUGAUUGUGUUUGUUGACGGAAUGGCUAGUUGUACAUACGUAAGGGUCAUGUCAAAAUUGUAUGUUUUCUUUUUAAACUCGUUUCCUUAGGAAUUAGUAGUAAUUUUAUUUAAACCACUAAUUAGUUAAAAGUGAUUAAGUGGUAACUAUUUAAGAUUAAUUAGAUCAGAUUCUAAAUCAUAGUUUAUGAUUAUUAAAAUUAGUUUUUAAAAUAUCCACUCUUCACCAUUAAUUGUUCUAAUUUGCCUAGAUGAAAGAUUAAGGUUUCGAAAAUUUUUUUAAUCUCCGUGGAAUCGAAUCUUAAAUACUAAAACGUGAUCGUGCGCUUGCGAUUAAUUUAAAAAUCAUUUUUCUAGCACAUCACAAAGGAGAUAUGGGAUGCAUUGGAAGCUUAUCAUGAAGGUUCAAAGGGUCUAAGGAAAGUAAAGUUGGGACAACUAAUGAAGGAACUUGGUGCUUUCGGUUUGCAAAAGGGAGAAACAAUUAAAGAAGCUCAAGCUAGAUUUCAACUCAUUAUCAAUAACCUAGGGAGACUUGGAAAGAUAAUUCCUCAAUCAGAAUUCAACAUGAACAUUCUCGCUUCUGUUCCAUUCGACUUUCAAGCCAAAGUAACUGCCUUGGAAGCUGCUCACAAUAUUGAUACAAUGGACCAUCUAGCUCUUUUUGCUGAAUUGGAACAAUUUGAAAGAAAGAUGAAUGCCAAGAAGCAUGAUGCUCUAGUUGAGAAAAUGAAGAAUUUAGCUCUUACUGCUGAAAAGAGCAAGCCAAAAUCAGAUGAGGAAUCAGACGAAGAUCUUGCACUCCUUUCCAAGAAGAUUCAACGGAUGAUUAACAAACAUAAUCAGCUGAAAAGGGAGAAAGGCAAGGAUAAGGCUAAGUACUCAAGUAGCAGAAAGCCUUCCAAGGAAUCAAAGGAUCAGAACUGCUUCGAAUGUGGAAAGCCUGGUCACUUCAAGAAGGACUGCUACAAGCUGAAGUCAAAACAGCCUGCUGUUUCCAGAGACAAAAAGAAGAAAUCUAAAGCACUUCUGACUUGGAGUGAUGAUGAUGAAAGAAUCUGCUUCUAGUGAUGAUUGGUGAGGAAAUGAUCAACCUUGCACUUGUUGGCAUCGAGGAUGAUAAUGUUCAAGGACUCACCGAUGAUGGUCUUGUCGAAACUGGCUCCGAGGAUGACAACAGUGAGGUUAGUUCGUUUAGAUUUGAUAUUUCAAAUGAUAAUCUUGUGCUAGAACAACUAACCAUGCAGGCACAAGAUCAUAUUCCAAAUGAGGAAUAUAAUUCUCUCAAGGCAGAAAACAGCAAGCUGAUUGAAAUGAACAACUAUCUUAAGAACAUGGUUCAAGAGCUUAUGCGGAAGAUAGAUAAAUUCUUUGACUCCAAAGAGCCUACUCAAGCCAGAAUGAAGGAACUUCAAGAAAAGCUAGAUCAAGCUGAAGGUUUUCAUAAAGUUUUGAUGAGACGAAAUGAAGUUCGGAAAGAAGAGAUCUCCCAGUUGAAACAAGAAGUAGAAGCCAGAGAUGCAUGCCUAGAGACAUUCAAGCUAAAGGAAUCUACAAAGUUGCAUACAUCUCAGCCUGCUCCCAGUACAUCUCAGCCUGCUGCAAGUACUUCACAGCCCACUACUACAACAAACCAGCAAGCUGAAAAGAUCAAAAUUCUCGAAACAGAAGUAUUGAAGCUCAGAAAAGGAAUGAGAACUUUUGUUCAAGGAGAAGAAGGUCUAAAAUAUAUGAUGAAGAGCAUCAAGGUUCCACUGGAUAAAGAAGGUGUUGGUCAAAACUUCAACAAGAAGGCAAAUGCUCUCAAGUAUGAAGGAAGGCGUGGCAAACCAUACAAAUAUGCUAUGCACUGGAAUAAAUGUGCAAAAUGUGGAGGACAAGGACAUCUAGCUCAGAAUUGCAGAGUCAGGCCUCAAAGACAGAACUUCCAGAAAAGAUCAGAAGGGAAAACACCCUACUGGAACAAGAAAACAGCUUACCAGAAUGGUCUAAACAGAAGCUAUAGAACUCAGCAGCAUACAUAUCCUACUGUGGUCCAAAAGUGGAUCAAGAAAACUGAUUUAAAUGCUUUAUAUGUUCUUGCUUCUAACCAGAAUGGACCCAAACCAAUUUGGGUACCAAAGGGUUGAGUUUCGUUUUCUUUGUUUUGCAGAUGUGUCUUGCUGCUAAGAUCAAGUCUACACAAUGGAUCAUUGAUAGUGGUUGUACAAGGCAUAUGUGUGGAGACAAAACUCAGUUUAAGAGUCUGAAGAUGAAAAGAGGAGGAAGUGUAACUAUUGGUGAUAGUAAAACUCUCCCUAUUCUAGGUAAAGGUAAAGUUGGUAAUGACACUGCCUCUAUUUCUAAUGUUAGAUUUGUUAAAGGCUUAAAAUAUAAUUUGCUUAGUGUAAGUCAAUUGCAUGAUGAUGGUCAUAAAGUUGAAUUCUCUAAGGAUAAAUGUCUUAUUACUGUUGGUACUAACCAGAUUCCUCUAGUUGCUAGAAGGAAAGGAAAUAUAUAUAUCUUAGAUUUUGAGUUGCAGAAAACAGCCUGCUGUUUAGCUGCUGUGGAUGCUGAUCCAACCAUUUGGCAUAGAAGAUUGGGUCAUGCUCACAUGGACUUGCUUAAGAAGUUGUCAAGCAAGGAGCUAGUGAGGGGUCUGCCCAAAUUAAAGUAUGCCAAGACCGAAGUGUGUUCAGCAUGUCAAUUCUAACUGUUACCGUUAACUUUUGCAGGUUACCGUUAACUUUUGCAGGGGAUCUUAGAUUUUGAGUUGCAGAAAAGAGCCUGCUGUUUAGCUGCUGUGGAUGUUGAUCCAACCAUUUGGCAUAGAAGAUUGGGUCAUGCUCACAUGGACUUGCUUAAGAAGUUGUCAAGCAAGGAGCUAGUGAGGGGUCUGCCCAAAUUAAAGUAUGCCAAGACCGAGGUGUGUUCAGCAUGUCAGCUAGGCAAGCAAAUCCGAAGCACUCAUAAGGCUAAGAAUAUGGUAUCAACUUCUCAACCUCUAGAACUCUUACACUUAGACUUGUUUGGUCCUAAGGCUUAUAAAAGCAUUGGAGGUAAGCAAUAUUGUUUGGUUGUUGUUGAUGAUUAUUCUCGAUAUUCAUGGACUUUAUUUCUUCGUACUAAAGAUUGUGCAUUUGAAGAAUUUGAAAUUCUAAUCAAACUUCUUGAGAAUAAGUUGAAAACCAAGCUUAUAGGUAUAAGGAGUGAUCAUGGAGGUGAAUUCCAAAAGGACUUUAUUACAUACUGUGAAGAAAGAGGACUCACUCACCAAUUCUCAGCUCCAAGGACACCUCAACAAAAUGGAGUCGUAGAGCGCAAAAACAGGUCACUUCAGGAAACAGCAAGGACGUUAUUGCAAGAAAGCAAGCUGCCAAGAAGUUUCUGGGCAGAAGCAGUCAAUACAGCCUGCUAUGUUCUGAACAGGGUGAUCAUCAGGCCUAUCUUGAACAAGACUCCAUAUGAGUUGCUGAGAAAUAAGACUCCUAAUAUCGGGUACUUUAAAGUUUUUGGUUCUAAAUGUUUUGUUCUUAAAAAGAUUGAUAGAGUUGGUAAAUUUGAUGCUAAAUCUUUUGAAGCUAUCUUUCUUGGUUAUUCUUCAACUAGUCGUGCAUAUAGAUAUUAUAAUUUAGAUAAACAUACUGUUGAAGAAUCUAUUGAUAUUGUCUUCAAAGAACCUAACAAUGAUCUGCCAAGAGAUGAGGAAGAUGAUGCAGGUAUUGAUCCAAAUGCUCAACCUCAAUCUGAUGAGAAGAAGUCAGAGGAAGCUGCUACUCCAACAUCUAAGCUAGCUGAAACUCCAUCUUCACAAACUGUCACUCCAUCACAGCAAGCUGGAACAUCAUCUCAGCCUACUGGAAUGACAUCUCAACAAGCUGGAUCUUCAUCUCAGCAAGGUGGAACAGAAUCUCAGCAAGCUGGACUCUCCUCUGCAGUCAGGAAUCUCUCCAACAUUCUGUCUCAAAUGAAGCUUGAUGGAUCUUAUGAUGAUGAUGUACCACCAACAAAGCGGAUUCGAACAUCUCAUGAAGAAAUAUCUUAAAAAACUCUGCCCAAGGCUACAAGGACAGUAAAGAAUCAUCCUCCCGAGUUAGUGAUUGGUGACAUUUCAAAAGGAAUCAAGACAAGAAAAGGAAAAGCAAACUUCUGUUCUUAUGCUGCUUUUCUAGCUCAAGAAGAACCAAAAUCUGUUCAAGAAGCUCUCAAAGAUGAAAAUUGGAUCAUGGCUAUGCAAGAAGAACUCAACCAAUUCGAAAGAUGUGAUGUUUGGGAAUUGGUAAAGCGUCCAGAGAAUGCAUCAGUUGUUGGCACUAGAUGGGUAUUUAAGAACAAGCUUGAUGAAGAAGGUACUAUCACUCGCAACAAAGCAAGGCUUGUGGCUCAAGGAUACAACCAGCAAGAAGGAAUCGAUUUUGAUCAAACAUAUGCUCCGGUUGCUCGCUUGGAAUCAAUCAGAAUGCUCUUGGCUUAUGCAUGCUACAAAAAGAUCAAGCUGUUUCAGAUGGAUGUGAAGAGUGCUUUCCUAAACGGCCUGCUGGAAGAGGAAGUUUAUGUAAAACAGCCGCCUGGUUUUGAACAUGAACAAUAUCCAGACUACGUCUACAAGUUGAAGAAAGCUCUUUAUGGAUUGAAACAAGCACCUAGAUCAUGGUACAAGAGCCUCAGUAAGCUCUUAAUUAAGAAUGGUUUUGUACGAGGCAAGAUUGAUCCUACUCUAUUUACAAAAUCUCUUAAUGGUGAAAUCUUAGUAGUCCAAGUUUAUGUUGAUGAUAUUAUCUUUGGGUCUACUAAUAAUGAACUUUGUGAGUGGUUUUCGAAGUGUAUGCAUAGUGAAUUUGACAUGAGCAUGAUGGGUGAGCUCAACUAUUUCUUGGGUCUUCAAAUCAAGCAAACUUCUGAUGGUAUCUAUGUGCACCAAGGAAAAUAUGUGAAAGAGUUGCUGAAGAGAUUUGGAUUUGAAAAUGUCAAGUCAAAACCCACUCCAAUGUCUCAAACCAGCAAGCUGUUUUCAGAUGAAUCAGGUAAAAGUGUUGAUAUAACACGAUAUCGAGGUAUGAUUGGAUCUCUAUUAUAUCUAACAGCCUCUAGACCUGAUAUCAUGUAUAGUGUAUGUGUUUGUGCACGGUUUCAAGCUAAUCCAAAGGAGUCCCACUUAAAUGCUAUUAAGAGGAUCUUUCGAUACUUAAGUGGUACUAUUAAUCUUGGACUUUUCUAUCCUAUAUCAAAUACUUUUGAUCUCGUGGGGUAUAGUGAUGCAGAUUAUGCCGGUUCUCAAACGGACAGGAAAACCACAAGUGGUGUUUGCAAUUUUCUUUGUUCUAGCUUGGUGUGUUGGCAAAGUAAGAAGCAAAAAUCUAUAGCUCUCUCUACAACUAAAGGUGAAUAUCUAGCUGCAGGGAGCUGUUUUUCUCAAAUGCUUUGGAUGAUGCAAACUCUCAAGUAUUUUGGAAUCAAAUGUGACAAAGUCCCAAUAUAUUAUGACAACACUAGCACAAUAAAUAUCUCAGAAAAUCCGGUUCUUCACUCCCGCACAAAGCAUAUCGACGUUCAACAUCAUUUCUUGCGUGAUAAUGUGGCCAAUGGAAAGAUCAGUCUAGUAUAUGUUCCUACGGAGUAUCAGCUCGCUGACGUUUUUACCAAGCCUCUGCCCGAAGAACGAUUCUUAAUCAUCCGCAGGGAAUUGGGUAUGUGUUCAGUCUAAAUCAGCAAGCUGGUUCUGGUAUGUAGCCUAUUACUUUAAAUCUUCCAUUAUAGUAGCUAGCUGUUGUGUAUGUGUCGUUUAAUCUAUUUGGUUGGUGGUAGUCAACACUUAUCUCUGUGCACAUUCAAUGCUGUUGUAGUUAUCUGUGCUCUGUAUUAUGUGCUACAUUUUAAAAUUUUAAAAUUCUUGUUAUAUAUCUUCUUAUCUGCUACCUGAUAUAUGUUCUUUAAAAUAUGUUUUAUCUAAUUAAAUGGGGUUUUAGUUAUUUUAAGUCAAGUAUUUCAAGGAUAUCUCCUCAAUUCUCGGUAAAAAGGUUUAUCUCGGAGAUAUAUUAUUCAAAUAUUUGGGAACUCCUACAGCCUCGCAUCUCUCCACAACAAAAGUCUACCAAGGGUUUUAUUUUCAAAAUUACACUAGCGCUCGUCUCUCUCUACACUCUCAACCGAGCUCUCUCCAAAACCCUACCAAUGGCGAAAACCAGAAACACCACCACUCCGGCCUCUAGUUCUAAGAAACGCCCUCGUCCCUCCACCUCUGACUGCAUCAUCAUCGACACCACUGUCGAAACACAGGAGUCCUCAAACCCUACAACGGACGAUGUUCUGAGUUCCGAUGAAGACUCCGCAGUGGUUCCAAUUCUUAAGAAAUCUCGGUAUGCUAUCAAAUUCAUGAACAAAGACCUCGAAAUCAGGUAUCGCGAUUAUAACCUUGCUAGUCGUAAGAUUAUUUAUAGAAAGUCUAUUGUUGGAUCGGAAUUUGCUGAUUGUGGUUUAAUUGAGAUUUUUGACACUAUUGGGAUGAAGUCGUUAAUUGAUUUACCUGAUGUUUGCUAUCCCUUCCUUGUUCAAGAAUUUUAUGCUAAUUUGCAUACACCAACUAAGGGCCGUUUUAUCAGUCGGGUACGGGAUCAGGGUAUUUGUCUGAAUGCUACAAUAUUGAAUGGUAUGUUAGAAUUUAAGAAUAUCACUGAUGACUUGAUUGUGCCUCUCACUAAAAAGGGGAUUUGUGACUUGUUUGAGGAUUUAUCUGAAUUAGAACAACACAGUCUAGUUCGUGGUGAUGUUGAUAAUAUUGAUGUGUCUUCACCCACCACUGCCCAACUUGACCUGAUGACACAUUUGUUGUUCAAGAUUUGUCGCACAAAUAUCUACCCUCGCAUUGGUAGUCGAUCUGGGUUAACUUGUCAGGAUCUUAUUCUUGUGUCCUUACUGUUGAAAAAGAAGAAAUUUAAUAUAUCUGGAUUGAUCUUGCACAAUAUGAUGGAUUGUUUGAAGAAGAAAACCCGUGCUUUUCCAUAUGCUCUUUUACUUUCUCAGGUGUUUGAGUUUUCGGGUGUGAAAUUGGAAGAGAAGGAAGCAGUGGAUGCUACUGAAUUUAUUGAUUGCUCCAGUCUCACUUAGUCCAGUCUUCAGAUCAAUGAGCUCGGAUUUUAGAAAAGAUUCCCCCACCGAUUGUGCCUUCACAUGUGUCUACGUCCAGUCUGCCAGAUUCUUCCUCUGUUGCUUCAAGUAUUCAAGCUCUCUUCGCCAAAUUGGAAGACAAGUUUGCUGAUAUUCAGAGGGAAUUUGCAAAGUAUAAGCAGGCAGUUAGUGAGGUGAAAGCCCAGAACACUGAGAUCAAGGGUAUGGCAACUGAAUUGCUUGGCUACUUUCAGAAAGCUAAAUCUGUUGUUAGAGCUGCCAGGACUGCUACAGAGGCUGAUAAGGAAGCUUAUCAGAAUGCUGCAAAGGACCUCUCCAAUGCUCAGAUUUCCUCUCCUGCCAUUGCUUCGGGUUCAGUCAAUCAGGAUUAGGUUGUUGUGGACGACCUUUUUGCUGAUUAAGGGGGAGAAAUCAGGAGGAGUACUUGGCUUGGGGCUGGGAAUUUUUAAUUUACUGCUUUUAUUAUGAAUUUCUAUCAGACUUGUGGUGCCAUGCUACUUUAUGUGUUUUAAGACUUAAUUUGCUUUUGAUGUGCUGAAAUAUCAGCAAGACAUGUUAUGUGGUUUAUGUGUGGAUUAUGCUGUGAUAACAGCUUAUUGACUUGGUUGUUUAAUUGUUGGAUUUCGUUAAGUCAGUUUAUGAUAUGUUAAGCUAUUAUUGUGUUAAAUUGUUUAGGUAGCUAAUUUCUUUGAUAAUCUAUGCUAGAAUUCCAUUGCUUCUAACUUGUGUGUAGGUUUAUCAUAUUCAGGGGGAGUAUUACUCCUGAUAUUUGUGUAAUCAUCAAAAAGGGGGAGAUUGUAAAUCCCAAGUUUUGAUGAUGACACAAUUUAGCAAGCUACUAUCAUUUCCAUCUUAACAUAACGUAUUUACUCUGUUGUAGCCUGCUAUAUUAUUAUCUAAUCAUUUCUGCAGGUUUUAUAUAGACAACAGAACUAUAGCAAGCUAUUUCAUAUGUUAGCUUGACAUGCUUAAGUUAUAGUGUUAUAGCCUGCUGUGUUGCUUUUCUAAUACUGUUGCAGGAAUUUUACUGUAACAGAUUUAUAGCGAGGUGUUUUAUAAUAGCAAGCUAUAAAAGAGUCCUACCAGAAGUAGAACACUUCACAGAAUUGAAGCUGUUGACUUCUACAAAUAUUAGGACUUACAGUGUACGUUUUCUAAUCUGAAUAUGAGUUAAAUAUACAGAUUAUAAGCUCAGAUUAUGUAAAUGAAAACAAUUCCUAAAAUCAAGGAAGUUGUUACACUUUAAACUUAUCUUUUCAAAACACACUUCCUUAUCCCAUUUUAAUAGGAACUGUUGCUUCAAACGUCUUUCUAAAACUCAGCCCUCUAUUUCUGUGGAGUAUAGUAUUGAACUAACAACCUGCAACGUUCACAUAGUGCAACGUUUAUGGAGGUUUGUUUCAAUAUAGCCGUUAUAGCUUUUAGUAUAUAUACAGCUUGCUGUUUUCAAGAAAUAGUUAACAACUCACGAUCUUGAAAACAUUCUCAAUCUCUUAUGAGCUUAUAUUGUGUAUUCGAUUCAUAUCUUAUUAGAGAGCAUAGUUUGAGUUGUAAUCUCUCAUUUUUUAUUCAAAGUUUGUAUUUGAUUAGUCACUAAAGCUAGCGGGGUUCUAAGUAUAGAACAAAGGGGGAGUUAGAUAGAAUUAGUCUUCACAAGGUCUGAGGUGCUAAGGUUCGAGGAAUAAGGUGAAUUCAAGGAGGGAAGCUCAAGGAAUUCAGAGGUUCAAGAACAGGUGCACAGGGGGCUAAGUGUCGAGCUGUUUUCUGUCUGCUCAAGGUUUCAGCAAGCUGCUUUAGUUGACUGGGUAAAGGGAGAUAUAUUAUUAUUCUGUAAUUGUUGGAACUUUCAGUAAUAAUAUAUUCUCUUACCAAGUUGGUAAGGGACCAGGACGUAGACCAUUAGACAUAGGGGUCGAACCUGGCUAAAAUUGCUUGUGUCUGAUUUACAUUUCCGCACUUUACUGUUUUGCAUAAUAGCCUGCUAUAAUCACUUUUGAUCUGAAAACAGUAAGCUGAAAUAUUCGGUAAAAGUUUAAAAUUGACAUAGUUAGCCAUAUACACCUAUUCACCCCCCCCCUCUCGGUCUACUUACAGGGUUUGGGCACGGAGGUUAAGAAAUAUUAUAAAGUAGUGGAAAAGAGGAAGAAAAGUGGGUGAAGUGGUGGGCCAUUGAUUUUUAAUAUAUAAAAUAAAGAUAGUGGAGUAAAAGUAGUGUGAAAAAGGAGGAAAAAGUGGGAAAGUGAUGGGACCCAUUAACUAUUUUAGGAAAGUUAUGUAAUGAGAAAUGGAUGGGACAUCCAAAAAGGAAACUGUAAAGAAUCUGGUGAGACAGAGAGAGUAGUAUAUAUACCUUCUUGACGGCGGCUAAUAGCAGAUAUCAACUGCGGCAUUCUGCAUAUAGCCACAUCAGCUGCCAUCAGUUUGGCCCAUCUUUCGUAUGUUUCAUAUGUUCUUGUGAGUAAGUUGAACAUAUUAGUGUAUUCUUUAUCCAUGACUUUGUACAUUAAAGGCUUGAUACUCAUCAAACAAGAAGGCAUUGAUCGAUAGGAGGCUGACCUCAAUCCAAACGUAUUCCACUGGUUUAUAUCCACAUAUAGCGGUGCUAAUAUCAAUUCAACUGUGUCCGAAUAAUUUCUCUCCACGGCCAACUCUAAAAUGAUGCAACUUUUCUCAUCAGUUCUUUCCAAGAACAACUGAAUCAUGUUCCUCAACUGCUCAUCCCGGUAAUUAUUUAUAACAGUUUCCGUGAUUUGCCUAAUAGUAUCUCUUCUAUCUUCUUCUUAUUCUAGGAGGGACAAAAAAAAGUAUUAAUAAAAGCCCUUUUUUGUAGAUUUGAAAUAUCACAUUUUCAAAGUAUAGUAAAAUAAAAUUUAUUAGUGACUAAAUAAAUAAUAAAAUGUAGUGAAGAGGUUAGGGUUUAUAAACUGAAACUAUACCUGGGUCGGCAUUGUUGAUAAGAAGAUGUAAAACAGUGGUACUACCAUCACGAGCAUCCAUCGUAUCAUCAGCUUGCCUAAGGAAAGUUUACUAUUAAAAUUAAAAUUAUACCUGGGUCAGCAUUGUUGAUAAGGAAGGUAUAAUAAAAUAAAAUUUAUUGUUGACUGUUCCGUGUAUGUGAAUCACUUGGAUCGGCCUUUACUAUUAGCUUAACAAGGCCCACAUUACCCAUUGUUAGGUCCUGGAACGAUUGUAGAAGGGGGGGGGGUUGAGUACAAUCGUCACUUAAAAAUAAUCGCGGCGGAAUAAUCUAAUUGAAUAUAAAUUUGUUAAUCAGAUUUUAAUUAAUUAAUAUAACAAUGUUUAAGUCGUUAUAUAAUUAAUAUGGUUCAUUUUAAUGUCCACUAGUUCGUAGAAUAAGUUUGAUAGAAAGUAUUCUAACUCAGUGGAACAAAACAACCGAAUGAUCAAAGCACAGUAAACUGUGGAUUUAACGACUAGCAAGUUUAGCACAACUUUGAACACUUUGCAAAUGAAGUGGAAGAGCCAUAUUUAUAGGCAAAAUCCAAGAACAAGGCAAGACAAUGCAAAGAUGGCAAAGACAAUUUGGCACUUUGUCUUGCUGAAAAACACAAGGCAAGACAAUCUUAAGCAUUGUCUAUAGCCUAGUAAGACAAUCUGGAGUGGUAAGACAAUUAUCUAGGCACGGUAAGACAAUUGGGACAUGGUAAGACAAUCUUCAAAAUUGUCUUACAAGCCAUUCGGCAAGAGAAUCUUAAAGAUUGUUUUGGAAGCCACAGCAGGCAAGACAAUGAGGGACGCGGUAAGACAAUUACUGAGAUUGUCUUACCGUGUGUUGGAUGAGGUAAAUAACACUGUAAGACAAUCUCUUUGAUUGUCUUACCUUGUUGUUUCUUAAGACAAUCACUGAAAUUGUCUUUCCUUUUGAUCCAACAAGACAAACCCUUAUUCCCUUCAAUUAAUUAACCAAUUAAUAUUCACUUAAUUAUAUUAAAUGCAUAAAUUCAUAAAUUAAAUUAAUUCGAGAUAGAAUUAAUUUAAUAAAUAAAUUACACAUCAUAUAUAAUUAUUUUGAGAAGUGAAAUAAAUAAUUAGAUAAUCAAUUAUCCAUUUUCUUCUUCAGUAGAGUCUUCAGUCUUCUGUAAACAAUUAAGAUCUUCGACUUGAUUGAACGGCCACCUUGUUUUGACGUAGAAUAUUUAAUCUGAUAAGCUGAUACACAAAUGUACUGUCUGGUUCAUCUAUAACUAGCUCAAUUAAAUAUUCCUUAUCAUUUAAACAAUUAAGUUGUGGCUUGUUCGUCGAUUCUUCGUCUUCUGAGUUCUUCUUCAUUUGUAGACAUAAUAAUGGAAAUAUGGAAUCUUCUGAAUAAAUAAAGUAUUGAAACUUUAUACCUUCUGAUCUUCUGGAUGUGCUACAAAAGGUUAUUUGUACACUGAGGCUUGAACAUAUUAAUGAACUUCUUCCAGUGGUUUGUAGCAGCAUCUUGAAAUUCUUCUGACAUAAAAUCUUCAAUAAAUCAUUUGACGUUCUUCGUACGGAUUCCGGAUAACAGUACUUGCUAUUUACUUACUUUCUUAUUAGAGUUGAGUUGAUACUCUUAAAUACAAAUAGGCUUAACAUAUGCCUUUCAAUCUGCCCCUAUUUGUUUGUUAACAUAACAUGCAAAUUAUCGAGAGGAUAACUCAACUAACUGAUAAGACAAAGGAUUAAACAUUGAAAGAUAAAUAGCAAAAGUUUCUGGUAUUCAUUAGACAUUCACCAGAUUCAAACAUUAAAGAUAGAUUACAAAAGGGGUGUUCAUUUAGAACAAAUAUUACAAUACCCUAUAUAAUCUAAGUAUCAACUUCUCCUUCUUCAGUAUCAGAACUGUGAAGAAUCAUUAGACAUUCACCAGAUUCAAACAUUAAAGAUAGAUUACAAAAGGGGUGUUCAUUUAGAACAAAUAUUACAAUACCCUAUAUAAUCUAAGUAUCAACUUCUCCUUCUUCAGUAUCAGAACUGUGAAGAAUAGGAGUUGAAGGUUCAUUUCUGGUUGGCUGUUCUGCAGUAGUGGCUUCACCACGUUUCUUCCUUUCAUUAGCCAGAGCCAGUUGGUGCAUUACUUCCAAAUCCACCGGGUCCUCCUGAAAGUCAGCAGGCUGAGUCUUUGUGACUUGCUUCAUCUUCCUUGUAUAUUUAGAAAUACCAUUCCGAAGACAGUAGUCAGCUAUAACACUAUCAGCAUCAGCCUUCUCUUUAGAAGUGAAUCCCUUGGUUCUCAGGAGAGUAGAUGCAAGGAUCAGUUGGUUCACAUGGUACUUUGGGAAGGACUCAUCAUUCAGAUACACAGUAUUUAUGACAUCAUCAUUGAUGAACUUCAGACAAUAGGGUUUCUUGACAAUUUGAGGACUAUUGAAUUCAGCAUGUUCCACCAGCUUGUCUCGAAAGAGUUCAUUCAAAUUAGAUCUUCUCUUGACUUUGUUACGAAGCACCCAGAGCUUAGUUAUCGUGAAUGACUUUAAAUAUUCAACUGAGAUUCUGAAUGUUCCGUUUCUCCUUGUGUAUAUAAUGAGCUCCCAUUCAUCUAGCAGAUUCCUGACUGCAACUAUAGUGUACCACAACUCAAGAGAAAGGGCAUGCAUAGACAAAUCCUCAUCAGGGUUUACCUCCUUCAGAUCAUAAAUCAGAGACAUGAACUUCUUGUCAUCGAAGGGUUCCCUCUGAGGUCCAUUGAAAAUUCUGCGUGCAAUGUCCCAACUUUUACCAACUUUAUGCUUAAUAUCAAGAUUCUUCUGCACACAGGCAACAUCAUAGAUCUUCUGUUUUUCUUUCUUGAUUUCCUCUUCAGUUAUCAGCUUGUCCUCCAGAAGCUUUUGAAAGUCUCUGAGCUUUCUCUUUCUAGCUUCAUUCUCCAGCUUAAACUUUCUCACAAGCUCCUCAUGUUCAAGAUCUACAGCCUCCUCCUCAGUCUGGAACAGAUAGGCUUCAUCAAAUGCACCAUCUUCGUGAUUCUGGCAGUAAGUGGCAUCAAACACAUCAUCAUCAUCCAUUUCCUUAGGAAAGGCAUCAUAAUUGUCUUCCUGUUGAUGCAUGGGUUGCUUGCCUUUAGACUUUUCAGUUUCUCUGCCAGGUGCAGAAUCAGAAGUAUUGGUGUUUGUGUUCCCCUUGUUACUUUGGUUGGAGCUGUUUCCUUUGUCUUCUCCUCCCUUGUCUCUAUUCUCCCCCUUAGUUGAGGGAUCCUCUCUGGAGGUUGGAUCAUCGGACUUGGAGUUCCUGAGAAGUUGAUCCAGUUUGUUGUCGAUUUCAUCACAUUUAGCCAUAUAAAGCUCAUGAUUGGAUCUCAUCUCGACAGUCAAACCAUGCAUAUCAGCUUUGAGCUCAUCCCUGUAAGAACUGGAUGGCUCUUCCUCUACUUUCUUCUCUAAAGUGACCAGUUGUGCACCUUUCAAUCUUUCAUUUCUACGCAAUCAUCCGGGUAAGUUCAGCUUGUAACUUAGCAAUUUGUUCCUUAAAAAGAGCUGGGUUAGUGUGUUCACUCACCUCACGUACACUCAAAGCUGUUUCACUAGCCUCACGUGCAUGUGUAUCGCUCGGUGUUUGCCUUUCAUCACUCGAUCCACUCAUAGCUCCAACUGUACCAAUGUUCCCUGAUAUGGGUUCAAAGGUAGUGGAGGAACAAAUUGUCCUCCGGAAGCCAGUGACGGCAAAUCUACUUGCACAUUGCCAAGCAGUUCCUGAUCAUGAAAGAAAGAGUGAUCAGCAAAGUUUUCAUACAUAGUAACUUUAUUUUGAAAAACUGUGCUCUCAGAAAGUGUAGUAACCUGUGUAUUGGGUUGAUUUUGCACUAGCGUGAGUGCUAGAGCAGUGCUAGACUCUGUACAGGAUACCGUGGCUGGACGGUCAACUUCAAUGGCUUCAUUCUGUUGAGAGAAUGAAUCCAGAAACUGUAUUGCCAUAUCAGAAUCCAAGCCCUUUUGGGAAGGCAAGGAUGUGGCUGCAGUUGUCUCCGAGGCUUCUAUUCUUUGUUUCUUUUGAGAAGACAGAGCUGCGGGUUGACUCAUCAAACUACUCAAACUUCGUUUCCUAGCAACUUUCUUAACAUGUUUUGAAGUAGUGUUGGUUGAAGUGUUUGGAGAAGAGACAGUGUGUUGAAAUGAAUCAUCAGCUUGGUUAUGAACCUAUGUGUUGACAGGUUCAUUGCUGGCAGGCUGGCAAAACAAGUCAAAGUUACAAUCAUAAUCAGAGAUAUCAACAUUAAAGUUAGAUGAGAAGUCAGAAAGUACCUGAGCUACCUGUAGGUCAUCUCUGAAUGCCUAAAGAUCAGGAUUGAUUGCUGAAUCUGCUGGCAGUGGUUGUGAGGUUGAUUGAAUUGGUGGAGAGUAUUGUGGAUGAGUGGUAGGUUGUGUGGGUGCAGAUGAAGAUGGUUGAGCUUCGAAGAAAUCAAAUGGUAGAGGCUCAUCUUCAAAUGGUGGAUAUUGCUGUUGGGGGAUAGGUGAUUGAACAGGUGAUGGUUCAGGUGAUGGUUCAGGGGUGUGAUGUGGUGAUGGUUAUGAUUGAGCUUGAUGUUGAGGUGGUUGUUGAAGUUGUAGUUGUAGAUGCUGGUCUUGUUGCUGUUGUUGCUGAUGUUGUUGUGGUUGAGCCACUUGAACUUGAUAAGGAACACUUUGAGCAUUGAACCUUUCCGACAUAAAUGGAGUGACAAUGAGUGGAACCUCGUUGUACUUGGUGCCUUUGGCAAGCUUGUUGAUCAGCUUGAUGCUUGUCUGUUUGACAUUUACCCUCUCAGCAUUGAAGUAGAAGUUCUUGUCAGUCUCCGUCAUCUUAUCAUUCAAAAGCAACAUAAGGAAUCGUGGAUAAAAACAUUCUGGUUCAUCUGUAACUAGCUCAAUUAAAUAUUCCUUGUCAUUUAAACAAUUAAGCUGUGGCUUGUUCGUCGAUUCUUCAUCUUCUGAGUUCUUCUUCAUUUGUAGACAUAAUAAUGGAAUCUUCUGAAUAAAUAAAGUAUUGAAACUUUAUACCUUCUGAUCUUCUGGACGUGCUACCAGAGAUUAUUUGUACACUGAGGCUUGAUCAUAUUAAUGAACUUCUUCCAGUGGUUUGUAGCAGCAUCCUGAAAUUCUUCUGACAUAAAAUCUUCAAUAAAUCAUUUGACGUUCUUCGUACGGAUUCCGGAUAACAGUACUUGCUAUUUACUUGCUUUCUUAUCACAGUUGAGUUGAUACUCUUAAAUACAAAUAGGCUUAACAUAUGCCUUUCACCCAUCCUAACUGCUAUAUGCAAGACAGUAUCCAUCGAAUCAUCAGCUUGCCUAAGGAAAGUUUGGAAUGAAGUGCCUGGAUUAUCAUCAUCAGUAGGCAGCAAAUGUCUAGCAGCACCAAUGAGAAUUUCAGCCAAUUCUGUGUAUCCUUCAGACAAAGCCAAGUGAAGUGCAGUCUGUUUACGAUUGUUAAGCUUGACCAGAAGCUUUUUCUCCGCAAACUUGUUUAAUAUAAAUCGCACGUGUUCUGUAUUUCCGUUUUCGGACUCUGUGUGAAGGAUAGUUUCUUCCCAGUAUCCGCUCACUUUAUCAGCAUGCAUCCCCAAUGCAGCUGAUAAGGUACCACGCUACAGCGCCCGCUACAGUCACCCACUACAGUGUCCGCCCCCGCUACAGUGCACGGACAUCCCAAAACAAAUCUCAUCAUUACAAAGUACAAGGCAAACAGGAUAAAAAGCAUGCACAAAUCCCUAAAGGACAGAAGAAAGGACAACAAUUGCACCAAAGCAGACAACCAUGCCGGGGAUUAGGUAUGGACCCGCGCCCGCCACUGUAGCUACAGUAGCGGGUGAAGGCCUAUAUAAAGGACUCCCCAGCCAAAAAGGAAAGGUAAGUGAAAAUUCUUUCUCAAUGCCCUCUCUAAAAAAGCAUAUCGCACCAUAUAUUUAAAGUGAAAACUCUCUGAUUUCCCUAACUUGUCAAGCAUAUUCCGAUCACUGAUUAUCACGCCGGAGGCGCUUCACGGGACACACCCCCGUGCUGCGUUGUUUUGCAGGUCAGGUCUUGACCCGAGCUUCCCGGAACAGUGUACUGGACCAACGACGAGAAAUGGAGUUAUCAGCAGCUAUGGCAUCAUCAUAUCCAGCAAUGGCAGCUGAAUACAGGAUAUCUUUGUCCAUAAUUUCAUAGAGGCGUCCACCUGGGCUUUCAGCUAUAUAGAUAAACAUGUGUCAAAUCGUGUGUAUUUACGGAAUCAUCAUGACAUUGAAUAUAGGUCAAAAAAAUUAACAUAAAAGGGUAUGGAUGCAUGUACAUAGGGACGGAUCUAGAAAUCUUGUUAAGUGGGGGCAAAACACACACAAAAGAAAAGCUCUUUUUAGAGAAAAUUUUUCACUAAACCAAGAGUGGUUUGAGUUGAUUGAUUAGAUAAAUACAUAAGUUUAUGAUAAGAAAUACGCAAUAUAUUAAAGUAGAACCACUCGGAUUUGAAUCCAGAAUCAACUGUGUAUGAACGUAAUGCAUUGAUCAUGGGGUCAUUAGAAGUAAAAACAUAAUAUAAAAAUAUAAAAUAUAUUAAAAUUUUGAAAGCAGUGAAAAAAAUAAGGAAAGGGGGAAAGAGACACUGUUUAAAGAGCAUACCUUGGUCCAGAUUUUUAAUACGCACAAGAGUACUACAAUGAGGUCCGAGCAAAGAUGGAGCAGUGCAAGUUGAAGAAAUAAUCUCUGAUAUAUCAUUCAACCCUUUCUCUACUGCUAUGUACAUUGGUGUUUUUCCCUCAUGGUUUUGAAUAUGUGUAUCAGUCGGGUCGGCCUCUACUAGUAGCUUAACAAUAUCCAGGAGUCCUUCCAUGACUGCUGCAUGUAAGGCCGUGUCCAAAUCUUUAUCACCUUGCCUGAGAAAAGCUUGAAAAGAAGUAACUGGAUUAACAUCAUCAUCUAAAAGAGGUGGCAAAUGGCGAGCUGCAUCAAUGAGGACCUCAGCCACUUCAGUCCGUCCUUGAUAAAUUGCCAAGUGAAGUGUUGUAUGCUUAUAUGUACUAAGCUUGGGCAAAAGAUUUUUGUGUGCAAACUUCCUCAAAAUGAAGCGCACAUGUUCUGUAUUUCCUUCUUCGGAUUCAGUGUGAAGGAUAGUUCUGUCAUUUGUGUCCAGCUUAUCAGCAUGCAUCUCCAAUGUAGCUAUGGCAUCAGCAUCUCCGGCAAUGGCAGCUGCAUACAGAGCAUCUCUGCGCAUAAAUUUGUAGAGGGUUCCACCCGGGCUGUUAGCUACAUACAUAAACAUGUGUCUGGAGUCAUCAUCAGUGGCGGAACCAGGAUUAAGUGUUAGGGGGGCUGAACGCAACCAGAAGAUAAACUAAGGAUAAGUAGUGUGUUAUUCUGCGUGUCUUAACCAUCAUGACAGGAAGAUUUUCUAUACUUUGAAGUCCAGUCCAGAUUAAUCUUCAUCCGUUUUCACAUCAUAGAUAAAUUUGUCUAACUGAUUUGAUAACAACUCCAUAUCUAGUAAAGAGAAAUCCUUUGGACAAAAUUGUGUAAAGGCAUACCAGUUUUGAGUUAUUAAAACUUGAAAAUUAAUUCCUAGGAACCAAAGAGCCAAUACAAAAUGGUAGCUCUAUGUUUCCUUCUGUAAAAAGGUUAUCCAUCUCUUGGGAAACGGUUACCAUAGCUCUAUGUCUCCUUAUGUAUGUUUCCUCUGUAAAAUGGUUUCCUUCAAAUAAGUCAAUGUGUGCAUAUGACUUAUGAAAGCAUGUUCAAAAACUUCUUCUUAUGGUCUCUUCAGCCAAAAUUUGAAGAAUAUGGAGAUGAAAUAAACUCCAACAAGCUCCUAGCACCCCUUCAAAAACUUAGGAGCUCUGUUUGCUUCCUCAACAAUGAGGAGCACACUCUCCCUCUUAACUACAUUUUAUUUUAUUUUUCUCAUGUACAAAGUACUCAACAUGCAUGAUACAGUCUAUGGGUAUACAUAUUUUAAUAACAGAUAUAGAUAGGGAGCGUAUGUAGGGAAUAUUGUUUGAGAUAUCGUGUAAUUAAUUUUACUUCUUAAAUAGUGAAGAGUUGAUUGUUUAUAUUAUUUUUAGAGAAAAGUUAAUAUAUAUGUUAAUUAGACUCUCUUUAGACUAAGUGCCUUCUCUUUUCUUUUUCUUUUUUACAAUAAGUCCCUCUCUAUAAUAUUUAUAAUUCAGCAGGGGUUAAAAAAAUUAUAUUAACACCACUAAUUCAUGGAAAAAAAAUAUACACUGUUUUUUCGAGGUUAGGGGGGCUCUAGCAUCCCCUAGCCCCAAUCUGGUUCCGCCACGGGUCAUAAUUACAUCAAACAUAUUUUUUUUAAAAAAAUUAACAUAAAAGGAACAAAAUAUAGUUUAGUUAACAAAAGAGUAUGAAUGCCUGUAUAGUAAAAAAAAAAUUGAAAGGGACAGAGUCUUUAAAAAGCAUACCUUGGACGAAAUUAAAGUCUUGUCAUGCACAACCAUACUACAAUGAUGUCCGAGCAAAGAUGGAGAAAUGCAAGUUGUAGAGAUUACCUCUGCUAUACCAUUCAACCCUUGUUCCACAGCUAUAUACAUCGGUGUUUUGCCUUGAUUAUUUUGGAUAUGUGUAUCACUUGGAUCCGCCUCUACUAAAAGCUUAACAAGGGCCACAUUACCCUUCUCAACUGCUUCAUGUAAGGCAGUCUCCAUAUAGUUAUCAGCUUGCCUAAUGAAAGCUUGGAAUGAAGUAAGUGGAUUAUCAUCAUCAAUAUUAUCAUCAUGUGGACGAGGCAGCAAAUGGGUAGCAGCAUUAAUGAGGACCUCAGCCACUUCUGUGUGUCCUUCAUACGAUGCCAAGUGAAGUGCGGUCUGUUUAAAUUUGUUAAGCUUGACCAGAAGGUUUUUGUCUGCAAACUCCCUCAAUAUAAAUCGCACUUGUUCUGUAUUUCUGGUUUUGGACUCAGUGUGAAGGAUGGUUU
RNAcentral lists this long non-coding RNA (219900 nucleotides) under Daucus carota (carrot). Its description in RNAcentral is "long non-coding RNA (DCAR_LNC001010)". The record is from RNAcentral. Lineage: Eukaryota; Viridiplantae; Streptophyta; Magnoliopsida; Apiales; Apiaceae.